UUUUUUUUUUUUUCAUUUUUGACAUAUUAAGAUUGUUUUCAUAUUUUACCUUUAAUAUUAAUUAUUUUUUUCUUCAAAUUAAUUUCAAAUACAAUAGUAAACAUCAUUUAAUAAAAUAUAUUAUAAUAAAUAGNNNNNNNNNNNNNNNNNNNNNNNNNNNNNNNNNNNNNNNNNNNNNNNNNNNNNNNNNNNNNNNNNNNNNNNNNNNNNNNNNNNNNNNNNNNNNNNNNNNNNNNNNNNNNNNNNNNNNNNNNNNNNNNNNNNNNNNNNNNNNNNNNNNNNNNNNNNNNNNNNNNNNNNNNNNNNNNNNNNNNNNNNNNNNNNNNNNNNNNNNNNNNNNNNNNNNNNNNNNNNNNNNNNNNNNNNNNNNNNNNNNNNNNNNNNNNNNNNNNNNNNNNNNNNNNNNNNNNNNNNNNNNNNNNNNNNNNNNNNNNNNNNNNNNNNNNNNNNNNNNNNNNNNNNNNNNNNNNNNNNNNNNNNNNNNNNNNNNNNNNNNNNNNNNNNNNNNNNNNNNNNNNNNNNNNNNNNNNNNNNNNNNNNCAGCUGACAAAAUAUUUCAUGUAUGCUAAGACAUACUAUAUGCUUAAUUGGAAUAGCGUUUGGUUAUAAAUUUUAGUAGUAGAUUUAAAAAAAAAAAUUCUUUAAAUAUUUGUUUGAUCAUGAAAAAUUAAUCAAAUUUUAAGAGCAUGUAUCAAAUUAAUUUUUAAUGGAUCAAAAAAUUGGGUGAAUUCUUUUUAAUGAAUCAAAAAAUAAAUUUAAAAAGAAAAUUAAUUAUUUUUUUUAAAUAAAAAAUAAAAUAAAAAAUGACAUGACCCUCUAAUAAGCUGCUAUGUGGCAAGACUGUUUUUAAAAAUCGGCUGUUAAAAAGUAAUGACAUGGAUGAGCCUGUUUUGUAAUGGUGAUGGCAUAAAUGAGCUCAACUUUUAACGGAUGACAUAAAUGAGCCAUUUCUGAUAGUUCAGUGGCAUAUUUGAGCCUUUUUCCUUUCAAUUAUUGGGUGAUUUAUUUGUUAUUAAUGCAAGGUAAUGGUGUAGUCGGUGUAGGAAACAAAGUAAUAAUAUUUUUUAAAAAAAGACUAAAAGCAGAAUUGAAACAUAAUUAAAAUUAAAUCUAAAAAAAAGACUAAAAUUAAAGACGAAAAAAGAGGAAAAAGACCAAAAAAAUAUAUCUUUCAUAAUUAAAGACGAAAAAAGAGAAACAUAUUAAAACAUCUACAUUAAAUCUAAAAAAAGAGAAAAAUUAGAUAUCUUUCGUUAAAUAAAGAAUACAAUGAAUAAAAGAGAAUCUGUUACUUCCUUAAAUAAAUAUCUUGUUAGUUUCAAAUGUUUCACUUUUUUUAUAUGUAUCACCAUUUUAAAAAAUCGGGAUAAAAUAUAAUUAAUAAAAUAAUCGAAAUUUAAUGUAAUAUAUUGAGUGAUUUAUGUAAGUUACCCUUCUAAUUAUGUACAUCAGAAAGUAUCUUCACCAUGAGAUGAAGAUACAUGUUGUAAUUAUGUGCAGUGAUGGCCUUCUUCUUUUAUUUCCAUCUAAUGCAUAAACAUGAACUAAUUUGCAAUCUAUUACUUCAAUAGAACUUUCAAAUCAUAUUGAAUUUUCGUUAUAUAGAUGCAAUAAGUUGGAACUGAAAAUAAUGAAUUUAAGACAUGAGGUACAGUUUGGGGGAGGGGGGGGAGGGCAAGAGUUCAAAACUUUGAUAGAAUCUUUGUGACUAUCGUAAAUCUAAAUUUAGUAUAAUUAGUUGAAAAUGUAUAGGAUGAAGUGAUUAUACAAUACGACUUAGCGAACAUAUGCUUUGAUUAGUGCCUUGUAAGAUGGGAAUGCUAUAAUUAAGCAUAUUGUGGUGUGGUUUGUUAAAAUUAGAUAGAGUUCAUGUAUAUGCUAAUAUUGAUAUUAGAUUGUGUAAUCACAUUCUUAAUGACUAUUUCAACCGUUGAUUUUGUUGAUCUUGAUCAAUCCUGGUAGAUGUGAUGAUUGAUCCCACUGCUCUGUAGGAAUGUAGUACUUUCGGUUCACUGUGAUUUUAGCCUUUGUUUUUGAUAACUAUCGGAGUUUAAAUUCAUAUUCAGUGUUAAGUAGGCUUUGUCGCCUUAUUUAUCCCACUUUUUUCUAUAGCAAUUCAUUUUUUUCCACAUUGGUAUGUUUAUAGCUGUUAUUUAUGAAUCUAUCUGUAUCUUUUAGGUCUUUGCUGGUGUUCAUUUCUUGUAUUUUGUUUCUCAGUAGUGUCUGGUCAUGUAUUGUGGUUGUGCUUUAUAUAAAGAGAAAAGUUGGUCAUGGAAAAUGAAUGUGCGUAAGUUUAAUAUCAUUAUAAAUUCGAAUUGAAAAUAACAUGAAUGCUAGUGGAAAAAAUAUGUGAUUUUCAUAUGUAAAGAGUGAAUUAUUAUUUGAAAACAAACUUAUUACUUGUUCUUGAAAUUUCUGGUCAGAAUUAUUUGUAGUUCUGUGAGCUUCUCGUAGGCCACCUUUCUUUCUCUCACCCCUUCAAAUAAUCAAAACUGCGCAAUUUUCAUUACAUUUAGACAUCCGCUCCUUUCAUCAAUGUUAUAUUUUCACUCCAGACCUUGAUGGUAUUUCCACUUUCCUGUCCCCGUCGCGCUCCCCUUUUUUUGGUUCCUUUUUUCGCUCUAUUAAUAGACACGAAAAAAUUUGCACUCUCUACAUUCUUGCUAUAACAAUUGACUGAUGAAUUGUCAUGACCCGAGCCGAGACCCUGGCCACGACGAGCAUCCCGAAUUAUGAAGGCUCGAGCGCCCUUUUCUAUCUGCCAAUCAUGCACACCAUUCAUACACUAUAAAGAAAUGCAGAAAGUUAACAAAACUGAAACAUGUUCAAUCUCUUAAUUCAACUGAAUAAUACUAAAUGAAGUUCAUAACAUUCAAAAUACAUGACACCAGUCUGCGAAAUCUCUUACAACACGAAAAUAAUAUCUUUCUAAAGGCUGGGACAAGGCCCCCAGCCGGACCAUGAACUAAACCACAUAAUAAUAUUCCAUAAACAAGACCUUCCGAAAUAAGGGAGGCUCACCAACUGCACACUUCUGACAGACAAAUCUACGGCUUAGCGGGAUCCCGGGACUGAGCCUCAGAUCCUGAAAUAUAGGGGGUCAAUACAAAUGUACUGGUGCGUAGAACAAUCCAAAAACAAAAUGCAUUUAUAUGCAACAUAGGUGAGAGCAUUUUAAAAGAUACAUGUUAUCUUAAAACAGUUGAAAACACAUGGGCAUAAUCUGAAUUUUUCAAAACACAUUCUGCAAAUCAUGACUCUACUCUUUAUCUUACUUCUGAACUAGAUGAUACACCCUAGAAAUCUAUGAUUCCACGAGCGAUAUGGAAUUCGCCCUUGACUCGGCAACUAAGCCCCCAACCCAAGUUUACCUCAAGGGUUAGAGUAUCUGUUUAUCAACUACGCCACAGAGCCGUCUCUAGCGUACAAUCUCCCUUUCGGAUAACAUGAACCCGUGUCGGCAAAUCACGAUUUUGGGCAAUGAGUCGUCUGACUCGUGCCUUCUUGGGGUAUCCAUCUAACUCUCUUAAGCCCCAUUUUAGAUUCUUCAAAACAUAACUUCUUUGAAAAGUUGUUUCUUUCUUAUUUUGCUUCGGGCACAUCAUAAUAGGGUAUCAUCAUACUCAGACUUGAAAGUCAUGUCAUAAUAUCUCUACUGCUCUUAUCUUAUUUCAAAAGAUUUUUAUUUACCACCUAAAAGAUUUACCAUUUGAACAAAAGUUCAUAAUUCAAAAUAAUUGAAAACCAAACCAUUCUCUACUCAGUACUUAUUCUAUGGUGGUCAUCCUUUUCAAUCACUUUAAAGUCAUUCUAAAUAGGAAUCGUGAUCAUUAAAAUAAAUAAAAACAUUCUUUCAUUAUCUCAUGAAAAAUAGUACAAUUUGUUCAUAACAGACUCAAACAUUUAACAAUCCGUAUAACUAAUUCUCAACAUGUAAAAUCAAGGAAUUUUCAUAGCUAAAGAGGGAAUUACAUAUCCCGUGCUCUCAUUUAAUUUCAAAAUCUAAACAUCACAUGUUCACACGAAAAACAUUUCGAGUUUAGGACUUCCGACUACAAUUUUCGCAACACUUCAUUAAGAUGCAAUAUUUUCAAUUCAAGUUUAUUAAAGAUCUUGAAACAAUUUCGUAUAUAUACAUAUCUAAUCUUUAAAACUAAUUUGAAAACAGUAAAUCCAUGCCCAUGAGGUUUAGGAUAGUCUCACGUGCCUUAGAUUACUUAGUUCGAAGGAUGGAACCCGAAUCUUGACUCGUUUUUUGGAAAUCUUGGACUUAAAGAUUGGAUUCUUGAUCUUUGAGAAGGAAGUUUAGGAUUUUGUUUUGAGAGCAUUUUGAGUAAUUUUUUGGGUACAUUAUGCCCUAAUAACGUCUUAAUAAGCUGCUAACACGACUUGGGGAUAGAGGGAAAAGUCUAAACUGCCCUUCAAAAUUAAAUUUUUUAGCAAAAUCCUGCUUUUGGAGCUCACCGUAACGCGGUGUAAUUGUGGUGGCUUACUGGUAAUGACAAAAAUGAUCAUAACUUUUCGCACGGGUAUCGGAUUAAGGCAAAAUUUGUAUCUUUGGAAAGCUAAUUCAAUUAUCUACAAUUUGGUGGGUCUUAUCUGAACAAUUCCACAUACAUCAAAAGUUAUAUAUGUUCAAAGUUGACCUUUGUAGAAUCGAAUACCAAACUUUGGACAAUUGAAAGACUUUUAGUUCAUCUUUGCUCUAAGUGAUUUCCAUGAAUAUUUUUCACCUCAUAAUCACUUAACACAGUAGGAUAAUAUCACGACACAUGAAUUUAAAUAUGAGUCAUGGGAUUAAAGUUUACACACGUAAGAACGACGUUCUGAUUUCUAGCUAAAAAAUGCAGGGUGUUAUAUUCUUUCCCCCUUGGGAUCAUUCAUCCCCGAAUGAUGGGUAGGGACUUUUUGAAGUUCUAAAAAUGCAGAAAAAGAAUGUAAUCUCGCGUUGAGCAUUUUUUCUCUACAGAAUAUGCAAAGUUAUCAAACGAGCUUUAUGAUAAUCCCUAGUGAAACGUGUAAGCACAAAGCAUGAGGUGAUGAGUCUUUACAUAGGGAUGAUCUUGCACAUGAGUCCUAUGAAUCAUAAUCAUCACAACAUAAUGCAAUAGUUAAUUUGGUGAUAAAAGGCCUGACUUACAUCGAUACUAAUCAUGAAAUAAGGUUUUCACGGGACAUAGGCUUAGAAGCAUUCUCUACCUUACAAGGUACAACGAAUAGACUUAAACUUAGAGACACUAAUCAUCUACGCCCCAAACAAUAAAUAACAUACUUCACACUUUCCAACUUACAAUUCUCUCAUCACACAUCUAAGCACAAGAGUUUGAGUCCCACUGCAAAGUGCUUUUAUGUUGAAGCCUAACUCGGAGUAACAAGGAUCUAACUUUAGCUACGGGACCCUGUACUCUACGUCCUAUUAAGAAUAUCACCUCACCUUAUCACUAUCAUCAAACACCCUCGGGUCUUAAAUCAAGGAAUACCAACUACAUAACACAUUGGGUUACGUUCUCAUCAAUUACAACAUUCUAACCUAUCAUUAACACAUCUAUUGAUGAAUUCCCCCAUUAAGACUAACAAAUUCAACCACUCUCAUAAAGAUUUUCACCACAUAUCUCCUUUUUAACUAUUUCACGUAACGAAAGUUCAUCUCCUUCUUCCCCCUUCUCCUAUAGCCUUAGCUCACGAAAUCACAUAAAAAUUCUCACAUUCAAGAACAUCUAUUCCCCUUUCCUAAGUCACUACUACUCUUCCAUAAUAACUAUCAUACCAUCAUUCGGAGGGUCAUUGAGGGACCCAAGCAUAUGCAUAAAGAAAAGAAGUAACACUAUUCGAUUAUAAAAUAUUCUUAUUGCAAUACUCAAGGUGGGAUAUGAGAUAAAAAUACAAUACAAUAUACACGAAGUGCUCCAUAUAUAAAGUGUCUGGAUCAUAAACAGAGUCGUUCGGACGUAAACUUACACAACAUGAGUUCCUAGGACUGGGCACAGUGAGAAACAUGUGAGUAUAUAUCAUGAGCGGUAUAACAUGAAGGCAUAACUCAAGUGGUCAAUGACUGAGACAAGGAUUACCACUUGAAGCUAUUGCUUCUCAUUUUCAGAGCUACGAUAGCCAUGAGUUUGCAUAAACUUUAUCGCUUUAGUUAAAUCCGACAUAGGAUGAUUCGGUGACAUAUAGAAAUAUAUUUCUUAGGUCCAAGCAUGAUGUGAGAUAUGGAUUUUUAUGGAUCAUGAGAAACAUAGCAUAGGGCUUGAAUACUUGAAAGAUUGGGUUACUGAGACAUCAUUGCUUCUAGUUUGACAGUCAGAUUAUAACAUAAGUUGCAUAGAUAACUCGGAUCUUGGGCAUAGGCACGACUUCAAUAUAUAAGACAUUGAUAGAAUAUCCUCAUUAAAUUGAAAUAGAGGAGCUUGAUUGAAUAGGAAUAAAUUUUGUCAUGACUCCUUCUUGAAACUGGACACCUCAAGAAAAUUUGGGAACAAUUUUAAUUCGCCAUCACCCCCUUAGAUCAAAGUCAUAAUCCUAGACUUGAGGACAUAUCUUCUCACUAAAUCUACGAGCACAACAUUCAACACAAUGAGGUAUUGCAAUACAUGUAACCGCUAAACUCCCCCUGAUAAACUAUACUCUGAAGGCAUUGCUUCCCGAAAAAGCUACUCUUAACUUUCGCUAGCAUCUAUAGCUAUCACCCUAUGACUCCCACUCCCGUGAGCAUACAUAUCCACACUCUUUAUCACAUAAUAAAUCAUUCUUCACUACUUUACGCGCCAACGCUAGAUUUCUACUUAAAUACUUACACUCUUAACAAUAUUUGUAAAACUAUACGAAAGACACAUGUUUCCUACCUAUAUUUCCUCAAUUUAACUAAUAAGAACACCAUACAACAACUCCCCAAAAUUCUCCAUACUACAAAAUUCAAGAAUGUGAAGUAAGUACACAUGACACAUACAUAUAUAAACCUUAUCUAACAUGCUACCUGGGGGUUUAACUCACGCUCUUAUCCACUUAAUGGUUCAACCACAAUUCAUCGUUUUACUCUUGUUCUCAAGUAUGCCUAUACAUUACUAUUGUCCACUCAUUAAUCUACAAGUUGCCAAAUUUAGGCUAUUGUACACAUCAAAUCAAGCCUACUACUUACUCCCACAAAACAUGCAUCAUAAAUCUUAAGUUACUAUUCUUAUCACCACAAUCCACAUCUACAGUUCAAGCCUAUAGUCUAGCAAUACCAAUCAUAUGAAGCAUGCCAUAAACUAUACUAAUGAGUAAUAUUUUCCUUAACUGAUGACACGUUUCAUCCAUUUACAAAUUAGAAUGAGAGAAAAAUACUAUAUUGCCCUUCUGGCAAUUAAAUUUGUGAUUGGAAUAUCGAUGACAAGGUCACUGCGAUGCGGUGAAGGUCUCACCGUUAUUACCACCGUGCUGCGCUACUAUCGUGGUGAGGUUCUGGAAUCAAAAUCCAAACAUGACCCAAUCCUCGUCCGAAAAAUCUGAAACUUUCCCUAGACAUGCUCCUUACACCCUUAAACAUAAAUAAACUCAAAAUUCUACGCCUCAGGUUAGGAAAGAUCAAUUUAAAAAUAUUUAAAGUUAAGAUGCUUAAUGUAAGACCCCACAAAGCUUAAAUCAGUCCCUAAAAGCUUGUUAAGGGGUCCCAGACUUAGAAAAUUUCAGCUAAGUAUUCAGACUUAGUAUUAUUUUAGCCUUCGUAAGUUGGAACUCUAUUUUAUGACUCUUAUGACCUUAAAGUAUCAAUCUUUAGGUUGAUUCAUGAUCAGGAAUGUUAUUAGCUGUUUCCAAAUAGGUUUUGGAUUUUUCGAACCUCAUUUAAACCAUGUUCGAAUGACCAAAAUAGUGAGUCGACGCGAUCUCGAUGCAUCACGUUGUCCAUCGCAUCAACAAAUAAUUUUUCCCUCAGCUUAGUGAAUUUCCAAUGAACCGACGCAGACUCGACGCGGUGCACCGUCCAUUAUGUUGAUCCCAUCGAUGCGGCACAUCGAUCUGCGCACCAAUAGUUUAGUUUUCAGUCAUUAGAAGCUGCGUUCUUAGGGGUAUUUGGUUCUUUUUCCACGUCCUUUAGCCCCCCAAAAUAUGAAAUUUAGCCCUCUAUUUGCAAUAGACACUCAUUAUUUCACAAAUUGCUCAAGAACAAGAACCCUAGGUGAUUGAAUUUCAAGUUCAAGGCUCAAGAUUCCACCAUUAAUCUUCAAGAAUUUAGCAACCAAGGUAUGUGAAGUGUUCAUCCAAGGGUUCCUUUCACCCUUGGAGUCCAAGAAACUCUUUUAAAACUUUGAGUAAAGUAAUUUCAUGAUUUUCAUGAUUGGAUUCAAGUGUAUUCAUGAUUAUAAUAUUGAUUGGGUUUCUAAUCCAUGACUAAGUGCAAGAUUUAUGUGCAAAACAGUUAUUAUGUAUGUAGUAUCAUGUGGAUUCAUGUUGAAGUCUUGAAAUUGUGAACUUGGUGUUGAAAUUGAGAUGCUCAUGUGUUGAUUAGUACUAUGUACAUAUACAGUGCCUUCCAAGGGAUUUGAUGAGUUGUUCAUCUGAAUGUAAUAGUGAGAUUAUAUCAUGUUAUCAUGUAUACUAGUUCAUGCCAUUCAACUGUUUGAUAAAAUGCCUCUAUAGAUGCAUUAUAAAUCAAGUGUACAUUUUAAUGCUAACCAAGGUCAUGUGAUGCGUUAUUUUCAUGCUAUCGAUUCUUGGGGGUAUUUAAUACCCUACAAUUUAGUUGUUUACCUAGAGCCAUGGUUAGUCACAGGAUAGUAUCAGUCAUGUCACGAUCGGUAGAAUUUAGUCAGUUAACAGAAUUCAGUAUUAUUCCGUCAGUCCACGGAACCCAGUGAACUCAAUUCAGUUCAGUUAUACAGUACGAUAAAAAAUUGUUCAGUCCAGCCUAGAACAGUCUAGAAUUUAGUCUAGUGUCUAUUCAGUUGAUAGUAGGAUUUAGCACCGAGUGAACCCACGGAUAGGGACUCACUUGCCAGUAGAGGGUAUGAUUCUUAAAAGUAGUCCUUGUGUUCCAGAACUACAUAGCCAGCGUAGGUUGAGACAUCAACCUGCCAGUUAAGGGUACCACCGUUCUCGUCAAAGCACCUUCCAGAUGAGGGUGACUCAGUUUGUCUUUACCCGUGGGACGGUACUGACACCUUUCCAGUUGGGGUUACAAGUUUGACCCCAAUCUAUUCAGAAAGGGUUAUAUCGGUUAGAUGAUUACCUCCCACUGUCUCAAUUUUCGGUUCAGUCUCAAUACAGAACUCAGUUUAGUUCUACAGAUUCAGGACUGUCAGACACUGCCACUCAGCUUAGUAUAAAACUCAGUAUAGUUCCACAGAAUCAGGACUGUCAGAUACAGUCAUUCAGUUAUCAGUAGUAUAGUAUCAGUAAACUCAGAUAUCAGCAACUCAGUAUUCAAAUUCAGUAUCUAGUGCUGUCACGAUCUCAGUUACAGUAUAUGUAUUCAUGCAUGUACUCUCAUUCAGUUUUAUUCAUGUCAUUCAGCCAAUAUUGUUCAUGCAUAUAAACCCAUGCAUUUCAGCCUACCUCACUUAGCAUACCAGUACAUAUAAAGUACUGACGCAUACUUUUCUCUUACGCUAUGUUUUCUUAUAUCAUAGGUUUAGAUGCAUGGGCUCCCAAGCACCCUUAGCAGUUUAGAUUUUCAGCAGUCAGAGUUAGUGGUGAGUCCUCAUAGUUCGAGGACAUGAUUAUUUUCUUCAGUAUUUUAGUUUAGCAGUACAGUUUCAGUAGUUGGAGUUAGAUGGGGGCUUGCCCCAUUAACUCCAUAUUUCAGACAGUUUGGAGGCUUUUCAGACUAGAGUAUUUAUAGACAGAUGUUUCAGUUUUGGUAUUGCUAUACCGUAUUCAAUUUUAUUUCAGUAUUGAACCUUAUGGCAAGUUUUUGCCUAAUUUCUGCAUAUUUACAGUAUUAUUAUUCAGCUAUUGUAGUAGGUACCAGUCAUGGAUUAGCUUGGGGUCCUUCGAGAUUAUGACAGUGUGUAGUAUCCGGGGUACAGACUUGGGGCGUUACGCUUUAAAUAUGCCUAAGUCUCCCAACAAUUAAAUUUUUUUCAGGUCUUAUACAUCCCAUGCAUGAAACUAAGAGUUAAGUCAGAAUAGAAAUAUCAACCUAAGUCUCUAAUUUCACUCAACUAUGGCCCAUAAGUUCAUCCUCUCCAUGACAUUACUACUACACCUCAAAAAUCUACUACCUACCUUCUCCCGUGUAGUACUAGUUUACAACUACUAGAGAAACACAAUCAAGGGGGUAAAGUCACAUAAUAAAGAUAGUCGGUCUUAAUCUUAUAAUAUCACCCAUUACUAUCUAUUAACAUAUCUUACUUUCUCACGUCAUACUUACUUACCCAUGCAUACAUCACAACUACCUUCAAAAUUUCAUAUACAACAAUAAAUUUAUACCUAUAACUUAUUGGUUAAUCUAACCAUUUCCAUUCACAACCUAUAAGGGAUUUCUAUAACCAUCAUAACUAUCCAUUCUAGGAUCUUUCCCUAUUUUGAAUAGAUAAUAUCAUAGCCAAACACUUCCUCCACAGACUACCAUACAAUCCACCAAUAUUGCUACCACAUUAGUCUAUCAUUAUCAAAUGGCAACCCAUCCCUCAAUCAAUGAUUAUACAACUAAACUAGCUUCCCUACGCAAAAGUCACCCUCAUUCUGAAUUCUAUGCUUGUGACAUCAUAUCACUAACUCCAGGAUCAUCAUACUACCAAUAAGGUAUGGCACCUUAGCACAUACUACUACUUGGGUGAAAAUAUUGUUCCAGUAUUAUGACAUAUAUCACUACCCUGGAGCAUGAUAUCUGCAACAAGAAUUAUGAAAGGGACUGAAUACACUUUAUACCUCAGGUUCAAACGCAUGAUUGAUGUAGAUAGGGAUAUAACCUUAAAUCAAUACACUUUAAAGCACUUAUGGACUCCUCUCAAGUCCUUAUGCAAUUUCAUAUUUCUUUAUGACUCAAUUAGAAGGGACCACCUCUUUUAGACUUUAAGAUUCUGCACUUGAAUCGACUCAACAGUGAGACAUAGUUAAUAAAGUUAGGGUAAAGAAGGAAUCUAGAUAACUCCCAAAUGGACAACACAAUGGCACUAUCUUGAACUUGAAGAAAAGUGAAACAUUUCUAAACGCCUAGUAGCUUCCUACUUAUAAGUAUGGCGUGCUAUACACUCAUAAAUAGGACUCUACUUGAGAUAAUUUCGCAGACACCCUGGGAUCAUGAACCGUGCUCUGAUAUCAAGCUUGUCACGACCCGAGCUGAGACCCUGGCCACGAUGAGCAUCCCGAACCAUGAAGGCUCGAACGCCCUUUUUUAUCUGGCAAUUAUGCACACCGUUCAUACAAUAUAAAAAAAUGCAGAAGUUAAAAAAAUAAAAACAUAGUCAAUUUCUUAAUUCAACUGAAAAAUACGAAAUAAAGUUCAUAACAUUCAAAAUACAUGACACCAGUCUGCGAAGUCUCUAACAACACGAAAACAAUAACUUUCUAAAGGAUGGGACAAGGGCCCAGUCAGACCAUGAACUAAACCACAUAGUAAUAUUCUAUAAACAAGGCCAUUCGAAAUAAGGGAUGCUCACCAACUGCACACUUCUGACAAACAAAUCUAUGGCUUAGCGGGACCCCAGGACUGAGCCUUAGAUCCUAAAAUAUAAGGGGUCAAUACAAAUAUACUGGUAUGUAGAACAAUCCAAAAACAAAUACAUUUAUAUGCAACAUAGGUGAGAGCGUUUUAAAAGAUGCAUAUUAUCUUAAAACAGUUGAAAACACAUGGGCAUAAUAUGAAUCUUUCAAAACAUAUUCUGUAAAUCAUGACUCUACUCUUUAUCUUACUUCUGAGCUAGAUGGUACACCUUAUAAAUCUACGAUUCCACGAGCUAUAUGGAAUCCUCUCGUGACUCGGUAGCCAAGCCCCCAACCCAAGUUUGUCGUAAGGGUUGAAGUAUCUGCUUAUCUACUACGCCACAGGGUCGUCGCCAGCGUACAAUCUACUUUUUGGGUAACAUGAACCCAUGUCGUCAAAUCACGAUUUCGGACAAUGAGUCAUCUGACUCAUGCCUUCUUGGAGUAUCCAUCUAACUUUCUUAAGCCAAAUUUUAGAUUCUUUAAAAUAUAACUUCUUUGAAAAGUUGUUUCUUUCUUAUUCUGCUUCGGGCACAUCAUAAUAGGGUAUCGUCAUACCCAGACUUGCAAGUCAUGUCACAAUAUCUCUACUUCCCUUAUCUUAUUUCAAAAGAUGUUUAUUUACCACCCAAAAGAUCUACUAUUUGAACAAAAGUUCAUAAUUAAAAUAGUUAAAAACCAAACCAUUCUCUACUCAAUACUUAUUCUAUGGUGGUCAUCCUUUUCAAUCACUUUAAAGUCAUUAUAAAUAGGAAUCAUGAUCAUUAUAAAACAAAUAAAAACACUCUUUCGUUACCUCAUGAAAAAUAGUACAAUUUGUUCAUAACAGGCUCAAACAUUUAACAAUCUCUAUAACCAAUUCUCAACAUGUAAAAUCUAGGGAUUUUCAUAGAAAAGGAGGGAAUUAUAUAUCCCGUGCUCUCAUUUAAUUUCAAAAUCUAAACAUCACAUUUUCACACGAAAAAACAUCUCAAGUUUAGGACUUCCUACUACAAUUUUUGCAACACUUCAUUAAGAUGCAAUAUAUUCAAUACAAGUUUAUCAAAGAUCUUGAAAUAAUUUCAUAUAUAUACAUAUAUAAUCUUUAAAACUAAUUUGAAAACGGUAAAUCCAUGCCCAUGAGGUUUAGGAUAGUCCCAUGUACCUUAGAUUACUUAGUUCGAAGAAUGAAACCCGAAUCUUGACUCGUUUCUUGGAAAUCUUAAAUUUAAAGAUUGGAUUGUUGAUCUUUGGGAGAAAAGUUUAGGAUUUUGUUUUGAGAGGAUUUUGAGUAAUUUUUUGGGUAUAUUAUACCCUAAUAACGUCUUAAUAAGCAGCAAACACGAUUUGGGGUUAGGGAAAAAAAAAAAAUUCUAAAUUGCCCUUCGAAAUUAAAAUUUUCAGCAAAAUUUUACUUUUGGAGCUCACCGCGAUGCGGUGUAAUCGCGGUGGCUUACUGGUCCUAACGAAAAUGAUCAUGACUUUUCGCCCGGGUAUCGGAUUAAGGUGAAAUUGGUAUCGUUUAUUCAAUUAUCUACAAUUUGGUGGAUCUUGAGAUGAAAAAUUCCAAAUACAUCAAAAGUUAUACACGUUCAAAGUUGACCCUUGUGGAAUCAAAUAUCAAACUUUGGACGAUUCAAAGGCUCUUAGUUCAACUUUGGUCUAAGUGUUUUCUAUGAACAUUUUUCACCUCAUAAUCACUUAACAUACUAGGAUAAAGAUCAUGACACAUGAAUUUAAAUAUGAGUCAUGAGAUUAAAAUUUACACAUGUAGAAACGACGGUCCAAUUUCUAGCUCGAAAACGUAGGAUUUUACAUGAAUCAAGUUAGUGUUUUUGAUUUUCUUGUUCGUUGUUGUACUAUGAUUGUAUCUAUGUUGAAUUUGUGUAUGACUUUGUUGUACUAUGAUUGUGUCUAUGUUGAAGUUGUAUAUGUUUAAAAAGGGUUGUUGAAAUUGUGGAGUUUGUUCAUUGGCAGUAAAAAUAGUCAUUGUUUUGUGUAUGACAUUGAUGCAUGGUUAAAAGGAGUGGUGGAAAUUGUGGAAUUUGUGCAUUCUGGCAGUAAAAAUGUAAUCUUUUUGGGGUAUGGAAGGUUGCUGGACUCAUGCAUGUGAAAUUUCUUCUUAAUUUUGUGUUUUUGGUAGACCUUUUGAGUAAUAGAGGAAAAUGAAACCAUCUCUUUAUUAAUUAAAAAAAUCAUAAAACAAAGAAACAGAUUGAGCCUACACAUCCUUCGUUACAAUGGUAAUUCCUUAGCCAUAGUGAUAAUGGGUUGCAUAUGAUAAGGGAAUAGGCUGAGGUUACAUAUCUCAUUCAUAUUUCUUUGUUUAUAAUUCUUACUAUAAAAAUCUCAAACGGUGAUAAAACUUUAAACAUGUUUCUCACCCAAGAAAUAACUAUUACGGUGAAUUAAGUAAUUAAACUUUUAUUUUCAAUUUCAAUGAAAUCACAAAAUGACAAAAAUUGCUUAAAGAUUUCAGGUGUUAUUAGUAGGUUAUCUUUGAAAAUUAUGUUCAUCACUACAUGAUAAUAUUAAUAUUUAAGAAUAACAAGAAAAUAAAUAAAAUUAGGACAAAUAAUAUCGCCUUCACAAGAUCGAGUAAUAGUUAUUGAAAAGAUAUUGGACUUCACAGGUCCACGGCAUUAAUAAUUUAUUUCCCAUCUCAACACCAAACAACACGGCUUAAGAUGACUCUUGAUACCACAUGUUGAAUGUCAACACAUACACAGAGUCAAUGCGCAAUGAAAAAAUAAAUAGAAACGUACCUUCAAUCAUUAUUGUUCAAGUGUUGUGAAGAACCACCUUUGUCAAAAACUUUAACAAGAAAAGAGGAAAAGAAGAGACUUAAGAAUCUUCUUGCCUAUGUCUAUCAAAGGUAUGCCAGUCUGAUGGAGUCAAAAACGUAUUUAAAGGUAGGAUAAGGACUCUUAGGCAAAUAACUUUAACCCUUGGAACUUUCAUAGUCGUUUCUUGACAUCAAUGAAAUACCAUAUAUGAUAACUUAGAGAAAAAGUAAUUGACUGAUUUAUUACUUUACUUGGGAAAUAAGGUAAAUUUCUUACCAAAAAUAUGUGGGUCAUUAAUACGUAAUAUUAUACGUAAUAUUCUUACAUAAACUAUAUGUUACUUCCGGUCUGCAUGAGUAUCAACUGUGUACGACCCAAAAAGAAUUUAAAAAAGAGAGGAUGAUUUGGUACUCGAUCGUCAUUAAUCAUCACAAUAAUACAUGAGGGGUCAACUUUAAAAAACUAUACAAAUACAAAUACAAUUUGAUUUUGGACUUAAUAUACUAUUAGGAAAAUGCUCAGUUUCCACCCUGAACUAUACACGAAAUUGCUGAGAUACACCCAAACUUUAGGAGGGUCCUAUUAUCCCCUGGACUAAUUAAAACCGUAUUUUUGGCAAUCUUAGUGCCUACAUGGCAUGUACGUGGCACAUAAAUGAAUCAAUACAUUGAAGGUCCACGUAGGCACAGUGUGUUGACCUUCAAUGUGUUGAUUCAUUUAUGUGCCAUGUAUAUGCCAUGUAGGCACUAAGGUUACCGAAAAUACGAUUUUAACUAGUCUAGGGGGUAAUAGGAUCCUCCUAAAGUUCGGGUGUGUCUCAACAAUUUCGUGUAUAGUUCAGGGUGGAAACUGAGCAUUUUCUCUAUACUAUUUAAUAUGUGAAGGCUUUGUAGAUGAUCAAGGUUAUCCUUGUAAUUUCAUUUCACAUUUUUAUAUCCUUACGUGUUACUCUUUCAGGUGUCCACCUAAUUGUCAUUGCCCUUUUCAUCCCCUUCUUCCUCACUUUGACAUUUACCAUUUUCUUCAGUUCUUUUUAGCUUCAAAUCUCCCCUUUACAACAAUGAUUUUUAUACUUUUCACUAUGCUUGAAAAUCCUUUUCUUAAUAAUUCAUUUAGGUUAUUCUAACGACGAUUUGGUGGAUUAUCUUUCCUAUUGUUGCUUAAACUGUUUUUGUUGGGUUCAAUAUGUAUGAAAAAGGUGUGACUGGAAAAUGGAGGGACACAACCUUUGAGGAAAAAACAUAUUAUUUUGGAAAAGGAGUGGCUAUUCAAAUAGUUAUGUUUGUUCAGAAAAAGACACAAUGUUUUGAGACAUGACUCUUCCAAAGGAUACACCUUUUCAGAUGAACCAUUGCCACCUUUGGGAAGGAGCACUUGAUGGCUAUAUAAACCUGCAUUUAUCCACAGGUUUAUGAAUGGAAAAUUUUCUGAAAUAAAAACUCUUCUUGUCUUCAAAACAUUCUUUGUGAUCAAUCAAAUCAUUGAGUGAGUUCGAUGAAUCCAAUUAUUUGAGGUGCCACUAUAGUUGGAUUGAAAGUCAUUUUAUCUUGGGAGGAAGAUUCCAAAACCUCGGGUACAGUGAGGGAAAUUAUUCCUUAAGGACACUCCGUGAAGUCGGGGGACUUGGCUUUAUAUUUCUGUUUCAUCUUAAUUUCUAAAAAAAUAAAAUACACUUCUUAGAAAGAUCACUUUGAUCUUGUGUUGAGGGUGUUUUUGUACUUCAUAGUGUUCUUGUUUUAAACUUGAACUAGUGUUGAAGUUGUUGUGCCUAAAUACAGAUUUUUGUACCUGAAAACACCAUAAAAUAACAAUCUUAAGGAAUAAUCUUCUGCAGAAUCUGUAUUGCUUGUUUUUGGAGAUUAAAGCUUUAAGCUUUCUACUCCGUUUGAACUUAACUAGUGAUUCGAAGACAUAAAAGUCUUCAUCAAAAGUUAAAGAUCAUUUAGUUGAUGAUUGGAAGUCAUAAAAACUUCAUCGUUAACUAGAAAUAAGAAGAAGAGUUUAAAGUUGCUUAAAUUUAUAAAUACUAUUCUGAAAAUACUAAAUUUAAUUGUCUUGUGGUGAUAGGAAAAUUGACUAACGAACGUCAAAUACAAGAUGAGGCUAUGACUGUGGGGGCAACUAGUAUUGCCUAAACAGGUCGAGCAAAUGCUACGCAACCAAUGGCACCUGCAGAGAAGCCCAAAAAAUUUAUGGGCAGCAAAAGAUGUUCUUUUACCUCACCACUCUAUGCCUUCAAAGGUUCACUAGUGAGGAUGCUCCUGAGGUGCCUGAGGGAACCUCGGACAAAGAGCAUUUCAUGAUUGUAGAGGCUUGGAAGCACUCAGACUUCCUUUGCAGGAAUUAUAUCUUGAGUGAUCUCCAAGACGACCUCUACAAUAUUUACAGUGGAACUAAGACAUCGAAGGAAUUGUGGGGGGCACUAGACAAAAAAUAUAAGACAGAGGAUGUGGGAAUUAAGAAAUUCUUUGUUGUAAGGUUUCUAGACUUUAAAAUGAUAGAUAGCAAAUCGGUUGUCUCUUAAGUUCAGGAAUUGCAAGUAAUCAUCCAUGAUCUCUUAGCGGAAGGUAUAUCUUUGAAAAAUACCUUAGUUGAACAAAUUGAAAAUGUUCUUAGUACUCACAUAAACUGUUUUAUAGGUUUGAUUUUGAAUGAUACAUUUCAAGUAGCAGCGAUCAUUGAGAAGCUACCACUUAUGGAAAGACUUCAAAAACUACUUGAAGCAUAAACGCAAGGAGAUGACUGUCGAAGAUCUUAUUUUUCGAUUGCAUAUUGAAGAGGAUAAUAAGGCUACCGAGAGAAGGUCAAAAGAGAAUUCUACAAUUAAUGGAGCACAUAUUUUAGAAGAUGACCAAAAUAUUUCUAAGAAAAGGAAGAAAGUUGAACAAUAAAGCAAUCAACCCAAGAAGAAAUUCAAGGGAAAGUACUUCAACUGUGGGAAAAUUGGCCAUAAGUCCACGGAUUGUCAUGCUCCUAAGAAAGGCAAGAAAAAGAACCAAGCUAAUAUGGUUGAGUCCAACAAAGAAUGUUAUGAUCUAUGUGCUAUGUUCUCAGAAUGCAACUUGGUGGGAAAUCCUCACGAAUGGUGGAUAGAUUCUGGUGCCACCCGCCAUGCGUGUGCCAACAAAGAGUUCUUUUCGUCAUUCGCUCUGGCUCAAGUAGAAAAAAUGAUCUGCAUGGAUAACUUUGCUACGGUUAAGGUAGAAGAAACAAGAAAAGUGGGCUUGAAAAUGACUUCAGGAAAGGUAUUGACACUUAACAAUGUCUUGUACAUUCCAUAGUUACAUAGGAACUUGACUUCUAUUUCACUUCUAGACAAGAACGAAGUCAAAUGUGUAACUGUUUCUGGAAAAAUUGUAAGUAGCAAAGGAGAAGUGUAUGUAGGAAAAGGCUAUCUCACCGAGGGCCUUUAUAAGAUGAAUGUAAUGAAAGUUGAAAUCAAUAAAAGUUCAAAUUCUUCUUACUUGCUUGAGUAUUAUAAUUUGUGGAAUGAAAGUUUAGGCCAUGUUAAUUACAAAACGUUACGAAAACUGAUUAACUUAGAUGUUUUUCCAAACUUUGAGUGCAAUAAAUCAAAGUGUCAAACGUGUGUGGAAUCAAAGUAUGCAAAACAUCCUUAUAAGUCUGUUGAAAGGAAUUCCGAUCCUUUAGACUUAGUACACACUGACAUUUGUGAUAUGAAGUCAACACCACGACGUGGUAGAAAAAAGUAUUUCAUAACUUUUAUUGAUGAUUGCACUAGAUAUUGUUAUGUCUACGUAUUAAAUAGUAAGGAUGAAGUAAUAGAUGCAUUUAGGCAAUACAAAACUGAAGUAGAAAAACAGUCAAAGAAAAAGAUAAAAAUGAUAAGAAGUGAUAUGGGUGGAGAAUAUGAAUCUUAUUUCGCUGAAGUAUGUGUAGAGAAUGGAAUUCUCCAUCAAACUACAGCCCCGUAUUCACCUCAAUCUAAUGGAAUUGCGGAAAGGAAAAACCAAACUUUGAAAGAAAUGAUAAAUGUCUUACUUAUAAGUUCCAAUUUACCGCAAAACUUGUGGGGGAGGCUAUCCUUACAGCCAAUCGUAUACUCAAUAGAGUUCCCCAUUAUAAGAUACAAUCAAUUCCUUAUGAGAAAUGGAAAGGAAGGAAACCCAACUUGAAAUAUUUCAAAGUGUGGGAGUGUCUAUCAAAGGUCCAAGUUCCUAUGCCUAAAAAGGUUAAGAUAGGACCUAAGACUGUGGACUGUGUGUUCAUAGGAUAUACUAAAAGCAGUAAAGCAUGUUGAUUUUUGGUUCAUAAAUCCGAACAUCAGAAUAUAAAUGAAAAUACGGUAAUUGAAUCAGAUAAUGCCGAAUUCUUUGAAAAUAUUUAUCCGUAUAAAACUAGACAUGAACAGUCUAGUGGAGGAUCUAAACGACCUCGAGAUAAACCAAGUGAGAAUGUACAUAAUGAAGAGAAUCCAAGACAUAGUACAGUCAAAGAACUUCUACUAACUUUGGAUUAGAUUUUGUAACAUUUCUCUUAGAAAAUGAGCCUCAAAUAUUUAAAGUAGUGAUGUCGUCUUCAGACUCAUCCUUUUGGAAAGAGGCAGUUAAUAGUGAGAUUGAUUCAAUCUUAAGCAACCAUACGUGAGAAUUGGUUGAUCUUCCUCCAGAAAAUAAACCUUUAGGUUCUAAAUGGAUCUUCAAAAGAAAAAUGAAAGCGGAUGGUACUAUUGACAAAUACAACGCAAGACUUGUAUUAAAUGGCUUAAAAAAAGGCCUUGAUUACUUUGAUACAUACUCUCCAGUAACAAGGAUAACAUUGAUUCGAAUGUUAAUUGCCUUGGCGGCAGUAUAUGGUUUUGAAAUCUAUCAAAUGGAUGUGAAAACCGCAUUCCUAAAUGAAGAAUUGGAGGAAGAAAUUUACAUGGAACAACCUGAGGGCUUUGUGGUUCUAGGAAAGGAGAAUAAGGUGUGUAAACUUAUUAAGUCAUUGUAUGGACUAAAGCAAACACCUAAACAAUAACAUGCGAAGUUUGACCAACCCAUAUUGGCAAAUGGGUUCAAGAUAAAUGAAUAUGAUAAAUGUGUUUACAUUAAAGACACUCCAAAUCACCAAGUCAUUAUUUGUUUAUAUGUGGAUGAUAUGUUGAUCAUCGGUAGAGAUAUUUCUGACAUAAAUGCAACGAAAUGAAUGCUCGAGAGCAAGUUUGAUAUGAAAGACCUUGGAGUUGCAGAUGUGAUCUUAGGUAUAAGAAUCCAUAGAAUUCUACAAGGGUUGACAUUGUCACAGUCUCAUUAUAUCGAAAAUGUACUUGACAAAUUCAAGUAUAUGGAAUUCAGUAUUGCCAAGACUCCUUUGGAUGUAAUCCUUGUACUUUAAAAGAAUGAAGGUGAAAGUGACUCAUAAUUAGAGUACGCAAGAGUAUUAGGAUGUUUAAUGUAUAUAAUGAAAUGUACACGACCAGACAUAGCAUGCACAAUCAGUAAGUUGAGUCGGUACACGAGUAAUCCCAACAAAACUCAUUGGAUGACAAUGAAAAGAGUUUCGGGUAUCUUAAAUACACUCAAGACUAUGCUUUGCAUUAUAAUAAAUAUCCCGUGGUACUUGAAAGAUAUAGUGCUCCAAAUUGGAUCACUGGGUCAAAUGAAGUAAAAUCCACAAGUGGAUAUGUAUUUACUAUCGGUGGAGGAGCAGUCUCUUGGAAAUCAUCCAAACAGCCUUGUAUUGCUCUCUCUACAAUGGAAUCUGAAUUUAUCGCAUUGGAUAAAGUUGGUGAAGAAUCAGAAUGACUCCGAAAUUUCUUGGAAGAUAUUCCUUAUUGGCCCAAAAUAGUGGCACCAGUAUGUAUACACUGUGAUAGCCAAACAACAAUAGGUAGGGCAGGGAGCAUGAUGUACAACGGUAAAUCUCGUCACAUAUGACGGAGACAAAAUACCGUUAGGGAACUUCUAUCUAGUGGAAUUAUCACUGUUGACUAUGUAAAGUCAAAGGAUAAUGUGUCAGAUCCACUUACAAAAGGCCUAUCUAGAGAAGGAGUGGAAAGGACAUCCAAGAGAAUGGGUUUAAGGCCCACGACAAGUCAACAUGGCGGUAACUCUACCUAGCAGACUGGAGAUCCCAAGAGCUAGGUUCAAGGAGAUCAAACAAAGUUGUGUCUGACAGGUUCAACAUUGUCAAAAUACCAACCCAUUCUCAUGAUGUAGACAAUUUUUAGUAAACAAGGAUAAAACUUAAGGUGAGAAAUCUUUUAAUGAUUAUCUAAAUUUGGCAGAUUUGACCAAAUAGUUUAAUCUAUGGGAUUGAAAGUUUAGAAAUCACCUAUGUGAGGGCGAAGUGGAGGCCGUUUCAAGGAGAACGUUAGCAAAGGCUUAUUCUCUAAGCUCUCAUGAAUUCGGGACGUGUUCAUGGCUUAAAAGAACAAAACCGUGAGAACUAUAAACGGUAAAAGGCUAGUUAUGUGACAUGUGUUGUUUAGGUGUACAUUAAAGCUCGAUGGUUCAAAGAUAUCAAAUCUAUCGAUUGACCGAGUGCAUCCGAUGCAUGUUCACUACGGAAAGUUCAUAGGGAAACCCACUUAUCCAGAUGCAAUCAGUCUUUGCUUGAUGAUCACAUACUUUUCCAUAAAAUUUUACGAAAAAAUAGCCAUUCCCCAUUCAUGUGGGGGAUUGUUGGGUUCAAUAUGUAUGAAAAAGGUGUGAAUGAAAAACGGAGGGACACAACCUUUGAGGAAAAGACAUAUUAUUUUGAAAAAAAAGUGACUAUUCAGAUAGUUAUGUCUGUUCAGAAAAAGACAUAAUGUUUCGAAUGAAUAGACAUGACUCUUUCAAAGGAUACACCUUUUCAGAUGAACCAUUGCCAUCUUUGGGAAGGGGCACUUGAUGACUAUAUAAACCUGCAUUUAUCCACAGGUAUAUGAAUGAAAAAUUUUCUGAAAUAAAAACUCUUCUUGUCUUCAGACAUUCUUUGUGAUCAAUCAAAUUGUUGAGUGAGUUCGACGAAUCCAAUUAUUUGAGGUACCACUAUAGUUGGAUUGAAAUUUUAUCCUGCAAGGAAGAUUUCAAAACCUCGGAUACAGUGAGGGGAAUUAUUCCUUAAGAACACUCCGUGAAGUCGAGGGACUUGGCUUUAUAUUUCUGUUUCAUCUUAAUUUCUGAAAAAUUAAAAUACACUUCUUAGAAAGAUAACUUUGAUCUUGUGUUGAGGGUGUUUUUGUACUUCAUAGUGUUCUUGUUUUAAACUUGAACUAGUGUUGAAGUUGUUGUGCCUAAAUAUAGAUUCCUGUACCCGAAAACACCAUAAAAUAACAGUUUUUACGUUUGUGGUGAGUUUUUGGAGUACGGAAGGUUGCUAGACUCAUCUAUGUGAAAUUUCUGCUUAAUUUUGUGUUUUUGAUAGCCCUUUUGAGUAAUAGAGGAGAAAGAAAUCAUCUCUUUAAUAAUUGAAUGGUACACACAUACACACUAAAUUUCAGUCUCUGCAUUCUUAUACUACAACAAUUGGUUGAUGAAUCAGGUUAGUGUUCUUGUGUUUUCUUUUUUAGUUCCAUUUUGUGUUCCUUUUUUGUACUAUUAUUGUGCAAAUUGUGAUAUCUGUGUAUAGUUAGAAGGGGUUGUGCAAAUUGUGAAAUUUGACAGUAAAAAUGUAAUCUUUUUUCGUUGUGUUGCAAGUUGUCGGACUCAAAAGGGCACUUGCAUGUUAAAUAUCUGCUCAAUUUGUUUUUUUUUCAUAUCCCUAUUACUUCUGCUCAGUUUUUUGUUUUUUUGAUACCCUUUAAAGUAAAGGAGCCAUCUUUUUAUAGAAAAAGUCAUGGUUUUCAUUUUAAACUAUACACGAAAAGUCUAGAUCAUACUCAAACUAUCAUAGUGAUCUAUUACACACCUAUACUAUAUAAAAGAGAAACUAUUUCCACCUUAGAACGUGACGUGAUAGAGAAGGUGUAUUCACCUUCCUAAGGUGCAUGAGAGGAAGGAAAAAAAUCUUAAAAUGAUGUGUCACUAUUUCAUUUGUUAUUAUAUCAUUAAAUACUCCUAAUAUUCUUCUUAACAUAUACAAGUAGAUUAAUUAUUUUUUCAAUUGAAAAAAUAUUAAUAAAAUUAUUUUUUCUUAUUUAUUCAUUUUUAAUGUGUGGAUCCCUCCUUCAAUGGCUUCUUCUUCACCAAAAUCACCAUUAAAACACUACCAUUGACAUCAUCACAUCAAACUCAAAUCUUCACCACAUUAAUUUUAAGAAUCCACCAUAGAUUUCAUUAUCGAAAUCACAAUACAACCAUUAGUAUCACAAAAAUCACAAACAACCACCAUAAAAUUCAAUAUCCACUUCUAAAAUUGUCAUCAGAAUUACAAUAUAACCAUUGUUAACAUGCAAAGUUACAAAAAUCACCACAAAUUCGCACCUGCACCACUACUAAAUUCUAAUGGCGCCUUACAAUGACAAUGAAACUUCCCCUUUCCCUUCUUGUCUUCCUCUUCCCGCACCUGCCACCAGCAAUAAUGGUGUUAUCAUCGCCUAGUGAAAUUUCACUGCAACUUCUAUACUCAACAUAUGUUUUAUCAUUGUUUAUUUCUCUCUUUGAAUUUCUCUUUUUCCUUCAAUUUAUCAAUGAUGAAAAAGGACAAAGAAAUUUAAAUUAGUUGGGUAGGAAGAUAUUUAAAUUCAUAUUCUACCCGAAUGAAUCGAGUAGGGUGAAAUAUUUAGGUUGGAUCGGGUUAGAAUUGAGUUAAAUUAGUUGGGUCGGGUUAGGUUUAUUUAAGGGUCCAAUAAUUAAAUAGAAAAAUUAAAUUAAAGAUGUGGCAUCACCACAGGGCGAGUGGAGUACACUCCACUCAUUAAACUUGGGCAUGAAUGUCGUGGGGAGGUAAUAGUUUCACUUUUAUAUAGUAUAGGGGUGUAAUAGGUCAUUAUAAUAGUUUGAGUGUGACCUAGACUUUUCGUGUAUAGUUUGAGGUGCCAUCUUUUUAUUAAUUAAUAGCGCCUAUGUAGAAUUUGGCAGUAAAAACAUAGUCUUCAAUUAACUAAAAAAGGUAAUUAAUGAAUUGAAUUUGCAAAUCUUAUGUUAUCAUUUGUUAGAUUAAAGGGGAAAUGUCCAUUAUUUUUGCUAAUAUUUCAUCCUCUGUGGAGGCUUAUAUAUCAGCCUUUCACGAGACCAACUUAUAUUUAAUUCAUAAAUAACUUGACCAAGACAUUUCGCUCUAAAUUAAUAUUGAGACAAAUCAUUUUAAGACAGAAGCAACUCAAUUACUAUGUAGGCUUCCUAAAAUCUAACUAAGAGCAAAUUUUACUUGCAACAUAUUCAGAUUUCUCAAUUUCUAUACAGUAUAUUAUACAUAAAUGGAUUCAGCUUCUCUCCGUUUUUCUUCCAACUAAUUUUUCUAAGUUCUUGCUUGAAUUGAAGACACAUGUCGUAGUUUAAAAUUAAUGAUUGAUAUUUGAUUAGUUAAAUCAAAAUUCUAAUCAUAGUUAUCAACUUCCAUAUUUUUGGCCAAAGUCAUCGAUAGACACUCAAACUUGUUUCGGAAAUUCACUUAGAUCCCUCAACUAUGACCUGUACCUAUCAGGCCCCUAAACCCCCCGAAUUUUGAUCCAAUUGAGCUUUUUUUUGCCUACAUGGCACUGCGCGUAUUUUUCACUCACUAGGGAUGCUUGAAGCACGAUUUUUGACUAAAUAACAAAUAAAAACGUGCCAAGUGGCACUGAGAGCCCCAAAAAAAUUAAUAAAACAAUUUCUUUUAAAAUAAUCUUUUUCUCUUCCUCUUUCUUUUUCAUUUUCUUUUUAAAUAAUGUUUUCUCUCUCCUCUUCAUAAUUUUUUUUCUUACAGCUCUUUCUUUGCCAUUUCUUAAGCUCUUUCUUUCUCUUCCAUUUCUUAUUCUUUCUUUCUCAUUUUUCUUUUAAAUAAAUUUUUCUUUUUCUCCUCUUCAUAGAUUACAAUUAUCUCCGUCACUACUCCACAUCAAAUAGUUACGAUCUAACUUCUCGUGAUAAGUUUCAUCGAAAUUAAAAAUUUUUAUUUUGGGUAUUGAACUUAUGAUGAAAUAAGUGUGAUAAAUUAAAUAAGAUUUGUUGAAAAAAUAUCUUUGAAACUGAAAAUUUGAUGAAAUUAGUCCAAAUAUAUCGAAAUUUGGGAUUUUUUUGACGAAAUUGGUGUGGGAAUUUGGGGAAUUGAAGUCUUGAGUUGUUUCUGUUGAAAUGUUGGAAAUUUGGAGGUGAAAUUUAGUGAAAAGAUUCAAACUUUAGGAAAAUAUAAAGUGAAUUUUUGAUAAGUUUUGAUGUAUUUUUGAUUGAAUUGGCAUUAUGAUACUCGUGUUGUGAGGAGAAGUUUUUGGCAAUUUUGAGCUGAUUUUUGUUUAAGUGUGUCAAGAUUUGGAGGUGAAUUUGAUGCCUUUUUUUGUUAGAUUGGUAUUACCAGAUUCAUGUAGUCAGAUGUUUCUGAUGUUUUUGAGCUGAUUUAGUUGAAGUUUAGGUGAAUUUGGUGUAUUUUUUGUUAUAUUGGCAUUACGAGAUUAAGGGAGUCUUUGUUAUUUAGACCAUUGAAGUCUAUUUUUUAAUUAAAUAGACCCUAAGUUUUUUUUUAUUUGGGGAUAUGACCCUUUUUGUGAUUUUUUUUUUAUGAUUUAAUUUUUUUUAUAAGUUUUAAUAACUACAAACUAGUCCACAAAGGACAAGUCAGCAGUAGAAAAAAAGGGGAAAGUCCCACCAAAAAUUCUUUCGCCGGGAAUUUCUUAGUCGGAGUUCCUCCUCUCUUUCUUCUUCCACUCUCAAUCCAUUCUGAAUACACAUAAUGUGAAGGGAGUCAUUGAGAUACUAAAGCUCUUCUUAUUUUGGUGAAUUCAAUAAGUUUUUAAAAGUUUUGAAGAAGGUUUGAAGGAGAAAAAAAGCGAGAAAAGCUACGAUCAAGUUAAAUCAAAUUAAGGUUUGUUUCGAAGUAGCAUUAACUUGGGAUUGUGUUCUAACAUUCUAUCAAGACCUCAAAUUGAAGGUACACUGACAAUUUCUCUAUUUUUAUAGAGUUCUAUACAAAUGAAGUUGGUUUGCUAUAGACAGAUCAGUAAUCAGUCCGACAGAUAUUAUAUCAGUCUAUAGCAGAACAAUUGUAGUAAUUAGUUCGACAGAUUAAUCAUUUGUCGUUUUUAUUUUUUUAUAUUUACAAUAAUGUUUCAUUUUACUAAUUUUAAAUUAUAUAUUGUAGGUAAAAAACCAUGAAAAAAGUUGUCUUACUUGUUGAUUAUUUUGGAAAGUGGGUGGAUGAUAAGAUAUCUUGGAGAUGGAAUUCUCAGAAUGACACGGUUAGAACAAUGCUUGUGAGUGGUGAUGUUACAUUUGAUAAUUUUAUGGAAUCUAUCAUCAGAAGAGGUGAACUGAGCUGCGGACAUGACCGUAUUUGUGUCAAGUAUAUGACUAAUGCAGGAGCUUUUUCGAGGGACAAAGCACCACCUGUUGAGAUAAUGAAUGAUGAAGAUGCUCAAAUUUAUUUGAAUAAUAUAAAUGGUGAAGGUGGUAGGACAAUUUUAAGAGUUUCCUCAAUAGAAAAAUCUUUGGAAAGUGGUUGUGGUUUGAGCAACCACCAAUCUGAGGAUGUUCUCUCGAGCCGAGUUGAGAAAGAGGUUCCACGUGAUAAUGAGGAUGUUCUCCCUUGCCAAGUUGAGAAUGACAUUUCACUCGAUAAUGAGAAUGUUCUCCCUUGUCAAGUUGAGAGAGAUGGUCUACUUGAUAAUGAGGUUGAUGUUCAAUUGCCUGAACUAUUAAAUGAUGCAACGAUUAGAUCACAUCAUAGCUAUAUUUUCUCUGAUGGUUCAGGUUUUCGUAAAGGAUAUCGAUUUUUGAAUAAAGAAGAUGCAGUGACCAAACUUAAUCUUGUCGCAAUCAGAAAGGGUUUUGAAUUUACCAUAAAAAAAUCUAGCAAAUCAUUGUUAAUUGUUGUCUGUGUCGAGAAAAGCUACAAAUGGAAGGUUCGUAUUGCUAAAUUUCUCAUUUCAGAUGCCUUUCGCAUCACCAGGUAUGCACCUAAUCACUCAUGUAAAUUGAGGUCUGUAUCCGAAAGAUAUAGGCAGACUUCUGCAAAAGUAAUUGGAUAGCUUAUCAAAGAGAGAUUCAGAGAAGGAAAAGGUCCUACACAGAAUGAAAUAAAGAACAUUAUGAGUAAAGAGUUGGGUUGUGAUGUUAGUUAUUGGACAUGUUGGAAGGCCAAACAACUUGCACAAAAUAUGAUAUGGGGAACACCUGAACAGGGCUAAUGCAAAAUUAGAAGCAUAUCGUUACGAGAUUGAAAAAGCAAAUAAAGGUAGAUUUACAGCUUUAGAGGUUCAAGAGGGCAGAUUUUUGUACUUUUUUGUUGCGUAUGGACCGUGCAUAAGAGGAUUUAAGAACAUCAGAAAUUUUCUCGCUGUUGAUGGAACUUUCUUGACGGGUCAAUUUGGUGGUGUAACGCUAAUUGCAAGUGGCCAGGAUAGUGAAAAUCAAAUAUAUCCUGUAGCUUGGGCACUCGUUGACUCCGAGAAUGAACUUUCUCGAACUUGGUUUUUUCACAAAUUAGUCAAUGUUGUGCCAAAUACAUCUGAGUUGUCCAUCACAUUAGAUAGAAAUCCAAGCAUAAAGAAAGCAGUUGCUAUAGUUUACAAUCAAGCUCAUCAUGGAGUAUGUACAAGGCACCUUGGUUAAAAUAUUCGUACAAACUAUCAUGUUGGUUCUUCAGUCCUUAGUUUAUACUAUCUUGCAGUAAAAACAUAUCGAAUCGAAGAAUUCAAUGAGUGUUUAGAAGAAAUUCGACGGAAAGGGUAUGGUAAUGUUGUUGAGUACCUUGAGAACAUUAUUGGUUUCAAGCGAUGGAGUAGAGCUCAUUUUCCUGGACACAGGUAUGAUGUCAUGACCACUAAUAUUGCAGAUUCUGUUAAUGCUAGACUUGUAACAGUCCUAUCAUUGCUUUAUUUAAUGCAAUUCAAAGGUAGUUAUGUAGAUGGUGCGUCGUGGUCUAACAUUGUCCACGAACAACUAUUUAGCUCCAGCAACAAAUGCUUUAGUGAGAGAAACUAGACGUGAAAUAGCAGAUAAAUUAUCUGUACACCAACUUCAUGUGAAUGAGUUUAUUGUUCAAGGGGAUGGUCAAGAUGCAAGAGUUAACAUCAAUGCCAAAACAUGCACUUGUAGGGUGUGGGAUCUUCAGCAAUUGCCUUGUACUCAUGCAUUAGCAGCACUCAGAGCUCAACGAUUAUCAAACUAUGGUGAAAGAGUUUACAAUGUAUGUUCACCAUAUUAUUCAGCAGACUUCCACAAGUUGGCUUAUUCAGAAAUUAUAAAUCCUGUUCAUCCAGAAGAGCAAUGGGACUGGGUCAGAGAAAGUAUAAUUAAUCCACCCCUUGUGAAGCGUAAGAUAGGUCCAAGAAAAAAAAUGGGUUCCAACUGUUGGUGAAGUUGUCAGAAAGCAUAACAAGUGUUCUAUCUGCAAGCAAGUGGGCCACGAAAAGACUACUUGUCCCGAUAAAUGUUCUUGAACUCUAAAUAUGUAACUAGAAGUUCUUUAAUAUAGAAUACUAACUAUUUUGUGGGUGAAUCAAUUGUAUUACUCCUUAUUCACCAAAUUUCAAGUUAGUCAUUUUGUAAAUUCUAUUAUUGAUUUUAACUUGUAGGUUCGACACAUCUCUCAUAACAGACAUAUUAGAAAUCUGUCCGAUAGAUUUUACACUUGUGGGCGAUUAUACUUAAGAAAAUAUGACGUACAUUCACUUUUAUCAAAACUAAAGCAAUUAUAUGAUAUAAUAAAGAGUAUGUUGGACUUAUAAACAAGAACACCAAGAAUUCAUUACCAUAUGCAAAGACGCCACAUCUCUUAUAACAAACAGAAUAGAAAUCUGUCCGACAGAUUAUACACUUGUAGGGGAUGGUACAAAUGAAAAUUUGACGUACAUUCACUUAUACCAAAACUAAAGCAAUUAUAUGAUAUACUAAAGAAUAUCAUGGACUUGUAAACAAGAAUACCAAAAAUUCAUUACCAUAUGUAAAGACGCCAUAUUGCUCAUGAUAGACAAAUUAGAAAUUUGUCCGACAGAUUAUACACUUGUGGACGAUUAGAUGAAAGAAAAUAUGAGGUACAUUCACUUUUACCAAAACUAAAGCAAUUAUAUGAUAUAAUAAAGAAUAUCAUGGACUUAUAAACAAGAGCACCAAGUAUUCAUUACCAUAUGCAAAUACGCCACAUAUCUCAUAACAGAUAGAUUAGAAAUCUGUCCGACAGAUUAUACACUUGUGGGCGAUUAUACAUAAGAAAAUAUGACGUACAUUCACUUUUACCAAAACUAAAGCAAUUAUAUGAUAUAAUAAAGAGUAUCUUGGACUUAUAAAUAAGAAUACCGAAAAUUCAUUACCAUAUGCAAAGACGCCACAUCUCUCAUAACAGACAGAUUAGAAAUCUGUCUGACAGAUUAUACACUUGUGGGCGAUAGUACAAACAAAAAUUUGAUGUACAUUUUUACCAAAACUAAAAUAAUUAUAUGAUUUACGAAAGAGUAUCUAGGACUUAUAAACAAGAGCACCAAUAAUUCAUUACCAUAUGCAAAUACGCCACAUAUCUCAUAGCGGACAGAUUACAAAUCUAUCCGACAGAUUAUACAAACGGAAAUAUGAAGUACAUUCACUUUUAGCAAAAAUAAAGCAAUUAUAUGAUAUACUAAAGAGUAUCUUAGACUAAUAAAAAAGAACACCAACAAUUCAUUACCAUAUGCAAAGACGCCACAUCUCUCAUAACAGACAAAUUAAAAAUUUGUCUGACAGAUUAUAUACUUAUGGGCGAUUAUACAAAGUAAUAAUGAGGUACAUUUACUUUUAUCAAAACCAAAGCAAUUAUAUGAUAUAAUAAAGAGUAUCUUGGACUUAUCAGCAAGAACACCAAAAAUUCAUUACCAUAUGCAAAGAUGCCACAUCUCUCUGUGCCACAUCCCUCCUAACAGACAGAUUACAAAUCUAUCCGACAGAUUGUUAACUAAUUAGACCAACCCAUAGUUUGUCUGACAAAUACAAAAAAUAUUUUAACAAAAUUACAAACUAUCAGCAUCAAUCUUUCUUUUAAAUGUAUAAGUCUUCACAUUUUUUGGAGCCUCCAUUACUUUCUUUUUUCCAACCUCUGUUUCUUAAGGAAAACUGUAUUUCGGGUUAGUUUUUCUAGCUCGUUUCGCUCUUGUAGUGCCUUCUUUCAAUUAACCAAAUAUUUUUUUUGACUCAAAAGUGGUAGGAACUAGAGUAGGAUGCACCAUAACCUACUAGAAAAUAAAUUGUUGAAUAUAAUUAAAAUAAUAAAAACUUUUAAAAUGAAAUAUUGCACCACACCCAAAGAACUUAACUAUUUACCUCUUUGUUUUGUAUUGUUAAUAGCACAGUUUGAUAAUCAAGGGGUGUCUUCUUUUGACCAUACCAUCGAAUCAAUCUUGGAAAUAAUGAACAGGGAGAUUUUGUUAAUGGUUGUCCAAAAGCUUCUCCUAAUAUAGGAAUCGCUUCAAAAGCUCACACCUAUAUUGAAAAUUAAAAGUUAAAAAUUUCAUAUUGAUACGUAAUUCAAUAUUUAUCUCAUUAUAAAUAAUUUAAACUUACCAUAAAAGCCCAGAGAAAUUCUUGCAAGCCAUAACCUUUAGAUUUAGAUUUAUUUUUCUUCCAUUGUGCAGAUUUUUUUCUUCAAGUUUACAUUUAAGAGAGACUCAAUUGUCAUCUCAAAAGAACGUCUACCCCAAGGAUAUGCAUUAAAGCAAUCCCAAUUUGUCACCAUUUGCAUCGUCUCAAUAUCAACAAUUCGCUUUGGAUCACCAGCACAUAAAAAAGAGUGAACAAACCACACCAUAGCGAUCUUCAACUUUGUUUGAGUGUCCAAUUUAGUACUUUCUAACUUUUUCUUCAAAUCAUUUCCAAUUAGAUUGCUAUCUUUAUUCAUCACUACACCUAAAAAAUCUUUUUCCUUCUUUCCCUCGUAUAAAGCCUUCUCAGUGAGAUAUUUUUCACAAUUCAGUCCGGUAAUCACAACGAACUCCUUCAUACCAAAUCAAAUUGGCUUCCCUUCAAUUAUGAAUCAUACCUCUUUUUUCUUUGAUCUUGAAACACGACGUUGUAGAAGAUAAUGUACGAACUGACCACAAAAUUUUUUUUGCCAAUUGUCCAAUUUCACCUUUAAUAAGCAACAAAAAUCACUAUCCAUAAAUCGAUCGUACACUUUUGCCUUCACCAAUUGCUUCUAUAUAUUUUCAACAACAUCCCACCUUGAUAAAAUGGACACAAGUGCCUAAAAGUGAUCUUCGUCAUCUAACUCCUUACUCAAAUAAUAUUGGGAGAAGUUUAUCGAGGUUUCACGUUCAGGUUUCGCUAAUGUAUCAUUCUUCCCAGUAGUCUCAUUUUCGUCGCUCGAUGCCUCCAAAUACUGAUCCGCUUCACCAGAUAGAUCAUAUUCCUAAAGAUAAUAAUGUAAACAAAGUUCAUAUCAUAUUAACGAAAAAAGGAAACUCAAAAUUAUUAUCUAUGAUCUUUUUUAAGUUGUGAGAUUACUCUUCAAUGUCACAAUUGUCUCUCCCUUCAAUAUUUAAGUUGCAAAGUUUAAAAAUAAAUAAGGUUUACCUGAUUUUCCUCGAGCUUGUAAUCAACAUUUUUUGCAUUAACUUUUCUCGUGAGUUCUUGACAAAGAACAAAUAAAAUCUAUUCAGAAAAAAGUACAACACUGAAUUAAUACAAGAUGAAUGAGUAUUACUUUAAAAAAAGAACAUUCACGAAAUAAUGCAUUUUUAAUAAAAAAUUUGAGAAAAGGGACAGAAGGAACCUGAAACGUGGGAUGUCUGAUGAGGGAAAAAAUCGUCUCUGUAGUACAAUAUUAGAAGAUGACGACAAUUUGAAGUUAGGAUAGAAGAGGGAGAAAGUUAGGAUUUUAUUUACCUUUAUCUAUAAAUAGGUCCCAUACUUUUUAAUAUAUUACUAUGGUCCACUUUUUAUUUAAAUUAUUUCUUUUUUGAAAUUUUUAAAUGAUAAAAAGACUGGGAGUCAUUUCUCAAAAUGAGAAUUUAAAGUGGUUUAUCAGCCAAAAUUUCUCCCAGAUUAGUGUGGAGAAGGAGGGGGGGUUGAAGACGACGACAACUGGGGGUGGGUGUUUUUUUUUUUAAAUUAAAAAAUUACUAUUCAAUAAAUAAUUAAAUAGAAAAAUGGAUAAAUUAGCAAUUUCAUCAUAUAAUUAUUAUUUUUGCCACGUAUUUUUUUUUUGAAUUGAUUAAUUUUUUCACGUCAUCGCGUGUGUAUUACACACAUUUGAGAUUUUAGCUGAUUGACAAAAAAGGUCCAAUUGGAUCAAAAUUCGGGGGUUUAGGGGCCUGAUAGGUACAUGCCAUAGUUGAUGGGUUUAAGUGAAUUUUCGAAAGAAGUUUGAGUACCUAUCAAUGACUUUGGCCUUUAGUUUUUUAUCCAGCUUGAUAUUUAUAUAUAUUCUAACCAGACGGAUUUAGUAAAGGGAAAAUUUCAGAAAUAGCAACUAUAGAGUCUUAAUUGUAACUUUUACAGCAACGGUUUCAAAAUUACAAAAAAUAGCAAUAUGUAUUUUGUAAUUCAGUAAACUGUUGCUAUUUAAAUACAUAUACAAUCAGAGAUUCCCUUCCUAAUUUAAUGUUAAUCUGUUUGAGUUAAAUAAGGAAAAAAAUUGUUCCUUAAUUUAUGACAUAUUUAAUUUUAUAGAUUCCUUUACCUUAUAAAACUCUUUUUUUACCACAACCAUUAAAUUACAACUACUAUUGAAAUUCAAAAAAUAUUUUUUAUAAUCAGCAACUCAAAGCAAAUUCAAAAUAUAGAUUCAAAUUCAAAGAUGUUUUCCUUCAUGUUAUUUUUUUUGUUGUUCGACUAAAAUUUUGAAGAAAAUAUUUAAAAUACAACGGUCCAAUUACAGGUAUUGAUCAGUUAACUCUAUUCUAUUUGUGGUUUUCAUAAAAUUAAAGUGCGAAAUUACUGAAAAACUUGCAACAAACUGUCGCAGAAUUCAAAAAUUUAAGAUCUUAUACGAAUUUUAUCAGUUCUCAUAAAAAAUGGGUUUAAGCAAUUUUUUUAAUUUUAAAUUUAUUCUGUUAUUUGAAAGUUGAGAUGCAAUUUUUAUAAGUGAAAUUUGAAUUUUAGUUUAGGAUAACUGGUGUUAGACUAAAAAAUUUUUCAUUUGAAUUCGUUUUGCAGUUUUGUAUAUAUGAAUUAGUUGUUGUAUAUAGUACAUAUUUGAGAUUUAAACAAACUUGAUUCUAUUUAUAUUUUUCAUAAAAUAAAAUUACAAAAAUUACUGAAAAAUUUAUCACAAAAUUGCAUAACAGUCGCGGAAUUCAAAAAUCUGAAAUCGUAACUGAAUUUUAUCAUUUCUCAAAAAAAAAUAAGAUUUGAUCGAAAUUAUUUUUUUUAAAAUUCAAAGUUAUCUAUAUUGUUAUGUAAUGUGAAAAUUGAGAUACAAUUAUUAUACGUUAAAUUUUAAUUUUAAUCGAUGAUAACUAGUAUUCGAAUAAAAGAUUUCUUUUCAUUGAAAUUCAUUUAGCAGUUUUGUAUAUACGAAUUAGUUGUUGUAUAUAGUAUGUAUUUGAUAUUUAAUUUUAUUUUUACUAUUUUUUUUGUGUUCUGGAGAUUGACUAUCGGAAGCAUACCUGUUCUUAUUAAACACUCUUGUACAUGGAUAUAUAUAAAGAACAUUAUGAAGAUUACAUAUGUUUCUAGCUAUAUGUAUUUAUAAUAUACAUAUGCAAUAUGUUUAUGUGUUCACUGGCAGUUUCAUAUAUUUUCAGUUGUAUGUAUUUAUAAUAUACAUAUGCAGUACAUUUAUGGGUUCACUGGCAAUUUCAUAUGUUUCCAGCUAUAUGUAUUUAUAAUAUACAUAUGCAGUAUGUUUAUGUGUUUACUGACAGUUUCAUAUGUUUCCAGCUAUAUGUAUUUAUAAUAUACAUAUGCAGUAUUUUAUGUGUAAAAAUCAUGUAUUCUUAUAUGCAUUUUUUUAAUAUGCAGGACAUAUAUUUCAUUUGGCAUAUGGUGAACUAGAAUCUGAAAAUAAUGCAUCUUUGACUUGGUUCUUUGAGAAUCUGAAGGAAGCAUAUGGUGAAAGAAAACAUAUGUACCUAGUUUCCGAUCGUAAUGCAAGCAUCAUAGAAGUUGUUGCUGAUGUGUACGAUAAUGUACCACAUUAUAAAUGUAUGUGGCAUCUAUGGGAUAAUGUGAAAAAAAAUUAGAAAGUCACAUGAUGCAUUGUUCAUGGUAAAUCGGGAAGAGAUAUGUUUGAAAAGAAAAAUAAAAAUUGUUGUAGUUCAUAUGACUUUAAAGUUCACAAUAGGCGUUCAUGUAGGAAAAUAACAAAUGAUAAGUUGGAUGAUGUUUUUAGUCAAAAUACAAUUACUGAAUUUUAUCAUUGAGAAUUAUGUCAUUCUAAAUUUUGAACUUGUUAAUUUGUUAUAGUUCAAACGUUGCAAUUUUUUUACAGAGUUUGAAUAAUUUAAUUUAUAUAUAUAUAUAUAUAUAUAUAUACAUGCACUAAAUAGUUGAAGCAAAUUAGGGAAAUAUAGAGAGAGAGAGAGAGAGAGAGAGAGAGAGAGAUAGACAGAGAGGGAGAGAGAGAGAGAGACGUAUUUAGGAAAAAAAUAUAUUUGCAUUAGACGUAAAUACAAAUACAAACUGAAAUGAACAUAUGCAUUAAUCAUAAAUAUGUAUUUUUCAAAAUUAAGAAUGCACAUUAAGAAAAAUAUAAUUUCAAACUUGUAAAAAAUAAGUAUGUGUUAUUAAAAAUACAUAUGUACAUUGGAAUGAACAUGUGUGUUAUUCAUAAAUACAUAUGACUCAUAAAUUUAUACGGACUUCAGCAUAAGAAUACAAUAACUAUGUAUAGUUCAAAAAUAUAUGUGCAAAUCUAUAAAAAUACAUAUAUGUGUAUAAUCAUAACUGGAAAAUACAUAUGCAUUAGAAAUAAAUACAUAUGCAAAACUGGAUAGAAGAAAAGUUCAUAAAGACAAUUACUAACAUUUACAUAGACUAACCAUGAAAAUAUUGGAGUUUAAAUACAUAUGCAAAAUUGGACAAAUACAUAUGUAUUAUUCAUAGAUCUAUAAGCAUAACUGGAAAAUACAUAUGCAUUACUAAUAAAUACAUAUGCAAAAUUGAAAAAUAAAUAUUCAUAAUGACAUAUGACUAACAGUUGCAUAAACUAAUUUAAAUAUAAGAUAAAAAGAAACAUUAACAUAUCAAUUUUUAACAUUAAAUUAACAUAUCAAACUUAAGAAAUGUUCAACUAAAUUUUUGUCCACCUAAAGUUAACUAUUGUCAAAUACAAUAAAUUUAAAAUAAACAUCAAAUUUCAUACACUUCAGUGUCUUCUGUUAUCCCGAUUUUCUUAGGAGGCCUCAUUUGUGCUUCAUCAUCAUUUUGUGCCUUCUCUUGUUCUUGUCUCGAACCAUAGUCCCACAAAAUUGAAGCAUAUUUUGUGCCAAGAAGAUCUGGGUCAAAAUCAACAUAUGAAACACCUUCACCAAAAGUAAGACACUCAACAUAUGUCACCAUAUAUUAACCAAUUCCCUGCAAAUAUAUUUAUCAAUAGGUAUCGGUUGUAACAUGAAUAUAUAAAUAUAUACAAGUACUUAAAUAUCAGUACUUACAAGCUGCCACUCGAUUGUUGAGGCAAAUCAUCCACAAAAGAAACAUCAAAUAGAUCCAUCUUAUCAUUGAGUUUGUAAUUCGGAUGAUUAUCAAUAUCAAUAUUCUUAUUUUCGUAGAAUUUACAUGCCAUGAGACAUAAAGGUAUAACCUUAGCUAACUUUUCAACUUCAGCUAGGACCACACCACUAUCCUAUAUGAUCUUCAAUGUCGUUGAGAUUAUGACAUUUUAUAUGUGGUGCAAAUUUGGGCAAUACUGUUGCCAUGCAUAUUUGAUCACGCAAUACCUACAUAUCACAAAAAAUACAAUUAUAGGUCGAAAUAGUGUCACAUAUAUAUUACAAAAUACAUCUUAAAAUUACAUUACAACAUAUAUACAUAAAUUUAGCAUAUGUAUUUUAUGAAUACAUCACUGUUCCAAAAUUAAGUUAUCAUAUAUUAAAAUACAUAUCACGUUCAUCAUCUCAUGAAUAACAAAUACAAAUGAACAUAAAAUACAAAUCUUAGCGCUAACAAUACAAAAUACAUAUCUAAUCCGUAACAACUACAUUACAUAUAUUUUUAAAAUACAAAAUACAUAUCUUAAAAGUAACAAAUACAUAUCUUCACAUUAUCAACUAUAAUUUCAUAUCUUAAUAGUAACUCUCACAUAAGCAGAUAGUUUAUCAAAUGUAUAUAUAAAAUACAUAUAUGAACAUACAGUUCAAAAACAACAAAAAUACAAAUACAUAAAAAUUACCUCCUUUAAUUUCUCUUCUUCAUAUUCAUAAUCAGAUGAAACGGGACUAGAUAUUUUACUAGCUUCUUCUUUUUCGACUGACUUUCUCUUUUUCAUCGAUUUUUGAACUUUUAUGGGUUUUAGAGAUGAUGAUUUUGUCAAUGCUUUCAGUUUCAUGAUUUUCGCAAUCUUCUCCGAAUCAUUACGUUGCUUUGAUCUCACCUCUUCUAUGCUAAUACCUUUCUUCGACUGAAUAUUAGUAGAUAUUAAGUUAACAUCUUUAUCUUGUGUUAAAUCAAGACUGAAAGAGGGUAGUUCAUCGAAAACAAAAUUCACCGUUGGAAUACCUCUAAUUGAACUACUACCUUGUCAUGUUCUGCUAUUAUAUCAGAACUCCAAAAAUUUCAACAUAAAAAAAAAACCCAAGCCAAAAACGCAGAAGAAAUUUGAAGAAAAAAAACUAAUAAAACUUGAAUGUAUGAAUUAUAUGAAAAAUAUAACUUUCAAUAACUGUAAAAUUAACUUAUUUUAUUUGAUGGAAAACUUUGUUUAUCACGAUUUUGAGAGAAAAAACCCCAAUAAAAUCAAAACGCGGAAUAAGUUGAAAAAAUAUUGCGACAAUAAAUUAUAUAAAAGAGAUUAUGAAAAAUAUAACAUGCAUUAACUAUAAAAUCUACUUACCUUAACGGAUGGAGACAAUGUUUAUCAAGAAUUUGAGAGAAAAAUACUGUAUUUGAAAAAAAAAAAAGUGAAGGAAACUGAAAUUGGUAAAGUAGCGUGAUAUUGGUAAAGUAGCGUGAAAAAAGGGUAAGAUAAAAUUAUGGGUACAAGUCACGCUCUUUUCAACAAAAGGGCAAAAUAUUGUUACUUUUGUUAUGACUUAUAAUUUUGAUAAAUUAUUGCUAUUAAUUGUAAUUAAUAUCUUAAAAUUGCUAGUUUAUGUAAUUUUUUCUUUAGUAAACAUAUACUAAAUCAUAACUUACCCCGGCCCACUCUAUCUUUCCAUGGAAGAAAACAACAGAAGGAUUGGGAAUUGGGAUAAGGGUGUAGUAUAGUCAAUAUGCAGUAAUAACAUUAGCAAAUAAUUUAGCAGAGAAGAACAAUUAUGUAAAUCUCCCAACCCAAAGCAUUACAUGCCAAGACAUUAUAAUUUGCCCGGAUCCUGUACUCCUGUAUCUCUAUUUUUACACCAUGACCAGCCGAAAACAGGUCCUCUAGAUGCUCCUCGUGAAAAGGCCAAUGAGAAUGAUACAAAUGGUGAUGAUUAUCAAAUUAAGACGUUCAUCACUUCUUUCAUGAUUUAUUUUAAACAUUUUAUAUGUCUUUUAAAUUAUUAAUUAUCCUGACUUAAAUCCCUUUUUAAAUAGUUUUCAAGUAUGUAAAAUAUAAACAAGGCGAAAUCGAAUUAUAAAAUUUAUUAAUUCGUAUAACAAUCUACCUGUCGUGGUUACCCUUCAGGUGGCUAAACCUAGGGGCGGGCAUAUUUUGGUUUAAACUGAAAAAAUCAAAAAAUCAAAUCAAAAUUUAAUUUUGGUUUCGAUUUUUUGGUUUUUUCGGAUUGGAUUCAAUUUGUAAUUUUAACAGCAAAUUCGCAUACGCUGCAGACUGUUUAUGGAUUGUUUCAGUGACUCAAAUAUUUUAUGGACUAUUUUGGUGACUUUGGACUGUUUUAUGGAUUAUUUAUGUAGAAAGUAUGUUGUUUCAUGGACUAUUUUUACGAGUUUUGUGUUGUUUUGUAGACUAUUUAUGCUAGGUUAUAUUAUAUGUAAUGAUUAAUGACGUUAUGUAUUAUGUUAAGCUUAUGAUUAUUUCAUUUUGUUUCAUCCAUGUUGAGUUAUUUAUAAUUAUUUAUAUUUGGGAAUUAAAAACAGGUUUGAAAAAAAUAUUUUUUUCUAAAAAAAUUCAUCAAUUUUAAAUGCUUAGUUAUGAAAAAGAGAAGCAAACUACUUUAAUAUUUCAAAUCGAAAUAAAAAUUCGAAAUAAUCGAACCGAAUUUGUAAAAACCGAACCAAAUCGAAUUUAUUUCGGUUUGGUUAUGGAUGUCAUUUUUGUCAAUCCGAAAAUCGAUAAACCGAACCGAUAUUAAACAAUUAGACCGAAUCGACCGAACGCCCACCCCUAGCUAAAUCUACUUUUCGCAUUCGCUCAUAAACUGUAUAGGAAAUGUAAAUCUCACUAGACAUACCCAAUGUGACAAGCCUGACUGAAAUGCAUUAGCGGGGUGGGGAAAUCGAUCCCUAGCCUCUCCAAUGGAUAGCUAGCUAUAGUCACAAGAUCCAUUAAUAAAAAGUACAUUUUUCUAUUAGUUAUUUUUAUUGCAAUUAAUUUUCAUAAACGUAGAAAAUUUAUAGCGAACAAUGAUUAUAUUUAGUUUUCCACUACGUGAAACACAAUUAUGGCUUGCAUACUUACUUGGAGAAUAAAGAAAUACAGGGAACCUCUUCAAGUUUUAGAGCAAACUUUUCAAUAUAUAUUUAAUGGUACUUGGUAUUUACAAGUUUUUCUGUUAGUACCCCAUUAGACAACUUUUGUGCUGCUUUCUUGGCUUAUCAAAAUAUGUUCACAAAUGCCAGACACUAACUCACAAAUGCCAUUAUACAAGAUCUCUCCAAGGCUUAUUAUGUUUGCCGAAAGUUAUGUAAUGUUAAGUAACUAAAUUAAUGUGAUCAGUUAAUCACUGAUGUGAGGAGAAGACAAUCUAAGCAUGAGAAUAAAGAAAGUAGCUAUGAGAGUUUGAGAGAGAAUUGAAAAAGAUAUUGUUCAUUGAGCAAUAACUGUCUACAGGAUUCCUCUUUAUAUACAUACACAAAUAUUUCAUACUAGCUAAGCCCACUAAUAACUGCUUCUACUAACUAACUAAUCUCAAUUCACCACUAAUGACAACUAUUGCAUAAUUAACAUACACAUUAGUUGACUAUCACUGCUUAGUAAUUACGACACAUCAACACAUUUAUUAAGCUCCUUCACACUCCCCCUCAAACUAAGAGCUAUGAAGAUAUUUUUCGUUCCUAGUUUGGUCAUCAAAUGUGCAUGUAAGGAUCUCCCAAGUUCUUUAGUAAACAAAUCUGCAGGUUGUUCUGUUGAGGGAAGAUGUGCAGUAUUCGAAAUAAUCGAACCGAAUUUGUAAAAACCGAACCAAAUCGAAUUUAUUUCGGUUUGGUUAUGGAUGUCAUUUUUGUCAAUCCGAAAAUCGAUAAACCGAACCGAUAUUAAACAAUUAGACCGAAUCGACCGAACGCCCACCCCUAGCUAAAUCUACUUUUCGCAUUCGCUCAUAAACUGUAUAGGAAAUGUAAAUCUCACUAGACAUACCCAAUGUGACAAGCCUGACUGAAAUGCAUUAGCGGGGUGGGGAAAUCGAUCCCUAGCCUCUCCAAUGGAUAGCUAGCUAUAGUCACAAGAUCCAUUAAUAAAAAGUACAUUUUUCUAUUAGUUAUUUUUAUUGCAAUUAAUUUUCAUAAACGUAGAAAAUUUAUAGCGAACAAUGAUUAUAUUUAGUUUUCCACUACGUGAAACACAAUUAUGGCUUGCAUACUUACUUGGAGAAUAAAGAAAUACAGGGAACCUCUUCAAGUUUUAGAGCAAACUUUUCAAUAUAUAUUUAAUGGUACUUGGUAUUUACAAGUUUUUCUGUUAGUACCCCAUUAGACAACUUUUGUGCUGCUUUCUUGGCUUAUCAAAAUAUGUUCACAAAUGCCAGACACUAACUCACAAAUGCCAUUAUACAAGAUCUCUCCAAGGCUUAUUAUGUUUGCCGAAAGUUAUGUAAUGUUAAGUAACUAAAUUAAUGUGAUCAGUUAAUCACUGAUGUGAGGAGAAGACAAUCUAAGCAUGAGAAUAAAGAAAGUAGCUAUGAGAGUUUGAGAGAGAAUUGAAAAAGAUAUUGUUCAUUGAGCAAUAACUGUCUACAGGAUUCCUCUUUAUAUACAUACACAAAUAUUUCAUACUAGCUAAGCCCACUAAUAACUGCUUCUACUAACUAACUAAUCUCAAUUCACCACUAAUGACAACUAUUGCAUAAUUAACAUACACAUUAGUUGACUAUCACUGCUUAGUAAUUACGACACAUCAACACAUUUAUUAAGCUCCUUCACACUCCCCCUCAAACUAAGAGCUAUGAAGAUAUUUUUCGUUCCUAGUUUGGUCAUCAAAUGUGCAUGUAAGGAUCUCCCAAGUUCUUUAGUAAACAAAUCUGCAGGUUGUUCUGUUGAGGGAAGAUGUGCAGUAACAAUCAACCCUUCCUGAACUUUUUAUCUAGUAAAGUGGCAGUCUAUAUCUAUGUGUUUCGUUCUCUCAUGAAACAUCGGAUUAGCUGUUGUUUGCAAUGCUGAUCUGCUGUCAGAGAAGAGUGAAAUAAGAACUUUAACCUUGAUACCAAGUUCCUCAAAUAAUACUAUCAACCACACUAGUUAAGCUACUAAUGAUGUCAUUGAUUUGCACUCAGCUUCUGCUGAGCUUCUAGAUGCAGUACGUUGUUUUUUUUACUUCCAUGAAAUAGGUGAAACACCAUAUUGCACUAGAUAUCCAGUGACUGAUUUUCUACUAUUAAUGCAGGCUCCCUAAUCUGCAUCACAGUAAACCUUCAAUGCAUCAUCACCUGUUGCUGACAUUAGUAUUCCUAUUCCUGGUGCCUGUUUAACAUAUAUCAUUAGUCGUAUAGUUGCAUCCAUAUAUGACCUUUUUUGGAAAGUGCAUAAACUAGCUCAGACUUUGUACAACAAAUGCAAUAUCUUGUCUUGUAGUUGUAAGGUAAAACAAUUUCCCAAUUAGUUGUUGGUAACUUGUAGGAUCCUUUAAGAGCUGAUCUCUACUAUUUGAUGACACACUGUGGUCAAAUUCAGCAGUGGUGAGUUUAAGAUGUUGCUCUAUGGGUGUAACAACAGGUUUAGCACCUGCAAGCCCCAUGUCGAAAAUCAAUUCUAAUGCAUAUAUUCUCCGGUGCGUCAAGAUGCCAUCCUUGUUUCUAGCAAACUCAAUCCCAAGGAAAUAUCUGAGUUCUCCCAAAUCCUUUAUUUUGAAAGCUGUUUGUAGAAUUUUUUUGUAUGUUGGAUCAUGUCACUAUCACUCCCUGUCAACAGCAAAUCAUUAACAAAACUAACACAAUAGCAAUUUUAUCACCAUCCUUCUUUGUAAAUAAAGAGUAAUCUCUUGUGCUUUGUUGAAAGAAGAUGUCAAAGCUGAAGUCAGCUUAAUAUUUCACUGUCUGGAUGCUUGUUUCAGUCCGUAUAAGGACUUUAAUAGUCUGCACAGCUUUCCAUCUUUCCUAUCUUUCUGAAAUCCUUCUGGAAUAUGCAUGUGUACUUCUUCAAAAAGAUCUCCUUGCAAGAAAGCAUUAUAUACAUCCAUUUGGUAUAAUUUUCAAUUUUUAGCUACAACUACUGAGAUAACUGCUCUAACAGUGUUCAUCUUCACAAAUGGUGAAAAAGUCUCUUGAUAGUCCAAUCCUUCCUUUUGGCUAUAACCCUUUGCUAUAAGUCUUGCUUUGAAUUAUUCAACAUUUCUAUCAGCCUUAUACUUAAUUUGAUACAUCUAUCUAUAACCAAUAACUUUCUUAUCCUUGGGUAGUGUCACAACUUCCCAAGUCUUGUUAUCUUCUAAGGCUUGAAUUUUAAUUUUCAUAGCUUAUACCCAUCUUGCAUCAGUAGCAUCCUCUGCAUAAUUGGUGGGUUCAGUUUCAGCUGAGAACCUUGAGGAAAAUCCUUAAUAUGUGGUUGAUAUACUCGUAUAAUCUAUUUGAUCAGCAAUAGAGAAUAAAAAAUUGUUAGAUCCUUUUCUUACUACAUAAUCUUUGUGCCAACUAGGUGGCUUGGAACCUCUUGUUGAUCUUCUAAGCUCAGAAACACCUGUAGGUUCUGCUGCUAUGAAUGGAUUUAUAUCAAGUAUUGUUGUCUCUAUUAAGGGUGAUUCAUAAAGAUGUUGUGCAUCUAUAAGAUUUUCUGCAGUAGGUACCACAACCUGUGAAUGCUCCUGAGUAAGAUCUGAAGUUGUACUAAGUUCCUCAUAAGAAAAUACUUGUUGAGGAUGCACAGUAUGGGUGUCUUGGUCUUCUAUACUACCUUUGAAUGGAAACAUAGUUUUCAUGAACACCACAUCUCUACUAACAAAAAUUAUUUUAUUCUCCAGGUCAUACAGUUUGUACCUCUUUUGAUGAGCACUGUAACCAACUAAAACAACUCUUACUGCUCUUGGGCUAAAUUUUUCCUUCUUUGUAAGGCUUGUAGCAAAACACAGACAACCUACAACUCUUAAAUGUAUCAAAUAAGGAGUUUUGUCAUAUAAUAUCUCAAAACGGGACUUCCAUUUCAACACAGAAGAAGGAAUUUUAUUCAGAAUAUAUACAGCUUUUUUAAUGCAUAAUCCCCAAAAUCUGUUUGGUAAACUGCCUUAAAACUUAAUAGCUUUUGCUAUCUCAAGUAUAUGUCUAUGAUUCUCAAGUAUAUGUCUAUACCUUCUUUUCACCAUACCAUUUUUUGUGGUGUGUAUGGACAAAAGCUCUUAUGAAUAAUACCAUAUUGUUGGAACAAAUCUGUACAAGCAUGACUAAAAAAUUCAACACCAUUAUCAGACCUUACUCUCUUAAUAAUUUUACCAAAUUGUGUCUUGACUGCAAUGAUAAAAUUUCUCAAUAGAAAAAGAACAUCUAAUUUAAGUCUCAUCAAAUAAAUCUAGGCCCACCUUGAAUGAUCAUCAACAAUAGUGAGAAAAAAUGCCAGUCCAUCAAAAGUUUCCUAUUUAUAUAGCCCCCAAACAUCUAUAUGAAGUAAGUCAAAACAUGAAACAGUUGUGCUCACACUUCGUGGGAAAGGCAGCCUAGUUUGUCUAGCAAGUGGGCAAACUUCACAAUUAUUCAAAGUUAAUGGCUCAUGUUGUGUAACAUGUUGAAACAUAGAUAGUUUUCUAAGAACAUUUAUUGGAACAUGACACAUUCUUUGAUGCCAAAUGGAAAUAUCUGCAUGUGGAGUUGCAGCAAGGCAUUUGUGAGUUAUAUCUUUUGACCCUAUCUGUGAAUAUAGAGUAUAUAAUCCAUCCUCUUUCUUACCCUCCUAGAUGAGAGGUCCUGUAAUACACAGAAAUUGGGAAAGAAGGUAACACAACAUUUUAAGUCUUUUGUCAUUUUGAAAACCAACAUAAGACUAAACUUAAAAGCUAGCACACACAAAACGUUUGUAAGAACAUCACCUCCUCCAAGGUUAUAGUUCCCAACAUGAGAUACUUCGGCUAAUUCUCGUAUAGACAGUUGCACCUGUCUUAUAUUUUCUAUCAAAUUUUCAUCUGAUAAAUGAGUAUAGUAACCUAUCAUAUGGUUAGUAGCACCUGUGUCUAUUAUCCAUUUAAUGGAAGGGGCCUUAUUAGAGAACGAAGUACCUGCCAUAUUAGUACUUCUUGACCAACAUGAGCAUCUUUAUGUGGUUCCUUAACAACAUGCAUAACUGGAGAAUAAGGUACAAAAUAUAACAUACCCUACAUCAGUCCUGACUGAUUAGACUGAUUGAAGUAAGGUUGCAUCAUGCCCUGGUGUGGCACUAUCUGCUGAGAAUAUUGGUGUGGACUAUAGUAUUGAGGAAAGCCUCCUCGUUGUGAAUAAGACAUCAUUUGGAAAGCCUGUACACCUACAGCAGUGUUAGGAUCAAACACCUGAGUAUUACUUGUCAUCAAUCCUGUCAUAACAUUAGCUUUCUUUCUUCCUUUGAAAUCUGUGGGAUGUCCAAUAAGCUUAUAACAGUCAGCCUUUACGUGGCCAGUAAGAUGACAGAAGUUGCAUUUCAGAAUCUUGUUACAUUCAGCUUUAGUAUGUCCCCUCAUACAGCAAUGGUCACAGAAUGAGUUACCAUUGUAUUGUUUUCUCUACUUGGAAAUAUAUCCUCUAUCAUUAUAACCAUUACCACUACCUUUGGAAGUAUACAUAGCAGUGGGAGUUGAGUGUUCAAGUAUAACUCUACUAGUUCCAGCCAUAAUUCGUUGACUCUAAUCUUGGUUAACCAUGACAUAUACUUGAUUAACACUGGGCACCUGUGGCAUCAUUAAGAUUUGGCUUCUAGCCUAACUGUAACUAUCAUUAGCCCCAUAAAAAAUUGCAAUACUCAUUGAUAUUGCAAGUGUUCAAAAUACUCUCUCAAUUUAGGGCAAUCACAUAAUGGAGGUGGCAUAUUUGAAUCAUAUUCAUCCCAGAGAUUUUUCAAUUUAGAAUAGUAAUUCAAAAUUGAAGAAACACCCUGAACUAAAGUGAAGACUUCUUUGUGUAAUUGAAAAGCUCAAGAACUGUUAAUUUUGUCAAAUCUCACUCGCAGAUCCUCCCAAAUAAGAUGAGUAUUGGAACAGAAUAAGAUUCCUCCAAGUAAAUCAUUGCUCACAUUACACAUUAUCUAGGAGAUCACUAUGGAAUUACAACUAUCCCAUAACUUCUCCAAAUCUUCAGUGUAUUGACUAUGUUUUAUCGAUUCGUUAAUAAAUUCUAGUUUGUUCUUUCCUAAUAGAGCCAAUUACAUAGCUCUACUCCACAAAGUGUACUUAUCUAAAUCAGAUAAUACGAUUCCUACCGACAAUGAACCAAGUGCAUCGGAAGGAUGCAAAACAAAGGGUGAUGAUAAUCGACAACUGUAGUAACUGUAGGAAUAGCUGAAUUUUCCCCCAAACUACUCGGAUCCACAAUGCAAAAUCAAAAAAGGAGAUAAGAGAAAAAAUACCAAAUUCUGCAAAAUCUUCACAAAUUGUGACAACAAUUCCUUCGAGAUGAGCGAAAAGAAACAAAUUCUGUGAAUUCUUCAUAAAUGGUGACAACAAUUCCAUCGAGAUGAGCUCGCACUAGCUCUGAUACCAUGUUAAGUAACUGAAUUCAUGUAAUCAGUUAAUCACUAAUGUGAGGAGAAGACAAUCUAAGCAUGAUAAUGAAGAAAGUAGCUAUGAGAGUUUGAGAGAGAAUUGAAAAAGAUAUUCUUCAUUGAGCAAUAACUGUCUAUAGGAUCCCUCUUUAUCUACAUACACAAACAUCUCAUGCCAGCUAAGCCCACUAAUAACUGCUACUAUUAACUAACUAAUCUCAAUUCACCACUAAUUAUAAUUAUUGCAUAAUUAACAUGCACAUUAGCUGACUAUCACUGUUUAGUAAUUACGGCACAUCAAUACAUUUAUUAAGCUCCUUCACAUGUAAUUCCCGUAUUUAUAGUUAUGGCGAGUAGGUCAUCAAGUUUGAUCAUAAAUAAUAUGUGAUAAGGUUGUUUAUGAUUAAACAAAACGUGUCAUUUUUUUGAUAUAUGAAAACUUUUGAUUGAGAUUUACAACAUAAUUAAUCUAAAUCUUGUAUCAAAUAAAAUAAGGCUUAGUAUUUGUGAAAUCCCAAUAUAAUUAUUCAACUCAAAUUAAUGAACAUGAAUUAAUCUAAAUCUUGUAUCAAUUUAACCAAAUAAAUUUAUAUGUCUAAAGCCUACCCCUACGUUAAAAUUUGUCAAGAUGUAAACUAGCUGAAACUUGAUUUCUUGACUUGAAUUAUAGCCAAUUUUUUUUAUUUUUUGUAAUCUCAAGGCACUCGGUAAUAUUAUUUGCAGUAGUGUAAGACCCUUGAAACAACUUGUUGAAACAAUUUUUUUCAAUUUAUGGUAGAAAAUGCAUCCUCCAUCUUUGCCUUUGAUCUUUUCCAAAUUUGGAGAUGUAAUCAUCCAACUCUAAAAUGAAUAAAAUAUGUUCCUUGUGAUCUUCUUUAAGCUUACAUAACUUUCUAUAACCAUAUAAGAACAAUUGUUAAUUAAAUUUAUGUGCAUACCAUUUCUUUUCUUGUUCGACUUGUAAAGCCUCUUAAAAUCUUACUGACAUUAUGUUUAAUUUCCUAUUGAGUGUUGGCCAUCUUCCUUAGGUGUAUAUGAAUUAGUUUCAUUUUCUUCUUCCAAUUGCACCAUAACUUUCCUUGUAAAAGAAAUGAAAAUUAUCCAUACGAACCUUUAUAUAAGUAUUUUCAAUGUAAAAAAGAUUCAUUAAAGAAUUAUGAAGCUGCAAAGAAAAGUUUUCAGACUGUAUGUUUAACUACUAGACUAUGAUAUCACUUGAUUCUUUUGAAUUCAAAGACGUAGGCCUCCAUUGUAUUUAGAAAAUAGAGCAAAUACACUUAGUACUUUCUCAAUUAACUCUUUAAAGUUCAUUUAGCAGUAUGUUGUUUUCGAUCUGCUAAAUCAAAAUUGCAAGCCAUUUGAUCAUUAUUUCUUUUCACAACUAAUAAUGGAGAGCUGUAACAUAGCAAGGAUUUACAGUCAAAUUCCUCCGGCAUUGUUGCGGUUAUUAUUGUUACUAUUAUUUUUUUAAAAGAACUUAGUUUCAAUUCUAUUGUACUUAAUACCUCUUUUAUGAAUAUAAAUUUUUUUAAUUAAGAAAGAGAAUUCUUUUUUCUGAAUUACUCCCUCUGACCCUAUUUAUACGAUCUGUUCAGACUUUAUGCUUGAAAUUUAUCGACAUGCAUUUUCUCCUUUCAAUAAAUUGAACACCUUCUAGAAAAGAAGAAAAAGAAAAAGAUAAACUAAACGAAAUAAUGAAAACUUGUUUUCAUCUAGAAAAAAGAUUCUUGCCCAUAUUUUUUCGGCUGUUUUCAGCUAAAAGAUACAUUUGGUUAUGGAGAAGCUAUCUGGCAUAUGUACUAUUAUGUAACAAAAUAUUGUUGAAUUAAGUGAUCUUGAACACAUCAUGUGAAUUAUUUGAAUUUAAAAGCUACUAAAUAUUAAAAAGGACAUUAAAGGGGAAAGGUCCCUUUUUGUUAAUAUUCUUGUUAUUAACUAAAAAAAGGUAAUUAAUGAAUUGAAUUUGCAAAUCUUGUGUUAUCAUUUGUUACAUUAAAGGGGAAAUGUCCAUUAUUUUUGCUAAUAUUUCAUCCUCUGUGGAGGCUUAUAUUAGCCAUUCACGAGACCAACUUUUAAUUAAUUCAUAAAUAACUUGGCCAAGACAUUUUGUUAUAAAUUAAUAUUGAGACAAAUCAUUUUGUGACUGAAGGAACUCAAUUAUUAUAUAGGCUUCCUAGAAUCUAACUACGAGCAAAGUUUACUUGCUACAUAUUCAGAACUUAGAUUUAAACUUAAUAUAGCAUUUUAUCCAAGUUAAGACAAUUCUUUCAAUUAUCCAAGGUGCACACGUUGUGCAAAAAUUAGAAAGUGGGGUAUGUACGUACCUACACGUGAAGGUAAAAAUUUACACUCAUCUAUGUAUAUACUAAAUUAGUAUUUUUAAUUAUAAUUAAGUAAUUAAAUUAAGUAAAAUACAUAUUCUAUUAAUUAAUUAUGGUUAAGUAACAUCAAUUCUAAAUUCAAAUACAUCACAUGCAUGUAUUGGCUUGAUGUAUACAUCGAAUGCCUGAAAAUUUUGUGACAAAUGGCGUCCGAGAUACAUAUUAUACUCCAUUUCAAUUUCUUUUCUUGCUUUUAUUUUUAGCCCAUUUUUAAAAAAAAGCAUUUUUAAUAGUUUUUUAUUUUUAAUUUUAACUUUUCACGUGAUAUAUUUAGAACAAUAAAAUUAAAUGGUAUUUUGAUACAUUCGACAUAUCUUUAAUUUAGAAACAUCACAAAAUUAAUUAAAUUUUUUAAAAAAGAUUUCGUGUCAAGUGAAAACCAAACAAAUAAAUUGACCACGGGAUUUAGGCCCCGUUUGUCCAUGAGAAAUAUUUAUUUUUUUCAAAAAUUAUUUCAUUUUAUUUCAAAUUAAAAAUAAUGUUUGACCUUAAGAAUUCCAAAUACAACUUGAAGUUGUAUUUGAAAAAGUAAAAAUAACUCUCAACUAGUUUUUACUUUCUUUUCAUCUCACUGUUUCAUUUUUGGUCUUUCAAUAAAUCUAAAAAUAAAUUCCAAAAAAGGUAUGAUCAAACAAACACAACUCUAACUACAAGUGCAAUUUUUUUUUUUUCCAUAAUUUUCAUGGUCAAAUGAAAAUGCCUACUUAUUCUUUUUUCCUGCUUGGUUUUGUCCACCCCCACCCCACCCCUCUGCUACAACCCACCUCAAACUUCACAUGCAAUUUAAAGCCAUCAGAAUACUAACAUUAGGUUCAUUCAAACUUUUCUUCAAAUCUAUAUAGAGAGAAAGAAAAUUAAACAAAAUAUAGUUUGGCUAUGGGAAGUCUUGGAGAAAAGGAGCUGGAGAUCAUUAGUAAGAUUGCUCACACAUUAUUCUUCAGUUCAAAAAUUAAUCUUCCCUUCAGUUCAAAAUUUAAAGGUUUUCAUGUUAUAUAAUUACUUAUAACUAGUGUGCUUGUGAAGAAGCUAUUUUACACCUUUAGUUAGUGUAUAUAAUUAAAAUUGCUAAAGAAAAUAUAUAAGUCACAUACUGGGGGCAAUGCUUAUUGAAUAAAUGAAAUUUACUUGCAACUAUUUUGAAAAGGACACAAUUGUAUAUGUGACAUGUUUUUUACACCAUCAAAGCAUAUAUAGAACUUAAAGUACUCUAAAACGUACUAUAUAAAUUUGAAAAUACGCUAUAAGUGCUAUGUGCAUUUUUCUUUGCGUCCUUACUCAGAUCAUUUUGCUUAUUCACAGACCAAGAUCAAGAAACUGAUCCAGAAACGACGACGAUGGAUACACUAAUUGUUAUAACUGAACCAUUGACGACUCCAAAGGUUGUUUAUAAGUACCAGAAAUGGCUCGAAGUAGGCGUCCACGCCUUCGUUGUCCUGGCUAGCCAGACAGUUGCAACAAUACUUGCAAAGUUGUAUUACCAAAAAGGUGGUCACAGUAGCUGGUUGAUUUCACUUACUGAAACUGUUGGUUUUCCCAUUCUCCUAAUUCCUAUGAUCCUUUGGCCUGAUAAAAAAAAACCUACAUUAGAAGAGGGAAAUAGUAUUUGUGAUGACUCAAAGCCUCCUUCUAUAAUGGCCAAGUUAGUAAUCUAUAUAUUUCUUGGCUUUCUAGUUGGAGGAGGGUGCAGUUUGUUUUCAACUGGACUUUUGUAUCUCCCAGCCUCAACUGUUUCUCUUAUCUCCUCAAGUCAGUUAGUCUUCAACGUCUUGUUCUCUCUCUGCAUGAGACUAGUAAAACUUACGCCUCUCAUCGCGAAUUCUAUCGUCCUCAUCACCAUUUCCUCUGUUCUCCUAGCUUUACAAAACGAUGAAUCUUCAAGCAAAACAUCAUCGUCUAAGCACCAUUAUGCAGUUGGAUUUGUAUGCACGCUAACUGCUGCAGCUGGUUUCGGAUUACUAUUUUCCACUACAAAUCUCAUGUUAAAGAAAGUACUAAAAAAGAAGACGUUGAGAGAAAUCAUGGACGUUAUUAUUUGUCAGUCGUUUGUCGCGACGUGUCUAAUUUUGAUUGGUUUAUUCGUGAGUAAAGAGUGGAGGAAUUUGAAUUCAGAGAUGCAUAAUUUCGAGCUUGGGGAGUUGUCAUAUGUUAUGAUAUUAUUUUGGAUUAGUGUCUGUUGGCAGCUUUAUACUUAUAGUAUACUUGGGUUGAUUAUGAAGGUAUCUGCUGUAUUUGCAAAUGUGAUUGCUGCUUUGGGUGCACCGGUAAUCCCGAUUAUGUCAGUGAUUAUCUUUAAUGACGAGAUGAGAGGAGUGAAAGCAGUUUCAAUUGUUUUGUCUAUUUGGGGAUUCUCAUCAUAUGCUUAUCAGCAGUACCUUGAUGAGCAAAAGAACAAAGCUGGGGUUUUGAAAAAUUGUAAUGGAACAUCUGAAGAUCUUGGUAUUGAAAGUGGUUGACGUGCAAAGAAAAUUCUUCAUUGAUCUAGAGUCGGAUUUAGGAGCUUGAGUUUACGGGUUCUAAAUUUUAAUAAGUGUUGCAUGAGUAAUAUAUUCCUAUAGUGGAUUCUUAAGCUCAAAUACAUUGACUCUGUUGACUCCAUAGGUGAAGCUCUAGCUCCGCGCCCCUUUUACUUUUUAAGUAUAUGGAUCUUAAGUAUUUCUAUUAAAAGGAUAUUGCUUAUUGCUAUUAUUUUCUUUUUCUAAAUAUCAUAUGUUAACACGAGUUCCCAUUAUUGAAGAAUUAACUUUUGCCUUAAUUUCCUUGAAGAAUUAUCAGUCAAAUACUUUGAAUCAACAAUAUAUACCAGAUACAAACAAUAAAUAGAUUAAUGGAGAAAAGUGUGACCUUUUCCGUUUUUUCCCAAAAACAAGUGAGUUCAUGUUUUUCCCUUCAAAGUGGUGAUUAAAGUGAAGAAAUUCAUUGAAAAGUAUCUUCAUAUGGUGUCUUGCCAGACUAGUUGCAUGCAUAAAGUGGUGUAUUUCUCAUUAUGUAUGAAGAAUCAACUUUACAAAUCAAAAGUCAAGACCUUGUUGCAACUCCUUUAGUCAAAUUUUUUUAAUUAAUAUACUUUAAUUUCUAACUGAUUAAUAUAUAGUCAUAGGGGUAUACAUAGGUCGAGUUGCUUUGAUUUUGUAUUGAAUAAAAAUCAAAUCAACUAUGUCGGUUUAUUAAAAUUAUAAACCAAAUCAAACCAACAUAAAAUCGGUUUUUUCGGUUUAGGUUUUAGUCGGUUCUUUCGUUUUUUUCGGGUUUUCUUGUUUUUUUUUUACAAUCUUUAUUUUUUACAAUUAUAUUGUGAUUGAAGACUAGAUCAAGUAUGUUUUCACUCAUGUGCUAAUGAAAAAACUCAAUUAUGAAAAAUUGAGGAGCGAAAAACUCUUUUGAAACUAAAAAGUAAGACGAAGAGUGAAAAGUUUAGGUUUUAAGUUUAUAUUGGAUUUUGGAUCAUUUUAUUGACAAUUAAUGAACAAAUAUUACAACUUAAUAUAUAUAUAUAUACACACACACACCUACUUUCUAAAUAUUGAAAAUUAAUAAAACUAAUUGAAAAAGUAUUUAAGAAGUAGAUUAUAAUUAAUAUUUUAUGUAUAUAUUAUGUCGGUUUGAUCUUUUUGGAGUUAACAUCAAACCAAAUCAAGAAUGGUUGGUUUUUUUUUCAAACGUCAAACCAACCAAAUCAAACCAUAAGUCGAUUUUUUUUUUCGAUUUCAUUUGAUGGUUCGAUUUGAUUUGACUUGACGGUUUAAUCUGUAGACCUAUAUAGUCAUGCUAUGAUAUAACGUGAAGUUCCAAAACAGCAAAAAGGUAUCGAAUAUAUUAGGUAGAGUUUCCUUAGAAAUUUUUGUUUCCUUAUUAUUUAUUUACGUAAUUUAUUGAAACACAGAGUGUUUUUUUAUAUAAACGAACUUGAUUCUUCUCUUUUUACUGGAUUGCAUAUUUGCAUUAGAGGCCGCAAAGAAUUAUACAUGGGAUGCCCCCAUAUCGAGUAUAAUGCUUGUAUCAAUACCAUGAUAAAUAAUGGAGUGAAUAAUAAUAUGUCUUUAAAGCUUUUAAAUAAAUAAAAAAAUAUUUGUGCGUUAUAUUUUUUUAAAAAAAUAAUAAUAAUUAAUAUAAAUAUUUUAUCAUAGUAAUUAUAUUAAAUAUUAAUUUUAGAACUUAAGACAUAAUUUAAGGAAUAAAUAAUUAAUAUUAACAUAAAAUAUGGGAAAACCAUUUUUUCUUUAAAAUUAAUAAUCAAGACCAUGGUCCAUGUGUCAUCUCUUGGGGCCCGCUUGUUGUUGUUCGGCCCCACUUAUCCAAAUACACUUCCUAAUUGGAUAAUGCAAUGGAAAUAGCUUAUCCUCCGGACCUACACCAUAUUAUUUCCAUUUCUUUUAAGCAAAUACCCCGUGAGCCUCUAACUACAACUUCACGAUCCCCAUGUCAAUUCAAGUUUAUUUCACAUUAUUAUUGUAUCACAAUGAAAUAUGAAAUUAAGAAAAAAGUUGCAUCUUAAUUAUGCAAUUAUAUAUCUUAUAUAGAUAAUGGAGUACAAAUCCUGAUUUGGAUAAGAUAAAUAGAACCCGAAUUAUAUCUCUUUUAUUAUUCUGAUUAAACUAGCUUGAUGAAUUGUUUGAUUCAGAAUAAUCACAUAAUUACAAUAUGAAAUCUAUAGCUAACACCAUCAAUGAAAUACGGUACCUAAUCUUUCAAUCAAAGCACCUUUCAAUUUGGAGGGACAAAUUGUUAUCCUAGACCGUAACGCAGUGAAUCGUUUCUUUCCCAUAGUCCAGAUAUUUCCUCUCUUUUUCGCCACCGAGUCUGAAGAUAUGUGCACUUUUUUCAGAUUAAUAAAAAAAUAAAGAAAGAAGAUAUAUCAUAUAUGUGCCCCCAAAUAGUUCACACUUUUCAGUAGUCGUUAAUUCUAAGAAACGGUUAUUCCUUUCUCUCUUCUCUCUCUCUCUCUCCCUCUCUCUCCCUUCUUUCAUCUGAGAGUUUUUGUACUCCAUUGAUGGAGAUGAAGAUCUCCAACUGCUUACCGACGCAAAAAUGGUGUGGAAAUGGAGGAGUAGGAGGAGCGGUUUUUUGUAGACAAGUAAAUGUUCGAUUCUAUCCACGGCCAUCUCAACGCUUGCUUCCACCUUCAGGCAAAAUGCGCCAGCGCCGCAAUUUCAGGUACUUCAUUUCGGACUAGUGUAGAUUUUGAUAAGGAUCAGUUGAUUGCAUUUCGGAAAUACUUGAGCUGGUUUCGUUGAGUGAUUUGAGGUUUAUAUGUGAAAAAAAAUACUGAUUGUUGUUAUUUGUUGAAAAAAUUGAGUUGUUUAAUUAGGUAUUGGAGUUUUUGAUUAAUGGAGAGUCAGUUGCUUUCGUUGGAGUUGGUUUAUUGUUUUUCUGAGAUUUUGUGUUGUCGAAAAUGCUUCUAGUUUGUUUUUCCCUUCCUUUUUCGGUUUUUAAAUUAGGUUUAGGAGUUUAUUUGAAAUCCUUUCGGGAUGAGUAGUUGAGUAGGCAAAAUGCGCCAGCGCUGCAACUUCAGGUACUUCAGUUCAACGAGUGUAGAUUUUGAUACGGAUCAGUUGAUUGCAUUUCGGAAUACUUGAGCUGGUUCGUUGAGUGAUUUGAGGUUGAUAUGUGAAAAACUUGCUGAUUGUAGUUAAUUUUGAAAAAAAAUAAAAAUUGAGUUGUUUAAUUAGGUAUUGGAGUUUUUGAUUAAUGGAGAGUCAGUUGCUUUCGUUGGAGUUGGUUUAUUGUUUUCUGAUAUUUUGUGUUGUGAAAAUUGGAAAAUGCUUCUAGUUUUUUUUUCGGUUUUAGAUUAGGUUUAGGGUUUAUUUGAAAUCCUUUUGGGAUGAGCAGUGGAGUAGAUUUGAGUUACCGAGAAUCAUUUGCUUUAGUUUCUGUUAGCACGAGUUGGUUCUGUGAAUGGAGUAUUUGCACUUGUGGAGAAGUCAUUUGAGUUUUUGAAUUGUUAUAUAUUGUUUCAAAUGAGUAUCUGGAUAUUAUCAAUGAGAUGGAUUUGUCAUUGAGGCUCUGUAUGUUGAGCAGAGUUUCCGUUAAAAUGUGUUAUAAGUGAUUAACUUCUGGUUAAUGCGAUACAUGUCCAUUCUCAUAUUAUUAUUUGGAAAAUUACAUGGACUAUUACUUUGUUGUGCAUUAUGCUCUGUUUAAUUUCCCUUGAUUGGGUACGGAAUCAUUGUAGUGCUGAAUAGAGCAGGCCAAGGAUUUGAGUAUUCGAGAUUUUUUCUCUAGUUUAUCUCCUGAAAUAUUGAACAAAGACCUAUACGUCAUGGCUACAGCUUAGAACUAUGUUCCAUGGAGUAUAUAUUUAUGUUACAUCGUCUUUUAUGGAUAUUAAUUUGCUCAUAUCUGGGAAGUUCACUGGCGGAUGGAGAACAUUUGUGAUUGAAUAAGCUGCAAUUUAUUAUGUACUCUGGAACUCUACUUAAAUGGCUUGGUGAAAAAUGUAUUUCUAGAUGUCGAGUAGAUCAACAUAGUUAGAAACACAAAAUCAAUGUUCUUUUCUAUCUCCUGCUGCAGUAAUUGACUAUGCUUUGAAAUUUCCAGUUUGCAGAACAAGAGACAACAGACCAAGAAGAUAAAUACUGAACGGCCACCAAAUGUUGAUUUUCAGUCAAGUGAUGAUGUAGAAUCCAAUACUGAAAAUACGUCCAAACAAAGCCUAGAAAGUUCAGAUCAGGAAAGUUCAAUCAAAGAAAAUGUUGACACUUUGUCAGAAACCGAAAGUUCAGAUGAGAUUAGUUAUGUGGUAUGUUCUUUGAAAUAUUGGAAUAUGAGAUAUAUGUACUGGUAUGUAUGUUGAAUAAGGGUUUUCAGGUGUGUCAUCCAAAUUUCCCCUUUCAUUGAAUUCCCCAAGUGGAGAUUUUCACAAAUCCUGAACCCUAUAAAAGUUAUCUGAAAAUCUCAGGAAUGCAUCAAAGAGUGCCUUGAGGAGACAUACCCUUAUUUUGGCCAUUGACAAAUAACUAAGUGCCUGUCAUCAUUUGAACUAAAUUGUUGUACCUUGUGGUUUUUUGAUGGAUCAUACUCUAUAUUAUGAAGUAUGAAAUAUGUGCCAGUGAGUGCUUGCAUUAGAAAAACAUAGUUCCUAAUGUUUUCAUAUUUAAUAUCAACAUACAUGGCUUCAUAUGCACUAGAGUUAUAGUUUCUGUACACCUACUAAUACUGUAAGAAAAACGGAGUGCUAAUGGUUUAACUAAUAUUAAUAGAAUUGCCAAAAGUAAACCAAAUAAAGCUGAAUGCGCCUUCGAGGUGAGUAUGCAGGCGAGUAACUAUCUUUGACCUCCCUUUGCUUCUUCUCUUUUGUAAUCUACCAAUAGUCCCUUGCAGUUUCUAUGGACCCAUAAUAUCUAUGAUACCAUUUACAUAAGUAUGGAACUUGAUCUAUCAUCAGUGUUUAUGAACCUAACAACUUAGAGCAUCAAAUAACAUCCAGUUUAUUGCUGUGUUAGGAGCGAAAAGUAAGCAUCAACAGAGGUUUGAUGCAUGUCAUACAUCCUCAGAAAUAAGCUCCACCAAAUGGUCUUUGUUGUUUUGUUCCUUGCUAAUAAAGAAAUUAAAAAGAUUCUUGUUUCACAUCUACUCUUUAAUUAGUAAUGUCUUUAGCAAUUUUAUCUUUUGUUCAAUUUAUCCUAAUGGUGCAAAUUACUUGGGAUCAUAAAUUGAAUACCUCGUAAUUGAGACAGUCUGUCGACUCAAAUGAGGAGGGACAACCUUCAAGCGUUCAUCUUCAGGAUUUGAUUGACAUGAUAAGAAAUGCGGAAACGAGUAAGACAUUGUGGUUUUCACUCUUUAAGUUCACUUAAUUUUGCUAUUUUAUGGUUUUCUCCUUGGGAAAUUUGUGUGGAUUUCAUCAAAAUCGAAAGAUCAUUGUGUAACUUCGUUACCUUCUGAAUAAUAUCUGUAGAUAUUCAUCUACUCAAUGAAGCUCGUGUCCAUGCAUUAGAAGAUCUUCAAAAAGUUCUUGGAGAGAAAGAGGAUUUGCAUGGGGAGAUCAACAUUUUAGAAAUGAAGCUGGCAGAAACUGAUGCACGGCUCAGAGUUGCUGCCCAAGAAAAAAUACACGUGGAACUUCUAGAAGACCAAUUGGAAAAGCUGAAAAAUGAAUUGUCUAACAGCAGAGGUGAUGAGGAAAAUGUGCUUCAUGUGAAUAAUUCAAUUCCUCUUUCACAUAGUGAUUCUGUUAAUUCACUGAGUGAGGAACUUGAUUCGUUAAGGAAAGAAAAUAUAUUAUUAAAGCAAGAUCUUCAAGCGAUGAAGUCAGAGCUUAGUUUAGUCAAGGAAACAGAUGACUACAUCUUAAUGCUAGAGAAAGAACGAUCAGUUCUUGAAUCUUCUUUAAGUGAGUUGGAAUCUAAACUGGUUGCAUCUCAGGAAGAUGUUUCAGAGCUCUCUGCCUUGAAAUUGGAGUGCAAAAAUUUGUAUGAAAAAGUGGAACACUUACAAUUGUUGCUAGCUAAGGCAACCAAACAAGCAGAUCAAGCAAUAUCAGUGCUACAGCAAAACCAAGAGCUGCGGAAAAAGGUUGACAAGCUUGAAGAGUCUCUUGAAGAGGCUAGCAUCUAUAAGCUUUCGUCUGAAAAGUUACAGCAGUAUAAUGAACAAAUGCAGCAAAAGAUAAAACUUCUUGAUGAACGCCUUCAGAGGUCUGAUGAAGAGAUACAAUCUUAUGUCCAGCUGUAUCAGGAUUCUGUCAAGGAGUUUCAAGAUACACUUGAUAAUUUGAAAAAGGAAUCCAAAAAAAAAUUUCUAGAUGAAGUUGUAAACGAUAUGCCUUGGGAAUUUUGGAGUCGGUUGUUGUUGAUGAUCGAAGGUUGGUUUAUGGAAAAGAAAAUCUCAAAGGAUGAUGCAAAGUUGUUAAGAGAACUGGUCUGGAAGAGAGAUGGACGUAUCUGUGAUGCAUAUAUGUCAUGCAAGGAAAAGAAUGAUCGUGAAAUUAUGGCGGCAUUUCUUAGAUUUACUUCAUCACCAACACGGUAUGUCUGGUUUCAAAAAUUCGUAACCGGAUAUUCCUAGUUUAAGGAUAUAACUUGCAGUUUCUUUUCUGGUGAACCAAUAGUCCAGGACUGCAUAUCAUCCAUAUUGCAGCCGAGAUGGCGCCAGUUGCAAAGGUAUAAUGCUCACCUCUGUGAAUUGCAGUCCCCUCUAUUAGAUGAAGAUGAUGAAACUUUCUCUACGGAGGAAAAUGUUAUCCAUGCAGAAUAUUUUCUAAGAAAACAAGUGGUUUUUUUAUUUAAUUUCCUGUGUUCGGUAUGCAAGUAAAAAAUGUUAUCCUAAAAACAUUUGUAUAAAUCUAAUACAAAAUUAUAAGGAUGGGUAGGGGUAGGGUGAUGGAUGUUGUGGUGGGGGUGAGGGAGGGGAGUGGGAUGGAGAGGGUAGGGGGUUGUUAGGGGUUUGGAGGGUGGGAUAGGAGGAGACAAUGCCACUUGUUUUCUCUACUUUCAUUAAGGAAGUCAUUUUCCUUAUUUCCAACAAGCUUGUUUUCCUAAAGAAAAUAUUUUCUAGAAUUUUUAACCAAGCGAACAUGAUGAAAUAGGAAAACAUUUUUUUCUGGAAAAUGUUUUCCUCCAUACCAAACACACCCUUAACCUGUAUUUAUUUGUGUAAUAUGCUCUUCAGAAUGCAUUAUUGAAUUGUAUGUUCUGUAUUUAGGAGUUGUUCUCUCCUUACAUCGAUGUACAAAGGGAGAAAGGAGAAGUUAAUAAAAGUAAUUCAAUAAUAGUACCUAGAUUUAAAUAUGAAGGCAAUUAACAUGAGUUGGUUAUAAAUCAUCUUUAGCGUAAGUCCAUAUAACUCUAGGUUAGACCAGAAUCACAUAUGCAGGGGCAGAUAUAGGGGAAGGAUUACCCUUUAUAUAUAAGAUAGAUUUUCUGUGUUUAUGUACAUAUAUAAAUUUUGAAUCCCCUAAACGACAUGCAAAAGGUUAGCUCAGCGGUCCAAGGCAUUCAAAAUGCACCCAAUGUCCAAGGUUUGAUUUCCCUCCUUGAUCCGCCACUGCACAUAUGCACCUAGUCUAUUAAAAAGUUAUCUUCCCUUCAUCUGUGCAUUUUGAAGUUUCCUGGUGGUUGGUGCUAAUGUUUGUUUGGUAAAGUGUAUACUUACCUUUUCUCAAAAAAAAAAAAAACUUUGUUUGGUACAAAUAUAGCAAAGUAGGCUGCAAAUGAUCGCUGGUCACGGAGCCAGUAUUUCUACUGUUGGGAUGUUGUGUCUUUCCUUUAUUUGUUCUUUGUUCUUUGUUAGUCCGUUAUGCCCUCUGCAAGUUGCAUGUUCUGUUGAAAGAUACUAAUAUAUUUAGUAAGCAAUCCCUACAAACUAUUCUAGCUAAAAAUGAUUAUUGCUCUCAAGAACAAUGUUUUGGUAAAUUAAGCAACAACUAUGUAAUUAUAUACUUAAAAAUUAGGCAACAACUGUAUUGGAGGCGUUUCAAAUGUUUCAAUAUAUCUAAAAGGUAUUUCUUAAUUGUCUCAUAGGUAGGUGGUUUAGGGGAUGUGGUGACAGGUCUUGGCAAGGCUCUGCAGAAGAAAGGUCACCUUGUGGAAAUUGUUCUUCCUAAAUAUGAUUGUAUGCAGUACGAGUCAAUUAAGGACAUGAAGGUAUGCUUAAAAGUUGACAUUUCCAUCAUCACCUUAAUAGCCAGUUUGUGUUAUAAUUUCAGAUCACGUAAAUGGUUAUGCUUUUCCAGGUCUUAGAUGUGGUGGUUGAGUCAUACUUUGAUGGUCGGUUAUACAAAAAUAAGAUCUGGACGGGCACUGUUGAAGGUCGAGUAUUUACGGUCCACAAGGAUCCAUUUCUUUGUUACUCCUUUUGCCUUUAGGUUUGGCUAUAUCAUAUGUCUUUGAUUUCAGGCCUUCCGGUUUAUUUUAUUGAGCCUCAGCAUCCUGGUAAAUUUUUCGGGAGAGAAAAACUUUAUGGGGAGCACGAUGAUUUCAAACGAUUUUCAUUCUUUAGCAGGGUGGCACUUGAACUACUACUUCAGGCUGAAAAGAGACCAGAUAUAAUUCACUGCCAUGAUUGGCAAACAGCUUUUGUUGUAAGAUUGAUUGCGACUUCUCUUUACCUUUUAGAUCCUUUUUUUCCGUACAUUCAGGAUUCUAUUAUUUCAUGAAGGCACCACUUUAUUGGGAAAUAUAUGUGCCAAAAGGAUUGAACUCAGCCAGGAUGUGUUUUACAUGCCAUAAUUUUGAGUAUCAAGGGACUGCGCCAGCAUCAGAAUUAACAUCUUGUGGUCUUGAUGCUUAUCACUUGAACAGACCAGAUAGGAUGCAGGACAAUUCAGCAAAUGAUAGAAUAAAUCCCGUUAAGGUAUCAAGAUAUCUGUUGAUAAGUUAUCAUAUUAGUUGCUCCUCUAUUUUUGUGUCGACUUUUUUAAUACGUUGUCGAUGUGGUUCUUUCUUGUUCCAGGGUGCAAUUGUGUUUUCUAACAUUGUUACCACAGUUUCACCAACUUAUUCUCAAGAGGUUCGCUCUGCUCAGGUAUUAAUUUCACUUCCCUAAGCACCUUCUCUCACAUCUGUUUUCAUGCAGUAUCCAGUCAUUUUUCUUAAUCUUAUACUUAAGUAAUUGGUUUCUCUAGUGGGCCACGAUAGGUUUUGUUUGAAAUGCAACUUAAAUGAGACCUUUGAACUAUAGUUUCUGCAGGCCUGAGAUGACCUGUUGCCAUCUUCAUAAAUAAAUAAAAACUUCUAUUGUUGCCAAAGAGUCGAGAAAUAUAUCUCUUUCCUUCUUCAAUAUUCUUUUCCUUGUCUUUCUUUCUGGUCUUAAAGAUGCUGAAUAUCCCCCUGUUGACUUCAAGGAUUGGUAUGAAAUCUAACGUCUUCUAUAAACAAGUGGUGAGAGACAUCCUUGAUUUUGUAGAAGGUCCAAUGAUCAUGUCUUUGGGUCUUCAUCAACGAUUUAUGGUUAGCCAUAUGGUCAAUAUAUUUUCAAGAUGGUAUGCAUACUACUUUUGGCAGAAACUUUAGAAGACCUUGAACUUAUUGGUGGUACACCUGAUAAAGCUUAUUCGAGAUUUGAGAAGUCCAAAGGUGGUUUGGCAAAAGGAUUAAGUUCUCUUCAAAAAUUGAGUGCGCUUUCAUUUGAGUUCUUACUUAGUUUCAUCUGGUACAUGAUGAUCGUUAAGUCUGUAGAUGAUAUUAAUUACUUAUGCAUGUUUCAAGUAAAUAAUCCCCUCCUACUAGGUGAGGAAAAAGGUUUCUUUGACAACCUGAUAUCAUGUUUAGACAACCCUUUACACCUUGCGUGAUGAAUUUCUGCCUCAGAGUCAAUUUUCAUUGGUGACGUACAGGGAGGAAAAGGACUUCAUGCAACAAUUAACUCCCAUUCUAAGAAGUUUGCUGGAAUUCUGAAUGGAAUUGAUACUGAUGCUUGGAAUCCUGCUUCUGAUAAUUUUCUUAAGGUCCAAUACAGUGCCAGUGACAUAGAUGGAAAAAUAGAAAAUAAAGAAGCUUUAAGAAGACUUCUAGGGCUCUCUUCUUCUGACUUUAGACAACCAUUGGUAAGAAUUUCCUUUGUUUAUACUAUUAAGCUAUGAUUAUGAUGUCAGUAUUACACUUCCAUAACAGCACAAUGCUUUAGUUAGCUUAUGACUAACCUUUUAUGAGAUUCAAUACAAAAAUUAUUACUUCCUCUUUCUCAUUUUAUGUGAAGGUAUUUGACUAAACUGAGUUUUAACAAACAAAGAAGACUUUUGACCUGUAGUUCAAAUAUAUGCGGAAGUGUCAAUAUUACCCUUUUAAAUCUGUAAUGGAGAGAGUUCCACAUGUCCUUUUAUUUUACGUCAAGUGGGUCCCAACAAGUCAUGUCAUUUCGGGUAAAAUGUGAUUCUAAGAUUAAAUAGUUUCCAAAAAGAGUUUGUCAUCCUUUUCCGGAAAAACUAAAAAGGAAGGUGUGUCACAUAAAAUGGGAACAGAGGGAGCAAUUACUAGCUAUAGCAUAACUCUUUGCAUUCCAAUGGAAUUCAGGGACUCCAAGUUUGGAUUUGGUGGCAAAAAAUGUUUUACAGAGGCGAGUACUGCUGAAACUACCAUUGGUUUCAGAAGAUCCCACUAGUGUGAAUUUUCUGUAGAAAAAAGAAAAAGAAAAAGAAAUGCACCAAGUGAUGACUCUGUAUAUUACUAACUGAGUCCAUGAACAAGAUUGUAAAGAGAGUCAAGAUUAAGUUCUAUGACUAAAUUUAGCUGGAAAUCCUGAGCCUAACCUUAAAAUCUGACUAUGAAUUCUCUAGAGUUGCAAAGCAUGCUGGUGGGUCUUCCUAAUCAUUUGUAUCCAUGUGUGUCUCAUUUAGUUUCAUUGUAUCUUGCAUAGUUUAUUAUCCUUCUCUCAAGGUAAUCUUGUCCACUCCGUUAGUUAACAUGGGAUAUAUCUUAUCAAAGUUAACUCGAGAAACAUUUCAUUUCAGAUAAUAUUCUUUUGAAUCUAGUCUAAAUCGAAAAUGUUGGAACGUCAUGAGUUAUGACAGUUCUGAUGUUUUAGGUUGGAUCAAUCAGCCCACUGCUAUUAUUCUAUCUUUAAUAAUAUAUGGAUGACAUUAUGACAAUGUUAUGUUGUCACUACUCAUUUUAUUGUACCAAUUGACCUUUCUUGGCAUCCACAUUCUUAUAUUACAAAUUCUGAUGUAAAUGUACUCACUGCUUAUAACCGAAGUUGAAAAGUAGAGACACCAAAAAAGACAUGGCGUACAGUAUGUUAAAAUUUUCAAACAUUCACAAUGCUACCAAAAAAAAUUUCAAACACGAUAUCGGAGGAUUAAUAGCCAAUGAUUUAAGAAAAGCAUCAGUUGGGUGGAUAUACUAAUUGACAUUCCAUUAUAAGUUGCUGUGCUUAUUUUUUCCUUUUGGAUAAAGACUUCCAUAUCACUUGCAUAUUUUAACCUAAGAUUGCUUGGUAACAGGUUGGUUGCAUAACAAGACUGGUUCCUCAAAAGGGUGUACAUCUUAUUAGACAUGCCAUAUAUAGGACUUUGGAGUUGGGAGGUCAAUUUGUUCUUCUUGGUUCUAGCCCAGUGCCACAUAUUCAGGUAAUGAUUUCCUUCCCGUAUGCUAUAUGAAAAUACUAUCAUAUAUUGUCUUAAUGAUGAUAUCAAAGUGAUAUAUUUAGCUGAUUUUUGCACACAGAUAAGCCUCUUUAGCUCAAGCUUCUAAAUUUGUUUAUCAAUAAAAUGAGAAAUACGGAAGAAGAAAAGGAAGGUUCUACAUUCCAGUUUUGUCAUUACGAAUUCUUCACACCUUUGUUGGGUUUUCAAUUUUAUAUGUUGGAUCUUCUAGUUGGGGGUACAUGAGAAUGAACAAUUCAGUAACCGAAUCUUUCAGUCUAGUAGUUCAGGCUUUUUGUUUCUGUGCUACUCAACUCAGAAAUCCAUCCUUUACAGAGACAUCCGAAACUUGGAAACCCCAUAGCACCUUUUUCUGAUGAUUCAAGAAUGAAUUGGUAUCAGUCGGAGUUAUAUUCCUUGUAAAAGGUUGGCUUGUCCUUUCUUUGAGAUAUGGUGUCUUAUGCUAAGGUUUAGGGGUGGUGGUUUCUUUAAGUUUCUUUAAGGUUAGAGGCAUUCUUUAUAUUGGUACUUAAACUUAUACUAAUUGAAGCUUGAUUUUAAUUCUUAUGGCCCCUAAGAUGAAGAUGCUUGUGUUUUCUUAGAUUUUCCUAUAGUGGCUUCUCCUUCCAUUGUUAAUCAUGGGAAAAUAAUAAAACCAUAUAUGAUGGAAAUCUAAUGCUUCGCUGUCAGAUAUUUUUGGCUGAACUUUAACAUGUUAUAUCUUCUCUUUUUUUUCCAUGUCUAUUUCUUAUCAAACCAUUCAUGUGAACUUGUCUGCACUUUGCUGUGGACUCCACUUCUCCACUGUUUGCUCUACCCCUAGCGCUUCCUAGUAUAAUGUUUGGAGCUUUGUCAACUCAUGCAUCAAUGUUGGUGCAGAGGGAGUUUGAAGACAUUGGAAACCAUUUCCAAAAUCAUGAACAUGCUCGGUUGGUAUUGAAGUAUGAUGAGGCUCUUUCCCAUUUGAUUUAUGCAGCAUCUGACAUGCUUAUCAUCCCUUCCAUCUUUGAGCCUUGCGGCCUUACUCAGGUCAUUCCACAAUUGCUGGAACGAUUUCUAUUAAAUCAAGAACCUGUAGAAUAACUCGAUAUUUUUAGGUUCUAGUGUUCAUCUGCAUUUCAUUUGUGCAGAUGAUAGCGAUGCGAUAUGGGUCAAUACCAAUAGCUAGGAAAACAGGGGGCUUGAAUGAUAGGUUCGUCAAUGCGGAACAGCAGGACUUCUUUAUUAGUCAGCAGUCAUGGUUAUCCUGUUUCAUAUUUAUUUAUUGAUCAUUCAAAUGUGUUUGCAGCGUUUUUGAUGUUGAUGAUGACACAAUCCCAGUUCAGUUUAGAAAUGGAUUUACAUUUGUGACUGCUGAUGAACAGGUAUCCGAAAUUUAAUAGCUAAGAGCCUAUACAUUAGUAAAAAGUUAUCCAAGUCACAAUUCUGGUUCAGUUUUGCAGUCUUUUAGCAAAUUAUUACUGUUCGGAAUCUGCAUCAAGCAUUGUUCUUUAUAUCCAGCACCUGGCAUUAUUUUUAAAUGAUGCAUACAAAGUUUGAUGUUGCACUAUUCCAUGACCAGGGAUUCAACGCCGCCUUGGAACGUGCAUUUAACUAUUACAAGAACAAUGCCGACACUUGGAAAGAGCUUGUUCAGAAGGACAUGAGCAUAGAUUUUAGUUGGGAUUCAUCAGCAUCGCAAUAUGAGGAACUUUACGAGAAGGCUGUGUUGAGAGCAAGAACUGCAAGUCGUAGUUGACCUCAUUUUGAUCACAAUUUGUUAAUUCAUUGAUCUAGUAUUCUAGUUAGCUGCUUGCCUAUAUGCCGUCAUUGUGAGGGAAUGACAUCCAUUCGAGGAUAACAAAGCGAGCACCCACUUGACUGAACAUUGUGAUUUCAUAGUCAGUAUAAUGCAUGUUCAACAUCGGAUCAAAGGUGAAACGCAGAAUUGGCAUACCAUCUGCGAAGCUUUUCCGUACGAAAAUGAGCAACUCAGUUUUGUAAAUUUGUGUAAAAACUUUAUGUUAUUACUUGUUAGUACAAUGUAUUCUUUUGGCCCAAAUAUGUUGUAAAUACUUUUCGUACUGCUUAAAGCUAGAAUAUAGACAGUGUAGUGAACUUUUUUACGUACGUGGGGAUCCUUUAUGGAUUAUAAAGACAUUCAAUAAGCUGCUCUAGCUGUAAAUUCAACCUUAAGCUUUCAAAAUAGAUUUACAGUUCGUCUAGUUACUCACAUGUGCAGGGGUACCUUUUUUUCUUUUUCUUUUUUCGUAUAAUUUUGUUAGUGCUUACAUCAUGGGUGUGGACUAUGGAAAAUGGAACUCAUUACAGAACAGUCAUUCAAACACAACCAAAAUUUCAUUAUAUUGUCUGGUAGCACACAACAGCUUUACAAAAGAAUGUUUUAAGGUUUUCAUUUUCCAGGGACAAAGUUUGUGGCGUAGGCCCAGGCGUUGUUGUUAACUGGGUCUGCAAGGUGGUCAGCAAGGUUCUCCAAUGGACCCUUUCCAGUAACAAUGGCUUGGACAAAGAAUCCAAACAUAGAGAACAUAGCAAGUCUACCGUUCUUAAUCUCCUUUACCUUGAGCUCAGCAAAUGCCUCUGGAUCAUCAGCAAGACCUAAUGGGUCAAAGCUGCCACCGGGAUAGAGUGGGUCGACAACCUCGCCAAGAGGCCCACCAGCAAUACGGUAUCCCUCAACGGCUCCCAUCAAGACAACUUGGCAAGCCCAGAUGGCCAAGAUGCUCUGUGCAUGGACCAAACUUGGGUUGCCCAAGUAGUCAAGUCCACCCUCGCUGAAGAUCUGAGAUCCAGCCUUGAACCACACAGCCUCACCAAACUUGACACCAUUACGGGCCAAGAGCUCGGGGAAAACACAUCCAAGAGCACCAAGCAUAGCCCAUCUGCAGUGGAUCACCUCGAGUUCACGGUUCUUGGCAAAGGUUUCUGGGUCUGCUGAAAGUCCAGCAGUGUCCCACCCGUAGUCACCAGGGAAUUCACCGGUCAAGUAGCUUGGGGCCUCACCGGAGAAUGGGCCCAAAUACUUAACACGGUCUGGGCCAUACCAUGGGCUGCCAGAUGAGGCAGGCUUGGAGGCAGCCUUUCUCAUGGAGAUCCUUCCAUUUCCAGAGAUUUCUGAGGCAGAGGGUGAGAGUUUCACUGCCUGUCCAGCAAAAGAAGGGGAAGAAAGAGCCAUUGUAGAAGCUGCCAUGGCUUAUCAAGAGAAAAGUGAGUGUUUGAUGGUAUGAAAUAUUGUUGAAUUUGGCUGUGAUGAAACUGAAGUCAGCUGGGUUUCAGAAUAUAUAGCAAGUAAGAGGAAAAGGGUCCUUAUCUAGUGAUAUCUAUAUCUAUGAUCUCAUUGGGUAUCAAGAUUACUCUUCACUCACACUUGGCAGUCUUAAAUCCAUCAACUUUUCCAAGAUUUUUACAAGGGGGACCCAACCAAUGUUGUCCGCCCAUGUGUGGUUACAAGGAUUGCACUCUAUCUUGUGAACUUACAAUAUGAAUACGAUGCCUUCCCAUUGGACACCUAAGCUCGCCAGAUUUCUGUCCACCAGCAGGAUAAAAGACUCCUACUGUCUCUACAGCUAGCUCGUUCAAUGUAGGACCACACGAUAUUUUUCAUACAUCUAUUGUCCCUGGUUUUAGAGUUUAGUAUUUAGCUAAAUAAGAGAAGGGACAAAAUGAGAUUUAUUAUUAUUUGAAUUAUAAAUUAUGGGAAAUUAAAUUGCAUGCUUAAUUAUAGUUGCAAAAAAGCAAUGAGAUAAUUAACUGGUAACAUUUUGCUUCUUUACUAGUGAGUGAAAAAGGGAAAGAAAAUACAAUUAAAGAAAAUGGGAAGAACUCGGUGAUUAUAGUUGGCAUAAUUCUGGCUAUAGAUAAGAUUUUUUAAAACAUAGAUCCAUGUAUAUAUAUUUGUUAGUUUAUCUCAUGGUCAUGGAGAGGCAUUGUGUUCAACAGUUCAACUAUUUUCUGGCCAUGCUCAUGUAGUUAUUGCACUAAUCCACUACCAUAGGCUAGAAUUUUCAAGGCUUUGGCAUAAAAAUCUGCAGAGUUUUUCGAACGAGAAAUUAAGGUAAUUUAUGAGGCUGCAAACAAUAUCUGUUUGUUGUUAUUGUCCGUAUGUGCGCGUUUAUAUAGCUCAGAUAUUGUUCAUGUGUUUAAAGAAUGAAUAUAAGCUGAUCUGGUCUUCAAAUUCAAGUUUUAAGUUUUUAAUUAGUAAAAGCAAGCGGAUUCACGUGUAAAAUUUGGGGUUGUCCGUACACCUGUUUACUUCGUGAAAGUAUACUUAGUUCAAGUCCAACAAACCACAAAAUGAAUUAUGUUAUGAUUCUAGUUUAGUUUAUAUUUAUUAAGAUAUGGCGAAGCACGGAAGCAGUAUGUGGGCAACACUGCUUCGACAAACACGCAUUCGGCAUCCGCCUCUAGUGGUGCUAUCAUCUUCGAAUCCUGAAUUCACUUCAGACAAAGAUUCAUCCAUUAGCAUCUUUUUAGCUUUAUGACACCUGUCCUUUUAAUAGAGUUAGUAUAGAUUUAAUUAAAAUACCCUCUAAAGCAUGAUUAAGACACAAAAUUAUCACAACAACUAAAAUGUUGCUAGAUUUUUAAUCAGAUUGACAAAUAAAGGGAAGAGGAUUAAAAAUGCCUCUCUACUUUGAUAAGCUGAUUAAAUUUAUCUCUCUUUGUAUUAUUGGAUCAAAUAUAUUCCCGUUGUUAUAUUAUAGGAUAAAAUAUACCCUGUCAUUAGCAAAGUUAUCAAGAAUAUUUUUUUUUUAACAGUUCUCCACCAUGGCAAAGUGAGAGCCCCGUGUCAUCAAAUGGAUGCCACGAGAUAUGCCACCUUAACAUUUUUUUUUCCUUUUUCCUUUUAAAUUUUUUGCUUCAAAUUUUAUUAAUUAUUUUUAAAAAAAUGAUAAUUUAAAUACUCACAUAUUUUAUUUAUUUAAAAUAAAAUAACUGUAAUUAUUAAUAAAUGUUGCUAUCUCUCUUCACCAACAGAAGAGAACCACCACCAAAGGCGGCCGAAGGAAAGGAUGUUCCACAUAUCGAAAUGUAAAGAGCAAAAGCGGCAAAUUUAAAAAUUGAGGUGUUGGAAAAGGUGGUGGAUUUUGAAAAGUCCGACGAAGAGGUGUCGAAAUGGGGGUUAAGGUUUGCAAAAUGCUAAGAACAGUUAACACUGCCAUGAAUAUUUUACUACUAGUGAUAGUUAUUAGUCUUUAUUCGUGUGUGUUAAAUACUUACAUAUUUUAUUUGUUUUAAAAAUUUGAUAAAUUAAAUAACUAAGUAAAUAAAAUUUAAAGCAAAAAUUAAAAUGAAGAAAGAAAAACAUUUGAUGUUGUGGUGGCAUGCCACGUGAUAUACACCUCAUCUAAAUGUCAGGUCACAUGGCUCAUACUUUGUCAUGGUGGAGAAGUGUUAAAAAAAAAAUUAAUAACUUGAGAAAAUUAGGUGGGAAGUGACAAAAAAGUCGUUAAAUUAAAAAUGAUGAUAACUUUGACCAACUAAGGUUGAAGCUUCAUUUAAAUUCUGAUUAAGUUAAUUGGAGCGUAAUUUUUAAAAACUUUUUAAUUUUUUUAAAAGGGUAACUUACAUAAAUCCCUGAAUCUUUAAGUGAUAUUACAUAAAAUCUCGAUUAUUUUGCUAAUUACAUCUUAUCUCGAAUUUUUGAAAUGGUGAUACAUAUAUUAAGUGGUGAUACAUAUAAAAAAAGUGAUACAUAUGAAAUAGAUCAGUUCUUUAUUUAAGGAAGUAACGGAUUUUCUCUGAUUUCAACAAUGCAAAUCACGACAAAACUGUUACAAGCGCUAAAAACGCAAUUACAUUCAACAAGAGCUCAAAAUUGAAGCAAACCAAUAUUUUUUAAAGCAUACCGGAUUAUAAGGUCAAUUUUUUUGAAUUUUGGGGAAAAAAUCGAUCGUCUUUCUAAAAUUUCUGAUUAUUUUCAAUGGAACUCGUGACAGUGUUGUUGCGUCAUUCCGAAAAAUGAGUUUCAAAAAUAAGGUACGAUAACUAUCGAGUCAAUGGUAUUGUAAUUCAUGAAAAAAUAUCGUACCACGAUUUAAUGGACGUCAUAUCAAUUCAAUUGAAAAUUAACGUAUCUCUGAAAAGAAUUCAUGUCAAAUACGUUGUUCAGGACAAUUUAUCAGCAUUGGAGAUUCAUAAUGAUAUGGUUGUGAAACUUUUUUUCAGAUUUUAAAAGCUGAAACUAUAUUCGGGAAGUAUCCAUUGUGUAUUACAACGAGUGAUAUCGUAACUGACCAUGAUGAUUUUGACGCGGAUGAUAUGACAAUUGAGUGUUAUGAUUUUGUUGAGCCGUCUGAACUUGCAGUAGUUGUAAUUGGUAACGUUGAAUCCCUGCCAGUUGUGAAUAUGGGUGGUGAAGAACUAAUAAGUGAUUGCUACAACAGUGUUGUAAAGGUGAACUAAAAGUAUAAAAACAAAGCUACACUUGUCUUGGUAAUGCGUAACUAUGCAAUCAAGCACAGGUUCAAGUUCAAAGCUGAGAGAUCUAACAAGCAAAGGAUUGAUUUUAAUUUUUUAACGAUAAUUUCUGAUUUAUUUCGCAAUUUGAUACAUUCGGAAUUUGUAGUGAUACAUUUGCAUAAUAGUUAAUUGAUGAUUCAUAUAAUUGGUGAUUAACUAAUGAUUCAUUCCAUCUAAGGAUUCAUAUGUCAACGAAACUGGUGAUUAAUUGGUGAUUCAUAUAUCCGGUGAUUCAUAUAACUGGUUAUUCAUAUUAGUAAUGCAUAUAACCGGUGUUUCAUAUAAUUGGUGAUUCAAAUAACUGGUUCAUGUAAUUGGUGAUUCACAUUCGUGAUGCAUAUAAAUGGUGUUUCAUAUAAUUGGUGAUUCAUAUAACUGAUUUAUAUAACUGGUGAUUCAUAUAUGUGAUGAAUAUAACUUGUGAUUUAUAUUGGUGAUGCAUAUAAAUGGUGUUUCAUAUAACUGAUUCUUAUAACUGGUUAUUCAUAUUGGUGAUGCAUAUAACUGGUUAUUCACAUGUUAAAUGGCUUAAAUUUUGAUAUAACUGGUGAUUCAUAUGGUAUUUGCUGAUUCAUAUAAAAAUCGAUUAACGUAACUUUAUAUUGGUGAUAUAUUUUUUGGCAUUUAUUUCAGUUAUGUCUUGCUGUGCAAAUCUCCGGAAUGUUGUUGGUUAUUCAAGGCAUCCUAUAAGCUUAGUACUGAUACAUUCAUAGUACGUACGUUCAACGAUGAACACACUUGUCCCAUAAUGGGUAGAGUUUUUGAGCAACAACAUGUAACAAUUGCUUUUUUAGAGGGAAUAACAGCUCCAAAGUUGGUGAAUCACAAAAGAAUAAUCACCCCAAGUGACAUUAUUGAAGAUAUUAAAAGGGAACUUGCUUUGAACAUAGAUUACAUGAAGGCGUGGUGUGCUAAAGAACGUGCUUUAAGGAUAUUGAGAGGGCGACCAGCUGACGGAUAUAAGAAAAUGCCUACCUACGUAUACAUGUUAAAUUCUGUUUAUCCAAAUUCAAAUAUAAGGAUGCAUAAGUCUUCGGAUAAUUGAUUCAUGUAUUUAUUCGUAGCACUGCAUUCUUUUAUUAGGGGAUAUGGUUAUUGUAGGCUUGUUGUGGUAGUAGACGGUAGUCACAUGAAUGGACCAUAUAAGAAAACAUUCAUUUCAGCUAGCACACUUUAUGGAGCGGGUAUUGUACGUAGUGAUUCUUUUAUAUUUUUCUUACAGAUAUCGGUAAUUGUUAUAUAAAUUUUACAUAGUAAAUGGUUGAUGUUAUAUAUCAGGACAUAUAUUGCCCCUUGUGUGAGGGGUUGUAGAUUCUGAGAAUGAUUCAUCCUGGACGUGGUUUUUCCAGCAUUUUAAGUGUGCUUUCGAUGAGCGCGAUAAUAUGUGUGUUGUCUCUGAUAGACAUGAAAGCAUAAUCAAGGCGGUUAGUGUGGUCUAUUGCACGAAUUAUAGAAAGAGUAAGGACAAGCUGACCAGGGAGUUUUUCGCCAUGGCUAAAACGUACAAAUUGGAUGAUUUUGAUGACUUUAUGUGGAAAUUGGGAAAGAUUGACAAUAGAGUAAAGGUAUAUCUGAAAAAUGCUGGAUUUGAAAAGUGGUCACGAGUUCAUGCUCCAAUAAAUAGGGGGAGGAUGAUGACUUCCAACAUUGCAGAAUGUAUCAACUCUCGUCUUGUUGAGGUACAUGAAUUACCAAUUUUAGAUUUUCUUAAACAGGUCAGAAUCUUAUUUGAUAUGUGGAGCCGCAAAAAUAGAGACUGGUCUAGUUUUCUUGCUAAAAACUCAUUGGGAGGUAGGUUUCAACAAAUUCUUCAACUGAACAAGGCAAAGUCAUCGGGUAUGAUGGUAAGUUAUUUAAUAUUUAUUAUACUUAUGUAAGUUGAUUUGUAGACCUUUUCAACUAUCUGAUAACAGAUGUAUCAUAGUGAUACAUCUCGAACUCAUAUGUAUCACUUUGAUACAUCUGCACAAAUAUGCCUCCACUUGAAAUCUAGUUCAUUAUAUUUAAUUAUCUGUAAUAUUUAUGAUUCAUAUAAUAUAUUGAUUAACAUAACUCUUUAUGAAAUAAUAUUUUCAAAUUAGGGAAUCAACUAACUACAUAUACAGAGUGUAUGAAGAAGGAAGAAAAUACAUUGUUCGGUUGGAUAAUGGAACAUGCAAUUGCGGUAGAUUUCAGCUUGAUGAGAUACCAUGCAUGCACGCUAUUGCUUUUUUGAAAAGCAAACAUGUAAAGAAAAUGAAGUCAUACUGUUAUGAUUGCUACAAGAAGGAGACACUUGUGAAGACUUAUGAAAUGCCACUGUGUUCAAUGCCCGAUAAACGAGAUUGACAUGUACUACCGAAGGUGUUAGAAGAUGUGAUUUUGCCUCCAAAAUAUAAGCGCCAACCAGGAAGACCGAAGAAAGGAAGAAAAAAGAAAAACAGUGAAAAUUUUUCAUCAACCUUAAAUCGUUAUGGCAAGUGUGGGUAUGAGGGUCAUAAUAGACGCACUUGCAAUUUUUUUCAAUAGAGAUGUGGCAUUUUUCUUUGAAGUUUACUCAGACUUGUUUACUUUGUUCAAUGAUUUGAAUUCAAUAAUUUGAGUUAAAUACUCAAAAAUUUAUUGCUUGAGAUACUCUGUUUACAAUGGAUAGAGAAAUAUUUAUUUUAAGAUCACUAUUAAUAAUUAAUUAAAACUAUUAUAUUCAGCAGAUAUGUUAGAGUUCAUGAGGAAUGUUAGUGAUACAUUUCCUACAUGAAAUUAUAAAGUGAUACUUAUUAAAAAAUUUAAUAUUGUUAUAUGAUUCAUAUUAACUGUUCGAGAAAAUUAUAUGAUUUAUAUUAGUAAUUAAACUGAAUAGGUUAAUUGGUGAUAUAUUUUCAAAAUAUUGUUUUAAGUUGAUUCAGUAUUAAAAAUUUAAUACUUUUAUAGGACUUUUUAUUAACCGUUCGUUAAAGAUAUGUGGUUCAUAUUAUUAAUUAAGCUCAACAGGUUAAUUGGUGAUAUAUUUUCAACAUAUUUUUUUAAGUUGAUAUAUAUUAAAAAUUUUAAUACUGUUAUAUGAUUCAUAUUAACCGUUCGAGAAAAUUAUGUGAUUCAUAUUAGUAAUUAAAUUGAACAGAUUAAUUGGUGAUACAUUUUCGACAUGUUGUUUUCAGUUGAUUCAGUAUUAAAAGUUUUAAUACUGUUAUAUGAUUUAUAUUUACCGUUCGUCAAAGUAAUGUGCUUCAUAUUAGUGAUGCGUGAUUUAUUGUUAAGACUAUUAAACAAAAUUAAUGAUACAUUUUUGUAAAUUAAACUUCCAGCAACAGUUCUAAUACCACACCAGCUGUUAAAUAAAAUGUCAUGACACUAAAAACAAAAAUACUGAAAACUUAAUACAUAAAAUACGUCAUGAAAUAUCAAGAAAUCCCCAACCAUUUGUCAACUAAGAAAAAAAUCAAUAUCCUUUUGUCACACAACAAAUACUAGACAACUACGACUCAACAUCAAUCAUCUUUGUAUCCUCAUAUGGAAUAAAUAUACGUUUAGAUCCAGGCGAAUCCUGAUUGUCACUAACAUAUUUAUUGCAUGCCUGGUUCACACCAUAAUCCCAUAAAAAGGAUGUAUAUCUUGUAUGAUGCUUUUCUGGAUCAAAAUCUGAAGAAGGUAUUUGAUGUCGAUCACUUAGAUAUUCAGCAUAUGUUGCAACAAACAAGCCACAAUCACUGAAAAAUAAAAAUAAUAUGUAUUUUAUGAAUUUCUGUGAGCUGUUAUGUAAAAGAAUAAAUGAUACUUACAAUGUGCCGCUCGAUUGUUGCACAAUUUCAUCAACAAAUUGAACAUCAAAUGCAUCCUGGUCUGUCUUUUCCUUGUAUGCUUCUAGUAGGGACCAAUCUGUACGCUUUUUUUUCCCACAAAAAUCGGAUAUUGUCAAAUAAGUUGACAACAUUUCAACAAGCUCAUUUAUCUCAUCACCAUGACCUCUAUGGCCUUUCAAGGAGUCAUACACACGAAUGCAUCUUUCCUUGAGUCCUAUGACUGCCAACACCCAGUGAAACGAUCCCUUAGAAUUUAUUAGAACAUACACCUCGUCAAUCAAAUGCCAUGAAAUACUGAUUGGAAUGCAUAGUCCUUGAAUAAUCUCACAAAUUGAUCUCUCCAUCGAAGUCACUUUAUUUGAUCGAACAUUUUCGUCAUGUGAGCUAAGAUCAAUAUCCGAAUGACUUCGGUGAUAAUGAGUGUAUGUUUCAUGGAUGUAGUUUAUGAACAUGCAAUUCACAGUGGUAUAUCUAUAUUCACUGAUUUUGUCCAGUUUUGCUUUCUUUAUAAGAUAGUAAAAUACCAUAUCGAUGUGUUGUAAUAUAAAAUUAAAAUGUGUAAGAACAUGUGAUUCAUAAAAUCCAUACACAAUACUAAGUGUAAAACAAUUGAUACUUAUGAAUUUAAAAAACAUCGACUGAAAAAUACUUAAAAAUAUAAAUUUAUGUUGGUUAACAUCUGUAUCAUAAUGAUGCAUAUUAUUGUCAGAUAUAUCACUGUGAUGCAUGUGUUACCAGAAAAACUAUAUGCAGAUAGCAAAUAUCAAUUAGGUUGGGUAAUGUAAUAAUAUUCAGCUUGUGCUUAUAUAAAUAAAAUCAAUAAAACUAUUAAUUGCUAUAAAUAUUUCUUGACGGUAUACCUCAUCAUUCUAACAAUUACUUGAUUGGGUCAUGUCAUAAAACGAACUUUUUUUCACCGAGUGUACAACUAUAAAAUCAAGCUUUGAUUUUAGAUCAGCGUAUUAGGCCAUGUAGUACUCAUCUUGUCCUUUCAUGCAUUCAAAUUAUGAUUUCAAUAAGUGUUGAUACUAGUUUUUGUGUUGUACAGGCCAACUGACAUCCAAAGAGAGAACUUAGAGAAGACAUCUUCGGCAUAUGAUCCAUUAAUGUUGUGACCUUCAAACGGGUAGUUCAACUUUUUGCACGACUGGAUAACUUCUUUAUCUUUUGACACAGAAUCAAAAACACUUACAAAUGGUGAUUGAUAUAGUUUUGAAGGCUGUCUAUUUCUCUUAGAAGGUUUCUUUCUAACAUAUGUCAGAUUAGUCUUGCAGACAGGGACCUAAGAAAUAGCUGCAAUAGCUUUGUUGCUAAUAUAACACUGACUAUCAGUGUUGUCUUGCCGAUCGCAUGUGUCAAUAGCUGCAACAGUAAUAUCAGUGAUCCCUGUUAGAUAGGCAACAAUCGAUGGUGGUACGUACAAAGUAAUAGCUUUAGAUAAAUCUUCAUCUGUAUUGUGAAGGGCUUCUUCAGAAUCAUGUGUGCCAUAUGUAAAAAAUGAACUUAGUGUACAAUGAAGUUUAGAAUUAAAGUGCCUAAACUAUCUAUAUGUAUCAUAAUGAUACAUAUGGACAAAUAUGUAUCAUUCUGAUACAUCUGAAAAACUUAAAUAACAGAUAACCAAUUUUUGAUACUUGAAACUUCAAUCAUCUUUAAAUAAGAUUAAAAUAUUUUUACUGAAAAAUUAUUAUACCCUAGAAAAACUAAAAAUAAGGUUGUGACCAUUAUAAUGAACAACUUCAAUGUACCAAAUAAUUAAAAAUAAAUAUUUGUGAGAAAUUACAAAACAAAAUUCGUUAUAAAUAAAUCGAUAUUACCUUAACGCGUUUGUCCCUUAUGCCUUCAUCUACUUCCACAGUUGUAUUAUGCCUAUCUUCUUUUUGGACCUUUUCUGUUUAUUUUGUGGAAAUUUUGUCUUUUAAGAGUCACCACUUAAUUUAUUUGAAAAGAAAUUAAGAAAACCUUUGAAAGUUACUUAAACGAUCCAAAACAAAAAAAAAAAUCAUUUAAGUUUGAAGAUUCUGAGUAAGCGGUUCCUAUCUCUUGGAAGGUUGUUAAGGCAUCAAGAGUAUCCUCUAACUUGCGGUUAUCCAGACUAUUUGAAAAUAUCUUUUGACUAACUUCAAAAAGAAAGAUUGAUUGUUGAAAAGUAAUUGACUUUAGGAAAAGACUAGAGUAAAAUAGAUUUGGACGACUUAGCAGGGAUUUUAACUAAGUCUAAAUAAAUUAAUAACAAAACAUGUAAAAGGAAAAGGGGAGAAAAUAAAAGACUUAGGCCAUUGGGCCCAAAUCAAUAGAUCAUGUACUAAUCUAAUUGAGUUUUUGGCCCAUUUGCACCUGUCCUAAUCUAAAUAUUGGUCUUUUGGCCCACAACCUGUCCUAAGCUAGUUUUCAGACCUUUGAGGUCCAAAAUCCGCUUCACCUCUAUUUAUUUACAACUUUGGAUUCGAGACCCCGAAUAAAUGAAUAAGUAAAUGAUUAAAUGAAUAAAUAAAAAGAAGACAAUAAAAAUCGAGACUUUACAAGUCUCUUAGUGACCUCAUCAAUAGAUUUUGACUCAUUUCCCUUCUUCGUCUAUCUUCUAGCACCCGCACGCCAUAUAGUCGACCUAGGAUUUAAACUUCGAACUUGACUCGAAGAGGUGGGCCUCAUUGGUCCAUUACGAAAUGCAAGAGGAGAGAAGUCCAUUUAAACUCGAGAUAUUUUUUGCAUACAAAGAAAAGAUAAAGAAAUUAAUACACGUCCAAGGCAUAAAAGUGACAUAUUUCAAAGUAAAAGAUACUAUCAAGAACCAAUUUUUGAAUGACAAUGAUAAGCACACUUGCACAAGAAUGAGAGUCAACAAAUAAAAUGCGAAGAAAAGACACCCACUUACAUGCCUCAUGACUUAUGUUCAUAUAAAAAUGAAUAAAGGUAAAAAGAAGAAGAUCAUAUUCAAUGAAUUAAUGCGAGAACAAAUAACGCAAGUUUGCAAGAGUAAAGGGAUGGGGAGAUAAGAAAAAUACCCAUGACUUCUAAAAUUGAACAAACAUAGAAACUAAUUCAUAUAACAAAAGAAAAUAAAAGCUACUUUUCAAGAAAGUGAAUCUUUAAAUUUCAAUUAAGGAGAAAUUAACGAAAAUUAAUACAUCUAAGUCAUGGCCAACUUUAGGAAAAACAUGUAACGACAUAUGAUUUAUCGUUCUAAGACAUCGUUGAUUCUCUUUUGACAUUAUGACUCAAAGAGAGACAUGAAUCAAGUCUUUACACACACAAAGAACACGUAUAACAAUCCAAAGGGAGUAAGAAAAUUUGAAUAAAUGUUUAGCAUCUCUAAAAGUGAAAUAUCUUUCAACAAUCAUACUGUGCACGAGUCAAAAAUAUCCAAAUAAUUCUAUUUAGCCACAAAAAUUCAAACUUUCUCAUUAUUUUGACAAGACAACAAGCGAACAAAAGAGGAAUAAACAUCUUGGAUGGAAAAUAAAGCUAACACUUCAUCUCUUAUAUGAGGAUUUUGAAAUCCAUUAAAAUAAUUAGCAAGCAAAUGACAAAUUCUUGACUUAACUAAUUACUAUUUUUACGAAGGCAAAACAAACAAUAAUAACUAUUUUUUCAACAUAAAAGAAACAACUUUACAUGCUAAAACAAACAUAUCCGCCAACAAUAAAUUUAAAAAAGGCAUGAGUUCGUCUUUUGAGCAAAGAUCAAAACUUUAUACAUAACAAUCAAAGAAUAAAGAUAAAAGGCAAAACAAUCAAUAUUAACUAUUAUUUUCAACAUAAAAAAAAUAACUUUACAUGCUAAAAACAAACACAUCUACCAACAAUGAGUUUAAACAAGACAUGGGUAUGUUUUUUAAGCAAAGAUCUAAACUUUAUCCAAAAUAAUUAAAGAAUAAGAUCAAAAGGCAAAAUAAUCAAUAUUAACUAUUUUUUUCAACAUAAAGAAAAUAACUUUACAUGCUAAAAACAAACAUAUCCACCAACAAUGAAUUUAAACAAGACAUGAGUAUGUUUUUUAAACAAGGACCUAAACUUUAUCCAAAAUAUUUAAAGAAUAAGGUGAAAAGGCGAAGCAAUCAAUAUUAACCAUUCUUUUCAACAUAAAGAAAAUAAUUUUACAUGCUAAAAACAAACAUAUCCACUAACAAUGAGUUUAAACAAAGUAUAAGUACAUUUUUUAAGCAAAAAUUGAAACUUUAUCUAUAAUAAUUAAAGAAUAAAGUCAAAAAAAGGCACAUACAACUAUUGUUAGCUCUUUUUUAUAUCAUGAACAUGAAGAUAAUUAAAAUAUUGAUACCACAACCUUCAAGGCCAUAAACAACAAACAAUCCCAGCAAACAAAAUUAUAACUACGAACUAUGAAAAAGAUGAAGAAGAAAAUGAUACUAAAACUAAAAAAAAAAAAAAGGUGUGUUUACCUUUUUUGGGGCAAGAAAACGAGACUACGAGUUUCGUCGGAAUCAACCACCACCGAAAAACGUCACUGGUAACUCAAAAAUUUUGAUUAACCGACCAACUUUAUGAAAUAAGAAUUUUUACUAAAUAAAAAUAACUAUUUUGCCCAAAAGGAAUUUUUCACCUUUCUAGCCUCUUUUAUUUAACUUCUCCACCCCUCUUUUCUACCAAAGUAGUGAUAAUAUUUAUAGGGGAGAAUGGAUUUUUUCUUCCUUUUCUCCACCAAUGUGGGAGAAAAAUAUUUAUAGGAAAGGAUGAAGAUUUAUUUCUUGUCAUCCAUCAAUGUGGGAGAAAAGAUAUUUUGGGGUGUUUUUUUGGAAUUUUAAAAUUAAAGAUAAGAUGAGGUGGGAGAUAAUGUGGGGGGAAUUGUACCAUAUAGUACAAUUUUUGAAUUUCAAAAUUGUGAAAGGACAAAGUUGGGGGGAAAUAGUACAAUGUAGUACAAUUUACAAUUAAUUUUUGGUGGAAAUUGGGUAGAAGUUAUGAAAGUUUUUGGAAAUUUUAGGGUUAUUUAAAAUAUAACCCCAAUAGGGAUUUAAAAUUUAGCCAAAUUUAUUUAAUUUUGAUCAAAUUAAAAAUCAAUUGGCGCAUUGCAUUGCAAUUAUGAUCAAUUUUAUUUCAAUUAUGGACAAAUCUAAUAGAUUGGCUAAAUUAAAUUAAAAUUUGAUACGAAUUAAUACUUCUUUUAAUUCCGAGCUUCUUGAUUUAAUAAAAUCAAACACAUAUUUAUCCAAAUAAAUUAUUUUUGAGAAUAAAUUAUAUUUAAAUCAAGAUUUUAAUCCUUUGAAUUUAUUUCAAGACAAACCUUGAUUAAAAUCCGAUAUUUAUAAAAAUGGAUAUUUAAGUAAUAAAAUUAUAUAAUUUCGUGUAAUUGAAUACGAUAAUAUAUAAUCGCUACUUAAAAUGAUAAACUUAUCCAGAUAAAUAUUUUGAAAAGCUUUUUAUUCGGAUAAAAUAAAUAUUAUAAUUUUAUUUAAAAAAUUGAAGAAACUUGUAAUUAAACUUAGUUAUGGAGGACAAAAAUUAGGUGUCAACACUAUUUACGAACUCUCAGCCUCCUAUUUGACACAUGUCAAAUUUAAUUUUGUGUGACAUUUAAUUUAUGAUAUAAAUCGAUUUAAUUAUUUGUAUGUAUCAAAUUGAUAAAGGUUGAAACAAAUGUAUGAAAAUGAUUCAUUUUGAAAACAUAAGGAACACAUAACAAAUGUGUGUUACUGAAAAUCUUGAUUAAAUUGUCUAUAUGUAUCAAGGUGAUACAUAUGAUGUCUGAUGUAUCACGUGAUACAUAUGAGUAACUUAAUCAAUACAUAUACACCGAUAUAUUAACAGUUUCAACAUUUCAAAAAAUAACAUUUAAACUAUUUGAGGCUAGUAUUUUGAGCAAGUUGUAACAAAUCGAUCAUAUACUUAAGUCAAUUUAACUACCUUUAAGCAUUCCUCAGCUCCUCCUUCAUUGCCACCUACUUUAGAUGAUUGACCGACAUCAUGUACGACAUUGUCACUUUUAGCAUCCAUUUUGUGCUCAUUAAGAGAUUGAGGAGGAUCCCCUUCUCUAUCCGGGAUACCUUUUUUCACUUUCAUAUAGUGGAUAUUGAGCAACCUGCAAUAUCACAAAUUUGAAUAAUAUGAAAACAUAUUGAUAUUAAUGACAAAUUAUGAAUACCUUGCCAUAUGAAGCAAAACCUUUUUUCACAACUCCAAAAAAUCCUGUAUAAUGGUCCACCAUUAACUUUUGAAGAUCAUUGAAUUUCAUGUCAAUCUACAUUGUGAAUAACAUUUUGAAUUUCAUGUCAACUAAUUCUUGUUUCUUCAUAGGAGGGUGUGAAGAUGGACCAGCAUCAAACCUCAUCUUUUUGAGAAAAUCUACAUUUGGAGUAGUACUGAAAUCAUCAAAUUCAUCUCCAAAUUCAGUAGGAGCAGUCCUUUCAGAUUAUUGUUGUACAGAUACUGCCUGUGCUAUAUUUGCAUCAUGAUUUGUUGGACCAAACAUCAAAGGAUUGGGCAACUCAAGAUGGUUCAAUUCCUGUGGUGAUGGGGUUAGAUUCCUGUAUACAAGCUGCAACAAAAAUAACACACAGGAUCAAAAAUUAAAAGUACCUUAAAAAUUAAAAAUAGACAUACAAAAGUAUCACGGUAAAAAAAACACUAUCUUACUAAACAUAUCAUCCAUCAGAUCCUUGUAUCUAGGCUUAGGUUUAACCACCUUCCAAUUCACCAUCCUUGGGAUUAAAUUGUGAACAUGAAAGACAAGUGAUUCAUCAACUGUGGCACAACAUUCGUACCACCAAAUCUGAAGCGCGUAUGGCAUGCCACUUAGACGGUAAACUUUUGGACAUCAUUCAUCGAUCGACUAAUAGAAACCAUCAGUUUCUCAAGAGCCAUUUUUCCCUAUGGAAAAUGACUAGAACUUUCAUCAUCCACCAUGUGAAAGUCUCAGGCAGGGAUAUUGGUUUUAUCUAAUUGGGAGAACACAAAUGUGCGUAUGAAGUACAAUAUCCCAAUUUUUAUUGCAUCUUUCACAUUUUCCCCACUUGUUAUUCAAAGAAAGCUUGACCAACUCACCCUUUUUCACAUUUGCUGUCGAAUUUGAAAAAUAUUUUUUCUGUAGUCGACAUGGUGGAAGGUCUGAAUAAUUAAAAUCAUCUACGUUGCCGAUGCAUUUCAAUCCUGUAACGAUAGCAAACUUGUACAGUAAAAAUCAAAGAAUUGUAUUGUUGACCAACGCCCUUAGUUGAUCCUGAUAUGAGUGUUGGACCUCUAAGAUCAUCAAGAACCUUGCUAUCAAUCCUUGAAAGUUACAAUUAGGUAGGUUCAGAAAUGACCCAAAACAAGUACUUCUGAAAAUUCUGAUUUCUUCAUCCUUCAAAAUCACGUUAAGCAUAUCUACUACAUUAAUGUUAUGUGCACUACCAAUCCUUACGUUGUGGGAAGGUCAUUCUUUCACAAUCAAACUAACAUUCUGCCAACAGAAAAAAAAGAAGUUGAUUCAUAUGUCAAAUGAAUCACAUGUUUAUAAAUUACAACAACAAUAAAAUGAGAAUAGAAAGUGUUAUCACAUAUGUAUCACAAAAAAAAUGAUACACAGAGAAUCGCUCUUAUUCUAUAUGAAAAAUGUGUAGCUGUAACGCCAAUAUGAAUCACCAGCACAAUAUAUGUAUCACCAAUUAAAAUAUCAUUUUAGUGUAACACCCAUAUGAAUCACCAGCACAAUAUAUGUAUCACCAAUUAAAAUAUUAUUUUAGUGUAACACCCAUAUGAAUCACCAGAACAGUAUAUGUAUCACCAAUUAAAAUAUCAUUUUAGUGUAACACCCAUAUGAAUCACCAAAAAAAUACGAAUCACCAAUAUGAAGUUAGACUGUUAAUCUGUUAUUAUAUGAAUCACCAAUAUGAAUCACAAGGUAUUUGAAUCACUAGUUAUGAAUCACUUGCGAUAACAAUACUUGCUCCGACGGAGAUUUGGGGAUAUGUUCAAUUUCAUCCUGAUGUUUCAUUUGUUUGUCGGAAUCUCGAUUUUUAGCAACAAAAGCUUCUAGGGUCAUUUCGCUGCUUUGAAUGAUUUUCACUAAAACCUAACUUGGUGUAAUUAAAUUUGCCCGAAGUAAAGCCCAGAACUUGAUUACUAUCAUGAACACCUUUUUGUGUUUCAAUUUGUGAAAUUCCCAAACUGAAUGAGGGUAAAUCUUCAUUAGCUAUUGAAGAUUCAACAAAUUAACACAAAGAAAUUUAAAGAAUAUAUAGAUAUUGACUUCUCUUGUUAAAAACUAACUUAAAACCCACAUAAACAAAAAAUUAACCUCUUUGAAGUAAUUGACAAAUUUUAAAAUUUAAUGCUGAAAGAUUACGUUUAAUUAGUUGAAGUAGUGGAGAAAGAAGUUGACUCAAAAUAUGCUAAAAUGAGAGAGAUUUAAUGGGAGUAAUUUGUGGAAAAAAAGAAGAAGAAGAUGCGUAUAAAGAUGAGAGAGAAAGACGUUAAUGGAGGAGAGAAAAUAGAGUGUGAAAGUUAAAGCAAAUGUAUCACCAUAAAUAUGCAAAAAAGGAUUUUAUGUAAUUUUUAAAAUAUUAAGGGAUAUUUGAUAAUAUGGUGCCUUAAGUUUGGAGUUUUUGUAAUUUAUCCUUUUUAAAAAGUCCUCAACUCCAAAUUUCAAAUUUUAGAAUUUCCCCCUUUUUCUUAUCUUUCAAUCUUUCUUAAUUUUUUUUCUUUCUAUCUCCAAAUUUCUUUAUCCCCAUCUUCUUCUUCUUAUUUUUUUUUCUCUCUAGAUUUUCCUCUUCUUUCAUCUUCUCUUCUUUUUUUUCUUUCUCUUUUCAUUUCAUUCUUCUUCCUUUUUAAAUUUUCAUGGAUAUUUUUUAAAAAAACAAUUGAGAAGUUUGAAAAGAAUUUUUUUGAUUUCUUUUAAAAAUAAAUAAAGAAAUAGUUUAGCAAAUUCAGCAACUACCAUAGUUGCUACAACAGUUACGGUAAUUGCUGCAACAACUACUAUUAGUUGUUGUGUUACAACAAUUAUCGAAAUUGCUGCAGCAACUUCAAUACUUAAUUUCUGAAAAAAGAUGUGGUUGGAGGAUGAGCUCACAAAAAAGUGAUAUUUUUGAUAAAAAGGAAGGUGAUGGUGCUGAUGGUGGUGAUGUCGAAUGAGAAGAUGACAUUUGUUAUGGUGUUGAUAGCGAUGGUGGUGAAGGAGAAAGAAGAAAAAUAGGCGAUAGUUAUGUAGAGGGAGAAGAUAAUGGUGAAUCUGAAAGAGGUGACAAUGGUAGUAAUAGUGAUAGUGGAGGAAGAGGAGGCAGCGGCGACAACAAAAAGGGUGUGGAAGAGGAUUGAUGGUGAUGGUGUAGGGAUCUUUGUGUAAAUAUAAUAUAGGGAUCUUUGUGGAAAUAAUAAAACUUGAGGAUUUUAAAAUUAAUGUUAUUAAUACUAAUCUUAAAAUUAUCACCUCUACUCACUCAAUAUUUAAGACUUGUGUCACUCUUUUUAGUUUUGAAAUUUAUUUGUCACCCUUAAUUAAUUUGCCUUAAUAACUUUACUAAUAUGGAUAUAUUUGGCCCAAUAAUUUAACUAGGUGUAAAUUUAGUUAAUUUAUCAAAAUAUUGGUUAUUUUUGACGAAGUUAUUCAUUCAAGAUAUACACGAAGGAAGAACAACAAAAACGGAAGAUCAAAUCAUUUACUAGUCGAUGAGCAAAUUUUCUCCAGGGAAUUAGUGGCACCAUUAAAACAGGUUCUUCUUCUUCCUUCUUACACCAUUUUUUUGUUGCUAUAAACUGUGAAUCUUGUAGUGGAAAAUUUGAUGGACAUGUUUCUAUUAACCUGUUGACAUAAACAUAUGUAACCAACAAUAUUCGUAGCCGACAAAAAUAUCUCCACAGGCGACAAUAUUAUGAAUAAACAGUAACUUUAUUUUGCUUGAUACACUUUGUAUAUAAUAGUAUUCAAUUUGGUAAUUGAAUUUUUGUCACACCAAGGCUGUAACCUAGCUGUAGAUGUUGGAAUUUGUUUGUCCAAUAGUUAUUUUAUUUUAUAUUUUGCGAAAAUCUAGUGACAGCUUGCUGUUAUGAAUUGUUAUGCUGAUCAUUUCUCAUUUGAUCUGAGAGUUUGGUGUAGUAUUGUUUCAUGACGCAUUCAUAGAGGAGAUCAUUUUUAUCAUAAUCUGUAAUGACAGUAAUGUAGUUCAAUGUUAGCCUAGUAGAAGCAUGUUCAAGCUUCCUCUUCUCAAUCCCAAAUUCCUUUAACGUUUCAUGGAAGGUUUGAGCAGUUUUACGCUAAAACUAAUUGAUGUUCGAGAUGCUUAUUUCUUUUCUUUUUGGAACGAAAGUUUGAGUGUUUGAUUAAUACGUGGGUUUAAAAAAUGAAAAUUCAGGACUAGACAAUCAUUGGAAUACAUGAAAAAUCCACUCUAUUAUCAGCUCAUUCACAACCACCUUACAACGACAUCAAACUAUGAAAUUUUGAGAACAUUAUGAUAUUCACUUUCCAGGAACAAAGUUUGUGGCGUAGGCCCAGGCAUUGUUGUUUACUGGAUCUGCAAGGUGAUCAGCAAGGUUCUCCAAUGGGCCCUUACCGGUAACAAUUGCCUGAACAAAGAAUCCAAACAUAGAGAACAUAGCAAGUCUACCAUUCUUAAUCUCCUUUACCUUGAGCUCAGCAAAUGCCUCUGGAUCAUCAGCAAGACCUAAUGGGUCAAAGCUGCCACCAGGGUAGAGUGGGUCAACGACUUCACCAAGAGGCCCACCAGCAAUACGGUAUCCCUCAACGGCUCCCAUCAAGACAACUUGGCAAGCCCAGAUGGCCAAGAUGCUUUGUGCAUGGACCAAGCUUGGGUUGCCCAAGUAGUCAAGUCCACCCUCGCUGAAUAUCUGGGAUCCAGCCUUGAACCACACAGCCUCACCAAACUUGACACCGUUACGGGCCAAGAGCUCAGGGAAGACACAUCCAAGAGCACCAAGCAUAGCCCAUCUGCAGUGGAUCACCUCGAGUUCUCGGUUCUUGGCAAAGGUUUCGGGGUCUGCUGAAAGUCCAGCAGUGUCCCACCCGUAGUCACCAGGGAAUUCACCGGUCAAGUAGCUUGGGGCCUCACCGGAGAAUGGGCCCAGGUACUUAACACGGUCUGGGCCAUACCAUGGGCUGCCAGAUGAGGCAGGCUUGGAGACAGCCUUUCUCAUAGAGAUCCUUCCAUUUCCAGUGAUUUCUGAGGGAGAGGGUGAGAGUUUCACUGCCUGUCCAGCAAAAGAAGGGGAAGAAAGAGCCAUUGUAGAAGCUGCCAUGGCUUAUCAAGAGAAAAGUAAGUGUUUGAUGGUAUGAAAUAUUGUUGAAGCUGGUUGUCAUGAAGCUGAAGUUAGUUGGGUUUCAGAAUAUAUAGUAGUAAGUAGAGAGAAAGAAUCCUCUUAUCUAGUGAUGUCUAUAGCUAAAAUCUCAUUGGGUAUCAAGAUCCCAUGUAUAGCAAGUAAUGCACUCUUGGCAAUUCCAAUCCAUCAAUUUUCCAAGAUGUUCACUAAGGGGGACCCAACCAAUUUUGUCCUCCUAUAUGUGGCUGCAAGGCUUGAAAUCUAUUCUAUGAAUUCUCGAGCUUCAAUAUGAUAUCUUUUAUCCAUUGGGAAUUUCUCAAGAUUUUAUCCACCAUGACUAUAGCUCAUUCAGUGUAGAACUAUGGUUUGGCAUUUCACUAAGUAAAUUGAGGAAAAACUGAAAUUCACUUGUAUUAGAUUAUCAAUUACUGAUGUUUGUCAAAAGAUUAACCUGUAAUGGCUUAAUGAGCAAAGGUGGAUCAAGAUUUGAAUUUUAUGAGUUUUUAAUCUAGGACUAGACCUUAAGUAGUAUAUCCGUUGUCCCAAUUUGUGUGGCACAAUUGCAAUUUCGAGAGCCAACCAAGUUUUUCUUUGAUGGAAAUUUGUUUACAUGUCUUUUAAAUAUUUCAAGUUAUUAAUUAUUGUGAUUUAUAGUAGUACUUUUUAUUUUUAGAUAACCGUGGUAUCCAGUGUUUGCCACCUCCCACCAACAUGGGAUUUGAACCUAAGAUCACUAAGGUUCUCAACCCACUUCAUUGACCAUUAGCCCAUAACCUUGAGUGCAUUGUGAUUUAUAGUAUUGUUUACAUAGUUUCCAAGUACAUAGAUUUUAUUUCAAAAAAAUUAAAACUUUUGUGUCCAAAUUGACUGUCAAAGUUUAAAAGUUUGAAUUUCAAAAUUCUAAAACAGAGGGAGUAGUAAAUAGAUUCUGAAUUUGAUUACAUACAUAUUUAAUGAUUAUUGUAACACAUACAUUAUUUGGGCAAAAGCUAAUUGGUUCUGUCAAACAGUAUGCGGAAGACUACCUCUGUCCCUGUUAAUAAGUGAUAUGAUUGUAUUAGUAUUUUUAUAAUGUCAAUGCAUAGAACUUAAUUGCCUUUCUAGUAAGUGUCAUGUAUAGCUUACUUUUAUCUUCUUCUUACUAUGUCCUUUUGGCUCUGGUCAUUACUAUGUGCCAUGUUUCGAAGGAUGCCUGCCUCUGUUAAAUAAGCCGUCACACAGGCAUGCAAGGAAGGAAGGAAGAGUAUACAAGAAAUUUAUGAAUUUGUUCAAAUUAAAGAUGCUAAUUAAAUUAACGUACACGUAAACCUAAGUAUUAUGACCUGGAAACUCAUAUAGCAGUACUUGCUACAUUCAGACUACAAAACAUAUUGGUUUUCCCUUUUUAACUGAAAUGUCAUUGGUCUAGUAGUAAAAUAAUAUGAUGACCCUAUUUACUUUUGAAAGAAAAAUGAGGAAUCAUGUAAUAACAUCAUAUCGUUCAGCAUUAUUAUUUGCACUGAUUUUGAGUAUUGCUUCUUGAGAAUUAAUUGAAUUCCAUAAGUUUCUCCGGUCUGUAAAUUUAAGUUUUAAGCUUUUAACAGCUUUCUAGUUUUUCUAGUUACCAUAUCCCAAAUGCAGCUUCGGUCUUUUUGCUAUGCUCUUCUUUUUUUCCCUUUGGUAUGAAAAUUGAAAAUGGCAAUAUAUGAUUCAUGUCUUUGAAAAGUGAAACUCAGAACUACAUCAUCAUUGAGAUAUAACAAACAUUUAUUCUAUUGUCAACUCACUCACAACAACUUUACAAGGCCAUCAAGCAAUCAAAUUUUAAGAAUUAUAUUAUGAUAUUCAUUUUCCGGGAACGAAGUUUGUGGCAUAGGCCCAGGCGUUGUUGUUAACUGGAUCUGCUAGGUGGUCAGCAAGGUUCUCCAAUGGACCCUUUCCUGUAACAAUGGCCUGAACAAAGAAUCCAAACAUAGAGAACAUAGCAAGUCUACCGUUCUUAAUCUCCUUUACCUUGAGCUCAGCAAAUGCCUCUGGAUCAUCAGCAAGACCUAAUGGGUCAAAGCUGCCACCAGGGUACAGUGGGUCGACAACCUCACCUAGAGGCCCACCAGCAAUACGGUAUCCCUCAACAGCUCCCAUCAAGACAACUUGACAAGCCCAGAUAGCCAAAAUGCUUUGUGCAUGGACCAAGCUUGGGUUGCCCAAGUAAUCAAGUCCACCCUCGCUGAAUAUCUGGGAUCCAGCCUUGAACUACACAGCCUCACCAAACUUGACACCAUUACGGGCCAAGAGCUAGGGGAAGACACAUCCAAGAGCACCAAGCAUAGCCCAUCUGCAGUGGAUCACCUCAAGUUCACGGUUCUUGGCAAAGGUUUCUGGGUCUGCUGAAAGUCCAGCAGUGUCCCACCCGUAGUCACCGGGAAAUUCACCGGUCAAGUAGCUUGGAGACUCACCUGAGAAUGGGCCCAAGUACUUGACACAGUCUGGCCCAUACCAUGGGCUGCCAGAUGAGGCAGGCUUGGAAACAGCCUUUCUCAUAGAGAUCCUUCCAUUUCCAGUGAUUUCUGAGGCAGAGGGUGAGAGUUUCACUGCCUGUCCAGCAAAAGAAGGGGAAGAAAGUGCCAUUGUAGAACUUGCCAUGGCUUAUCAAGAGAAAAGUAAGUGUUUGAUGGUAUGAAUAUUGUUGAAGUUGGUUGUGAUGAAGCUGAAGUCAGUUGGGUUUCAGAAUAUAUAGCAAGUAAGAGGGAAAGAAUACUUAUCUAGUGAUAUCUAUAUCUAUGAUCUCAUUGGGUAUCAAGAUCCCAUGUACAACAAUUAAUGCACUCUUGGGAAUCUCCAAUCCUUCAAUUUUCCAGGAUGUUCACUAAGGGGACCCAACCAAUUUUGUCCUCCUAUAUGUGGCUGCAAGGCUUGAAAUCUAUUCUAUGAUUUCUUGAGCUUCAAUAUGAUAUCUCUUAUCCAUUGGGAAUUUCUCAAGAUUUUAUCCACCAGGACUAUAGUUCAUUCAGAGUAGAACUAUGGCGUAGCAUUUCACUAAAUAAAUUGAGGAAAAGCUGAAAUUCAUUUGUAUCAGAUUAUCAAUUACUGAUGUUUGUCAAAAGAUUAACCUGUAAUUGCUUAAUAAGCAAAGUGGAUCAAGCUUUGAACUUUAUGAGUUUUGAAAUGUAGGACUAGACCUUAAGCAGUAUAUCCUCCGUCCUAAUUUAUGUGGCACAAUUGAAUUUCGAGAGUCAACCAAGUUUUUGUUUGAUGGAAUUUCUUUAUAUGUGUUUUAAAUAUUUCAAGUUGUUAAUUAUUGUGAUUUAUAGUAGUACUUUUUAUUUUUAGAUAACCAUGGUGUCCGAUAUUCGCCACCUCCCACCAACAUGGGAUUUGAACCUAAAACUUCUGAGGUUCUCAACCCACUUCAUUGACCAUUAGACCUUGGGUUCAUUGUGAUUUAUAGUAUUGUUUAAUAGUUUCCAAGUACAUUGAUUUUAUUUCAAAAAGCUUAAAACUUUGGUGUCCAAAUUGAUGUUGACACCUAAUUUUUACCCCCCCACCCCCCAUAACUAAGUUUAAUUUCGAGUUCUUCGAUUCUUAAUAAGAUUACAACAUUUAUUUUAUUGAAUAAAGGAAAUUUUCAAAAAUAUUUAUUGGGGUAAUUUCGUCACUUUAAGUAGCAAUAACAUGUUAUCGUGCCCGACUAUAUGAAAUUAUAUGCUUUGGUUACUUAAAUGGCUAUUUUCUAUAAAAUAAUCAAAGUUUGUCUUGAAAUAAUUUCGAAUGGUUAAUCUUGGUCUAAACAUAAUUUAAUCUCAAAAAUAAUUUGUAUUUAAUCUCAAAAAUAAUUUGUUCAUAUAAAUAUUUGUUUAAAUUUUAUUAAAUCAAGAAGCUCAGAAUUAAAGGAAAUAUUAAUUGAUUUCGAAUUUUGAUUCAAUUCGGCCAACCUAUCAGCUUCGACCACAAUUGAAAUUAGAUUGGCCAUUAUUGCGAGCAAUUGGCCAAUUGAUUUUAAAUUUGGCCAAAAUUUGAAUAAAUCAGCCAAAUCCCUAAUUACAUAAUCCACCCAAUUAAAUCAAUAUUGUCUCAUUUUAUAAACUACAAAUAGCAGCCCACUUUCUUAAUUUAGCUUACUAGCCUUGCCAACCUAAUAGUUAAGAUCAGCCCUUUCCCCUUUCAGUUGGGCCGUUAGUCCAAAACUUUCAGAUGACCCAACAAUUUUCAAAUGACAGCAAACCCAACCCAUUUUCUCAGCAAUCUUUUUCUUUAAUUAUAUUGACCGCCCCAGCCCAACAACAACAUCCGAUUCAUAACCAGGCGCAAUUUCAGCAUCCCCACCAGCCUAUUUUCCUUUUUCCUAUUUUCCUUUUUUUUCUCAAGCAGGCCUAAAUCAACCACCUGUGACCCGAUCCAACCCAAUUCCCUUUACCCCCUUUAUGUUCUUUCUCUUCAAACCAAGGGAAAACCAAAAACAGCUGUAAUACUACAACACCACCACCUUCAUCGACAACACAAGCAACCAACAACGGCGAAAAACCCGAAUCCAUCAACCCGAUAACCCGACUCCACCAGCCCCAACCCUUUUGUUUGCUCUCCACAAGCAUAUCACGCGUUAGAAAGAUGAGAAAGGAAUCCAAGAAAAAAUCAGUCCCAAACCUUCUAGAACGAGCCUACGUGUCAUCCCCAAAGGUUCAAUCCCGUGUUUCUCGGAUAAGAUUGUACGAUUUCGUACAGAGUUGGAUGAUUUUCAUUGGUUCUUGGAAAGAGUCCGUUUUUCCUAAAUGGUAUUAGUCUACCUGUCGCAAAUUUCUCCAAAAAAAUCCAAAGUUGGUAUGUUUUGGGCUAAAAAAUGAGGUUGUGGGAGGAUGGGAUUCUGAAUUUCGAAUUUCUCUUUUUUUUUAAUCCCUAGAUUACCCCCAAUUCAUCCCAUAUAUAAGGAUCCAUCGGGUCACUGUGAUGGGGGGAUUUUUUUUUAGAUGGGACUCUCCUCUUUUUUUCUAGGUUCACAACUUUAGAGGUAAAGGGAUUCCAACUGGGAGGUUUGGAAAAUUUCGCAAAAGUAUCGAGGGUUUUGGGGUCGAAAAAUUUUAGGAAAAAAUUUCUUAAAUUAGGAAAUUGAUAGAGAGGGCUAAGUUCAGAAACCAAGGAGGAAGUUUCUAGAGAAAGGAAACAAAAUUUUUAAUAUAGGUGUCUUUGGUCGACGAUUACUUCGAGCUUUCGUGGUCACCGUGUUAAAAUUUCUAGUGGUGUUGCAAUCCUGUCGUCAGCUCAACAACCCAUUUUGCUGCUCUGAAACAGGUAAACGCGUCUUUUCCUUUGAGUUUGUUUUGCUUCUUCAUCUCAUCCUUCAUAGUUUUGUAAUUAUAGUGAUAGUGGGAUGGUUUGUUGUAGAUGGUUGUUAUGGCCAUAGGAUUUUCUUGAAAAGAUUGCCGUUAUGUUGGUCGUUGCAUAAAUGUCUACACUCCAAUCCUUCGCUCCACUUUCGAUUUCGUAUGUUUCGGUUCGAUCGUUUUGACUCACCAUAUUAUUUUCAUGCUGUUAGUUAGUUUCAAUCCAUUCUUAAUAGUAAUCAAUGUUGUCAUGGUGGUGUUUUUUUUUAGUAUAAAUGUUGCUGAUUUUUUCAGUUUAAAUAGUAUUACUUUCAAUCUAGAAUAUUGUUAUUUUCUGAGUCUAAGUAUUGUUGGGUUUCAACCCCAAAUAUUAUUGUGUUUUUUAGUCCAAGUAGUGCUGUUUUUAGGCCUGAUUAUUGCUGUUUUUUAGCCUAAAUAUCGCAGGUUUUUAGCCUGAAUGAUGUUUCGGAACUUAAAUAUUUUUCCCAGACCUUGAACAUCGUCGUUGAACUCUUUGGUUUUGUUUUGUUGCGUCAAACAUGUAAAAUUUUCUUAAGUAGCAUACAGUUGAGUCGGAUCUUAUUUGGUUGUCUUUAGAAUCGAUCAAUAACAUGUUGGUUGUUUUGUUUCGAUUUAAAUCGGUCUUCCUUUCGAAUUAUAGAUGACCAAAAUAGAUAAUGUGCUUCUUUCUUCUUGAAAAUGACGUUCAAAACUGUUUGUGCUUGAGGCGUUGAUUUAUUUUUGCUUUCCCCCUUUGUUAAAAAUAUGUCCAAUUCAUCUUUUUGUGUCGAUUAGAACAGUGGCUUGUCAAUAUCCUAUUCUUACGUUGGUCUGAUUUUCGCUCAUAGGCUUAAAACUCUUAAGGUUUUGCAAAGCUAUUAUGUAGAAAACAACGAUUCUAUUGUCUUUUGGAUACGAAUCUGCAUCCUCAAUAUUUCUUCCGAUAAAUUGUUUCGGAGUCUAUCGUUUUCUCUUUUUGUCUUUGUUAAUAUGUGUCAUUUGCUACUACUUGUUGAUUCUUUGUUUGUAAUACUUGUUUUUCGGUUAUCUUCUACCCUGUUUAAUUAUCUGGUUCAAUAUAUUAAUUUUUUUUAGCUUCAAGAAUCUUGUGAUGAACUAUCACUUGUUGGUCAUUGAUAUCAAAAUAAAUCAAGAUGUGUUCAAACCAAGCUAUAUAAUUGGUCUUUUCUCUUAAGUUUGUGCUUUCUGGUUGAUAAAUUUUAAGGUGAUAUUUCUAUGGGUGAAAUGAAUCAGGAGCUUUACAUGAUAUUUCUUUUAAUUAGAUCACACUAGUACUGUUUUAUUCAUGCACCAAAUGUAUUCUUUUCCAUGUCAUCACUUAUUUGUUAAGUAACCAACUUUCAAACAUAUAUUAAUUUUCUUACUUUUUACUUUGCAUGUGGAUACGUUUGAGUCCUAAACGGACUCCUUUUCACCUUUGCAUCCUCGCUAUGGGCCCUUGAGGCUCACCUCGUUGAACUAAGCCCAAAAGAAGGUCCAAAAGGCCAUCGUUUGGCGUAUGGAUACGAGAAGACGGGAGGAAAGGAAAUGGAUUAAAGCCCUACAUUUGAAGCGGCUAAGAGACAAAAGUCUCAUUUAUUAUUUCAUUCUAUUUAAUUAUUGUUGCUUUUUUUAUUUAUUUUAUUUGUUUGUUCAUUUUAUUUAUUCAUUCGGAUCACGAAGCCAAAGUUGUAAAUUUAAUACAGGUGGAGCGAGACUCGAGCUAAAGACUCGAAAAACAUAGAAUUAGGAUAGGUGCAAAUGGGUCGAAAUCCUAACUAGAUUAGGAUAGGGUCGACGGUUUGGGCUUAAAAGCCUAAAUCAUUACUUUCCCACUUUUUUCCUUUUUUCUUUUCAUUUACUUGUUUGCUUGUCUCUUUGCGAAGUUAGUUAAAUCCCUAACUAAGUCACUAAAAAAUUGAUUUUGAAAUUUUUUUUAUUUAAUCAACUAUUUUUCUAGCAAAUUGAUUUUCCGAAGUUAAUCAAAAGAAUGUUUUUAAACAGUCCGGAUAACCGCAAGUUAACGGACGUUUUAGGUGCCUAACACCUUCCUAAAAUGUUAAUAGGAACUGCUUACUCAGAAUCUAUUAACUUAAACGAUUUUCCUGUUUUGAAUUGUUUGAUGUAAUUCUCUAAAGGUUUCUUAAUUUCUUUUCAAAAUUAAGUGGCGACUCUCUUUCAAAAGUUAAAAUUUCCGCAAAAUAGAAAUGGCGACUCUGCUGGGGAUUUUUUGAACUAGGUUCUAACCAAAUGUUUGAUUUUGUCUUUUGAUUAAAUGUUUAUGUGUUUAUAUAUUUCAAUUCUAUAAAUAUUAAUUAUCGCAUCUCAUGGCAUAUCCCUGCAUUAUUUAAACUGUUUUGGGAUUUUGUGGAUGUUCGGCCCUUGUUGUUUAAUUUCAAAAUGUGUUGGAAAUACGAACAUCUUAUUUGCACGUGAGUCAUCUGAUGCUGUUCGUAUUUUCAAACUCAAGUUGUCCUUUUGAGAAUCAGUGUUCAAACCACUCUAGACACAGAGGAUAGAACGAAACCAAAAUCCUAUUUUAGGCAUGAGUGUAGGACGAUCCAGUACCCGAGUGGGGUAUUGGGCCCAUUGGAAAACCUACCCUACGUCUAUUGACCCCGAGUUAAUUACAGACGAAUCAUAUUUAUGUGUUGAAAAAAAUACAUGCUUGUCUAAUUCAAUCCAUUAUCCUUUGGGGUCUGGGGAAGGCUUAUCUUUGUCUGCUUUCAUGUAGGAUAUGGCUCAACUACAUUCCCACGAAAAGUUCAAGAUGGUUACUAAACCUGACGAUUUCUUGAAACUAUGGUGGGACCACAUGAGCGCAGGAGAGAAAAAGAUUGUUAGAACACACAUUGGGCAUCUUCCUUCUUUGAUCGAGAUGGACGCUUGGCCCGAAAUUAUCCAUGUACUAAUAACUUUUUGGGAUGAUCAGAAUAUAGUAUUUCGCUUUAGGGAUGUUGAAUUGACUCCUACCAUUGAAGAGGUAUUAUUUGUUACGAGAGUACAGAAAUGUGUUUUAAGAGAAGGGAGACACCUGAUAAGAACAUUUUAGUCCCGAUUGUGUGGGAUCGUCAAAAGAUCAAGGAGGUAUUUUUAACUAACGACGACACCUGGCUAGGAGAACGUGUGGAGAAAAUAUCACUUUUCGUGAGUUGUAUCGUCGGUUCGGGAGAUUCAAUGCUUUUCACAAAUUUGGGCAUAAAUAUGAGUCAGAAGCAAAAUGGAAAGAGUCGAGAGCCUUUGCAUUUGCGGUAGGCCUACUUUGAACCAUGGUGUUCCCACAAGGGGAAAAUGGCACAAUUCAUCCGAGGGUUGUCUCAGUGACCUAUGCACUCUUCUUUGGAAUGGAGUACAAUUAUAAAAAGGUAUUUCACAACUUAGAUCCUAUGAUUGUUGCCGACUUAUAUCGAACUUUGGGAAGGUGUCAAGUCGAUAAUCGUUUCUUUCAAGGCUGCAACCUUAUGUUACAAUGGUGGAUGAUGAUUCAUUUGGUGAAAAAUCCUAGAAUGACACAACCUGACCACAAAACAAGGUGGAAUCUGCUAGAAUCGCACGACAUGUGGUUGUUUUUACACAGGUUCAAAAGGGAAGCAUCUCAUGAAUUUUGGCUUAAGACUCUUGGAGAAUUAAGAGAUGACGAUGUCCAAUGGUCCCUUAACUAUCUUCAUUCAGGGAAAUACAUUAUUCAAGGGGGUGAGUGGCCUUUUCUAGUGCUUCCGGGUAUCAGGGGAACCUGUCCCUACAAUUCUGGUAGAGUUCUUAGGCAAUUUGAGAUCAAGAAGGAGAUGCCUCAAAUCGAUUCUAUGCUCAGAUUCUUCACCGAAUAUGAUGAAACCGAGCCCUCGCUCAAAGACUACAUGAUAAACGAAUUUAGAAGGAGAAGGUGGACGGAAGUCUCUUUCCAUAUAGGGUAUGUACCUGAAGUCAACGAUACUUACAAGGAGUGGGUAAAAAAGAGCCUCAGUGGUGCAUUAAUUUCGGGGCCAAACGUGCCCACUUGGGUCGUGGAUGUAGAAUUCGAGCAUCAGAUCCAACUCCACAGGCUUCAGGAUAAAUUUUAGAAAAAUGAAAUCGCGCACCGACAUCGCAUGUAGAAGAUGCUUUAACAAUACGUAUGUUGAGGGAAGAGUUGAAAAGAGCUAGGCAAGAGGCUGAUGAUGCUAGGCAGUGUUUAAUCGAUUUGGAUGAUAGCAUGGCCUCUCAACUCGAUAGUAUAGGGAAAAUGACUUACCACAGCAAGGCACAAUUAUACGGGAGUCAUCUGAUCAUCAAUAGGUAUCAAAUAGCACAGGAGGUGAACAAGGAAAAGAAGGCAAAGACAGACAAAGGAGCCUCCGUUAGCUAGUUUUUCUAUUUCCCCUGCGCGGGAACUUAUUUUCUUUCAUGUUAUUUCCCUUUUUUCCUAAAGAUUGUAUCCCUCUUUUCUUAUUUUUUUGAAGGCAUCUAUGCCCUUUUUCGUGUCUAUAUAAAUUAGGGGAUAAUGGAUUGACUUUAAGGAAGCAUAUAUUUUCUUCAAAAUCGUUAGGCCUGAACCCUUGGCUCAAAAAGGGUCACCCCAGUUAGGAUACGCAUUAUUAUAAUGUUUUGUGUGAUAUAAUUGUCUUAUGUUCUUAUGUGUGUUUAUUUGGAUCAACGGCAAGUUUAUUCGCUAUACUCCUAUGGAUGAAUUUGGCUAUGACUCAAAAAACUCUAUGUGAUUAUUUCUUGUCAAAUAUUUUGCAUUACUUAUCACAUACGGAAACUAACACAUCUGCCUUUGAGUUGUUUUACUUAACAGAUAGUAGAAACUACUCUGUGUUGAUAUAAGUUGGCAGAACAUCCCUACUUCACCCGGUCAAAAGCGCACAAAAUCCCAUCCUCUGACCAUCAUUUAAUAAUACUAGAAAUAAUGAAGAAAACGCAUUGACCAUCAGGGACAAUCUAAUAGUGGAACAGAAUGAGAUGAUUACGGAACUCGCAAGAAAGCUUGAAAUGCUUCAGGAGGAAAUAAAUUGUACUCGAGAUUUGGCUCACCUGGCCAUCACUGUUAAUGCUCCCGCUCCAGGAGGACACGGGACUCCACUCCAAAUACCUUCCCUUAGUACGCCUAUUCUCGGGGAUCAGCCAAAUAACAUAUCAUCCGUCUCUGCCCCUUCACUUGUCCAAAAUACCAAUCGCGAAAAUAACCCAGAUGCCUACCAUCCACAAAAUCCAUCUCUAACCCCACAAAACCCAUCUACGAAUCUAUUCCCAAAUCCCCAGAACACAUUUUCAAAUCAAGAAAAUUCAUUCCCAAAUCCACAGGAUUCACUUCCAAACCCGUAAAAUCCAUUAAAUCUAUUCCCGAAUCCACCAAAUUCGUUUCCAAAUCCGCAGAAUUCUCCUCCAAUUCCACCAAACCACUCGUAAAUUCCACAAAACCUUCCUAAAUUUUAAAACAUCAUCCCCACCUACCAAUAAACUUCCUUUCAUCUGCAAAAUCAAGCCUCCUUUCCAAAUCUCCCUCAUGCCAUCAUAUCCCCUGACAUCUAUAAUCCCCUACCUAAUUUUGAGAUGGACCAUUACUAAGAGAAGGAGAAAGAGUGGAUGAUCGAGGAUGAAAUUAGGUUGCUAGCUAUGAAUGAAGAGAUCAUGAGGAUCAAAGAAUCUCAUGAAGCGAGGGACCACGACGGUUUAGGGUAUGAUGACUUAUGUGUUCACUCUGGAGUAGAUCUACCAGAAGGGUACAAGGUCCCCAAGUUUGAAGUGUUUGAUGGUGCUGGGAAUCCAAUGGCCCAUCUGAGGAGGUACUGUAAGCAACUGGUAGGGAUCGAGAAAAAUGAGGUGUUAUUGAUGCGCCUAUUCAGCCGAAGUUUAAGCGGUGAAGCCUUAGAGUGGUUCAUGUAUCAGUAGCCAAAAAAAAUGGACUGGUUGGAAAGCAUUGGCUAAGGGUUUCCUCGAAAGGUUCUCAUUCAACAUUGAAAUUAUCCCGGACCGGUAUUCACUAGAUCGGAUCAAACAAAAGAGUGAUGAGAGUUUUCGAGACUAUGUUUUUCGUUGGAGGAAGGAAGCUGCCAAAGUUCAACCCUCCAUGUCUGAGGAAGAAAUGGUAUCCGUAUUCUCUCACGCUCAAGAAGGACAAUAUUAUACCAGGAUGGUGUCCGCUUCAGGGCAACUUUUGCAGAUUUGGUAAAAAUUGGGUAAUCACUGGAAGAAGGUAUUCGUACAGGAAAAAAUUGCCAAGACCCCAACAUCGUUCGAAACUGCUAUGUUCUCGAAGAAGAAAAAAGAGGAUGUAGGCACGGUUUCUGCUGAUUCUAUUGCAAAAACGAAAAAAAGGUUCAACUCUAGGAAUGUUUUCUCUUCUCCACCAUCACCAAACUUUCAGCAUGUAUUCUACACCCAACCCCAAUACCAAGCUUCACUUCCAAAUAUCCAACCUCAGUACCAAACUCCACUCCCAAAUAGUCAACCCCAGUACCAAGCUCCACUCCUAAAUGUCCAAUCCCAAUUCCAAGCUUCGCAGCCAAAUAUUUUUCCCUAAUGUCAAGUUCCACCGCUGAAUUAUCAUCCUAAUAUCCAAUCCACUCUUCCAAACAUCCGAAAAAACAUCCAAGCACCUCUAAAUUAUCAUUAAGUGCUUCCUCCUGCAAAUCAAAAUCAUUAUAACACUCCGCAUCCAAACAUCAAAAAUAAACCUCCCCAAAACUCCACGUUGCUUGCUGAAAGUCGCACCCAACUAUUUGAAAGAUUGAAGAAUAUCGGUCACUUGUAAUCGAUCCAGUUAAAUCUUGUCAAUCCCAACUCUCGAUUUUAUUAUCCUGAUCAAAAUUGUUCUUAUCAUUAAGGAGCAGCAGGGCACAGUACCGAGGACUGUUUUAUCUUGAAACAGAGGAUCCAAGAUCUGAUUGAUCAAAAGGUCAUCACGCUUCAGUCACCGACACCAAAUGUCAAUAGUAACCCAUUGUCUAAUCAUGGGGGAUCUACUAUUAACAUGAUUGAAAUGAAACGAGAAUGGGUGUCUGGCAAGACUAUUACUAAGAUGAAUUCAGAAGAGUGCAAAAGGGCGGAAGAGGUAGAAAAGAUAGAGAGAGUUGUGGCUACCUUAAGUGUCAACGAGAAAGCCCCAUUUAUAGUGAUGACGGCCCCUAUCCAAGUGUACACUCACCCGCCAAGGAAGGAAUUUAUUGUACAGACCGUUGUUGCCUAAGGGAUGAUGCAAUCGGGAUGAUGCUACAUCUCUAAAGAAUUGACCAACAAAAAAAAUUCACAGAAAAGGCCAACCACUAAAGGGGAGGAUGAGGAAUUUUGGAGGCGUAUGCAACCCAAAGAUUAUUCAAUUUUCAAACAUUUAGAGAAGACGCCGGCCCAAAUCUCCAUUUUGGCACUAUCAAUAAGUUCGCAAUACCACCGAUAAGCUUUAUCAAAGGUCUUGGAUGAAGCGUAUGUUCCCGUAGGAACGAGUGUUGAGAACAUGGUUGCGAUGAUAGAAAACAUUGUGGGGAAUCAUCGUAUAUCAUUCAGUGAUGAAAAGUUGCCUUUUGAAGGAGUGAUGCACAAUAAAGCCUUGCAUGUCACUGUCAUUUGCCAAGAUUAUGCGAUUAAUCAGGUAUUAAUAGAUGAUAGAUCUGGUGUGAAUAUUUGUCCCCUCUCCACGUUGGUUCAAAUGGGCUAUAAUUUGGGAAAAAUUCAUCAAAGCCACAUAAAUGUGAGAGCAUUCGAUGGAGGGCAGAGAGAUACCAUAGGAGAAAUUGAUUUGUACAUCCAAAUGGGACCUGCUGAGUUCAAAACUAAGUUUCAUGUUAUGGAUAUUCAUCCUAGCUACAACCUUCUCUUGGGAAGACCAUGGAUACAUGGUACAAAGGCCGUUUCAUCACCCCGUCAUCAACUAUUGAAAUUCAUUUGGGAGGAUCAUGAAGUAGUCAUCCAAGGGGAAGGAAGCCGAGCGGAUCGUCCCAAUGGUUAUGUGCCGGUAAUUGAAGAUGUUCCAAAGGGUAGUAGUUUCUAUACGGUUGAAAUUAUAAAUGCUGUGGAGAAGGAUCUGACGCUCAAAGGGACAAUGCCUUCUUUCUAUAAAAUAAUUGCGACGGUGAUGUUAAGAAAUAGAUUCGAGCCUGGUCGGGGUUUGGGUACGAAUCUACAAGGAAUUAUUGAGCCUAUUAUGAUCCCAGAGAAAGCCUUUAAAUAUGGGUUAGGAUAUCACCCUACCGAGAAGGAUAUGGUUGAGGAUAAGUUAGAGCAGAGUCUGUGUAGGCCCUUUUUGCUUUUAUACCAGUCAUUUCCUAUACGGGAGAUGUCGAAUGAUGAUGGUCUUGAGUAUGGGAUAGGAGAUUUGUUUGAGGGAUGCAAUGCUAUACCAGAAGAUUUCCCAAAGUCCGGCGGGGUGAAGAAGAUUGCGCCAGGGGAGGCCUUGAAAAACUGGACCUCCACUCCAACCCGUCGCCCAUCGUGGUAGAUGAAAGGGCAAUUCAGAAUAGUUUUAAAAUCAGUGAUGAUCUGGAAGAGGCCCCACGAUCCACACUUUAUAUCUCAAAACUUUAUUUUUAUAUUUUACUGCUUUCAAAAAGGCAUGGACUUGUAUUUGCACGAGUCAUGAGCCAUGGUUUUGUAAUUAUCUCGCAAAUUUCAUUGAAAAGGCCUUCAUUCAUUUAAAAAAAAAUUAUUAUUCCUGAAACAUUCCUAUUCGUAUAUUUUAUUAUUAUCUUAUUAUCAUCUAACUUGGUUUGUUUGUCCAUUACAGUAACAGUAACUUAAAAUCUGCCAAUGUCAUGUCAUAUCAAAGCUUAGACGAACAAAAUAAGGGGAAUGAUGAUGAUUGGAAGGACGGUGAUGAGGAACAAUUAGUUGAAGAUAUAGAGGAGUUUGAGAAUCGAGAAAAGCCUAACCUAGAGGAAACUAAAAUAGUCAACCUCGGAGAUCAAGAUGAAAUCAAAGAAAUAAGUGUCAACGUCCACUUGGCGGAAGCACAAAAGAGAGAGCUCAUUCACCUGUUACAGGAAUAUAUUGACGGUUUUGCUUGGUCCUAUGAUGAUAUGCCGAGAUUGAGCACCAAUAUUAUGUCGCGUAAGUUGCCAAUAAAUCCAGAGUUUGAUCCAGUCAAGCAAAAAAUACGGAAAUUCAAGCCAGAUUUAAGUCAAAGAUCAAGGAAGAAGUGACAAAACAAAUCCAGUCUAAGGUUGUGGAGGUCACAAAAUAUCCAACAUGGUUGGCCAACAUUGUCCCUGUGCCGAAGAAGGACGACAAUAUUCAAAUUUGUGUUGACUAUAGAGACUUGAAUAGAGCCAGUCCUAAAGAUAAUUUUUCGUUGCCCAAUAUCCACAUCCUCAUCGAUAACUGUGCAAAGCAUGAAAUUCAGUCAUUCGUUGAUUGUCUUGCCGGGUAUCAUCAGAUAUUAAUAGAUGAGAAAGAUGCAGAAAAGACGACUUUUAUUAAGCCCUGGGGUAUUUAUCAUUACAAGGUAAUGUCGUUUGGUCUCAAGAACGUGGGUACAACAUAUAUGAGGGCUAUGACGAUGAUUUUCCAUGAUAUGAUCCAUAAAUAGAUUGAGGUGUAUGUGGAUGAUGUAAUUAGCAAAUCCUGCGAGAGUUCAGAUCAUCUGACUCAUCUGGAGAAAUUCUUUAACAGAUUAAGAAAGUACAGUUUAAAGUUAAAUCUUGCUAAGUGUACUUUUGGUGUGCCAUCAGGGAAGUUACUGUUCAUAGUUAGCAGAAGAGGCAUCGAGUUAGACCCAUCCAAAAUCAGGACAAUCCAGGACUUGCCAUCGCCGAGGACUAAGAAGAAAGUUAUGAGUUUCAUGGGUCAUUUGAAUUACAUUAGUAGCUUCAUCGCUCAAUCGACAUUCAUAUGCGAUCCAAUUCUCAAGAUAUUGAAGAAAAAUUCAUUGAAUGAGUGGACAGAAGAAUGUCAGAGAGCUUUUGACCACAUCAAAGAAUAUCUAUCUGCACCACCGGUUUUGGUUCCACCAAGAGAAGGAAUUUCAUUAUUGCUUUACCUGUCAGUCCCAAAAAAUGCUUUUGGAUGUGUCCUCGAGCAACAUGAUGAGACCGGUAGAAAAGAGAAAGCCAUUUACUACUUGAGUAAAAAGUUUACGCCAUAUGAAGCCCGUUAUACUCUUGUAGAAAUGACAUGUUGUGCUUUGACUUGGGCUGCACAAAAGUUAAGGCAUUAUCUGUCUUCGUACACGACAUACAUCAUCUCGAGAAUGGAUUCAUUGAAGUAUAUAAUACAGAAGACUAUACCCACAGGAAAGCUAGCCAAGUGGCAAAUAUUGCUAAGCGAGUUUGACAUCAUGUAUGUAACUCAAAAUGCAAUCAAGGGGCAAGCUUUGGCAGAUAAUUUGGCAGAGAAUCCAGUUGAUGAUGAGUAUGAACCACUUCAAACUUACUUCCCAUAUGAGAAAAUUCUAUUUGUGGGAGAAGACAUUACAGAAAUUUACCCUGGAUGGAGGUUAUUCUUUGAUGGAGCGGUCAACUUCAAAGGUUCAGGAAUCGGAGCAGUGUUGGUCUCAGAAAUGGGUCAACAUUAUCCAGUAACUACUAAGUUGCAUUUCCCAUGCACCAACAACAUGGCCGAAUAUGAAGCUUGCAUCCUGGGUCUCAAAUUGGCACUUGAUAUGGGUGUUCGUGAAUUGCUAGUCAUCAGGGAUUUAGAUUUGCUGAUUCACCAGGUACGGGGAGAAUGGGCGGUAAAAAAUUCCAAGAUUACUCCUUAUGUUGAGCUGGUACAGGAAUUAUGUGGAAAAUUCAAAGAAGUUGAUUUCAGACAUAUCCCAAGAAUACAAAAUGAGUUUGUUGACGCUUUGGCCACUAUAUCCUCUAUAAUUUGGCACCCAGAUCAGAGUUAUAUUAAUCCUUUGGAAAUAAGCUUGAAGGAGCAACCUGCGCAUUGUGCACGUGUUGAAGAGAAGCCCGAUGGAAAGCCAUGGUACUAUGACAUUAAAAGGUAUUUAGAAUCUGGAAUAUAUCCUGAAGAGGCCAGCAACAACCAAAAGAAACAACCCAGCGUUUGGCAAAAAACUACUUUCCAAGUGGGGAAUUUCUUUUUAAGAGGACACCUGAUUUAGGAUUUUUAAGAUGCGUAGAUGCUGUGGAAGCCAAUAAAUUGAUAAAAGAAGUACACACAGGAGUUUGCGGACCCCACAUGAAUGGGUUUGUCCUUGCCAUAAAGAUCCUGAGAACCGGCUACUUCUGGAUAACUAUGGAGAAUGAUUUAGUAAGUAUGUGCAGAGAUGUCCAAAAUGCCAUACACAUAGAGAUUUGAUUCGAAUGCCUCCACACGAGCUUCAUGAAAUGAAUUCACUUUGGCCUUUCGUAGCUUGGGGCAUGGAUGUUAUCGGACCGAUAGAGCCAUCAGCAUCGAUAGGCAUAAAUUUAUUUUUGUUGCCAUUGACUACUUCACUAAGUGGGUCAAAGCUGCAUCAUAUAGAUUCGUCACUAAGAAAAUGGUUGCAGCUUUCGUUAGGAAUAACUUGAUUUGCCAAUUCGGAGUACUGUAAUCAAUCAUUACUGAUAAUGGGGCAAACUUGAACAGUCACUUGAUGAAAGAAAUUUAUGAUCAGUUCAAAAUUGUGCAUCGCAACUCUACCGCAUAUCGUCCACAGAUGAAUGGAGCCGUAGAAGCUGCCAAUAAGAACAUCAAGAAGAUCUUGAGAAAGAUGGUCAAAAUGAUAGAUCAUGUCAUGAGAUGUUACCUUAUGCUUUGCUAGGUAUCGCACAACAGUUCGAACCUCCAUCUGGUCAACUCUCUAUUUGUUGGUUUACGGGAAUGAAACUGUGAUACCUGUUGAGGUUGAAAUACCUUCCCUGAGGAUUAUUCAAGAGGCCGGACUAAGUAACAAAGAGUGGGUUCGCGCUCGUUGUGAACAACUCAUGUUGAUUGAUGAAAAGAGAAUGGUUGCCAUGUGUCAUGGUUAGUUAUAUCAGCACAAGAUGAUUCAUGCUUUCAACAAGAAAGUGAGAGCUCGAACAUUUGAAGUUGGGCAAUUAGUUCUCAAAUGCAUACUCCCUCACCAAGAAUAUUACAAGGGCAAGUUCGCUCCAAAUUGGCAAGGUCCAUACAUAGUUCGCAAGGUACUAUCUAGAGGGGCUCUGAUUUUUCUGAGAUGGAUGGCCAUGAGUGGACCAAACCAAUCAAUUUUGAUGUGGUGAAAAGAUACUAUGUUUGAAGGGCGUUCUAGUUUUAUGGUUCUUAGUUUAUCUGUAAUCGCCAUGUAAUAAUGUGUUUUAUGAUGUGUAAUUGCCUAGAACACUUUUCCCUUUAUGUACGAACUAUGUUUGACCUGAAUUCCCAAGAAAGGGAUACGUAUGCGGCCUAUGUCGGAUUCGGUCAACCUCUUAGAGAAUUUAUUCUUUCCCUUUAUGUAUGAACUACUUGAUGACCUGAAUUCCCAAGAAAGGGAUACGUAGGCGGCCUAUGUCGGCUUCGGUCAACCCAUUAAUUUGUUUUGUAUAUUCCUAGCGUAAUCCUAAACUACAUUUGACCUGAUUCCUACUUCAACGGGAUACGUAGGCGCCCCAACGGUUCGAUCAUAUAACCCCAAGAAAUGAAAACUGGGGCAGAAUUUUUGAGAAGGAAUCUCGAAAAUUCACAAGAGAAGAUCAACAUCCAACAAAGAGAACGAAGAUCAGCAAAGACUUUAGAUCCACUCAAGAUGAUAUCAUCUCAGACUACUUUAAACUGGGGCAGAAAUUUUAAGGAAGACCUCAAAAUUUCAAUCAAAUACUGGAAUAUAUUUUAGAUUCCCCAGCACUAGAGGUCAAAGUUGAGAUUUGAGAAUAACCACCUGUGAUAAAGUCUAGGAAGACUGAAUCUCCAUCUUUGAUAAAACCUCUGGUAGAGAGCCUCGACAAUCUUGAAUCCCAGCUAUCCUCCGUCAAACGUCAGACAUUGUCAGAAUCAAGAUAAAGAAGGUCGUUGAGCUAGCACAUGACAUGACUGGCAAAGAUUUUUCAAAGUUUUGCAGGAGUUCUCAAAAUUAUUUUCUAAAAAGUAAGAGUACUAAAAUCUAUAUAAAUCUUUUACUUAGUUAUUGCCUAGACAUCAAUUAGGACGGAGAGUCAUAAGUAGAAGUCCCAACACGACGAAAUACCUGAAAAAUGGCGAAAGGUAAAUCAAGGAUCGAAGGAGGUCAACACGAAGUAGUUUCACUCAAACUAAUCAUUUUUUAUGGGCGCAAGGACCAAUACACAAAAAUGAAAGUCUCUUUCAAAAAUCUCCGAGCAAAUUGGGAGCCACACCAGAGCACUAAUGCUCAAGAACAGUAUUUUUGGGUAGCCCUAAAAAUGGGUUUAGUACCCAUAUAUUGAAGACCUUUUAAAGUUGUCCAUCUCAUUUCUUGAGAUCAUGGAGGACAAAUAAAAGUGUCUUGUCUUCUUUACAAAUAUUGUAUUUAGAAUUUUUCUAAAAAACAUUCGCUAGCAAAAACGACUUUGUGUCUACUAAUCGUCUACCUUGAGUAUAGGUACAUGCAGAAAGCAAGAUCCUGACAAAUGAUUUCAGUUGAAACUAUUUUUAAUUUACCGGAAGAACCAUUGCAUAUCAUUGCCGAAAGAACAAUUUGAGAGAUUAUCUAUAAGUCAUAUUGUAUCCAAGGUCGGAUGAUAUGCAGGAACCCCUGAAAGCUAGCGAUUGGAGGGAUAUCUGUAAGCUGUCUCUUAUCCAAAGUCGAAUAAUUUGCAGGAUUACCUAAAAGCUAGAAAUUCAAAGGAUAUUUGUAAGUUUCCUCUUAUCCAAUAUCAAAUAAUGUGCAAGAUUAUCCAAAGAUUGAUAAUUUAAAGGAAAUUUAUAAAUCAAUCAUCGUCAAUAACCAAAAAGGUUAUCCUUCCACAUACAACAAGAAUUAUAGGUGACCGAAGAAGUUACCACAUCUACACAAGAUUACAUGGUUGUGAGGACCAUUCUUCAUAAAAUAUCAUUGAUGUCCGAAGGGCCACCCCACUUUGAAGAUAUAUUCAACCGACAAAUGCCAUAAUUAUACAACUAUCAAGAAGGUUGUUGUGCCUGUUAUUUCAAGUUAUUUCCUUUCAAACAGGUACAAGAAAGGAUGACUUCGCUUUUUAGACAACAACUCACGCGGAGAUAUGGUAAAAUACUAUAUACCUCUUUCGUGAGUUAUGCUUAUCACUAAUGAUUUUUGUUUGAGAUAUUGUCGAGAGCAUCCGAGAGGAUAAAAAUCUCAAAUCAAAACCACAAGUGAGGACGACUCCAAAAAGGACGCAGCACAACGUGGAACUCUUUCUUAGCAGCAAAACGGGACAUAGUCUAGACAGGGAUGUCAAACUCUCUGGAUGCGAGCUAAAUGAUGAUUACCACCACCAUCUAACCACACCCCUUUUAGAAGGCAUGUGGGUAUUUUGGGAUAUUCUGGUUUCAGCUUCACCUUCGGGAUAUUUUCUUUACUCAUACCGAGGGUAACCUUCUCUUUCUUUCAAAUUUGGGUGACAACAUACUUAGAGUUUUGAAAAUUAUGUCCAGGUAAGUUCUUAUCUAUGGAUGUGAAGGAUCCCACAUUCAUGAUUAAGAGGUUACAAACCUUUUUUCCGCAACUCAGUCAACUUGUCACUUAUCCUGAUCCAAAGAUUGUCUAAAAAUAGAAGACUAUCUUUUCUACCGAUAGAGUCGAACUACAAGCAGUCUGAUUCCCUGAGUCUCGGGGAUAUGUAAGCUGGGCUCUAUGUAGAAAACUCAACUGAAUUCCAACCUCCCCCCAAAUCCCUCUAUUCCAUAGCUUUUUGAUUUUGUCAAAAACUCCAAAAAUCGAGACAACUUGUGAAUUUUUUAAAAAUCAUGCUUUAAAUCAUGCUUUAUGAACUACAAGUGGCCUGAAUUCUCAUGCCACCUGAGAUAUGUAGGAAACCUGAUGCCAAGGUUCGGCCAUAACUCAUUAAACUCGUGCUUAAGCCAACCUUUUUCAGAUGUGAAUUUGUGAUCAAACAAAAAUUAGGAACGUCAACCUCCCUUUGCCUAGGAUUACUUGCAUCCACCCUACCCAAAGGGAGGGGGCAGUUGUUGACACCUAAUUUUUACCCCCCAUAACUAAGUUUAAUUCCGAGUUCUUUAAUUUUUAAUAAGAUUACAACAUUUAUUUUAUAGAAUAAAGGAAAUUUUCAAAAAUAUUUAUCGAGGUAAUUUCGUCACUUUAAGUAGCAAUAACAUGUUAUCGUGCCCGACUAUAUGAAAUUAUAUGCUUUGGUUACUUAAAUGGCUAUUUUCUAUAAAAUAAUCAAAGUUUGUCUUGAAAUAAUUUCGAAUGGUUAAAAUCUUGGUCUAAACAUAAUUUAAUCUCAAAAAUAAUUUGUUCAUAUAAAUAUUUGUUUAGAUUUUAUUAAAUCAAGAAGCUCGAAAUUAAAGGAGAUAUUAAUUGAUUUCAAAUUUUGAUUCAAUUCGGCUAACCUGUCAGCUUCGACCACAAUUGAAAUUAGAUUGGUCAUUAUUGCGAGCAAUUGGCCAAUCGAUUUUAAAUUUGGCCAAAAUUUGAAUAAAUCAGCCAAAUCUCCAAUUACAUAAUCAACCCAUUUAAAUCAGUUUUGUCCCAUUUUGUAAACUACAAACAGCAGCCCACUUUCUUAAUUUAGCUUACUAGCUUUGCCAACCCAAUAGUUAAGAUAAGCCCUUUCCCCUUUCAGUUGGGCCAUACAGUUGGGCCGUUAAUCCAAAACUUUCAGAUGACCCAACAAUUUUCAAAUGACAUCAAACCCAACCCAUUUCCUCAGUAACCUUUUUCUUUAAUUAUAUUGACCGCCCCAGCCCAACAACAACAUCCAAUUCAUAACCAGGCCCAAUUUCAGCAUCCCCACCAGCCUAUUUUCCUCUUUAUUCUCAAACAGGCCCAAAUCAACCACCUGUUACCCAAUCCAGCCCAAUUCUCUUUACCUCCUUUAUCUUCUUUCUCUUCAAACCAAGGGAAAACCAAAAACAGUUGUAAUACUACGACACCACCACCUUCAUCGACAACAUAAGCAACCAACAAUGGCAAAAAAUUUGAAUCCAUCAACCAGAUAACCCGAAUCCACCAUCCCCAACCAUUUUGUUUGCUCUCCACAUGCGUAUCAGGCAUCAAAAAGACGAGAAAAGAAUCCAAGAAAAAAAUAGUCUCAAAUCUUCUAGAACGAGCCUAGGUGUCAUCCCCAAUGGUUCAAUCUCGUGUUUCUCAUAUAAGAUUGUACGAUUUCGUACAGAGUUGGAUGAUUUUCAUUGGUUCUUGAAAAUAGUCCAUUUUUCCUAAAUGGUAUUAGUCCACCUGUGGCAAAUUUCUCUAAAAAAAUCCAAAGUUGGUACGUUUUGGGCUUGAAAAUGAGGCUGUGGGAGAAUGGGAUUCUGAAUUUUGAAUUUCUCUUUUUUUUUCAAUCCCUAGAUUACCCCGAACUCAUUCCAUAUAUAAGAAUCCAUCGGGUUACUGUGAUGGGGGGAUUUUUUUUUUAGACGGGCUUCUCCUCCUUCUUUCUAGGUUCGCAACCUUAGAGGUAAAGGGAUUCCAACUAGGAGGUUUGGAAAAUUUUGCAGAAGUAUCGAGGGUUUUGGGGCCAAAAAAUUUUAGGGGAAAACUUCUUAAAUUAGGAAAUUGAUAGAGAGGGCUAAGUUCAGAAACCAAGGAGGAAGUUUCCAUAGAAAGAAAACAAAGUUUUUAGUAUAGGUGUCUUUGGUCGACGACUACUUCGAGCUUUCGUGGUCACCGUGUUAAACUUUCUAGUGGUAUUGAAAUCCUGUCGUCAGUUCGACAACCUAUUUUGAUGCUCCGAAACAGGUAAACGCGCCUUUUUCUUUGAGUUUGUUUUGCUUCUUCAUCUCAUUCUUUGUAGUUUUGUAAUCAUAGUGAUAGUGAGAUGGUUUAUUGUAGAUGGUUGUUAUGGCCAUAGGAUUUUCUUGCAAAGAUUGUCGUUAUGUUGUUCGUUGCAUAAAUGUCUACACUCUAAUCCUUCGCUCCACUUUCGAUUACGUAUGUUUCGAUUUGAUCGUUUUGACUCACCAUAUUAUUUUCAUGUUGUUAGUUAGUUUCAAUCCAUUCUUAAUAGUAAUCAAUAUUGUCAUGGCGGUAUUUUUUUUAGCAUAAAUGUUGCUGAUUUUUUCAGUUUAAAUAGUAUUACUUUCAAGCCAGAAUAUUGUUAUUUUUUUAGUCUAAGUAUUGUUGGGUUUCAACCCCAAAUAUUGUUGUGUUUUUUAGUCCAAGUAGUGCUGUUUUUAGGCCUGUUUAUUGCUGUUUUUUUAGCCUAAAUAUCGCAGGUUUUUAGCCUGAAUGAUGUUUCGGAACUUAAAUAUUUUUCCCAGACCUUGAACAUCGUCGUUGAACGCUUUGGAUUUGUUUUGUUGCGCCAAACAUCUAAAAUUUUCUUACGUAGCAUACAGUUGAGUCAGAUCUUGUUUGGUUGUCUUUAGAAUCGAUCAAUAACAUGUUUGUUGUUUUGUUUCGAUUUAAAUCGGUCUUCCUUUCAAAUUAUAGAUGACCAAAAUAGAUAAUGUGCUUCUUUCUUCUUGAAAAUGACGUUCAAAACUGUUUGUGCUUGAGGCGUUGAUUUAUUUUUCCUUUCCCCCUUUGUUAAAAAUAUGUCCAAUUCAUCUUUUUGUGUCGAUUAGAACAGUGGCUUGUCAAUAUCCUAUUCUUACGUUGGUCUGAUUUUCGCUCAUAGGCUUAAAACUCUUAAGGUUUUGCAAAGCUAUUAUGUAGAAAACAACGAUUCUAUUGUCUUUUGGAUACGAAUCUGCAUCCUCAAUAUUUCUUCCGAUAAAUUGUUUCGGAGUCUAUCGUUUUCUCUUUUUGUCUUUGUUAAUAUGUGUCAUUUGCUACUACUUGUUGAUUCUUUGUUUGUAAUACUUGUUUUUCGGUUAUCUUCUACCCUGUUUAAUUAUCUGGUUCAAUAUAUUAAUUUUUUUUAGCUUCAAGAAUCUUGUGAUGAACUAUCACUUGCUGGUCAUUGAUAUCAAAAUAAAGCAAGAUGUGUUCAAACCAAGCUAUAUAAUUGGUCUUUUCUCUUAAGUUUGUGCUUUCUGGUUGAUAAAUUUUAAGGUGAUAUUUCUAUGGGUGAAAUGAAUCAGGAGCUUUACAUGAUAUUUCUUUUAAUUAGAUCACACUAGUACUGUUUUAUUCAUGCACCAAAUGUAUUCUUUUCCAUGUCAUCACUUAUUUGUUAAGUAACCAACUUUCAAACAUAUAUUAAUUUUCUUACUUUUUACUUUGCAUGUGGAUACGUUUGAGUCCUAAACGGACUCCUUUUCACCUUUGCAUCCUCUCUAUGGGUCCUUGAGGCUCACCUCGUUGAACUAAGCCCAAAAGAAGGUCCAAAAGCCCAUCGUUUGAUGUAUGGUUACGAGAAGACGGAAGGAAAGGAAAUGGAUUAAAGCCCUACGUGUGAAGCGGCUAAGAGACAAAAGUCUCAAUUAUUAUUUCAUUCUACUUAUUGUUGCUUUUUUUUUUUAUUUAUUUUAUUUGUUUGUUCAUUUUAUUCAUUCAUUUGGUCCACGAAGUCGAAGUUGUAAAUUUAAUACAGGUGGAGCGAGACUCGAGCUAAAGACUCGAAAAACAUAGAAUUAGGAUAGGUGCAAAUGGGUCGAAAUCCUAACUAGAUUAGGAUAGGGUCGACGGUUUGGGCUUAAAAGCCUAAAUCAUUACUUUCCCACUUUUUUCCUUUUUUCUUUUCAUUUACUUGUUUGCUUGUCUCUUUGCGAAGUUAGUUAAAUCCCUAACUAAGUCACUAAAAAAUUGAUUUUGAAUGUCAAUAUCCUAUUCUUACGUUGGUCUGAUUUUCGCUCAUAGGCUUAAAACUCUUAAGGUUUUGCAAAGCUAUUAUGUAGAAAACAACGAUUCUAUUGUCUUUUGGAUACGAAUCUGCAUCCUCAAUAUUUCUUCCGAUAAAUUGUUUCGGAGUCUAUCGUUUUCUCUUUUUGUCUUUGUUAAUAUGUGUCAUUUGCUACUACUUGUUGAUUCUUUGUUUGUAAUACUUGUUUUUCGGUUAUCUUCUACCCUGUUUAAUUAUCUGGUUCAAUAUAUUAAUUUUUUUUAGCUUCAAGAAUCUUGUGAUGAACUAUCACUUGCUGGUCAUUGAUAUCAAAAUAAAGCAAGAUGUGUUCAAACCAAGCUAUAUAAUUGGUCUUUUCUCUUAAGUUUGUGCUUUCUGGUUGAUAAAUUUUAAGGUGAUAUUUCUAUGGGUGAAAUGAAUCAGGAGCUUUACAUGAUAUUUCUUUUAAUUAGAUCACGCUAGUACUGUUUUAUUCAUGCACCAAAUGUAUUCUUUUCCAUGUCAUCACUUAUUUGUUAAGUAACCAACUUUCAAACAUAUAUUAAUUUUCUUACUUUUUACUUUGCAUGUGGAUACGUUUGAGUCCUAAACGGACUCCUUUUCACCUUUGCAUCCUCUCUAUGGGUCCUUGAGGCUCACCUCGUUGAACUAAGCCCAAAAGAAGGUCCAAAAGCCCAUCGUUUGAUGUAUGGUUACGAGAAGACGGAAGGAAAGGAAAUGGAUUAAAGCCCUACGUGUGAAGCGGCUAAGAGACAAAAGUCUCAAUUAUUAUUUCAUUCUACUUAUUGUUGCUUUUUUUUUUUAUUUAUUUUAUUUGUUUGUUCAUUUUAUUCAUUCAUUUGGUCCACGAAGUCGAAGUUGUAAAUUUAAUACAGGUGGAGCGAGACUCGAGCUAAAGACUCGUAAAACAUAGAAUUAGGACAGGUGCAAAUGGGUCGAAAGCCCAACUAGAUUAGGACAGGGUCGACGGUUUGGGCUUAAAAGCCUAAAUCAUUACUAGAUUAGGACAGGGUCGACGGUUUGGGAUUAAAAGCCUAAAUCAUUACUUUCCUGCUUUUCCCCCCUUUUCUUUUCAUUUAGUUGUUUGCUUGUCUCUUUGUAAAGCUAGUUAAAUCCCUAACUAAGUCGCUAAAAGUUUGAUUUUGCAAAAAAAUUUUCCUUAAUCAACUAUUUUUCUAGCAAAUUAAUUUUCCAAAGUUAAUCAAAAGAAUGUUUUUAAACAGUCUGGGUAACCGCAAGUUAACGGACGUUUUAGGUUCCUAACACCUUCCUAAAACGUUAAUAGGAACCGCCUACUUAGAAUCUCUUAACUUAAACAAUUUUCCUGUUUUGAAUUGUUUGAAGUAAUUCUCUAAAGGUUUCUUAAUUCCUUUUCAAAAUUAAGUGGCUACUCUCUUUCAAAAUUCAAAAUUUUCGCAAAACAAUUAACUGUCAAAGUUUGAAUUUUGAAAUUCCGACCGAGCCACAUAAAUAAAACAGAGGGAGUAGUAAAAAGAUUAUGAAUUUGAUUACAUACAUAUUUAAUGAAUUUUUUAACACAUAUACAUAAUUUGGGCCAAAGCUACUUGGUUCUGUCAAACAGUAUGCUGAAGGCUACUCUGCCCCUGUUAAUAAGUGAUAUGAUUGUAUUAGUACUUUUUAUAAUGUCAAUGCAUAGAACUUAAUUUCCUUUCUAGUAAGUGUCAUGUAUAGCAUACUUUUAUCUUCUUCUUACUAUGUCCUUUUGGCUUUGGUCAUUACUAUGUGCCAUGUUUGGAACGAUGCCUCACUCUGUUAAAUAAGUUGUCACAUAUGCAUGCAAGGAAGGAACAGUAUACAAGAAAUUUAUGAAUUUGUUCAAAUUAAAGAUGCAUGGUUGAGCGGAGAUUAAGGAAGGUCAUGUCUAUUUCGGAGAAUCAGUUUGGAUUUAUGCUUAGUCGCUCGACGACAGAGGUAAUCCACUUGGCCAGGAGANNNNNNNNNNNUGGAAAGAAAGAGGGAUCUACACAUGGUGUUCAUCUACCUGUAGAAGGCGCAUGACAAAGUCCCUAGGGAAGUUCUUUGGAGGUGCUUGAAGGUGAGAGGGGUCCCGAUGACGUAAAUCAGAGUCAUUAAGGACAUGUACAAUGAAGGGAAGACUCGGGUGAGGAUGGCGGGCGGAGAAUCAGAUCAUUUUUUGGUCGAGACAAGGUUAUAUCAGGGAUCGACUCUCAGUCCGUGUCUGUUUGUGUUGGUGAUGGAUGUGUUGACGCAAAGUAUUCAAGGUGAGGUGCCUUGGUGUAUGUUAUUUGCAGAUGACGUAGUGUUGAUUGAUGAGACACUGGGAGGUGUAAAUAAAAAAUUAGAGGUUUGGAGGCAUACCCUUGAGUCUUAGGGGUUUAGGUUGAGUAGGUCAAAGAUAGAGUAUAUGGAGUGCAAGUUUAGUGACUCGAAGCAGGAGGCCGAAGUGGUGGUAAGGUUGGAUUCCCAGGAUGUUUGCAAGAGGGAUAGUUUUAAAUAUCUCGAAUCUAUGAUUCAGAGGAAUGGCGAGAUUGAUGAGGAUGUCUCUAAGCGUAUUGGAGCAGGUUGGAUGAAGAGGAGGCUCGCCUCGGGAGUGUUGUACGAUAAGAAGGUGCCCUUAAAGCUUAAAGGUAAGUUCUACGGAGUGGCAAUCCGCCCGGCCGUGUUGUAUGGUGCGGAGUGUUGGCCAGUCAAGAACUCCCAUAUUCAAAUAUUGAAGGUAGCGGAAAUGAGAAUGUUGCAUUGGAUGUGUGGGCUUACUAGAAGGGAUAGAGUUAAGAAUGAGAUUAUCCGGAAGAAGGUGGGAGUGGCGUCGGUGGAAGACAAGAUGAGGGAAAAAAGACUGAGAUGGUUUGGGCAUGUGAUAAGGAGGGGCACAGAUGCCCCAGUUCGUAGGUGUGAGAGACUAGCUUUGGAUGGUUUCAGGAGGAGUAGAGGCUGACCGAAGAAAUAUUGGAGAGAGGUGAUUAGACAUAACAUGGAGCUGCUACAGCUUACUGAAGACAUUACCCUAGAUAGGAAGGUGUGGAGGUCGCGAAUAAGGGUGGAAGGCUAGUGCGGGUGUGGGUUGUGACUUGUAGUUAGGGAGCUCUUCUGUAGUCGAUUUAGUAACCCUAGGACUGUCCUUUGGUAGGAGCCGCUAGUGUAUUCUACUACUAGGUGAGUGUCCUUGUCUUAUUUCUUAUUUCCUAUUUCUUAUUUUCGUAGUUCGCUUAUUUUCGUGUCGCUCUUAUUUUUAUUAUUAUUGUUUCUUAUUUCUUAGUUUUUGGUUAUGUCACCCAUCUUGUUUCAUGUAUUAAUAUGACCUUGUUAAUUAUUCUUUAUCUAGAGUCGGGGGUCUAUCAGAAACAACCUCUCUACUUCUUUGGAAGUAGCGGUAUGGACUACGUACAUUCUACCCUCCCCAGACCCCACUUGGUGCAAAUACACUGGGUUUGUUGUUGUUGUUGUUGUUGUAAAGAUGCUAAUUAAAUUAAGGUACACAUAAACCUAAGUAUUAUGACUUGGAAACUCACAUAGUAGUACUUGCUACGUUCAGACUACAAAACACAUUGAUUUUCCCUUUUAACUGAAAUGUCAUUGAUCUAGUAGUAAAAUGUUACGAUGAUCCUCUUUCACUUCUUGACAGAAAAAUGAGGAAUCAUGCAAUAAGCUUAUAUCGUUCAACAUUAUUAUUUGCACUGAUUUUGAGUAUUGCUUCUUGAGAAUUAAUUGAAUUCGAUAAGUUCCUCCGGUCUGUAAAUUUAAGUUUAAGCUUUUAACAGCUUUAUAGUUUUUCUAGUUACCAUAUCCCAAAUGUAGCUUCGGUCGUUUUUGCUAUGUUCUUUUUUUUUUCCUUUGAUAUGAAAGUGGCACUAUAUGAUUCAUGUCUUUGGAAAGUGAAACUCAGAACUACACCAUCAUUGGAAUAUAUCAAACAUUUAUUCUAUUGUCAACUCAAUCACAAUAACUUUACAAGGCCAUCAAGCAAUCAAAUUUUAAGAAUUAUAUGAUGAUAUUCAUUUUCCGGGAACAAAAUUUGUGGCGUAGGCCCAGGCAUUGUUGUUAACCGGAUCUGCUAGGUGGUCAGCAAGGUUCUCCAAUGGACCCUUUCCUGUAACAAUGGCCUGAACAAAGAAUCCAAACAUAGAGAACAUAGCAAGUCUACCGUUCUUGAUCUCCUUUACCUUGAGCUCAGCAAAUGCCUCUGGAUCAUCAGCAAGACCUAAUGGGUCAAAGCUGCCACCGGGAUAGAGUGGGUCGACAACCUCGCCAAGAGGCCCACCAGCAAUACGGUAUCCCUCAACGGCUCCCAUCAAGACAACUUGGCAAGCCCAGAUGGCCAAGAUGCUCUGUGCAUGGACCAAACUUGGGUUGCCCAAGUAGUCAAGUCCACCCUCGCUGAAUAUCUGGGAUCCAGCCUUGAACCACACAGCCUCACCAAACUUGACACCAUUACGGGCCAAGAGCUCGGGGAAAACACAUCCAAGAGCACCAAGCAUAGCCCAUCUGCAGUGGAUCACCUCGAGUUCACGGUUCUUGGCAAAGGUUUCUGGGUCUGCUGAAAGUCCAGCGGUGUCCCAACCAUAGUCACCAGGGAAUUCACCGGUCAAGUAGCUUAGGGGCUCACCAGAGAGUGGGCCCAAGUACUUAACACGGUCUGGGCCAUACCAUGGGCUGCUAGAUGGUGCAGACUUGAGAGCCCUUCUCAUAGAGAUUCUUCCAUUUCCAGUGAUUUCUGAGGGAGAGGGUGAGAGUUUCACUGCCUGUCCAGCAAAAGAAGGGGAAGAAAGAGCCAUUGUAGAAGCUGCCAUGGUUUUUCUCAAGAGAAAGGUAAGUGUUUGAUGGUAUGAAAUAUUGUUGAAGUUGGCUGUGAUGAGGUGAAGUUAAUUACAAGGGGCUUCACCAUAUAUAGGAGGAGUAAGAGCGGUAGAGGCCUUUAUCUAACGAUAUCUACAUCUUUUUCUUUUGGUGUUAACGAUAUCUGUAUCUGUGAUCUCAUUGGGUAAUAAGAUCACAUGUGUAGAAAUUAAUGCACACUUGGCAAUCUCCAGACUCCAAUCCAUCAAUUUUCCAAGAUGUUUACUAAAGGGACCCAUCCAAUAUUGUCCUCCUUUGUGUGGAUACGAGGGUAUUGACUCUAUUCUGUGAUUUGUUGAGCUUACAAUAAGAUAUCUCUUAUCGUUAUCCAUUGGGAAUUUCUCCGGAUUUUAUCUAAUAGCUGGGAAUAAGUUACCAACACUAUAGCUCAUUCAAUGUAGAAGUAGAAACUAGAACUAUGUUUUAAGCAUUCCACUAAAUAAAUUGUGGAAAAACUGAAUUUUUUAAAUCAGAUUGUCAGUUACUAAUGUUUAUCAAAAGAUUAAUUUGUAGUAAUUACUUAAUAAGCAAAAGUGGAUCAGAAUUUGAACUUUUAUGGGUUCUGUAGUCUAGGACGACGACCUUAAAUUCUACUAAAUAGUUUCUAAAUUUAACUUUUCUACAUAUUUAAUAAGUUUAUUAAAACAUACAUGGUUUGGGCCAAAGUUAGUUCUGUCAAACCGGUUUGCUGAAGGGUACCUCUGCGCGUCCAUGUUAAUAAGUGAUAUGAUUGUGUUAUGCGUAAGUAUUUUUACAAUGUCAGUGCAUAGCGUCUCUAUAGGGUCGUCUAUACCUUGUAUCUUCUGCUUACAAUGUCCAUUUGGCUCUGAUCAUUGCUAUGUGAACAUGUUCUUCUCUAAAGAUAGUACCGCAUGCAUGUAAGGAAGGAGGACUACACAAGAAAUUCAAGAAUUUGUUCAAAUCUAAGAGGCUAAUUAAAUUAAGGGCACAUUAGUAUAAUGACCUGGAAACUCAUAUAUUACUUGCUACGUUCAUAUUACAAAACAUAUGCAUUGGUUUUCCCCUUAUCAUUUAAAUGUCAAUGGCCUACGUAGUAGUGAAAUAAUAUUAUGUCCUCUUAAUUUAUCUCACUUCUCUACAGGAAAAUAAGGAAUCAUGUAAAUAGCAUCAUGUUGUUCAUUGUUAUUCUUGGCACUAAGAGUAUUGCUUCAUGAGAAUUAAUUGAAUUUCAAGCUUUACCACAUCCAAAUGUAUCUUGGGUUUUUUGUUUUGGCUCUGUCAUCUUUUUUUCUCGCCUUGAUAUGAAACUGGCAGUAUUUUAUUCAUGCCAUUGGCAAAUGAAAUUCAGGACCAUACAAUAGUUGGAAUAUAAGAAAAAUCCAUUCUAUUGUUAAGUAAACUCACAAUUACAACUUUACAAGGACAUCAAACAAUGAAAUUUUAAGAUUGUUUUAUGAUAUUCAUUUUCCAGGAACAAAGUUUGUGGCGUAGGCCCAUGCGUUGUUGUUAACUGGAUCUGCAAGGUGGUCAGCGAGGUUUUCCAAUGGACCCUUUCCGGUAACAAUGGCCUGAACAAAGAAUCCGAACAUAGAGAACAUAGCAAGUCUACCGUUCUUGAUCUCCUUUACCUUGAGCUCAGCAAAUGCCUCUGGAUCAUCAGCAAGACCCAAUGGGUCAAAACUGCCCCGGGGUAUAGUGGGUCGACAACUUCACCAAGAGGCCCACCAGCAAUACGGUAUCCCUCAACGGCUCCCAUCAAGACAACUUGGCAAGCCCAGAUGGCCAAGAUGCUCUGUGCAUGAACCAAGCUUGGGUUGCCCAAGUAGUCAAGUCCACCCUCGCUGAAGAUUUGGGAUCCAGCCUUGAACCACACAGCCUCACCAAACUUGACACCGUUACGGGCCAACAGCUCGGGGAAGACACAUCCAAGGGCACCAAGCAUAGCCCAUCUGCAGUGGAUCACCUCGAGUUCUCGGUUCUUGGCAAAGGUUUCUGGAUCUGCUGAAAGUCCACCGGUGUCCCACCCGUAGUCACCAGGGAAUUCACCGGUCAAGUAGCUUGGGGCCUCACCGGAGAAUGGGCCCAAGUACUUAACACGGUCUGGGCCAUACCAUGGGCUGCCAGAUGAGGCAGGCUUGGUGACAGCCUUUCUCACAGAGAUCCUUCCAUUUCCAGUGAUUUCUGAGGCAGAGGGUGAGAGUUUCACUGCCUGUCCAGCAAAAGAAGGGGAAGAAAGAGCCAUUGUAGAAGCUGCCAUGGCUUAUCUCAAGAGAAAGGUAAGUGUUUGAUGGUAUAAAAUAUUGUUGAAGUUGGUUGUAAGGAUGCUGAAGUUAGUUGGGUUCAGAAUGUAUAGGGGUUAAGUAGAGAGAAAAAAUCCUCUUAUCUAGUGCUGUCUAUAGCUAUGAUUUCAUUGGGUAUCAAGAUCCCAUGUAUAGCAAUUAAUGCACUCUUGGCAAUCUCCAAUCCAUCAAUUUUCCAAGAUGUUCACUAAGGGGAACCCAACCAAUUUUGUCUUCCUAUAUGUGGCUGCAAAGCUUGAAAUCUAUUCUAUGAUUUCUUGAGCUUCAAUAUGAUAUCUCUUAUCCAUUGAGAAUUUCUCAAGAUUUUAUCCACCAGGAGUAUAGCUCAUUCAGUGUAGAACUAUGGCUUAGCAUUUCACUAAUUAAAUUGAGGAAAAGCUGAAAUUCAUUUGUAUCAGAUCAUCAAUUACUAAUGUUUGUCAAAAGAUUAACCUGUAAUUGCUUAAUAAGAAAAGGUGGAUCAAGAAUUGAACUUUAUGAGUUCUGAAAUCCUGGACUAGACCUUAAGUAGUAUAUCCUCCGCCUCAAUUUAUGUGACACAAUUGAAAUUUCGCGAGUCUACCAAGUUUUUUUUUGAUGGAAAUAUCUUUGUAUGUCUUUUAAAUAUUUCAAGUUGUUAAUUAUUGAUAGUAGUACUUUUUGUUUUUAGAUGACCGUGGUGUCCCAUACUUGCCACCUCCCACCAACAUGGGAUUUGAACCUAAAACCUUUGAGGUUCUCAACCCACUUCAUUGACCAUUAGACCUUGGGUGCAUUGUGAUUUACAGUAUUGUUUUAAUAGUUUCCAAGUACAUAGAUUUUAUUUCAAAAAACUUAAAACUUUUGUGUCCAAAUUGACUGUUAAAAGUUUGAAUUUUGAAAUUCCUACCGUGCCACAUAACAGAGGGAGUAAUAAAAAGAUUCUGAAUUUGAUGUACAUACAUAUUUAAUGGUUUUUGUAACACAUAUACAUAAUUUGGGCCAAAGCUACUUGGUUCUAUCAAACAGUAUGCUGAAGGCUACCCCUGCACCUGUUAAUAAGUGAUAUGAUUGUAUUUAGUAUUUUUUAUAAUGUUAAUGCAUAGAACUUAAUUUCCUUUGUAGUAAGUUUCAUGUAUAGCUUACUUUUAUCUUCUUCUUACUAUGUCCUUUUGGCUCUGGUCAUUACUAUGUGCCAUGUUUCGAAGGAUGCCUGCCUCUGUUAAAUAAGCCGUCACACAGGCAUGCAAGGAAGGAAGGAAGAGUAUACAAGAAAUUUAUGGAUUUGUUCAAAUAAAAGAUGCUAAUUAAAUUAACGUACACGUAAACCUAAGUAUUAUGACCUGGAAACUCAUAUAGCAGUACUUGCUACAUUCAGACCACAAAAAUAUUGGUUUUCCCUUUUAACUGAAAUGUCAUUGGUCUAGUAGUAAAAUAAUAUGAUGAUCCUCUUUCACUUCUUGACAGAAAAAUGAGUAAUAAUGUAAUAACAUCAUAUCGUUCAACAUUAUUCUUUGCACUCAUUUUGAGUAUUGCUUCUUGAGAAUUAAUUGAAUUCCAUUAGUUCCUCCGGUCUGAAAAAUGUAAGUUUUAGCUUUUAACAGCUUUAUAACUUUUCUAGUUACCAUAUCCCAAUUGUAGCUUCGGUCUUUUUCUGCUAUGCUCUUCUUCGUUUUUCCUUUGGUAUGAAAGUGGCAAUAUAUGAUUCAUGUCUUUGGAAAGUGAAACUCAGAACUAGACCGUCAAUGGAAAAUAACAAACAUUUAUUCUAUUGUCAACUCACUCACAACAACUUUACAAGGCCAUCAAACAAUCAAAUUUUAAGAAUUAUAUUAUGAUAUUCAUUUUCCAGGAACAAAGUUUGUGGCGUAGGCCCAGGCAUUGUUGUUAACCGGAUCUGCUAGAUGGUCAGCAAGGUUCUCCAAUGGACCCUUUCCUGUAACAAUGGCCUGAACAAAGAAUCCAAACAUAGAGAACAUAGCAAGUCUACCGUUCUUGAUCUCCUUUACCUUGAGCUCAGCAAAUGCCUCUGGAUCAUCAGCAAGACCUAAUGGGUCAAAGCUGCCACCGGGAUAGAGUGGGUCGACAACCUCGCCAAGAGGCCCACCAGCAAUACGGUAUCCCUCAACGGCUCCCAUCAAGACAACUUGGCAAGCCCAGAUGGCCAAGAUGCUCUGUGCAUGGACCAAACUUGGGUUGCCCAAGUAGUCAAGUCCACCCUCGCUGAAUAUCUGGGAUCCAGCCUUGAACCACACAGCCUCACCAAACUUGACACCAUUACGGGCCAAGAGCUCGGGGAAAACACAUCCAAGAGCACCAAGCAUAGCCCAUCUGCAGUGGAUCACCUCGAGUUCACGGUUCUUGGCAAAGGUUUCUGGGUCUGCUGAAAGUCCAGCGGUGUCCCACCCGUAGUCACCGGGAAAUUCACCGGUCAAGUAGCUUGGAGACUCACCUGAGAAUGGACCCAAGUACUUGACACGGUCUGGCCCAUACCAUGGGCUGCCAGAUGAGGCUGGCUUGGAGACAGCCUUUCUCAUAGAGAUCCUUCCAUUUCCAGUGAUUUCUGAGGCAGAGGGUGAGAGUUUCACUGCCUGUCCAGCAAAAGAAGGUGAAGAAAGUGCCAUUGUAGAAGCUGCCAUGGCUUAUCAAGAGAAAAGUAAGUGUUUGAUGGUAUGAAAUAUUGUUGAAGUUGGCUGUGAUGAGGUGAAGUUAAUUGCAAUUAAUGCACUCCUGAGAAUCUCCAAUCUAUCAAUUUUCCAAUAUGUUUAUAAAGGGGGACCUAACCAAUUUUGUCCUCCUAUAUGUGGCUGCAAGGCUUGAAAUCUAUUCUAUGAUUUCUUGAGCUUCAAUAUGAUAUCUUUUAUCCAUUGGGAAUUUCUCAAGAUUUUAUCCACCAUGACUAUAGUUCAUUCAGAGUAGAACUAUGUCUUAGUAUUUCACUAAAUAAAUUGAGGAAAAGCUGAAAUUCAUUUGUAUCAUAUUAUCAAUUACAAAUGUUUGUCAAAGAUUAACCUGUAAUUGCUUAAUAAGAAAAGGUGGAUCAAGAUUUGAACUUUAUGAGUUCAGUUCUGAAAUCUAGGACUAGACCUUAAGUAGUAUACCCUCCGUCCCAAUGUAUGUGGCACAAUUGGAAUUUCGAGAGUCAAUCAAAUUUUUCUUUGAUGAAAAUUCUUUGUCUUUUAAAUAUUUCAAGUUGUUAAUUAUUGUGAUUUGUUGUAGUACUUUUUAUUUUUAGAUAACCGUGGUGUGAGGUAUUUGCCACCUCCCACCAACAUGGGAUUUGAACAUAAGACCUUAAUCCACUUCAUGGACCAUUAAGCCAUAACCUUGGGUGCAUUGUGAUUUAUAGUAUUGUUUACAUAGUUUCCAAGUACAUAAACUUUAUUCUUCAAAAAACUUAAAACUUUUUUGUCUAAAUUGAUUGUCAAAGUUUAAAAGUUUGAGUUUCGAAAUUCUGAUUGUGCCACAUAAAUAAAACAGUGGGAGUAGUAAAUAGAUUCUGAAUUUGAUUUAUAUAUCUAUUUAAUGAUUUUUUUAACACAUAUACAUAAUUUGGAUCAAGGCUACUUGGUUCUGUCAAACAGUAUGCUGAAGGCUACGUCUGCCCCUGUCAAAUAAGUGAUCUAAUUUUAUUAAUAUUUUUUAUAAUGCCAAUGCAUAGAACUUAAUUUCCUUUGUAGUAAGUGUCAUGUAUAUCUACUUUUAUCUUCUUCUUACUAUGUCCUUUUGGCUCUGGUCAUUACUAUGUGCCAUGUUUCGAAGGAUGCCUGCCUCUGUUAAAUAAGCCGUCACACAGGAAUGCAAGGAAGGAAGAGUAUACAAGAAAUUUAUGAAUUUGUUCAAAUUAAAGAUGCUAAUUAAAUUAACGUACACGUAAACCUAAGUAUUAUGACCUGGAAACUCAUAUAGUAGUACUUGCCAGUAGGGCUGGGCAUAUUUUGGUUUAAACCGAAAAAACUGAAAAAUCAAAUCGAAAUUUUAAUUUCGAUUUAGUUUUUCGAUUUCUUGGAUCGGUUUUGAUUUUCAAUUUUUGAAAUUCGGUUAAACGGUUUGGUGUUCAUUUUUUCAAAAAACAAAAAAUUUGGAUAAACCGAUUAACCGAAAUUCUAUAAAUAAUUAAUAAUAUAUAUAUAUAUUAUUUAAUAUAUAAUAAAAUAAUAUAAAUAUAUAAUAGCCACCCUAAUAACUAAUAAGUAAUAGCACGCCACAUACAGCUAAAAACAUACAUCAGUCCAAUAUUAGAACAAUCGAUUGAACCAUCGACCGCCAGCGAGAUCGUCGUCUGUACAACGACACUAGAGCGGGCGACCAGACGACCACUGUGGGCUGCAGCCUGCAGCGCCGUCUGUGGUCUUUCCGGCAGCGACCACUCUUCCGAGUUUCGACUGUUUAUGCAAACUUAUGUUAUUUUCGUUUGUACUUCGGGUACACAGAAUCUGUAUAUGCAGAAACAGCAACUUCAACUAAAGUUCAAGUAUAUAAACAAGAACACAAUGAAGUAUAUCAAAUACCCUCAACACAAGAUCAAAAUGACCUUUCCAAGAGGUGUAUUUUAUUUUUCAGAAAAUAGAUGAAACAGAAAUGAAUAAGACCAAGCAGUCCGAAUUCACGGACUUUCCUUAAGGAAUAAUGCCCCUCACUGUAUCCGAGGUUAUGGAAUCUUCCUCCCAGGAUAAAAUGGCCUUCAAUCCGACUAUAGCGGUACCUCAAAUAAGCGGAUUCUUCAAACACACAGAACGCUUUGAUUGAUCACACAGAAUAUUUGUAAAGAAAAGAAGAGAGUUUUUAUUCUGCAAAAUUUUUAUAUCAAAACCUGUAAAGGUAAGCAGGUUUAUAUAGCCUAGCAAAUGCCUCUUCGAAAAGGUGGCAUUGGUUCACUUAAAUGGUGUGAUAUUUCUGAAAAUGCAUGUCUGCAACAUUUUUGCUGAAGCAGUAUACCAUUUCACCAAACAGUGCACCUGUUCGAAACAGUACAUCACUUCAUUGAAGAAUUGUAUCUGUUCAGUCGAAGCAAAAAUAGUAUAUCAGUUCAGUGCAUGCAUCAGUUCAGUCAAAACGAAACAGUACAUCAGUUCAGUCAAAACAGUGCAUCAUUUCUGUUGAAACAUUGCAUCUAUUACAGUUACUACAUGUAUUUCGUUAAAUAAAGUUUGUCCAAAAAAGAUAGAUCUCAUCGAUCUAUCAUUUUCCAAAUUCGAAUCCAAAUUCGAAGCCGAGAGAGCGACGACGACGACGGCACGAGGCAUCUCUUAUUUCUUGCCUCACUUAUCAUGUGGAGUAAGUAUUCAUCAUUAUAAACACUCCAAAGUUCCCUUCUCCCAUAAAUGUGGGAGAAUUAGUGAACUUUUUAAUUUUGGGAGUAUACUUUCCAAAUUGGUGUCUCCUCUUCUCCACCAUUUUUUUCUCUAUUUUCCAUUCACACUUUUAUGAAACUAACAAUCCCCCACAUGAAUGGGGAAUGGCUAUUUUUUGUAAAAAUUUUACGGACAAGAAUAUGAUCAUCAAGCAAAGACUGAUUUCAUCUGGAUAAGUGGGUUUCCCUUUGAACUUUCCGUAGUGAACAUGCAUCAGAUGCACUCGGUAAAUUGAUAGAUUUGAUAUCUUUGAACCGUCGAGCUUUAAUGUACACCUAGACAACACAUAUCACACAACCAUCCUUUUAACAUUUAUGGUUCUUACAAUUUUGUUCUUUUCAUCCAUGAACACGUCCCGGUUUUCAUGAGGGCUUAGAGAAUAGGCCUUUACUAACAUUCUCCUUGAAGCGGCUUUCACUUCACCCUUACAUAGGUGAUUUCUAAACGUUCUAUCCUGCAGAUUAAAAUAUUUGGUCAAAUCUGCCAAAUUUAGAUAAUCAUUAAAAGACUUUUCACCUUAAGUUUUAUCCUAGUUUACUAUACAUUAUCUACAUCAUGAGAAUGGGUUGGGUAAUUGACAAUGUUGAACCUGUCAGACACAACUUUGUUUGAUCUCCUUUAACCUAGUUGGGAUCGCCAGUCUGCUAGGUAGAGUUAUCGCUAUGCUGACUCGUCCUAGGCCUUAAACCCAUUCUCUUGGAUGUUCUUUCCACUCCUUCUCUAGAUAGGCCUUUUGUAAGUGGAUCCGACACAUUAUCAUUUGACUUUACAUAGUCAAUAAUGAUAAUUCCACUAGAGAGAAUUUCCCUAACGGUAUUAUGUCUCCGUCGUACGUGACGAGAUUUACGGUUGUACAUCAUGCUCCCUGCCCUACCUAUUGCCGCUUGGCUAUCAUAGUGUAUACAUACUGGUGCCACUGGUUUGGGCCAAUACAAAAUAUCUCCCAAGAAAUUUCGGAGCCAUUCUGCUUCUUCACCAGCUUUAUCUAAUGCGAUAAAUUCAGAUUCCAUUGUAGAGCGAGUGAUACAAGUCUGUUUGGAUGAUUUCCAAGAAAUUGCUCCUCCACCGAUAGUAAAUACAUAUCCACUUGUGGAUUUUACUUCGUUCGAUCCGGUGAUCCAAUUUGUAUCACUAUGUCCUUCAAGUACCGCAGGAUAUUUAUUAUAAUGCAAAGCAUAGUUUUGAAUGUAUUUUAAGAUACCCCAAAACUCUUUUCAUUGCCAUCCAAUGAGUUUUGUUGGGAUUACACCUGUACCGACUCAAUUUUGUAGUUGCACAUGCUAUGUCCGGUUGUGUACAGUUCAUUAUAUACAUUAAAAAUCCCAAUACUCUUGCGUACUCCAAUUGUGAAUCACUUUCACCUUCAUUCUUUCGAAGUGCAAAGUUCACGUCCAAUGGAGUCAUGGCAAUACCGAAUUCCAUAUCCUUGAACUUGUCAAGUACUUUUUCGAUAUAAUGAGACUGUGACAAUGCUAACCCUUGUGGAUUUUGAUGGAUUCUUAUACCUAAGAUUACAUCUGCAACUCCAAGGUCUUUCAUAUCAAACUUGCUCUCGAGCAUUCGUUUGAUUGCAUUUAUGUCACAAAUAUAUCUGCUGAUGAUCAACAUAUCAUCCACAUAUAAACAAACAAUGACUUGGUGAUUUGGUGUGUCUUUAAUAUAUAAACAUUUGUCACAUUCAUUUAUCUUGAAUCCAUUUGCCAACAUGGUUUGGUCAAACUUUGCAUAUCAUUGCUUAGGUGCUUGUUUUAGUCCAUAAAGUGACUUAACAAGUUUACACACCUUAUUUUCUUUUCCUGGCACCACAAAACCCUCAGGUUGUUCCAUGUAUAUUUCUUCCUCCAAAUCUCCAUUUAGGAAUGCGUUCUUCACAUCUAUUUGAUGGAUUUGAAAAUCAUAUACCACCACCAAGCCAAUUAACAUUCAAAUCGAGGUUAUCCUUGUUACUGGUGAGUAUGUAUCAAAGUAAUCAAGGCCUUCCUUCUGUUUGAAGCCUUUUACUAUAAGUCUUGCCUUGUAUUUGUCAAUUGUACUAUCUGCCUUCAUUUUUCUUUUGAAGAUCCAUUUAGAACCUAACGGUUUAUUUCCUGGAGAAAGGUCAACCAAUUUCCAUGUAUGGUUGCUUAAGAUUGAAUCUAUCUCACUAUUGACUGCCUCUUUCCAAAAGGAUGAGUCUGACGAUGGCAUCGCUUCUUUAAAUAUUUGAGGCUUAUUUUCUUAGAGAAAUGUUACAAAAUCUGAUCCAAAUGAAGUUGACAUUCUUUGAUGUGUACUAUGUCUUGGAUUUUCUUCAUUAUGUACAUUCUCACUUGGUUCAUCUCGAGGUCGCUUAGAUCCUCCACUAAACUGUUCAUGUCUAAUUUUAUACGGGUAAAUAUUUUUAAAGAAUUCAGCAUUGUCUGAUUCAAUAAUUGUAUUUUCAUUAAUAUCCGAAUGUUUGAAUUUAUGAACCAAAAAUCGACAUGCUUUACUACUUUUAGCAUAUCCUAUGAACACACAGUCCACUGUUUUAGGUCCUAUCUUAACCCUUUUAGGUACAGGAACUUGAACCUUCACUAGACACCCCCACACUUUGAAAUAUUCAAGCUGGGUUUCCUUCUUUUCCAUUUUUCGUAAGGAAUUGAUUGUGUCUUACUAUGGAAAACUCUGUUGAGUAUACGAUUGGCCAUAAGAAUAGCCUCCCAUCAUAAGUUUUGUGGUAAAGCAGAACUUAUAAGUAAGGCAUUCAUCAUUUCCUUCAAAUUUCGUUUUUUCCUUUCCGCAAUUCCAUUAGAUUGAGGUGAAUAUGGGGCCGUAGAUUGAUGGAUUAUUCCAUUCUCUACACAUAUUUGCGCAAAGGGAGAUUUAUAUUCUCCGCCCCUAUCACUUCUUAUCAUUUUGAUCUUUUUNNNNNNNNNNNNNNNNNNNNNNNNNNNNNNNNNNNNNNNNNNNNNNNNNNNNNNNNNNNNNNNNNNNNNNNNNNNNNNNNNNNNNNNNNNNNNNNNNNNNNNNNNNNNNNNNNNNNNNUAAACGCAUCUAUUGCUUCAUCCUUACUAUUUAUCGAGUAGACAUAACAGUAUCUAGUGCAAUCGUCAAUAAAAGUUAUGAAAUAUUUUUUCCCACCACGAGAUGGUGUUGACGUUAUAUCACAAAUGUCAGUGUGUAUUAAGUCUAAGGGAUUGGAAUUCCUUUCAACGGACUUAUAAGGAUGCUUUGCAUACUUCGAUUCCACACACGUUUGACACUUUGAUUUAUUGCACUCAAAGUUUGGCAAAACUUCUAAGCUAAUCAGUUUUCAUAACGUUUUAUAAUUAACAUGGCCUAAACAUUCAUGCCAUAAUAAGACUCAAGAAAAUAAGAAGAAUUCAAACUUUUAUUUAUUUCAACAGUCAUUACAUUCAUCUUAUAAAGUCCUUCGGUCAAAUAGCCUUUUCCUACAUACAUUUAUCCUUUGCUAAUUACAAUUUUUUCAGAAACGGUUACACAUUUGAAUCCGUUCUUGUCUAGAAGUGAAACAGAAAUUAAAUUCCUACGUAAAUACGGAACAUACAAGACAUUGUUAAGUGUCAAGACCUUUCCGGAAGUCAUAUUUAAGAAAAUUUUUCCUAUUCUUUCUACCUUAGCCGUAGCGGAGUUAGCCAUGUAGAUCAUUUCUUCUACUUGAGCAGAAGCAAAUAACGAAAACAGCUCCUUGUUGGCACAUACAUGGCGGGUGGCACCAGAAUCCAUCCACCCUUCACUAGGAUUCCCCGUCAAGUUGCAUUCUGAGAACAUAGCACACAGAUCAUCGAAUUCUUUGUUGGAUUCAAUCAUAUUUGCUUGAUCCUUCUUCUUUCCUUUCUUUGGGGCACGACAAUCUGUGGACUUGUGGCCAAUCUUGCCACAGUUGAAGCAUUUUCCCUUGAACUUUUUCUUGGUUUGAUUGCUUCCUUGUUUAGCUUUCUUCCUUUUCUUGAAAUUGUUUUGGUCAUCUUCUACAAUAUGUGCUCCAUUAAUUGUAGAAUUCCUCUUUGACCUUCUUUCGGAAGCUUUAUUAUCCUCUUCAAUACGAAGUCGGACAAAAAGUUCUUCAACAGUCAUCUCCUUGCGUUUAUGCUUUAAGUAGUUUUUGAAGUCUUUCCACAAAGGUGGUAGCUUCUCAACUAUCACUGCUACUUGGAAAUCAUCAUUCACAAUUAAACCUACAAUACAGUUUAUGUGAGUAUUAAGAACAUUUUUAAUUUGUUCAACUAAGGUAUUUUUCAAAGAUAUACCUUCUGCUAAGAGAUCAUGUAUGAUGACUUGCAACUCCUNNNNNNNNNNNNNNNNNNNNNNNNNNNNNNNNNNNNNNNNNNNNNNNNNNNNNNNNNNNNNNNNNNNNNNNNNNNNNNNNNNNNNNNNNNNNNNNNNNNNNNNNNNNNNNNNNNNNNNNNNNNNNNNNNNNNNNNNNNNNNNNNNNNNNNNNNNNNNNNNNNNNNNNNNNNNNNNNNNNNNNNNNNNNNNNNNNNNNNNNACAUAAAGUGGUGAGGUAAAAGAACAUCUUUUGCUGCCACCGCUUGAAGUCAAUGCUUGAAAAUAUUUUGGGCUACUCCGUCAGUGCCAUUGUUGGCGGAGCAUUUGUGUGACUUGAUGUGGCAAUAUUAGUUACCCCCAUAGACGUUGUCGCAUCUAUUAUUUCACUUUCGUUAGUCAUCUUUCCUGUCAACACAAGACAGAAAAAUUUAGUAUUUUCAGAAUAUUACUUAUAAAGUUAAAUAACUUUUCAACUUUUCUUCUUGUUUCUAAUUAACGACGAAGCUUUUAUAACUUCAAAUCGUCAACUGAGUGAACUUUAACUUGUGAUGAAGAUUUUAUGUCUUCUAAUCACUAGUUAAAUUCAAGCGGAGUAAAAAGUUUAAAGCUUUAAUCUCCAAAAACAAGUUAUACAGAUUCUGUAAAAGGAAUUAUUCCUUAAGAUUCUUAUUUUUGUUUUACUUUGGGUACACAGAAUUUGUAUAUGCAGAAACAACAACUUCAACUAAAGUUCAAGUUUAUAAACAAGAACACAAUGAAGUAUAUCAAAUACCCUCAACACAAGAUCAAAAUGACCUUUCCAAGAGGUAUAUUUUAUUUUUUAGAAAAUAGAUGAAACAGAAAUGAAUAAGACCAAGUCGUCCGAAUUCAUGGACUUUUCUUAAGGAUUAAUUCCCCUCACUGUAUCCGAGGUUAUGGAAUCUUCCUCCCAGGAUAAAAUGGCCUUCAAUCCGACUAUAGCGGUACCUCAAAUAGGCGGAUUCUUCGAACACACAGAACGUUUUGAUUGAUCACACAGAAUCUUUGUAAAGAAAAGAAGAGAGUUUUUAUUCUGAAAAUUUUUUAUAUCAAAACCUGUGAAGAAAAGCAUGUUUAUAUAGCCUAGCAGAUGCCUCUUCAAAAAGGUGGCAUUUGUUCACUUAAAUGGUGUGAUGUUUCUGAAAAUGCAUGUCUGCAGCACUUUUACUGAAGCAGUAUACCAUUUCACCAAAUAGUGCACCUGUUCAAAAUAGUACAUCACUUCAUUAAAGAAUUGCAUCUGUUCAGUCGAAGCAAAAACAGUAUAUCAGUUCAGUGCAUGCAUCUGUUCAGUCGAAAAGAAAUAGUACAUCAGUUUAGUCAAAAUAGUGCAUCAAUUCUGUCGAAACAUUGCAUCUGUUACUAUUACUAAAUGCAUAUAAAUGGAGUAUUUAUCAGAUUUCAUCAAAUAAAAUUUAUCCAAAAAGACAGAUAUCAUCGAUCGAUCAUUUUCCAAAUCCAAAUCCAAAUCUGAAGUCGAGCGACCGACGACAACAGUGGCGCGAGGAAUCUCUUAUUUCUUGCCUCACUUAUCAUGUGGAGUAAGUAUUCAGCAUUAUAAACACUCCAAAGUUUCUUUCUCCCACCAAUGUGGGAGAAUUAGUGAACUUUCCAAUUUUGGGAGUACACUUUCCAAAUUGGUGUCUCCUCUUCUCCAUAAUUUUUUUCUCCAUUUUCCAUUCACACUUCUAUGAACCCAACAAUCCCCCAUAUGAAUGGGGAAUAUAUAUUUUUCGUAAAACUUUUACGGACAAGAAUGUGAUCAUCAAGCAAAGACUGAUUCCAUCUGGAUAAGUGGGUUUCCCUUUGAACUUUCCGUAGUGAACAUGCAUCGGAUGCACUCGGUCAAUUGGUAGAUUUGAUAUCUUUGAACCGUUGAGCUUUAAUGUACACCUAGAUAACACAUGUCACACAACCAUCCUUUAACGUUUAUGGUUCUAACAAUUUUAUUCUUUUCAGUCAUGAACACGUCCCGGUUUUCAUGAGAGCUUAGAGAAUAGGCCUUUACUAAUAUUCGCCUUGAAGCAGCUUCCACUUCGCCCUCACAUAAGUGAUUUCUAAACGUUCAAUCCUGUAGAUUAAACUAUUUGGUCAAAUCUGUCAAAUUUAGAUAAUCAUUAAAAGACUUUUCACCUUAAGUCUUAUCCUAGUUUACUAUACAUUGUCUACAUCAUGAGAAUGGGUUGGGUAAUUGACAAUGUUGAACCUGUCAGACACGACUUUGUUUGAUCUCCUUGAACCUAGCUCUUGGGAUCUCCAGUCUGCUAGAUAGAGUUACCGCCACGUUGACUCAUCCUAGGCCUUAAACCCAUUCCCUUGGAUGUUCUUUCCACUCCUUAUCUAGAUAGGCCUUUUGUAAGUGGAUCCAACACAUUAUCCUUUAACUUUACAUAGUUAAUAGUGAUAAUUCCACUAGAGAGAAUUUCCCCAACGGUAUUAUGUCUCCGUCGUAUGUGAUGAGAUUUAUGGUUGUACAUCAUGCUCCCUGCCCUACCUAUUGCCGCUUGGCUAUCACAGUGUAUACAUACUGGUGCCACUGGCUUGGGCCAAUACAAAAUAUCUCCCAAGAAAUUUCGGAGCCAUUCUGCUUCUUCACCAGCUUUAUCUAAUGCGAUAAAUUCAGAUUCCAUUGUAGAGCGAGUGAUACAAGUCUGUUUGGAUGAUUUCCAAGAAACUGCUCCUCCACCGAUAGUAAAUACAUAUCCACUUAUAGAUUUUACUUCGUUUGAUCCGGUGAUCCGAUUUGCAUCACUAUGUCCUUCAAGUACCGCAGGAUAUUUAUUAUAAUACAAAACAUAGUUUUGAAUGUAUUUAAGAUACCCCAAAACUCUUUUCAUUUUCAUCCAAUGAGUUUUGUUGGGAUUACUCCUAUACCGACUUAAUUUACUAAUUGCACAUGCUAUGUCUGGUCGUGUAUAGUUCAUUAUAUACAUUAAACAUCCCAAUACUCUUGCAUAUUCCAAUUAUGAGUCAUUUUCACCUUCAUUCUUUUGAAGUGCAAAGUUCACAUCCAAUGGAGUCUUGACAAUACCGAAUUCCAUAUCCUUGAACUUGUCAAGUAAUUUUUUGAUAUAAUGAGACUAUAACAAUGCUAACCUUUGUGGAUUUUGAUGGAUUCUUAUACCUAAGAUCACAUCUGUAACUCUAAGGUCUUUCUUAUCAAACUUGCUCUAGGGCAUUCGUUUGGUUGCAUUUAUGUCACAAAUAUCUCUGCUGAUGAUCAACAUAUCAUCCACAUAUAAACAAACAAUGACUUGGUGAUUUGGUGUGUCUUUAAUAUAUAAACAUUUGUCACAUUCAUUUAUCUUGAAUCCGUUCGCCAACAUGAUUUGGUCAAACUUUGCAUGCCAUUGCUUAGGUGUUUGUUUUAGUCCAUAAAGUGACUUAACAAGUUUACAUACCUUAUUUUUUUUUUCUGAAACCAUAAAACCUUCAGGUUGUUCCAUGUAUAUUUCUUCCUCCAAAUCUCCAUUUAGGAAUGCGGUCUUUACAUCCAUUUAAUAGAUUUGAAGAUCAUAUACCGCCGCCAAGGCAAUUAACAUUCGAAUCAAGGUUAUCCUUGUUACUGGUGAGUAUGUAUCAAAGUAAUCAAGGCUUUCUCUUUCUGUUUGAAGCCUUUUACUACAAGUCUUGCCUUGUAUUUGUCAAUAGUACCAUCCGCCUUCAUUUUCCUUUGGAAGAUCCAUUUAGAACCUAACGGUUUAUUUUCGGGAAGAAGGUCAACCAAUUUCUAUGUAUGGUUGCUUAAGAUUGAAUCUAUCUCACUAUUGACUGCCUCUUUCCAAAAGAAUGAGUCUGACGAUGGCAUCGCUUCUUUAAAUGUUUGAGGCUUAUUUUCUUAGAGAAAUGUUACAAAAUCUGAUCCAAAUGAAGUUGACGUUCUUUGACGUGUACUACGUCUUGGAUUUUCUUCAUUAUGUACAUUCUCACUUGGUUCAUCUCGAGGUCGUUUAGAUCCUUCACUAGACUGUUCAUGUCUAAUUUAUACGAAUAAAUAUUUUUAAAGAAUUCAGCAUUAUCUGAUUCAAUUAUCGUAUUUUCAUUAAUAUCCGGAUGUUUGGAUUUAUGAACCAUAAAUUGACAUGCUUUACUAUAUUUAGCAUAUCCUAUGAACACACAGUCUACCAUUUUAGGUCCUAUCUUAAUCCUUUUAGGUAUAGGAACUUGAACCUUCGCUAGACACCCCCACACUUUAAAAUAUUCAAGUUGGGUUUCCUUCCUUUCCAUUUUUUUUAAGGAAUUGAUUGUGUCUUACUAUGAGGAACUCUGUUGAGUACACGAUUGGCCAUAAGGAUAGCCUCCCAUCAUAAGUUUUGUGGUAAACCAGAACUUAUAAGUAAAGCAUUUAUCAUUUCCUUCAAAGUUUGGUUUUUCCUUUCCGCAAUUCCAUUAGAUUGAGGUGAAUAUAGGACCAUAGUUUGAUGGAUUAUUCCAUUCUCUACACAUAUUUGCGCAAAGGGAGAUUCAUAUUCUCCGCCCCUAUCACUUUUUAUUAUUUUGAUCUUUUUGUCUAAAUGAUUUUCAACUUCAGUUUUAAUUGCCUAAAUGCAUCUAUUUCUUCAUCCUUACUAUUUAGCAAGUAGACAUAACAAUAUCUAGUGCAAUCGUCAAUACAAGUUAUGAAACAUUUUUUCCCACCACGUAAUGGUGUUGACUUCAUAUCACAAAUGUCAGUGUGUAUUAAGUCUAAGGGAUUAGAAUUUCUUUCAACGAACUUAUAAGGAUGCUUUGCAUACUUUGAUUCCACACACGUUUAACACUUUGAUUUAUUACACUCAAAGUUUGGCAAAACUUCUAAGUUAAUCAAUUUUCGUAACGUUUUGUAAUUAGCAUGGCCUAAACGUUCAUUCCAUAAAUCAUAACACUCAAGCAAAUAAGAAGAAUUCAAACUUUUAUUUAUUUCAACAGUCAUUACACUCAUAUUAUAAAGGCCUUCGGUCAGAUAGCCUUUUCCUACAUACAUUUCUCCUUUGCUCAUUACAAUUUCUCCAUAAAUGGUUACACAUUUGAAUUCGUUCUUCUCUAGAAGUUAAACAGAAAUUAAAUUCCUACGUAAAUACGGAACAUACAAGACAUUGUUAAGUGUCAAGACCUUUCCGAAAGUCAUAUUUAAUCAAAUUUUUCCUAUUCUUUCUACCUUAGCCGUAGCGGAGUUAGCCAUGUAGGGAGCGAAUGACGAAAACAACUCCUUGUUGGCACAUACAUGGCGGGUGGCACCAGAAUCCAUUCACCAUUCGCAAAGAUUCCCCAUCGAGUUGCAUUCUGAGAACAUAGCACACAGAUCAUCGCAUUCUUUAUUGGAUUCAAUCAUAUUUGCUUGAUCCUUCUUCUUGCCUUUCUUUGGGGCACGACAAUCUGUGGACUUGUGGCCAAUCUUGUCACGGUUGAAGCAUUUUCCCUUGAACUUUUUCUUAGGUUGAUUGCUUCCUUAUUCAGCUUUCUUCCUUUUCCUGAAAGUAUUUUAGUCAUCUUCUACAAUAUGUGCUCCAUUAAUUGUAGAAUUCCUCUUUGACCUUCUUUCGGCAGCUUUAUUAUCCUCUUCAAUACGAAGUUGGACAAUAAGAUCUUCAAUAGUCAUCUCUUUGCGUUUAUGCUUUAAGUAGUUUUUGAAGUCUUUCCACAAAGGUUGUAGUUUCUCAAAUAUCAUUGCUACUUGAAAAGCAUCAUUCACAAUUAAACCUACAAAAUAGUUUAUGUGAGUAUUAAGAACAUUUUUAGUUUGUUCAACUAAGGUAUUUUUCAAAGAUAUACCUUCUGCUAAGAGAUCAUGUAUGAUGACGUGCAACUCCUGUACUUGAGAGACAAAAGAUUUGCUAUCUAUUAUUUUGAAGUCCAAGAACUGUGCAACAAGAAAUUUUUUAAUUCCCGCAUCCUCCGUCUUAUAUUUUCGUUCAAGCGCCCCCCACAGUUCCUUUGAUGUCUUGGUUCCACUAUAAACAUUGUAGAGGUCGUCUUGGAAACUACUCAAAAUAUAAUUCCUGCAAAGAAAGUCCGAAUGUUUCCAAGCUUCUACAAUAACGAAGCGUUCUUUGUCCGAGGUUCCCUCGGGCACCUCAGGAGCGUCUUCGCUAGUGAACCAUUGCAAACAUAAAGUGGUGAGGUAAAAGAACAUCUUUUGCUGCCACCGCUUGAAGUCAAUGCUUGAAAAUAUUUUGGGCUACUCCGUUGGUGCCAUUGUUGGCGGAGCAUUUGUGUGACUUGAUGUGGCAAUAUUAGUUACCCCCAUAGACGUUGUCGCAUCUAUUAUUUCACUUUCGUUAGUCAUCUUUCCUGUCAACACAAGACAGAAAAAUUUAGUAUUUUCAGAAUACUACUUAUAAAGUUAAAUAACUUUUUAACUUUUCUUCUUGUUUCUAAUUAACACUGAAGUUUUUAUAACUUCAAAUCGUCAACUGAGUGAACUUUAACUUGUGAUGAAGAUUUUAUGUCUUCUAAUCACUAGUUAAAUUCAAGCGGAGUAAAAAGUUUAAAGCUUUAAGCUCCAAAAACAAGUUAUACAGAUACUAUAAAAGGAAUUAUUCCUUAAGAUUCUUAUUUUCGUUUAUACUUCGGGUACACAGAAUCUGUAUAUGCAGAAACAACAACUUCAACUAAAGUUCAAGUAUAUAAACAAGAACACAAUGAAGUAUAUCAAAUACCCUCAACACAAGAUCAAAAUGAUCUUUCCAAGAGGUAUAUUUUAUUUUUCAGAAAAUAGAUGAAAGAGAAAUGAAUAAGACCAAGUCGUCCAAAUUCACGGACUUUACUUAAGGAAUAAUUUCCCUCAUUGUACUCGAGGUUAUGGAAUCUUCCUCCCAGGAUAAAACGGCCUUCAAUCCUACUAUAGCGGUACCUCAAAUAGGCGGAUUCUUUGAACGCACAGAACGUUUUGAUUGAUCACACAGAAUAUUUGUAAAUAAAAGAAGAGAGUUAUUAUUUUGAAAAUUUUUAUAUCAAAACCUGUGAAGGAAAGCAUGUUUAUAUAGCCUAGCAGAUGCCUCUUCGAAAAGGUGGCAUUUGUUCACUUAAAUGGUGUGAUGUUUCUGAAAAUGCAUGUCUGCAGCACUUUUGCUGAAGCAGUAUACCAUUUCACCAAAUAGUGCACCUGUUCAAAAUAGUACAUCACUUCAUUAAAGAAUUGCAUCUGUUCAGUCGAAGCAAAAACAGUAUAUCAGUUCAGUGCAUGCAUCUGUUCAGUCGAAAAGAAAUAGUACAUCAGUUCAGUUGAAAUAAUGCAUCAGUUUUGUCGAAACAUUGUAUCUGUUACUGUUACUAAAUGCAUAUAAAUGGAGUAUUGAUCAGAUUUCAUCAAAUAAAGUUUGUCCAAAAAGAUAGAUCUCAUUGAUCGAUCAUUUGACAAAUCCAAAUCCAAAUCCGAAGCUGAAGCCGAGCGAACGAUGACGAUGACGACGCGAGGCAUCUCUUAUCAUGUGAAGUAAGUAUUCAUCAUUAUAAACACUCUAAAUUUUCCUUCUCCCACCAAUGUGUGAGAAUUAGUGAACUUUUUAAUUUUGGGAGUACACUUUCCAAAUUGGUGUCUCCUCUUCUCCACCAUUUUUUUCUCUAUUUUCCAUCCACACUUCUAUGAACCCAACAAUCCCCCACAUGAAUGGGGAAUGACUAUUUUUCAUAAAUCUUUUAUGGACAAGCAUGUGAUCAUCAAGCAAAAACUAAUUCCAUCUGGAUAAGUGGGUUUUCCUUUGAACUUUCCGUAGUGAACAUGCAUCGGAUGCACUCGGUCAAUCGGUAGAUUUGAUAUCUUUGAAUCUUCGAGCUUUAAUGUACACCUAGACAACACAUAUCACACAACCAUCCUUUUAACAUUUAUGGUUCUUACAAUUUUGUUCUUUUCAGCCAUGAACACGUCCCGAUUUUCAUGAGAGCUUAGAGAAUUGGCUUUUACUAACAUUCUCAUUGAAGCAUCAUCCACUUCGCCCUCACAUAGGUGAUUUCUAAAUGUUCAAUUCUGUAGAUUAAACUAUUUGGUAAAAUCUGUCAAAUUUAGAUAAUCAUUAAAAGACUUUUUACCUUAAGUCUUAUCCUAGUUUACUAUACAUUGUCUACAUCAUGAGAAUGGGUUGGGUAAUUGACAAUGUUGAACCUGUCAGACACAACUUUGUUUGAUCUCCUUGAACUUAGCUCUUGGGAUCUCCAGUCUGCUAGGUAGAGUUACCGCCAUGCUAACUCGUCCUAGGCCUUAAACCCAUUCCCAUGGAUGUUCUUUAGCCUAGUAGAUGCCUCUUCAAAAAGGUGGCAUUGGUUCACUUAAAUGGUGUGAUGUUUCUGAAAAUGCAUGUCUACAGCAUUUUUGCUGAAGCAGUAUACCAUUUCACCAAACAGUGCACCUGUUCGAAACAGUGCAUCACUUCAUUGAAGAAUUGCAUCUGUUCAGUCGAAACAGAAAUAGUAUAUCAGUUCAGUGCAUGUAUCAGUUCAGUCGAAAAGAAAUAGUACAUCAGUUCAGUCAAAACAGUGCAUCAGUUUUGUCGAAAUAUUGCAUCUGUUAUUGUUACUGCAUGCAUAUAAAUAAAGUAUUAUCGAAAAAGAUAGAUCUCAUCGAUCAUUUUCCAAAGCCAAAGCCGAGCGAGCGACGACGACGACAGAGCGAGGCAUCACUUAUUUCUUGCCUCACUUAUCAUGUAGAGUAAGUAUUCAUCAUUAUAAACACUCCAAAGUUCCUUUCUCCCAGCAAUGUGGGAGAAUUAGUGAACUUUCCAAUUUUGGGAGUACACUUACCAAAUUAGUGUCUCCUCUUCUCCACCAUUUUUUUCUCCAUUUUCCAUUCACACUUCUAUGAACCCAACAACUUAUACAUAAUAAAGUUAUAUAUUAUGUUAAACUAAUGGUUAUAUCAUUUAAUUUCAUCUAUGUUGAGUUAUUUAUAUUUGGAAAUGAAAAAUAGGUUUGAAAAUAAUUAUUUUAUAAGAAAAAUCAUUAAUUUUAAAUGUCCAGUCAUAACAAAGAGGGGUUCACUAGUUUAAUCUUCAAAAUAAAAAUAAAAAUCUGAAAUAAUCGAACCGAAUUUGUAGAAACCGGACCGAACCGAAUUUAUUUCGGUUUGAUUACGGUUGUCAUUUUUGUCAAUUCAAAAAUCGAAAAACCAAACCGAUAUUAAACUAUCAAACCGAACGAACCAAAUGUCCAUCCCUUCUUCCCAGGGGCGAACCUACGUAGAUUCAAGUGGAUUCAUAUGAGCCCACUUCGUCGAAAUAUCACACCGUAUGUAUCAAUGUUUGAAAAUGUACAAGAUAUAUAUUAAUUUUUUAACCCAUUUUAAAUAGCUCAGCCUAGUGGAAAGGCGGGUUCAAGAUUUUUGAUAGGUCAAACUUUCCGACACCAACAACCUUUUUGUUAAAUGUCAGAUAAUUUUUUCUUUCUAAUUUUUUUUUAUUAUAAUAUAACUUUAAAAUUUAUUUAAUCAAAAUUUGUUUAUUUAUUUCUCUGGGUAUUCAUUUUUUAUAUAUUUGAACCCACUUUCCUGAGCAGAAUCUAUGUUGCUAUUAUUGUAUAUUUGAACCCGCCACUGGUACUUGCUAUGUUCAGACUACAAAACAUAUUGGUGUUCCCUUUUAACUGAAAUGUCAUUGCUCUAGUAGUAAAAGGUCAAAGUCAUCAAUAGACACUCAAACUUAUUGUCAAAAUUCACUUAGACACCUAAACUAAGGCAUGUUCCUAUCAGGCCCCUAAACCCCCCACAUUUUGUUCAAAUUGGGUUUUUUUUGCCCUAUCAGCAAAAAACUCAAAGUGUGUUGCACACAAGCGAUGACAUGGCAAAAUGAGCUAAUUAGAAGCUGACACGUGGCAUUAUGGGUCCAAUAAUUAUUAAAAAUUAAUUAUAAUUUUAAAAAAAAAAAGUAUAUACAAAUGGCAUUGAAUAAAUUAUUAAAAAAUAAUUCUAAAAUUAUUUAAAAAUAAAACUGAUUAUUUAAAAAAAAUUAUAAAAAUUUUCUAAAAAUGAAAUAAAUUAUUAAAAAAUUAUUUUAAAAAACAAUUAAUUAAUAAGAAAAAUUAUAAUUUUUUUUUAAAAAUGGCGAGGAUAUAAAUUAUGAAAAAAUAAUUAUAAAAUUAUUUGAAAAAUAAAAAUAAAAAAUUAAUUAUUUUAAAAAAAUAUAAAUUUUUUAAAAAAUGAAAUAAAUUAUUAAAAUAUUAUUUAAAAAAUAAAAACUUAAUUAUUAAAAAAAAUAAAAUUUUUUAAAAAUUGAAAAUGAAAAAUGGCAUAGAGGAUAUAAAUUAUGAAAAAAUAAUUAUAAAAUUAUUUUUUAAAAAAACUAAUUAUAAAAUUAUUUUUUAAAAAAACUAAUUAUUAAAAAGAAAUCUUAAAUUUUUUUAAAAGAUGAAAAUAAAGAAUUAAUUUUUUUUAAAAUUCAGUUUAUUAAAAAUAAAAUAAAAUUGGGGCCUUCUAAUGCUUUUUGGGGCCUUUAGUGUUUCAAAAAAAAAAGAAAAUUUGUUAUUAAAAAAAUUUUGGGGCCCUCAAUGCCACUUGACAACUUUUUAUUCGUAAAUUAGUAAAAAAAAAUGCUCCUCACACGCCUUCCACAAUGGCACUGCACACGUAGUGUCACAUAGGCAAAAAAUGUCUAAUUGGAACAAAAUUCAGGGAUUUAAUGGUCUGAUAUGAACAUGUCUUAGUUUAGGGGUCUAAUUGAAUUUUUGCAAUAAGUUUGAGUGUCUAUCGAUGAGUUUGACCUUUUCAAAUUGACACAUGCGUAACCAAUUCUCUAAAUACCAAUUAUUUCUCCUUCAAGUGAUGUCAUCUUCCACAUGGUGGACCCCAUGAUCCUAAGAAUUAUUUAAAAAAUAAAAAAAUAAUUAUUAAAAAUAAAUUAUAAAUUUUUUAAAAAAAUAAAAAUCCCCCACCUAUCCCAGCCCCCAACGUAUUGUUUUAUUAAAAAAAAAAAUUGGAACCCCCUAAUGCUUUUUGUUUUAUUAAAAAGUGUCUUUAGUGUUUAAAAAAAAAUUGUUAUUAAAAAAAUUUUGGGGCCCUCAAUGCCACUUGGCAUCUUUUUAUUUGUAAAUUAGUAAAAAAAAUUGCUCCUCACACGCCUCCCACGAUGGCACUGCACGCGUAGUGCCACAUAGGCAAAAAAGGCCCAAUUGAAACAAAAUGUGGGGGGUUUAGGGGUCUGAUAGAAACAGGCGUUAGUUUAGGUGUCUAAGUGAAUUUUGACAACAAGUUUGAGUGUCUAUCGAUGUCUUUGGCCAGUAGUAAAAUAAUAUGAUGAUCCUCUUUCAUUUCUUGAUAGAAAAAUGAGGAAUCAUGUAAUAACAUCAUAUCGUUCAACAUUAUUCUUUGCACUAAUUUUGAGUAUUAUGUUAAGGUUUUUAAACUGAUUUUCUUAUCAAAAUUAAGUUUUACUUUUUUCUUGUAAGGAAAAUAAAAGUAAUCAUAAAUAUUUUUACUUUUCAUAAAAGAAAAUAUAAAACUUUUUCAUAUUUGGCAAACCUCUUUCUUAGAGGAAGGUUUUGGACAUCUAUAAGAAUUAAGAUCCCCUCUUCAUACCAUAACAUUGUAACAUUCUCAAUGUAGUCAUUGAAGAGUCUUUGUUUAUGAGUGAUUUCUCUCAAUAGGUUUAAUGUUUUUCGAUAUUAGGUUUUAUAAUAUGCAGGCCGAUUGGCCAAAACAUAUAAUAAUUUUAUGUUUUUUAAUAUUGUUUUCUUUGUCGCCUGAUUUAUCAUCUCAUAGUUUGCAACUAAUAGCUUCCGCAUGACAUCCUCUCGUUUUUGAACCCAACAAAUGGUAUCAGAGUCGAUGGUUCAAAGAUCCGAUGGUUCGAUUGAGGACUUUUUAAGAUCAAAGUUGCAAUCAAUUUGGCGAUGAUGAAGCUUUUGUCAAAAAAAAAAAAAAAGGUUCAAAAACUACAUGUGGAGAAAAAGUUUCAAACAAAAUUUCAACAAUCUUGGUGCUAAUCCAUCUUUAAAACCAAAAUCAAUUUCAACUCAUAUUUAUGACUUCAAUUUUCAAUCUAUACUUGCUUUAACGCUUGGGCUCCUUUCAACUCGUGCAUUUAUUUUUAAUGCAUGAGCUCCACUCUUAACCUGUGCUCACUUUCAAUGCACAAAGUUCUACUUUCAAUCUUAUCAACCGUGCUUUUAUUUUUAAUGCAUAGGACUCUAAUUUUAACCCAUAUCAAUUUUUAAUCAUGGUUGACAGCAGUGAUAUAUGAAGAAUAUAUGAAAAACGAAGAUCAUGCACAAGAAAAAGGAGGAUCAAGAAUAUUUUGCAGAAAAUCAAGCAAAAAAGGGAGAUUUGUUAGGGUUUUUACUCUAAUUUUCUUACCAAAAUUAAGUUUUACUUUUUCUUAUAAAAAAAUAAAAGUAAUCAUAAAUACUUUUAUUUUUGUUAAAAGAAAAAUAUAAAACUUUUCUAUAUUUGGCAAACCUCUUUCUUGGAGGAAAGGUUCUGGACAUUAGGAUACUCUUCUCAUGCCAUAAUACGGUAGCAUCCACAAUGUAGUCAUUGAAGAGUUUUGUUUAGGGAAAUUUAAUGUUUUUUCGAUAUUAGAUUUUAUAAUAUGCAGGCCGAUUGGCCAUAACAUAUAAUAAUUUUAUACUUUUUAGUGUUAUUUUCUUUGUCACCUGAUUUAUCGUCCCAUAAUUUGCAACUAAUAGCUUCCGCAUGACGCUCUCUCGAUUACGAUCCCAACAUAUUGUUUCUUGAGAAUUAAUUGAAUUCCAUAAGUUCCUCCGGUCCGUAAAUUUAAGUUUUAAGAUUUUAACAGCUUUAUAGUUUUUCAGUUACCAUAUCCCAAAAUGUAGCUCCGGUCGUUUCUGCUAUGCUCUUUUUUUUUUUUUUUUCCUUUGGUAUGAAAGUGGCAAUAAAUGAUUCAUGUCUUUUGAAAGUGAAACUAAGAACUAGACCGUCAUUGGAAAAUAACAAACAUUUAUUCUAUUGUCAACUCACUCACAACAACUUUGCAAGGCCAUCAAACAAUCAAAUUUUAACAAUUAUAUUAUGAUAUUCAUUUUCCGGGAACAAAGUUUGUGGCGUAGGCCCAGGCAUUGUUGUUAACCGGAUCUGCUAGAUGGUCAGCAAGGUUCUCCAAUGGACCCUUUCCUGUAACAAUGGCCUGAACAAAGAAUCCAAACAUAGAGAACAUAGCAAGUCUACCGUUCUUGAUCUCCUUUACCUUGAGCUCAGCAAAUGCCUCUGGAUCAUCAGCAAGACCCAAUGGGUCAAAGCUGCCACCGGGAUAGAGUGGGUCGACUACCUCACCAAGAGGCCCACCAGCAAUACGGUAUCCCUCAACGGCUCCCAUCAAGACAACUUGGCAAGCCCAGAUGGCCAAGAUGCUCUGUGCAUGGACCAAACUUGGGUUGCCCAAGUAGUCAAGUCCACCCUCGCUGAAUAUCUGGGAUCCAGCCUUGAACCACACAGCCUCACCAAACUUGACACCAUUACGGGCCAAGAGCUCGGGGAAAACACAUCCAAGAGCACCAAGCAUAGCCCAUCUGCAGUGGAUCACCUCGAGUUCACGGUUCUUGGCAAAGGUUUCUGGGUCUGCUGAAAGUCCAGCGGUGUCCCACCCGUAGUCACCGGGAAAUUCACCGGUCAAGUAGCUUGGAGACUCACCUGAGAAUGGACCCAAGUACUUGACACGGUCUGGCCCAUACCAUGGGCUGCCAGAUGAGGCUGGCUUGGAGACAGCCUUUCUCAUAGAGAUCCUUCCAUUUCCAGUGAUUUCUGAGGCAGAGGGUGAGAGUUUCACUGCCUGUCCAGCAAAAGAAGGUGAAGAAAGUGCCAUUGUAGAAGCUGCCAUGGCUUAUCAAGAGAAAAGUAAGUGUUUGAUGGUAUGAAAUAUUGUUGAAGUUGGCUGUGAUGAGGUGAAGUUAAUUACAAGGGGCUUCACCAUAUAUAGGAGGAGUAAGAGCGGUAGAGGCCUUUAUCUAACGAUAUCUACAUCUUUUUCUUUUGGUGUUAACGAUAUCUGUAUCUGUGAUCUCAUUGGGUAAUAAGAUCACAUGUGUAGAAAUUAAUGCACACUUGGCAAUCUCCAGACUCCAAUCCAUCAAUUUUCCAAGAUGUUUACUAAAAGGACCCAUCCAAUAUUGUCCGCCUUAGUGUGGCUACGAGGUUAUUGACUCUAUUCUGUGAUUCGUUGAGCUUACACUAAGAUAUCUCUUAUCGUUAUCUUUUGGGAAUUUCUCCAGAUUUUAUCCACCAGCUGGGAAUAAGUUACCACCACUAUAGCUCAUUCAAUGUAGAAGUAGAAGUUAGAACUAUGGUUUAGCGUUGCACUAAAUAAAUAGUAGAAAAGCUGAAUUUUUCAGAUUAUCAGUAACUAAUGUCUAUCAAAAGAUUAAUUUGAAGUAAUUGCUUAACAAGCAAAAGUGGAUCAGAAUUUGAACUUUCAUGGGUUCUGUAGUCUAGGACGAGUUCUACUAAAUAGAUUCCAAAUUUAACUUUUCUACAUACUCGCUCCGUCCCAUUUUACCCGUCCCAAAUUGGCUAAGUUGAUGUUUCAUUUUAGUUGUCCCAUUUUACUUAUCAAGAUAAGACAAACUUUUCUUUCCAUGUUUUACCCUUUGCAUUAAUUAUCUUUUCUUUAAAUUAAAAUGUAAACAUCAUUUAAUAGGGGUACUUGGGUAAACUAGCCAUGUUAUAUAUUAUUUUUCUUAAUUGUUGUGCCAUCCUAAUUUGGGACAAGUAAAAUGGGACGGAGAGAGUAUUUAAUAAGCUUAUCAAAACAUAUGCAUGGUUUGGGCCAAAGUUAGUUAGUUCUGUCAAACUGGUUUGCUGAAGGCUAUCUGCGCAUGUUAAUAAGUGAUAUGAUUGUGUUAUGUGCAAGUAUUUUUACAAUGUCAAUGCAUAACCUCUCUAUAGUGUCCUGUAUAGCUUGUAUCUUCUGCUUACAAUGUCCUUUUGGCUCUGGUCAUUGUUAUGUGAACGUGUUCUUCUCUAAAGAGAAUACCACAUGCACGUAAGGAUGGAGGACUAUACAAGAAACUCAUGAAUUUGUUCAAAUCUAAGAUGCUGCUUAAAUUAAGGACACAUAAGUAUAAUGGCCUGGAAACUCAUAUAUUACUUGCUACGUUCAAAAUACAAAACAUAUACAUUGGUUUUCCCCUUAUCAUUAAAAUGUCAAUGGUGUACGCAGUAGUGAAAUAAUAUUAUGUCCUCUUAAUUCAUCUCACUUCUCGACAGGAAAAUAAGGAAUCAUGUAAAUAACAUCAUGUUGUACAUUGUUAAUCGUGGCACUAAGAGUAUUGCUUCUUGAGAAUUAAUUGAAUUCCAUAAGUUCCUCUGGUCUGUAUAUUCAAAUUAUAAGCUUUUUGUCAAAAAACAAAGGGAGCGGUAGAGUUAAGCUACAAGGAGAAAAAUAUAAGGAAAUUGCAGCUGUAAAUUGCUACAAAAAAGACUGCAGUAAAGAACAAGAAGCUGAAACUUUUUGAGUGUUUUCUAUUUUUUGGAUAGUUAUAAAUGUCUAAUGUCAUCCCUUAUUUAUACUUAUGUAGGGAUGAUUCUAGAUACUACAAAUCUAGAGUGUUCGUAUACAAAUAUCUCCCUCAAAUAUCUAGCACCCUCUAGAUCUUUCCUAAAUAUAAAUAUCAAAUAUACUACACUAUUCCUUUCUAGAUUCUUCUAACUAGAAUUACCUAAAUAUCUAGAUAUUUCUUUAGCAUGAUCAUCCUAGAAAUUUUACUAGACUAUUCUACAGACUGAACUAGAAAUCUAUGAUUCCAAAAAAUCUACUUUAAUAUUUUCACACUCCCUCUUAAAGUGAUUUUUUUGGAAGCUAUCCUAAACUUGUUGCGGAAGAACUCAAGUGAAGCUUUGAACCGUACUUUAGUGAAAAUCUUGAUAGUUUUUGCAUGACUCCUCUUUCUUCUUCAAAUGAUGAAGAUUUCUCGUUAAUGAUUGGCCCUUGUUGAGUUUUAUCAUAUUGAGUUCUCGAGCUCCCCCUUUCUCUGAACUCCUCCGUAACUUCAUUAUCUGGUGACCCAAAUAUGAUGGAAAAGUUUGAAACUCUAGGAUUGAAGAUUUUAGAACUUACUCUUUCUGAAGCAACUCCAUAACACAAGAAUAAUUUUUUGGUAUCAACCUCCUUAUUUGAUUUGAUGACGAUCUUUUGUUCGGGCCUAUCAACUAGCUCCCAAGUAUUAUUUUUUUAUCAUGGCAAGCUCCUCAUCCAUUGCGGAAAUCCAAGUUUCAUGACUUCUGCUUCUUCAAAAGAAGAUGGUUCCACAAGAGCAAAAUUGCAUUGCUCAUAAACUUCAGGUAGUGACCUGGUCUUCAAAAUAGGAGAAUCUGAAGUUAAUUCAACAUCUGAAUUGUCUUCUUUUUCAAUAAGAGGAUUGGAAGAAAUAUUACACGUCUGUGGAUUUUGAGCUGCAACUGAAGUACACUCAUCUUGGUUCUUUACAACAAUAUCUCGAUCCUAAUCAUAGUGGCUAGACUCAUCCACCGCAAGAUCUCUACUGAUAAGCACCUUUUACGCACGAACAUUAUACACUUUCUACCCUUUUGCAGCUGUGUUAUAGCCCAACAAAAUACAAAGUCCUGCCUUGUUAUCCAAUUUACCUCUUUUAGCAUCAGGAACAUAUGCAUAACAGACUGAACCAAAAACUUUUAAGUGUCUCACAGAUGACUUUAUACCUUUCCAUGCUUUAAAUGGUGUCAUGUCUUGGAGUGCUCUAGUUGGUAAUAUGUUUAGUAAAUAGACUGCAGUACUGACUGCCUCAGCCCAAAAACAUUUGGGUAUCUUCUUUUCUGCUAGCAUACAUCUCACCAUCUCCAUCACGGUUCUGUUCUUUCUCUCAGAAAUACUGUUUUGUUCUGGAGUGUAGCUCACAGUAAAUUGUUGUUGAAUGCCCACAUCUUUACAAUACUUGUUGAACUAAUGCGGAGUAUAUUCAGUUUCAUUAUCUGACCUGAUAUACUUCAAUCGGCAACCACUCUUCCUUUCUACCAUAGCCUUGAAUUCUUUGAAAACAGAAAACACCUGAACUUUGUUACUUAAAAAUAGACCUAUGUCAUUCGAGUUAGAUCAUUUAUAAAGAGAAUAAAAUAUUUAUUCCCACUCAAAGAAGUUGUCCUCAUUGGUCUACAUAUAUUUGUAUGAACCAACUCUAGUUUUUCCUUCGUCCUCCAAAGACUUCUUUUAGGAAAGAAUUAUUUAUGCAAUUUACCAAAUUGACAUGACUCACAAACAUCUCGGCACAUGUCAAUUUUGGGUACAUCAAGCACCAUACCCUUGGAUUGCAUAUACACCAAUGAACUAAGAUUGUAAUGACCGAAUCUUUUGUGCCAAAGCCAAAUAUCAAUUAUUUCAACAUUGAAAGAGCAACUUUCAACAGAAUAGCAUGAAAUUGGAAAGGAAUUACCAAUCAUGCUAAUUUUAGCUACUUCACAACCUUUAGGAUCAUAAAUGACACAUUUUUUAUCCUUAAAAAUAAGUGAAUAAUUAUUGUGAAGUAACUGAGCAACACUCAACAAGUUUUGAGUCAAGCUUGGCACAUAAAAAACAUCGUUUAUGAUUUUCAUACCUUCGUCCGUAGGAAAUUUCACUGAUCCUCUUCCUUGAGCUUGCACCAGUGCACCAUCUCCUAGCUUCACUUUGAUCCUAUCAGACCUGUCCAGGCUAACAAAUAGAUUUUCAACAAUCGUCAUGUGCCUUGUGCACGCACUAUCGACAUGCCAAUUAUAUCGAUCGACAUGUGAUAUGUGUGAAGCCAUGAAUACCUCUUCCUCUAUUUUUUGAACUUGGUGAUCUUCCGCAAAAUUUACUCAUUGAAAAGACUGACCAAUUUGAGUUUGCUUUUGCCUGCAAUGCUUCUCAAUGUGCCUAUACUUCUUGCAGUAUCUGCAUUGAAUAGGAGACCUCUUGGACUUCUGCCAACAAUUUUUCUAUAAGUGGUUUGUCUUCUUACAAAUACCACAAGGUGGAAAUUUUUCUCUCCUCAACGAUUCACCUUGGUAUCCACCAGAUUUCACCUCUCCAGAGUGGUCUAAAAAGACUUUUUUGCCUUCUUUUUGUUGCUUGAAAGGCAUAUUCGACUGUUCCUUCGAUUCUCAUAGUUACCCAUUGCUCUUGGAUUUGCAAUUUAGAGAUCAACUCAGCUAUUGAAAGAAUAGUCAAGUCACAGGACUCUUUAAUAGCUGAGAAUUUGUAUUUAAACUUGUCUGGAAAGCUGACCAUAAUCCCCUUUAUAACCUUCUAAUCUAAAAAGUUUUCACCAAGUAUCCUUAUGUGGUUCACAAUAUCCAUUAGCUUAGAAGAGUAUUCUUUUACACUAUCCGGAUCCUUCAUCUUCAAGAGCUCAAACUCCCUCUUCAAAGCUAAAACCUUAACAGACUUAACUCUGUUGCUGCCUUCAAACUCCUUCUUUAGCUUAUCUCAGGCUUCUUUAGCUGUCUCACAAGCCAUAAUCCUUGUAAAUAUCACUUCCGUAAGGGUUGAAUGUAUGCAAGUGAGUGCUCUUGGAGAUCUAGUCACCAAUUCAUCAUACUUUUUGAUAUCAUUUAGAGUUGAGUUGUCUCUCAAUGGCUGGACAGCAGGUUCUCCUCUCUAAACAAUAUCCCACAAGUUGAGAGUCUUCAAAUAAGCCUUCAUUUUAAUGGUCCAAAUAUGAUAAUUCUCCCCCGAAAAAAUCGAAGGACCCAUUGUUGGUUGAUUUUCUGGUGCCAUGUUUUUUCAGUAAAUAGAUUCAAGAAAGGAGCUAAAAAUAAGAUGAGUCAAUCAACAAAAAACAUAUUCAGAUCCCGUAAGAAAUGGGCUCUGAUACCAUGUCAAAAAAUAAAGGAAACGGGGAGAGUAAAGCUACAAGGAGAAAAAUAUAAGGAAAUUGCAACUGCAAAUUGCUACAAAAAAGACUGCAGUGAAGAAGGAGAAGCUGAAACUUUUUUAGUGUUUUCUAUUUUCUAGAUAGUUAUAAAUGUCGAAUGUAAACCCUUAUUUAUUCUUAUGUAGGGACGAUUCUAGAUACUACUCCCUCCAUCCCAUUUUACCCGUCCCAAAUUGGGAUGGCACAGCUAUUAAGAAAACAAUGAUUGGUAAUGUUACUUUACCAUUUUUUCUCUCUUAAUUGUGUCUUGUUGUUAGUUCCAAUAUUGAUGGAUGACCAAUACAAAAGCACCAUUUAUAUUCUUAAUGGUGUACUCCUAAUGGUACUCUUCUUUGCAACGUUUUUCAAAAAUGUUAAUAACAAGGAGUAAGCAAUUACACUGAGGAUAAAAUGAAAAAAAAAGUUGUCUUAUCUUGAUAAGUAAAAAAGGACAACUAAAAUGGGACAUCAAAUUAGAAAAUUUGGGACGGGUAAAAUGGGACAGGGAGUACAAAUCUAGAGUGUUCUUAUACAAAUAUCUUCCUCAAAUAUCUAGCCCCCUCUAGAUUUUUCCUAAAUAUAAAUAUCAAAUAGACUACACUCUUCCUUUCUAGAUUCUUCUAACUAGAAUUACCUAAAUAUCUAGAUAUUUCUUCAACAUGAUUAUCCUACAAAUUUCACUAGACUAUUCUAGAGACUUAACUAGAAAUCUAUGAUUCCAAAAAAUCUACUUUAAUACCAUCACACUUUUACCACAUCCAAAAUGUAUCUUGGGUUUUUUUUUUUUUUGGCUUUGUCAUCGAUUUUUCUCCCCUUGAUAUGAAACUGGCAGUAUUUAUUCAUGCCAUUGGAAAAUGAAAUUCAGGACUACACAAUAACUGGAAUAUAAGAAAAAUCCAUUCUAUUGUCAAGUAAACUCACAACUACAACUUUACAAGGGCAUCAAACAAUGAAAUUUUAAGAUUGUUUUACGAUAUUCAUUUUCCGGGGACAAAGUUUGUGGCGUAGGCCCAUGCGUUGUUGUUAACUGGAUCUGCAAGGUGGUCAGCGAGGUUCUCCAAUGGACCCUUUCCGGUAACAAUGGCCUGAACAAAGAAUCCAAACAUAGAGAACAUAGCAAGUCUACCGUUCUUGAUCUCCUUUACCUUGAGCUCAGCAAAUGCCUCUGGAUCAUCAGCAAGACCUAAUGGGUCAAAGCUGCCACCAGGGUACAAUGGGUCGACUACCUCACCAAGAGGCCCACCAGCAAUACGGUAACCUUCAACGGCUCCCAUCAAGACAACUUGGCAAGCCCAGAUGGCCAAGAUGCUCUGUGCAUGAACUAAGCUUGGGUUGCCCAAGUAGUCAAGUCCACCCUCGCUGAAGAUUUGGGAUCCAGCCUUGAACCACACAGCCUCACCAAACUGGACACCGUUACGGGCCAAGAGCUCGGGGAAAACACAUCCAAGAGCACCAAGCAUAGCCCAUCUGCAGUGGAUCACCUCGAGUUCUCGGUUCUUGGCAAAGGUUUCUGGAUCUGCUGAAAGUCCAGCGGUGUCCCACCCGUAGUCACCAGGGAAUUCGCCGGUCAAGUAGCUUGGGGGCUCACCCGAGAAUGGGCCCAAGUACUUAACACGGUCUGGGCCAUACCAUGGGCUUCCAGAUAGGGCAGGCUUGGAGACAGCCUUUCUCAUAGAGAUCCUUCCAUUUCCACUGAUUUCUGAGUUAGAGGGUGAAAGUUUCACUGCCUGUCCGGCAAAAGAAGGGGAAGAAAGAGCCAUUGUAGAAGCUGCCAUGGUUUAUCUCAAGAGAAAGGAGAGUAUUUGCUGGUUUGAAAUAUUGUUGAAGUUGGCUGUGAUGAGAUGAAGUUACAAGGGGCCUCACUUUACCAUAUUAUAGCAAGUAAGAGGGGAAGAGUCCUUAUCUAGUGAUAUCUAUUUCUAUGAUCUCAUUGGGUAUCAAGAUCCUUUGUCUAGCAAUUAAUGCACACUUGGGUAUCUCCAAUCCAUCAAUUAUCCAAGAUGUUUGCUAAGGGGACCCAUCCAACAUAGUCCUCUCACAUGUGGCUACAAGGCUUGAACAAUAUUCUGUGAUUUGCUGAACUUACAAUGCUGAUAUCUCUUAUCAUAAUCCGUUGAGAAUUGCUCCAGAUUUUAUUUAUCAGCACUACAGCUCAUUCGAGGUAGAACUAUGGUUUACCGUUUCACUAAUUAUAUUCAGGAAAGUUCAUUACUUGAUAUAUAAAUUGUGUAAAAAUUAAUAAUACAUGUUUGGAACUUUAUUAUAUAAGACCUUAAUAUAUAGUAAUAUAAGAGUCAGUAGCAUAGUAAAUUAUUUAACCUGCAAUUCAUAUAAAAGUGAAGAUACUGUUUUGGGGGUUUUACAAAUUUAAUAUUUACAGGUGCAUGCAAAGCAAGAAUAUGAUCUUCCCUUUCAAAACAUUUAACAUAGGUUCAUGCUUGGAUCUUUAUUAAUCUGAUCAUGAAGAGGUAUAUUAAGUUCUAUAUAUGUUGCACUGUUAAUUUCAUGUUUAGAUAUUUAAUGACGGGUUAGAUUCAUUUUAACUACUGCACAGUGCUUAGACUAAUUGGAAAGAACUUGUUCAUGAGCGGGGGUUGGCAAACGGGCGGGUUGACUCAGAUAUAAACAAAUCAAAAAUGAGCCAACAAAAAUGGAUAAAAUAUCCGACCCACCUGUAUUUGAUAUGGAUGAAAAAUGAGAAACCAACGGGAUAUUAUUUCAUAUUAUGUAAAAGAAAUAAGUACUUCCAAUAUGAGAAAGGCAGAGUAUGUACAUGGAUUAAUUAAUUAAUUGGGAUUCACCAGCAGCACAAUAUGACCAAUUAAUUGUGUUAAGGGCAGGAACAUUUGCCAAUAAUGGAUCAGGUUAUUUACGGGUUUGGAUAAAAGGAACUUUAACUUGACACCAAAUUAUAACUAUGUGCUUUUAACUUUGUUAGUACACAAGUAGACCCUUUAACUAUAUAAAAAUCAAAUAAAAAAAUAGUCUAAUUCAGCAACUUACAUGCGUAAAAUUCAAUCACUCCUACGUGGAUUAAUAAUCCACUCAGAUGCUGCCACCUAAUAAAAAAGACGCAUUAUAACUAUGAUCAUUAACUUUGCGCACAAAUAGACGCUUUAAUUAUACAAAAGCUGAAAAAAAAAACACUUCAAUUUUAACUCUGACGCUCGUGAUUUUGAGUGUAUACAUGCAUUUUGCCAGGUUACGAUUGGAGUGUUUGUUUGUUCAACUUUUGUAUUGUUAAAGGCCUACUUGUACAUUGAUAAAGUUAAAGAUCAUAGUUAUAAUUUGAUAUCAAGUUACAUGUUUAUGUACUGAGUUUAAGUUCUGUGCACCGUCAGUGCACAAAAUAUUUUAUACUAUCAGUUAACUUGACCUGCUAUUGCAGGUUACCCAAUUAUUUAUAUAAAAAUUUAAAAAUAAAAAAUUGUUAUUGCAGGUUACCCAAUUAUUUAUAUAAAAAUUUAAAAAUAAAAAAUUAGAUAACCUGCAAUAGCAAGUCAAGUUUACCUAAUAGGAUAGAAUAUUUUGUACACUGAUGGUGCACAAAACUUAAAAAUUUAGGUAUUAUGCCUAUUUACAACUUAUGGAGUAAAUAUAAGUUGUAAAUAUUCUCUUUUUUCACACAGUAAUUUUUAACUUGUAAUAGCUGAUAAGUCCCCGUUGUUACAAGAAACUUUAAGAUUUUUUCCAAAGAUGCAUCAAAUUAAGGACAUAAUUAUAAUGGUCUGGAAACCUAUAUUAUAGCAUGUUGAUUACUACUUGCUAUACCUUCAGACUACAAAACAUAUUGGUUUUCACUUAACAUUGAAAUGCCAAUGGUCUAUAUGGUAGUGAAAUAAUAUUAUGUCCUCUUAAUUGCUCUUUCACUUCCCGAUAGGAAUCACGUAACAACAUCUAUGCUCAACAUUUCUCUGUGCACUAUUCUCUGUGCACUAAUUUAAUGUGUUCCUUCCUGGGAAUUAAUUGAAUUCCAUAACUUCCUGUGGUCAGUAAACUUAAGUUUGAAGCUUAUAACAGCUUUAUAGUUAUUCUAGUUACCACGUCUCAUAUUAAUCUACAGUUUUUCUUUACUAUGUUCUCUUUCUUUAAUUCCCCUUUAGUAUGAAAGUGGCAAAAAAUUUUAUUCAUGACUUUGGAGAAUGUAACUCAGAACUACACAAUUAUUGGAAUAUGAGACAAAAAUCCAUUCUAUUGUCAAGUAACUGCUCAUAACAACUUUACAAGACCAUCAAACAAUGAAAUUUUAAGAUUGUUUUACGAUAUUCAUUUUCCGGGAACAAAGUUUGUGGCGUAGGCCCAGGCAUUGUUGUUAACCGGAUCUGCUAGGUGGUCAGCAAGGUUCUCCAAUGGACCCUUUCCUGUAACAAUGGCCUGAACAAAGAAUCCAAACAUAGAGAACAUAGCAAGUCUACCGUUCUUGAUCUCCUUUACCUUGAGCUCAGCAAAUGCCUCUGGAUCAUCAGCAAGACCCAAUGGGUCAAAGCUGCCACCAGGGUAUAGUGGGUCGACUACCUCACCAAGAGGCCCACCAGCAAUACGGUAUCCCUCAACGGCUCCCAUCAAGACAACUUGGCAAGCCCAGAUGGCCAAGAUGCUCUGUGCAUGGACCAAACUUGGGUUGCCCAAGUAGUCAAGUCCACCCUCGCUGAAUAUCUGGGAUCCAGCCUUGAACCACACAGCCUCACCAAACUUGACACCAUUACGGGCCAAGAGCUCGGGGAAAACACAUCCAAGAGCACCAAGCAUAGCCCAUCUGCAGUGGAUCACCUCGAGUUCACGGUUCUUGGCAAAGGUUUCUGGGUCUGCUGAAAGUCCAGCGGUGUCCCAACCAUAGUCACCAGGGAAUUCACCGGUCAAGUAGCUUGGGGGCUCACCAGAGAGUGGGCCCAAGUACUUAACACGGUCUGGGCCAUACCAUGGGCUGCCAGAUGAGGCAGGCUUGGCAACAGCCUUUCUCAUAGAGAUCCUUCCAUUUCCAGUGAUUUCUGAGGCAGAUGGUGAGAGCUUCACUGCCUGUCCGGCAAAAGAAGGGGAAGAAAGAGCCAUUGUAGAAGCUGCCAUGGCUUAUCUCAAGAGAAAGGUAAGUGUUUGAUGGUAUGAAAUAUUGUUGAAGUUGGCUGUGAUGAGAUGAAGUUACAAGGGGCCUCACUUCACCAUAUUAUAGUAAGUAAGAGGGGAAGAGUCCUUAUCUAGUGAUAUCUAUUUCUAUGAUCUCAUUGGGUAUCAAGAUCCUAUGUGUAGCAAUUAAUGCAUACUUGGGUAUUUCCAAUCCAUCAAUUUUCCAAGAUGUUUGCUAAAGGGACCCAUCCAACAUAGUCCUCUCACAUGUGGCUACAAGGAUUGAACAAUAUUCUGUGAUUUGCUGAACUUACAAUGCUGAUAUCUCUUAUCAUUAUCCGUUGGGAAUUUCUCCAGAUUUCAUUUAUCAGCACUACAGCUCAUUCGAUGUAGAACUAUGGUUUACCGUUUCACUAAAUAUAUUCAGGAAAGUUCAUUACUUGAUAUAUAAAUUGUGCGGAAAUAAAUAAUACAUGCUUAUGUUUGGAAAGAAAUGCGUUUGGAACUUAAUUAUAUAAGACCUGAAUAUAUAUAAGCAAGAGUCAGUAGCAUAGUAAUUAUUUACCUGCAAUUCAUAUAAAAGUGAAGAUACUGUUUUUUGGGGUUUUACAAAUUUAAGAUUGACAAGUGCAGGCAAUGAAAGAAUAUGAUCUUCCUUUUCAAAAUAUUUAACAUAGGUUCAUGCAUGUAUAUUUAUUAAUCUGAUCGUGAAGAGGUAUAUAAAGUUCUAAAUAUGUUGCACUGUUAAUUUCAUGUUUAGAUAUUUAACGACGGGUUAGAUUCAUUUUAACUACUGCACAAUGCUUAGACUAAUUGGAAACGCGCAGAUUGAGUCGGAUAUGGACAGAUCAAAAAUGAGCUAGUGAAAAUGGAUAAAAUAUCUAAUUCACCCGUAUUGAUAUGGAUGAAACAUGAGAAACCAACGGAUAAUAUGGAUAUUAGUUCAUAUUAUGUAAAAGAAUAAGUACCUCCAAUAUGAGAAAGGCAGAGUAUGUACAUGGAUUAACUAAUUAAUUGGGAUUCAUCAGCAUCACAAUAUGACCAAUUAACUUUACGAGAAUUGUGUUAAGGGCAAGAGCAUUUGCCAAUGAUGGAUCAAGUUAUUUACAUCUUAUGCCUUAUGGUGUAAAUAUAAGUUGUAUAUAUUUUCUUUUUGGCAUGAUACACAAAUAUGAUCCUAAACUUAUAUCAAAUUAUAACUUUGACCUUAAACUUUGAUAGUGCACAAAUAGGACCUUUAACUAUUCAAAAUUUGAACAAAUAUGACCUCCGAUUUUGCAACCUCCAUGCGCGAGUUUCACUCGCGCCUAUGUGGAAAGCUCAUCAAUCACACGGUGCCACGUCGUUAAAAGGGCUGACUUGGAGGGAGGUCAUAUUUGUGCAAUUUUGAAUAGUUAAAGAUCAUAUUUGUGCACUGUCAAAGUUUUGCUUUUUGUGUUAAAACAACGUUGUUUUAUUAUUAUUAUUAUUAUUAUUAUUAUUAUUAUUAUUAUUAUUAUUAUGAAUAUUACUAUUUAUUUUUUUAAUUUUAUUUAUUUAUUUCUAUAGCAGCUAGGGGUGGGCGUUCGGUAUUCGAUAUUCGGUUCGGUAUUUUCAAAUUUCGGAUUCGAUAAUUUGGUAAUUGGUAUUUGAACGUAGAUACCAUAUACCAUACUAAUAAAUAUCGAUUCGGUAAUCGAUAAAUUAAAUUUCGGUUCAGUACGGUAUUUGGUAAUACCAUAUUAAAAUUGAAGAUGUGCAAAUAUACAUUUAAACUUCAAAGAGUAUAUUUAAAAGAAACCCUAUUUAGCAUUAUUUUGUUGCUUUUUACGAAUAUAUUAUCAAGGUCUAAGAGAUUCUUUGAGAUGACUAAUACUAUUGUUUAUUGGGUUGGUUAGACAUAUAGUAUAUAUAUAUAUAUAUAUAUAUAUAUAUAUAAUUCGGUAUUCGGUAUUUACCGAAUACAAAACGGUAUUAAUAUCUUGUACCAAAUUCAAUCCCGAAAUAUUAAAAUUUUAUUCUCAAAUACCAUACCAAAUACAAAAUUUUUUGAUUCGGUUCGGUAAUUCGAUUUUCGGUAUUUUAUGCCUAGCCCUAAUAGUAACAACACCUAACUUUUUUUAAUUAAAAAAAAAAAACCACUAGCAGGGAUCGACCCCACGCAGUAGGUUGAAGGAAGCACCCAAGAAGAGCAAAUAACACCACUGGAUUAUCUAAGUGCAAUGUUUCAUGUGGUUCAACAUUAAUAUACGUACAUAAAUAUAGAUUAUCUACCUUAUAUAUACAACAUAAUUUUUUUACCGAGGGGGUUCGGGUGAAUCCCAUGGCGACCACGUAGGUCCGCCCCUGCGUUAAUUUAAUAACGUUAAUUUAAUAACAUUUUAAUAACGUUAAUUUAAUAUACUACUAUUAUUAUCUUUAAUAACGUUAAUUUAAUAACAUUUUAUUAAAACUAUAAUUUUUUUAUUAUUAGUAUAGUUUCAUCUUUAAUUUAAUAUUUAAAUAAAUUAUAUUUCGAUAUAUUAUAUAACAUAAAUUCUCCCUCUGCUUUAUAAUAUGUAUAUAUACCCGCAAUUUUUUCGUAUGAGGCUAACCCACUUAAUUAAUAAAUCUUCAAUAUUGCACUUUUUCCGCAAUGACAAAAGAAAUUGAAUGUCAUUUUCAUCUUUGAGCUGAAAAUAAUGAAAAAUAAUAGUGAAAAGUCAUUUAAAGAUUAUAUUUGUGCAGUUUUGAAUAGUUAAAAGCCACAUUUAUGCACUCUCAAAAUUUAAGGUCAAAGUUAUAAUUUGGUGUCAAGUUUAGAAUCACAUUUAUGUAUUAUGUCCUUAGAUUUUAAACAGGACGCGCCCAAUUUUGCAUGUUGAACACGCAUUUUACCACAUAGGACCGAAGGUUAUAUUUAUGUAAUUUUAAAUAGUUAAAAAUUAUAUUUUUGCACUAUCAAAAUUUAAGGUUAAAAUUAUAAUUUGAUGUUAAAUUUAAGGCUUUAUGUAUUAUGCCUUUCUUUUUUCACACCAUCAUUAAAUUUUAAGUUGUAAUAGUAGAUAAGUCACCAUUGUUACACGAAACUUUUAGAUUUUUUCCAAAGAUGUUAAUCAAACCAAGGACAUAAUUAUAAUGGCCUGGAAACUUAUAUUAUAGCAUUUUAAUUACUACUUGCUAUACCUUCAGACUACAAAACAUAUUAGUUUUCACUUAUCAUUGAAAUGUCAAUGGUCUAUAUGGUAGUGAAACAACAUUAUGUUCUCUCAAUUGCUCUUUCACUUCUCUACUGGAAACAUAUAAUAACAUCAUAUUGCUCAACAUUUCUCUUUGCACUAAUUUACUGUGUUCCUUCCUGAGAAUUAAUUGAAUUCCACAAGUUGCUGUGGUCAGUAAACCUAAGUUUAAAGCUUAUAACAGCUUUAUAGUUUUUCUAGUUAUCAUAUCUCAUAUGUAUCUACCAUUUUUCUUUACUAUGUUCUCUUUCUUUAAUUCCCCUUUGAGAUGAAAGGGGCAAAAAAUUUUAUUCAUGGCUUUGGAAAAUGUAACUCAGAACUACACAAUUAUUGGAAUAUGAGAAAAAAAUCCAUUCUAUUGUCAAGUGACUGCUCAUAACAACUUUACAAGACCAUUAAACAAUCAAAUUUUAAGAUUUUCAUUUUCCGGGGACAAAGUUUGUGGCGUAGGCCCAGGCGUUGUUGUUAACUGGAUCUGCAAGGUGGUCAGCAAGGUUCUCCAAUGGACCCUUUCCAGUAACAAUGGCUUGAACAAAGAAUCCAAACAUAGAGAACAUAGCAAGUCUACCGUUCUUAAUCUCCUUUACCUUGAGCUCAGCAAAUGCCUCUGGAUCAUCAGCAAGACCUAAUGGGUCGAAGCUGCCACCGGGGUAGAGUGGGUCGACGACUUCACCAAGAGGCCCACCAGCAAUACGGUAUCCCUCAACGGCUCCCAUCAAGACAACUUGACAAGCCCAGAUGGCCAAGAUGCUCUGUGCAUGAACCAAGCUUGGGUUGCCCAAGUAGUCAAGUCCACCCUCGCUGAAGAUCUGGGAUCCAGCCUUGAACCACACAGCCUCACCAAACUGGACACCGUUACGGGCCAAGAGCUCGGGGAAAACACAUCCAAGAGCACCAAGCAUAGCCCAUCUGCAGUGGAUCACCUCGAGUUCCCGGUUCUUGGCAAAGGUUUCAGGGUCUGCUGAAAGUCCAGCGGUAUCCCACCCAUAGUCACCAGGGAAUUCACCAGUCAAGUAGCUUGGGGGCUCACCAGAGAAUGGGCCCAAGUACUUAACACGGUCUGGACCAUACCAUGGGCUGCUAGAUGCGGCUGGCUUGGAGGCAGUCUUUCUCAUGGAGAUCCUUCCAUUUCCAGAGAUUUCUGAGUCAGAUGGUGAGAGCUUCACUGCCUGUCCGGCAAAAGAAGGGGAAGAAAGAGCCAUUGUAGAAGCUGCCAUGGUUUUUCUCAAGAGAAAGGUAAGUGUUUGAUGGUAUGAAAUAUUGUUGAAGUUGGCUGUGAUGAGGUGAAGUUAAUUACAAGGGGCUUCACCAUAUAUAGGAGGAGUAAGAGCGGUAGAGGCCUUUAUCUAACGAUAUCUACAUCUUUUUCUUUUGGUGUUAACGAUAUCUGUAUCUGUGAUCUCAUUGGGUAAUAAGAUCACAUGUGUAGAAAUUAAUGCACACUUGGCAAUCUCCAGACUCCAAUCCAUCAAUUUUCCAAGAUGUUUACUAAAAGGACCCAUCCAAUAUUGUCCGCCUUAGUGUGGCUACGAGGUUAUUGACUCUAUUCUGUGAUUCGUUGAGCUUACACUAAGAUAUCUCUUAAAGAGCCAUAGUAGCAGCUGCCAUGGUUUAUAAAGAGGAAAGUGAGGGGGUUACUAGUUUGAUAUGUCAAAGUUGGUUGUGAUGAGCUGAAGUUUGUUGGGGUUCAGAAUAUAUAGCAAGGAAGAUGGGAAGGGUCCUUAUCUAGUGAUAUCUAUAUCUAUGAUCUCAUUGGCUGCCAAGAUUACUCUUCAUGCACACUUGGCAGUCACAAAUCCAUCAAUCCUCCAAGAUUUUUACAAGGGGGACCAACAAAUGUUGUGUGGCUACAAAGAUUGCUCUCUGUCUUGUGUGUUGUUUGGCUAACAGUAAGACAUCUUCUACUUUUUCAUUGGGUAAUUGUUUAGAUAUUUUUCUGCCGGCAUGGUAAAAGACACCACCAAUUACAGGUAUUUUCAAGUAAUUACAGUUCAAAUUUAUCCCUUCUUAGUGGGAAAUCAAAAGCUGAAAAAGAAAAAGAACCACUUGGUUAGUUCAUUGUCAUGGUUCUGUUUAAAAAAAAAACUGAUAUUAGCUGUGAAAUUUGUCGGUAAUCCAUCACUAAAUUGCUGGUUGCUAUUUAACUAUGGAAUUUCUCUGUUGCUGAUUACUAUUUCUUUUUGUAGCAGUAGGCAUAUAAUUCACAAUUCAUACAGGUGGUCCUGCCUAGGCACACACAAACAUGUGAAAUGCCAAUGCUAUCAAAAUGUGAUCCACCAGCUGAACAGAGAAAUAAGGACCUAGUGCCAUGCCAGCCCAACCAUAUUUAUUCUCUUAUGUUUGGUUACCUAUAGAGGUUUUUUUCUCUUUUAAUACUCCCUCCAUCCCAUUUUAUCAAUCCCAAAUUGGGAUGGCACAGCUAUUAAAAAAAAAAAAGGUAAUGUAACUUUACUAUUUUGUUCCUUUUAAUUAUGUUUUGUUAUUAGUUCUAAUAUUGAUAGAUGACUAAUAACAAGGAGUAAUCAAUUACAUUAAGGGUAUAAUGAGCAAAAAAAAAUUGUUUUGUCUUGAUAAGUAAAAAAGGACAAGUAAAAUGGGACAUCAAAUUAGGAAAUUUGAGACGGAUAAAAUGGGACGGAGAAAGUAUCUUAUAUAUUACUCUAUCUAAAGUAGCUCUAGGGCAAUAUCAAUCCACCACAAUGAAAUGGAGACCAAAGAAAUUUGGAUGAAAUUUGAUUUUUCUCAUCUGGUGAUUCAACUAAUUAUUACUAUUUCAGUAAGUCUGAAAGGAGAAAAAGGUUUGUGUGACAAACCUCAUAGGUAAAACAUUGAGGAUAAGGAAGGGUUGAUUUCUCAAAUAAUCAUCCACUUUCUUUGUUGAAAAAAAUUGGAAUCGAGAAGGCACCUUUCUAAGAUAAUAACUUAUUUUUCACCGUUAUACGUAAACAAAUAAAUACUCUUUCCACAAAACUUCAGCAGUUAUGUUUUCUCCCAGUUCCAUUAUUCAAUAACUCUUAUUAGCAAAUAUAUGAUCCAAGGUAUAAAACAGACACCAGGGAAGUCACUUGCAUUGAUAGAUCAUCAUUCAACCUUCUAAAAUCAAUUUUGGAUGCUUUAAGUUCAUUGAGUAGUAUGAAGUACAAACGCUAGCAUAAAAGAGAAUGUGAAGAAUACUAGAUCAAGUUAAAGCAAUCAAAUAAAAGAUAGCUCAACGCCAAAAUAUUAUUUCAGCACAAAGGGAUUGGAAAGUUAAAGGGCAUAUCAAUUAUUGAACUUUCGAAGAACAUUAGGUGGUUCAAAAUUUUUAAAGGCAUUAGCUGAACAGACUCUUGAAAUCCAAAUGAAGUUGUAAAUUCUAGUGUUGAUCUUUUACACAUAUUAGUUUUACUAAAUGAAUGAUAAAAUUGAACCAAAUCAACCUCAUUUCUAGGGAAUUAAAUAAAAGGAACUUGGUCUUUCCGGUAUUAAAAUUCAACUAUCCACCACUGACAACGGAAUACAACAUAACCAUGGUAACCUCACAAUGCAAUUCCGCAAAUGCUACUGCUGAUUUCAUUUUACUUUUGACCUUCUUUCUAAAUAUGUUUUGUUUCAAAUUAGUUGUCCACUUUCACAAAUCAAGAGUGUUAUAUUACUUCUUUUCCAUAUUAUCCUUAGUAUUAAAUAGCUAAAAAAAAUACUCCUUCCGUUUUGAAUUAGUUGGUCCGUAUGGCGUUGACACCUCCAUUAACAGCCCAAUAAUUAGAAGUGUAUUUUACUCUUUUACUCUUAUUUGCAUUUUAAAGUUCAAUAAUUAAUGCAAUAAUUAAACAUAGAAAUUUGGUGCAAUUACUCCAUUUCAUGCAUGCACCAACUGCUUGUUUGUGAUUGCUUAUUUCCUGCCAAAAGCACUUAUUUUGAGAAAAAAAUAUCUUUUUUAAAAGAAGGGUGUUUGGUAAACCCGCAAAAGUGUUUUUAAAAAUAAGCAGAAACAGUUUUCUAUUUCUGGGAAGAAACAAAAAAAAAAUUACUUUUAAAAAAAACAGAAGUAAAAAAAUAUUUUUUUAUGAUAAAAAUAUUUCCAUCACACACACAUCCCUUGUUAAUUAAUUAACAUAUCUUAUAAAUUUGAUUAAAAUUUAAUUUUAAAAUUUUAUAUUUCAUAUUUACAUCAUAAUUUCUUAUGAUUUAUAUAUUGUUAUUUUAUUUUGACUCAUUUUCUUCAUAUAAAUUUGAAAAUAUUCAUUUUUGUUUGAUAUUUUUAAGUAAUGUUUAAAUUAUUUAAAUAAUAUAUCACUAUUUAAUAUUUUUUAAUGUAUUAAUGUAUAUAAAUAUUCGUUGUAAAUUUUAGAAUAUGUACUUUUUAAUUAAAUAAAUAUAAAACUUUAAUUAAAAAUAUUAUAAUNNNNNNNNNNNNNNNNNNNNNNNNNNNNNNNNNNNNNNNNNNNNNNNNNNNNNNNNNNNNNNNNNNNNNNNNNNNNNNNNNNNNNNNNNNNNNNNNNNNNNNNNNNNNNNNNNNNNNNNNNNNNNNNNNNNNNNNNNNNNNNNNNNNNNNNNNNNNNNNNNNNNNNNNNNNNNNNNNNNNNNNNNNNNNNNNNNNNNNNNNNNNNNNNNNNNNNNNNNNNNNNNNNNNNNNNNNNNNNNNNNNNNNNNNNNNNNNNNNUGUAUUCAUUUUUGUUUGAUGUUUUAAGUAAUGUUUAAAUUAUUUGACCAAUAUAUCACCAUUUAAUUUUUUAAUGUAUUUAUAUAUAUAAAUAUUAAUUAAAAAUUUUAGAGUACAUGCUUUUUAAUUAAAUUUAAAAAGAUUAAUUAAAAAUAUUAUAAUAGAUAUUUAAAAUAAAUUUUCUUUAUAAAUUGAUUUUAGUAAUAAAAGUCAUUUGAUACAUGUCUUUUUUGGUUAUUUGUUUAAAAAAAAAAAAACACUUCUUGAAAAAAACUAUUCAAACACAAUUUGUUUAUCAAAAAAACUUUUCAAAUGAAUUUAUCAAACAAAAAUUAUUAUUUUCAAAAACACUUUUCUGAUCCUGGAUAGGAAGGUGUGGAGGAGGCGAAUUAGGGCAGAAGGUUAGUCUGGGUUAGGAUAUUGUAUGUUUUGAUGUAUACUUGGAGUAUCUUGCUUUAGGUAUUAUUGUGUAUGCUAAUUUCAAUUGCAUCUUGUUCUAUUACUAUUCCUUAUCUUAUCCUAGAUUGCUAUAUUUUAAGUCGGGGGUCUCUUGGAAACAACCUCUCUAUCUCACAAUUGAGGUAGUGGUAUAGACUUCAUACACUUACCCUCCCCAGACCCUACUUGAUGAAAAUAUACUUGUUAUUGUUGUUGUUUCUCAAAUAAACAGUUUUAUAACAGCAAUUUCAAACGGACUCCAAGUCUAGAACCUACAAAUUUAGAAUUGAAACUAUAAUGAUAGUUUUGAAAAUGUAAUAUUAUUUAAUUUCAAUAAUCUUGAAAAAUAAAUAGUAUUGAUUUAUAACUUGCACAAUUAAAAUGGAAUAAAUACUUUUAGCAAGAAGGCCAAUUAAUUCAAAAUGGAGAGUAGUAGUAAUAGUUUGAGCCCGUUUGAAAUUACUGUUACAAAAUUACUUAUUUGAGAAAUACUUUUAUAAAAUAACUUUUCAAAAAAUUACUUUUCGAGAAAAGCAAUUUGUGUUUGGGAAAUUCAUUUGAAAGUACUUUUGAUAAACAAACUGUGUUUGAAUAAUCUUUUUCAAUAAGUGUUUUUUUGGGGAUAAAUGAUCAAAAAGGACAUGCAUCAAUAGAUUUUAUUACUAAAAUUAAUUUAUAGAGAAAAAUUAUUUUAAAUAUCUAUUAUAAUAUUUUUUUAAUUAAAAAAUAUUUUUAUUUGAUUAAAAACUACGUACUCUAAAAUUUUCAAUCAAUAUUUAUAUAUAAAUACAUUAAAAAUACUUAAAAUGAUAUAUACUUAAAUGAUUUAAAUAUUAUUUAAAAAUACCAAAUAAAAAUAAAUAUAAAAAUUAUUCCAUAAAUUAAAUCACUACAUCUGAACAAACUAACGACAAAAAUAAUUAGUCUUUCAUACAUCACAAAAAUUUUAAAUGAUUUUAUUCCUAAUUUUAUCAUGCAAUAUCUCCAUACUAGUAGAAGAUCUGUUUUGUAUUUCUAAAGAUAUAUCAAAAUGCUCAUGUCCUUCUAUGAUCUUUGUGAUGAUGUCUUCGUUAACAUAAUAGUUAAAUUAUUUAUCAAUAAUAGAGCGUUGUCGUAUGAAAUAAAGUAUAGCCAUAGUAGUUGUAACAAGAUAAACUUGAUUGUCGAAUUUAAAAGAUGGCAUUGAACAUAAAAAAAACAAAUUUAUUUUUUCAAGCUCCAAAUAUUCUUUUAGUUGUACAUCUCAAACUGGAGUGAAAGAAAUUGAAAGUCUUAUUUGAAUUUUUGAAGUUAGAGUUACAUCUGAAACCAGGGAGAUGAUAACGGUCCCCUUUAUAUAUGAUCCUAAAUAACUAAUCUUCGUUGAAUAAUUUGAGUCCACUAAAUAAUAUUUAUCUACACUAAAAAAUUAUGAAACCAAUCGUUGUUAGAUAAUUCGAGUCCAUUAAAUAAUAUUUAUCUACACUAAAAAAUUAUGAUGUAAAUAUAAAGUAUAAAAUUUUAAAAUUAAACUUUAAUCAAACUUAUAUAUGUGUGUGUGAUAGGAAUAUUUUUGUCAUGAAAAAAAUAAUUUUCUGUUUCUGUUUUUUUGUAAAACAAAAAUUUUCUGCUUCUUUCCAGAAGCAAAAAAAUUGCUUAUACUUCACUCUACUUUCUAAAAGAAUGUCUUUUUCUCUUAUUUAUAAGAGGCAGUUUAGCAGCUUAAGCAGGCAAGAGGUCGAUAUGCCUGCUUCAGCUGCUUCAAUUAUGAAUUUACAAUAUUAUUCCUAAUUAAUUAUUAUAAGUCAUUUAUGUAUUAAAAAUAAUAAUAUUUAAUAAAAAAAUAAAAUAAAAAUUUAUGACAUGUCUGCUUCAGCUGCUUCAAUCGUAAUUUUACGACAGCACUCCUAAUUAAUUAUUAUAUCCCUAAUUAAAUAUUAUAAGGCAUUUACAUAAUAAAAAAAAUAAUAAUAUUUAAUUAGAAAAAAUAAAAUAGAUAUUUAUGAAAUGUCUGCUUCAGCUACUUCUACCAUAAUUUUACUGUAUCACCCUUAAUUAAUUAUUAUAAGUAAACUAAACAUUAAAAAAUUAAUAAUAUUUAAUAAAAAGGUAAAAUAGACAUAAACUGGAAAUUAACUAUUGAUGUUCUAAAUUAACUUGACGACUUAUAUGAGACUUUCUUAAACUUUUUUCACAGGUAUUUCUUUAAAGUAAUUUUGAUAAAUGGAGUUCAUCAGCUGAAGCAGGCAGCAAAUCGAUAUGUCUGUUUCAGCUGUUUCAAUCGUAAUUUUAUUGUAUCACCACUAAUUAAUUAUUAUAAGUCAUCUGCUUCAAUCGUGAUUUUACUAUAUCACCCAUAGUUAAUUAUUAUAAGUCAUCUAAGUAUUUAAAAAAUUAAUAAUACUUAAAAAAAAAAACAGAUAUAAAAGAUAAUUUUACUAUGUCACUUCUAAUUAGUAGAAUGGAUGAAAAAAUAUUAUAAAUCACAAUAAUUUAAAACUUAAAUUAUUUUUAAAAUAUAAUUGACUAUCAAUGCCACAAAAAAAUGAACAAGGAAAGUAACAUAUAUUAUUUGAAAAUUACAUAAAAAAAUACUAAAAAUUACAAUAGUUAACAACUUAAAAUAUUUAAAACAUAUUAAAAUUAUGAUUAAUUAUAUAAAUUUUAUCUGUAUCACAUAAAUUGAAGCAAAAAAAAAUAAUUUAUGUAUCUAGUUCUUAAAAUAAGUAGUACUAUUGUUUUAGAAAACUAAGCAAUCCCAAACAAACACUUAACCACUCAAAACGUGGUAGUGUGCAAAAAUCGAACCAACCGAUAAAUCGAACCGAUAAAAAUGCUAUUGGGCUAUUGGUAUUGGUUUAUUUGGUUAAUGGGUUUUUAUUGGUUUUAUAAAAAAAUUUAUUGGGUAAACGGUUCGAUUUUGAUUUUAGCUUAUUGGGUUAUCGGUUAAACCGAUAACCUUAACCGAUAACCCAAUAAGGAUUCACUAAAUUAUUAUUUUAUUCCUAUUUAUGUUAUAUACAUAAAUAUCUAAAUUACUUCUAUAUCUAUCUAUCUCUAUAUGCACUAUUUAUUCACAAUUCAGUGAUUCACAAAGUAUUAAGCUAUUCAGUGCAACAAAGGAACAAUAUAAAGCUCGAGUAUUAUCGUAUUAGAAAGCUUGAAGCAUUUAGUAGUUUCCAACAAUUAGGAUUUAGUUUUUUUCCAAACUAACAUUCAGUUCAAGUUUGAAGAUUCUUGUAAAUUAAAAUGCAUUGUAUAGGAUUUUAGUGGUAACUAAGAUUUUAUUUUUUAUGUGAGUUGUUACUAUUUUUAUUUUAUGAGUAUUUUCUUAUUAGUUAAAUAAAAAACAAACUAUUAAGAACCAAAAACUGAUAAAUCGAAACCGAUAAAAACGUAUCUUAUUGGUUGGAUAUUGAUUCAAUUGUCCUCUUCAGCAGUUGGCGCUCUUUUCAUUCCUUUCUCUUCUUUACCCUAACCCUAAAUCCCAAAUUCAAAUUCUGAUUCUGCCAAAAAAAAAACACAGAAGAAAUGCAAAGACCUUCUCCACAUUCCAAUUUCUUCUCUUCUCUCAAACAAUUGGAGAAAAGAUUGAAACUUGAGAACAACCCAUCUCAAAAAGAAGCUAUCAACACACCGACCCAGUCUCUGAUGAGCCCAUUGUACCUCAACUGUGAUGACUCCAUCACCAGCAACACAAACCUCAAAGAAAGCGAAACCCCACUUCGGUUUCUCUCUAAUUCCCCGCUUGACCAAGAAACCCCACCUCACAUAAGUCCUAAACAAGUUCAAGAAAGAGUUGGUGUGGUUGAAGCUGAUGGCGAUGGGGUUGAUGAGAUUCAACUGUUGAUGCAGCUAUUGGGUUUAACGGAUCGUAAAAGGGAGGGAUCCAAGAAGAUGGAAGUGGAAUUUGGUUGUGAUGAUGCAUUUUAUGGAAAGGUUGUUGGGGUUAAGGGACCAAAAAGUGAAAAAGAAGUGGAGAGGUUACAAGGUUGGAUUGAGCAUUUUAUGGAUAGGAAUAGUGGAGAGCGGAGAGAAUCGUUCAGGUUGGCUCAUCUGCUUUUAGGCAAAGCUGCUCUUAUUCAUUCAGAGGUUUCUCAUGGUGUUGAUAGAUUUGAGUUCCCGUCUACCGUUGAUGAGUUCUUGCAUAAUGAUCCACCAGUUGACGAGGUUGAUUUUUCCCUCUCUAGUAAAUAAAUUUCUAGAAUGUUGUUGGCUUAUUAAGGCCUUUAUUGAGUUAUCGCAAUUUCACUUCUAUAUAUGUGUGUUCAAAAGUUUACUCGUUUCCUGUAGACAAUUUUUAGUGAUAGAAAUCAUUGGCACUUUGGUCUAUCAAUCAACCUCUCACUGACUCUAUUAAAUGUACUUCGUAAAGAUCUAGUCUUUUGCUCCUUAGUUGGAAUUAAUGUGAAGUAUUCUUGAAUAUGUUGUUCAAGUUCAUGAUGCAAGUCAACUUCAAAUUAAUUUAACGUGACAAUUCCAGGAUAUCCCUCUAGUGAAAUGGGAAUACUCGAGAUGUCAUUUAUGUCUUGUAUAUUUAAGUUCUAUUUGUGGACUAGUUCAAUUAGCCACCAAGGGAAAUUUGGUGGUGGUUCACAUUAAGUUUGAUAUACUCCAGCUUCUUCUACUAUCUACAUCAAAUUUUAUCAUUUACCACAUAAGUACGUUAAUGCAUGCACUCCAUCUUACUUAGUUUUACAAGAGAAGACAGAACUUGCUCCAUGUCAGGUCUGUCUUCAGGAUCAGGAAAGGUGCAGGACAAAGCCAAGUUAAGAAGUCCCUCUAUUAACUCCUGUUUCUUGGCGACGUAUGAAGCUAGAUUAGAAUCCACAAUCUGGACUAUCUUGUUUAUGCCAUUCGCAAGGGCAUUCUGAACAGCUUGAUGCAAAGUCAUUGGUAUUUCAUCUGCUCCUGUAAGACUUGUUGGCCUUCUUUUAGUUAUGAUCUCCAUCACGAUUACACCAAAGCUAAAUACAUCUACUUUUGUGGUCACUUUCCUCAUAUAUGCAAACUCUGUUACAUAUAGGAACAUUUCAUGUAGGUUAGGUCUCAAAUUAAAAAAGGAGCAUGUAAAAUAUCCAAGAAACUAAAAAUUCAAAAGCUUGCACUAGCAUUUUUUGGUUAGAUUAAAGCUAGUAUUAUCAUUAAAAAAAUAAUUUUCAGACUAUAUAUUCAAACAUUGCGUCAUGUACAUGCUUGUCCAUUGUUCCACUUACAAGUUAAUCAGUAUUUUGUGAUUAACGGGAAAAAAGAUUCUGCUAAGCGUUGUAUUGUGAUUGACAGAAGUAAUGUGGCUACUUAAUGAUGCGAAAAAUGAAAUGUUCUUGAAACAAUCACCGUUGACCAAAAUUUUGUUUGUGGUUAUCAUAUAAGCUUGUUUAUACUGUAGAAAAUCUUUUAUUCAUGUUAAUUGUAACGUAAAUCUAGAUAAUUGUGGUUCGAGAAGUUGUAAUUAUUACCUGGCGCCAUGUAACCAAUAGUUCCUUCAAAUGUGGAUGCUGAUGAUGUGCUUCUUCCAUCCUGGUGAUGAAUACCUAACAUCCUAGCUGUCCCAAAGUCACUCACAUGUGCUUCCAUAUUUUCAUCCAGAAGAAUAUUUGAAGGCUUCAAGUCGCAGUGCACUAUUGGAAAAUCAUAUCCUGAAUGCAGGUAUGACAACCCACUUGCUACUGAAACUAAAAUGUCAAUCCUAUUAGACAAUGUCCACUCAUCUGCCAGUUGACCAUAAAUAAUACUGUCCAAGUUCCCAUUCUCCAUGUGUUCUAAAAUUACAGCCAUUAGCUUCUUGCUUUCCCAAGCAUAACCAAUCAUCUUAACCAGGUUCCUGUGUCUGAGUUGGCUCAGAGUCUUGACUUCCCUAUCAAAGCAUUUUCCUGAUUCUUCUGAGAACUGAUGAUUCAGUUUUUUAACUGCUACAAUCUUCCCAUCUUCCAGUGUACCUUUGUACACAGUACUUAAAUUGCUGGCUCCAAUAAUGUUUUCUGAACUGAAAUUAUCGGUAGCAUGUUCCAAAUCCUUUUGAUAAAAUCUCUGGAGGCCAAGUGCUGAGGUAUACUGUGGAUUUGUAUCCUCCAUGUCAGUCACUUUUCGCUUCCUCUUCAUGUACUGAUGAAAUAAAAAUAUUCCCAAGAGAAGAAGAAUAAAAAGCAAAGCAGAUCCAAGUAUGAUCCAGGUUUUCUUGGAAUGAGAACUUGUUUGGUUGCUUUUGAUGCUGCAUGGCCUGAGAAACUCUGUUUCACAUAGAGAUGGAUUUCCCUGUAAAUUCGCGGACCUUAUAUUGUUGAAUACACCCCCCUUCGGAAUGUGACCUUCAAGUUGGUUGAAAGAAAGAUUGAGACAUUUUAGUGCAGGCAUUUUGGCAAAACUCUGGGGAAUGAUUCCCUUGAACUUGUUUUGUGAAAGAUCAAGAGAGCUAAGAUGUGGCAAACUUGUCAUUUCAGGAAGUUCGCCUUCUAAUCUGUUCCGUGAGAGGUUCAAGAAUACUAGCUCACUUAAUUUGGUCAGCGUUUCACCUGGAGCAGGACCAGACAGCAUGUUCCCUGAUAGGUUCAGUGAGAAUAAAUUUUUGCAGCGACCUAGGGAUCUGGGAAUGCUGCCUGAUAGAUUGUUGUUUGACAUGUCAAUUGCUUGAACCAUUUCUAACACGCCAAUCUCAUCAGGGAUCACUCCAUCCAGCAAGUUGCUUGAAACGUUCAUGUAAAAUUGCAUACUUCGCAUGCUGGCAACUACCGUUUUAGGAAGAGUUCCGGUAAGAAGGUUGUGUGAAAGAUCUAAGGUCAUCAGUCUGCGGAGGCCUGCCAUGCUCUCUGGGAUUGUACCAUUAAGCUUAUUUCCACUCAAAUCCAUGAGCGAAAGUGAUUCUAGUUUGGAUAUAUGGUUGGGUAUUGGACCGAUGAAAUUAUUGUUCUGCAGCAGGAGUUCAUAGAGACGUUUAAGCUCAAAAAUUUGCACAGGAAGUUCACCUUCCAGCUUGUUGUCAGCCAGCGAAAGGCCCUGGAGGUUCGAAAGCUUUGAAACUUCUGGUGGUAUCACACCUGAGAAACUGUUUUUGUGAAGCACUAAAUCUACCAGUUGACUCAUUUUACCAAUCUCUGGUGGGAUGGACCCAAGAAAUGAAUUACUAUGGGCUCUUAGAACCCGAAGUUUGGAGAAUCUGCCAAUCAUUGGUUUGAGUUUUCCGCUAAAAUUAUUACCACUCAGAUCUAGAACUUCAAGCAUUGAGCAGUUGAAGAGAUCAUCAGGAAUAUCCCCCAACAUCUUGUUUGAACCCAAAGACAAAAAUGUAAGAUUGGACAACUGCCCUAACCCUUUUGGUAUUUUACCUGUUAUUCUAUUAAAAGUGAGGGUUAAAACACGAAGGUGUGAACAAUUUGUUAUGCUGGAUGGAAUAGACCCCUCUAGGAGGUUAUUACUUGCAGUUAGAUUCUUCAGAUUAUGGAGUAACCCAAGUUCAAAUGGAAGUGAUCCGGUCAAUAAGUUAAAGCUCAAAGACAAAUAUGUCAAGUUUGCCAGGUUUGUUAAAGUUGAUGGAAUCUCCCCCGACAACCUAUUUGAGUGGAGGGUAAGCACUCGUAGCGACAUUAAAGAUCCCAACUCGGGAGGAAUAUUACCAGUUAGCUCAUUAUGUGAGAGUCCUAAAUGAGUUACCGACUUCAGGUGGAACAAUGAGGCUGGUAUGCUGGAGUUCAACUGAUUGUUAUACACUCUGAGCCUUUGCAAGUUUUCUAAAUUUCCAAGCUCAGGAGGUAUGCUUCCACUGAAUUGGUUAGUGUACAUUUCCAAGGUAACAAGCUUGAUGCAGAGGCCAAGUUCAGAUGGGAUUUUCCCAGAAAGAGNNNNNNNNNNNNNNNNNNNNNNNNNNNNNNNNNNNNNNNNNNNNNNNNNNNNNNNNNNNNNNNNNNNNNNNNNNNNNNNNNNNNNNNNNNNNNNNNNNNNNNNNNNNNNNNNNNNNNNNNNNNNNNNNNNNNNNNNNNNNNNNNNNNNNNNNNNNNNNNNNNNNNNNNNNNNNNNNNNNNNNNNNNNNNNNNNNNNNNNNNNAAGAGUGUUAUGAUUUAGCUGAAGAAUUUCUAAACUUGACAAGUUGCCAAUUAAUGAUGGUAUAAGUCCAGAUAACUGGUUUUCGCUCAGAUCAAGGGUUUGCAGAGCUGUCAACAUUCCAAUGGAGGUUGGAACUAAACCAACCAAAUUGUUUUUAUACACUACAAACGAUUGAAGAUUAGCUAAAUUACCAAUUUCAGACGGUAAUUUCCCUGUGAGACUGUUGUUGAUGAGGUCUACAGACAACAAUUCAGUGCAGUUGCAUAUACUCUCAGGUAUUCUCCCAUUCAGAGAGUUAUUGCCGAGAUCUAAUAAUUGCAGGUUUUUGAGGUUUCCUAGCUCGGUAGGAAUUUCACCAGAAAGACAGUUUUGAUGAAGAAUGAGCUGAACCAGCUCUGUGCAAUGCCCCAGCUGGGGUGGGAUAUUUCCAGUAAAUGCAUUCAAAGUUAGAUCAAGAACCUGGAGUUUGGAGAGGUUUCCUAGAAAUGGAGAAAUUUGGCCUUUGAGCUGUGUCCCAAUAAGCGAAAUGUUGAUGACAUGGUUCGAAGAGGGAUCACAUAUGAUUCCAGACCAGUUGCAGUUGUGAUUUGCGUCAUUCCAAUCCACAAGUACACCAAAAGGGUCAUCAGAGAUUGAAUUCUUGAAAGCUUCCAAAGCAGCAACUUCAACUUCUAAGCUUGGAGUUUCCCCGAAGGACAGAGCUAUGAAAAAGGUAGUAGAAAGUAUGGCUAAUGCAUAUCCAAUUGUCUGUGCCAUCAUUAGUUCAAAAAGACGAAAAAGAUAAAAAAAAGUUUCGCUGUCUGACAACACCUUGAGCUGAAAAUGAAUGAAGAUUUUAUACAUUUGAGUGAUCUUUGUUCAUUGCUUUCAUUUGAAUAAGCCAAUUAGUCAUCAAAACCAAGUAAAAUGACUUGUAUUCUAUGAAUUCGUCAGACAGUACGGUGCAUGCCUCUAAUCUAGAAUGGCCCGCGUUAACGAGCCUGUUCCCUCACACUGGAAAAUUCAACGAGAACUAAUCCUACUGUUAGAAAAUUGGGUGCAUUCAACUAAGUAAAAGUCAAACUCUUUUUUUAUCUUUUCUUUAAUUUUCUAGAAGAAAUAUUUUUGAAGUUCAUUUCAGUUACUCCCUUUUCUUGAGAGGGAAAGUGGUUUCUUGAGAGGAACAAUUUCACUUUGAUAAAACUAAAUUUGGCAGGUGAACCAUGUACUUGACCAAAAGGCUAUAACUAACGAUUUCUGUAGGCUAUGUACAUCCAUUACUUGGUUGAAAGACGACACACACAAGUGAUCGUUUCCUUAUCAAGGGCGAAUUUAUGGCCUAAAUUAUGGUGCACAAUGCUGCAAUAAGGCUAAAGAGUGAACUUUGGUUGAGUCUCGAGUUAUUUGCCCGAAGGAAUAAGGAUCAGUUUUCACUUAGUAAUAUUUUUUCCCUCCUAGUGGUGCACCCAAACCUAACCCUCUUUGUUCCCAGUGGCAGCAGGAGUGGCUCAAGGGUUUCAAAAUUUUGACGCCUCAAAAAUUUUUAAUUGGUAAAUUUAUGAUUUUCUUUUCUUUUGGGUGGAAAUCAUUUUUCCCCUCAACUUUACUUUAAAAAUCAAACUCUCCCCUCAACUUUAAACAAUAAACAUUCUCCCCUCUUUUUUCUACUUGUCUUUUUUAAAUACCUAUUUUACCCUUACACUAUUAAUCUUUAUUUUUCUUUACCUCUUUAAAAUUAUUAUAUUUUUUAUUUUUAAUAUAUAUAGUAAAUUUUUGUAAAUAAAAAGAAAAUUAUUUUCUAGACAAAAAAAAGUGAGAAACAUAUAUUAAGACUUAAGUAUAUAAGUUAGUGAUGUUCUAAAUGAAAUAAAUGACCAUGAUAUGAAAAUUUAUUUAUUAAUAAUAAUUAAAAUCGUAAUAUCUAUUUCUACUAGUAAAAAUAAAAAAUAAAAAUAAUUUUAUAAAUAUAUUCCAAUGCAAGUAAUAUAAUAACAUAUAACAAAACUGGAGAUAUAUUUUAUACUAAAUUAAUUCGAAAGUUUACUUAUAUUAUAAAUAUAUACUCCCUCUGUUCACUUUUACUUGUCACUAUUUUGUCUAUUUCGGAGAAUCAAUUUGGAUUUAUGGCUGGUCACUCAACGACUGUGGUAAUUCACCUAUUGCAGAGACUGGUAGAGCAGUAUAGAGAGAGGAAGAUGGAUCUUCACAUGGUGUUUAUUGACUUGAAAAAGGCGUAUGACAAUGUCCCUAGGGAGGUUCUUUGGAGAUGCUUGGAGCCGGGGGGGGGGAGGGGUUCCUGUGGUGUACAUUAGAGCAAUUAAGGAUAUGUAUGAGGGGGCGAAGACUCGAGUAAGAACGGUGGGAGGAGAUUCUGAGCACUUUCUGGUCUUGACAGGGCUGCAUCAGGGAUCAACUCUUAGUCCGUUCUUAUUUGUCGUGGUGAUGGAUGUGUUGACGCGAAGUAUACAAGGUCAGAUGCCUUUGUGUAUGCUUUUUACGGAUGAUGUAGUUUUGAUUGAUGAGUCGUGGCAAGGUGUUAAUGAUAAGCUGGAGGUUUAGAGGCAAACUCUGGAGUCUAAAGGUUUUAGAUUGAGUAGGACCAAGACGGAUUAUUUGGAGUGCAACUUUAGUGACUCGAGGCAAGAUAAGGAGGUGGUGGUGAAGUUGGACUCUCAGGCAGUUUGCAAGAGGGAUAGUUUUAAGUAUCUUGGGUCUACGAUCUAGGGAAAUAGAGAUAUUGAUGAGAAUGUCUCGCACCAUAUUGGGGCAGGUUGGAUGAAAUAGAGGGCUCGCUUCGGGAAUUUUAUGCGAUAAGAAGGUGCCUCCCAAGCUUAAAGGCAAAUUCUAUAGAGUUGCAGUCCGGCCGGCUAUAUUGUAUGGAGCGGAGUGUUGGCCAGUUAAGACUUCCCAUAUCCAAAAGUUGAAGGUGGCGGAAAUGAGGAUGUGUGGUCUUACAAGGGCUGACAUGGUUAGGAAUGAGAUUAUUCGGGAGAAGGUGAGAGUGGUAUCGGUAGAGGAAAAAAUAUGGAAAGUGAGGUUGAGAUGGUUUGGUCAUGUGAUGAGGAGGGGCACGGAUGCCCCAGUUCGUAGAUGUGAGAGACUAGCGUUAGAUGAUUUCAAGCGGGGUAGAGGUAAACUGAAGAAAUACUGGAGAGAAGUGAUUAGAUGUGACAUGGAGCAGUUACAUCUCACUGAGGACAUGACCCUGGAUAGGAAGGUUUAGAGGAAAAAUACUAGGAUAGAGAGAUAAGGUGGGGGGAUGAAUCGUAGUCCGUAGUUAGGAGGGUUUUGGUGUCUUUUGUUUGGUAAUGUAUAUUAUUUUUGUGGAUGUUGUAUCUAUGUUAGUUUUAUCAUGUUUCAUGACUUGAAUAUUUUUGUAUAUUGUCCUGUGUUUUGAGCCGGAGGUCUAUUGGAAACAACCUCUCUACUUCUUUAGAGGUAGUGGUAUGGACUGCGUACAUUCUACCCUCCUCAGACCCCACUAGGUGGGAAUAUACUGGGUUUGUUGUUGUUGUUGUAUUUUGCUUUUUGAAGUCAACCUGCAUGAACUUUGACCAACAUUUUAAGAUGUAUAAUUUNNNNNNNNNNNNNNNNNNNNNNNNNNNNNNNNNNNNNNNNNNNNNNNNNNNNNNNNNNNNNNNNNNNNNNNNNNNNNNNNNNNNNNNNNNNNNNNNNGAAACACAUAUAUAUAUAUAUAUAUAUAUAUAUAUAUAUAUAUUACACACGUACACACUUAAUGCAUAUAAAAUAAGAGAUAAGGUAUAAGGUACCCCUAAACUAUAUCUGAAGUUAUGACACACAUAAACUUUAAGGGGGACCUAUUGCCACCUAAACUCAUUUUUGCUGAUCUGGUCGUCAAAUAUCAGAAUAUUUUUGUACUCCUUUUGGGAGAGACGAAAAAUAUUUGUGUGUUAUCUCACUAAAAUAACAAUCAUAAAAAAUAACAUUAGCUUUUGUGACAAGUUCAUUAAAAAGGUUAAACUAAAAAAUUUAAAUAAAAAUAUAUAAAUACUUGACUAAAAUAAAGAGAAAAUACAUAAUUACACCACUAAGGUUGUCCGAGAUUUUCAAAAAGACACUUAAACUUUCAAUACCACCUAUUACCCCACGAUUCUUAUUUAAUCUCUUGUAAAUACACCAUUUUGACCAUAUUCUGCAGCAGCCCUUAGGCGCGUAGUUUGCACUCUCUUUUUAAAUAAUAAUUUAAUUAUUAAAAGGUUAAAAAGGUUUGGUUUAACCUAAUAACCCGACUUGAUUGUAAUAAAAUAUCUGAAUCAUUUGAAAUGAUUCAUUUCUCAUUUCUCUCUCUCUUCUUCGAUUUUUCUCUCCUAUCUGUUGCGACUUAAACUCUAAGCUCACACUCGAAGGAGAUCGAAGGUGUUUGGGAGAAAAAUUUAUUGGGGGAGAAAACGUAUUAGCCGAGGAGUGAGGAUUUUACAGGUUAGGGUUUUGUGUAUUGUAGUUUUAAUCUCUCUAAUCAUGGAUUUUUCGAAGUUGUGUUUUUUUCUGGGAAAAUAUUUUUUAGCUCAUAAUAUAGUGAAAUUGAUGUAAAUAUGAACAUAUUGACUUAUGUAUGUACAACGUUUAUGUUUAAUUUUGUUGAUUUGAUGAAUUCUUCGAAGUUGUGUUUUUUUGGGGGAAAAACAUAAUUUACGGAAAUUGAUGCAAAUAUGAACAUAUUGACUUAUGUGUUUGUUGGAUGUUUGUCGAUUUUUUGCAUUUGUUGUUGUUACUGUUACGGUGUUGUAGUAACAUGUACAACUUAGAAUUCUUUUUGGGUGUGUGUCAAGUGGGGGUGGCUGGGGUGGGGUGGGGUGUUUUUUUUCUUUGUUUACUGAUUUCAAUGUGUUUGUGUGAUUGAAUUGUUGCUUUUUCAGGUAUCUUUCAAUGGCUUUUGUGCUUAUAACUUUAAGAUGGUAUCAUGGGGUGAAAUAGAAUUUGGUCCCCCACCUGAAUAUAUCGGUGGGUCUGUGACUGAGUUUUUCGAUAAAGAUGUUGAUAUGAUGUCCUACUUUGAGUUAAGAGACUACAUUAAAUAUCUAGGAUAUUCAACUCAAUGUGAUUUCUUUGUUAAAUGGAAUGGUUAUUUGGUAGAAAUUAAGUGUGAUAAGGUUAUUUUUGACAUUGUCAAUAUGUUAAAAAAUGGGGAUGAACUUGAGGUGUAUGUUUCACAUGGGGUGACUGAAACUGAUCAGGCCCCACUUCAAUUGGAGUAUUUCCCCAAUAGAACUGGCAAUGGGGUAGGUGGGGAAUAUUUGAACCCUAUUAAUGAGGGUGAUACUUCUAGCCCUAAUUUUCAGCCUUGUACUCCUAAAUUCCCUUCCAACCCUCCUGAUAAGCCUUCUCCUUCUAAUAUACCUUCCAACUCUUUUGACCCUACAGUAGAUGAGGAUCCAAGUGAUGAUGAUUUAGAGGAUGAUUUAGAUUUAGAAGGGAGUACUAGUCUGGACAGUGAUGUUGACAGUGAUGUCCAUUAAGAGUAUAUUGAUAUAAGGACUAGUAAAAAAAAAUUUCCAUAGUUCACAAAGAAGAAGUAGAGGUACAACAACUGAACAGGUUAAUGUUGGUGAAAAGAGUCCAGAUAUAGGGUAUGAUGAGCCAAAUAUUGGAACUAGGGAUAGCCUAGUUGGUAAACUAGGAGGUGAUGAACCUUACUACCCAAGUGAUAAAACUCCUAGCUUUGAAUUAGAUAAUGAAGUAGGUUGGGAAGAUGGUGAUGAAGUAGUGCAACAACCUGUGAGAAGAAAGAAUAAAAAAUAGAGUUGUUUUUCUAUGAAACUUGUGAAAAAAUUAUUUGGGAAUUAGGGUUGGUUUUUCCAAGUGUAAAGGAGUUUAGGCUGGCAGUAACCAGAUAUGCAAUUCAAGAAAAGAUUCAAAUUAAAAAGUAUGUGAAUGAGCCUUCUAGAGUUAAAGUGAGGUGCUGCAAAGACACUUGCCUUUGGUUGUUGUGUGCUAGCAAAGAUAAGAGUAGAAGAGAUUUUAUUGCUAAAAGAUAUAACCCUAUUCAUGUUUAUUUGAGAUCAACUUUUAACUAUCUUUACAACUUAAAGUUUCUGGCAAGUAAGUAUAAAGACAGAAUUACUCAACAAUCAAAUAUUAGAGUUGUCCAGUUACAGGAGAUUAUUAGAAAGGAGUUGGAUAUCCAUGUUGGUGCAACUGUAAGAAGAGCCAGGUAUAAAGUGCUACAAGAGAUUAUGGGUGAUCAUAUUGUAGAGUAUGGUAGGAUUUUUUUAUUAUAGGGAUGAGAUUUUGAGGACUAAUCUAGGUAGCAUUUGUGUUGUCAAAGUUGGAGAUGCUGAUGAGACUGGACAGUUAAUCUUUCAAGGUUUUUAUGUGUGCUUUCGUGCUUUAAAGAAAGCAUUCUUUGAAGGUGCUAGAAAGUUGAUUGGUUUGGAUAGUUGUUUCCUCAAAGGUGUGUGGAAAGGUCAAAUGUGGGUGGCUGUUUGCAGAGAUGGAAACAACCAAAUGCUGCCUAUUACCUGGGCAGUUGUUGAGGUUGAGAAUCAAUUUACAUGGGGUUGGUUUGUUGAAAUGCUGAAGAAUGACCUUGAGCUUAGAGAAGGUCAUCAAUUGAGCAUCAUAUCUGAUAUGCAAAAGGUAUGACUCUAUUCUUAACAACUGUUUGUUUUUUUUUCUCUUUCUUUAACAACUGCUGGUAGAUUAAUAUUCUUAUUUUAUUUUGUUAGGAACUGAAAAUAGCUGUAAAAGAGCUGCUGCCAUUGGUUGAACACAGAAAAUGCGCAAGACAUGUUCUUGCUAAUUGGUCUAAACUCUGGAAAGGUAUAAAAAGGAGAAGAGUAUUUUGGAAGAUUGCAAAAUCCACAUUUGAAGUAGAAUUGAAGUAGAAUAUAGAAGCAAUGAAUAUAUUGGGGAGGAAUUGUUUGGAUGAUCUUUUGUGGUAUAAUUUGGAGACAUGGUAUAAAAGAUACUUUGAAGAGCAUUGCAAAUGUGAUGUUGUGGACAACAAUAUGGUAGAGAGUUUUAAUGCAUGGGUACUUCCUGCAAGGUUCAAAACAAUUAUCACAAUGCUUGAGGAGAUUAGGGUGAAAAUGAUGAAAAGAAUUGGUGAGUUGAGACAGUUUUCAAAUACUAGGAUCACUGAUAUUUCUCCCAUGGCUUUGAAUAUUUUACAAAAAAAUAUUGACAAGUCAAUGCAGUGCAAUUUGUCUUGAAAUGGGGAAAGGGGUUUUGAGAAUAUUGACAAGGGUUGUACUCAUACUGUUGACAUUGUUAGUAGAAGCUGCAGUUGCAGAGCUUGGCAGCUUAGGAGCAUUCCUUAUCCUCAUGGUGUUGCUGCCCUUCACCAUUAGGAAUAUGAGCCCAUUAAUUUUGUGGACACCUGCUAUCACAAGGAUACCUACCUCAGCACAUAUGCUCAUUUUAUUCAACCAAUGAAUAACAUGAAAAUGUGGCCAACAUCAAAUAAUCCUACUGUGAAGCCACCAAAGAUCAGGAAGCUUCCUAGAAGACUACAUAAAAUUAGAAGAAAAGAGGCUGAUGGAAGUAGAAAAAUUGAAAAACUUAGCAAAUGUGGUACUAUAAUUACUUGUAACAAAUGUGGUACUCAAGGACAUAAUAAAAGAUCAUAUCCUACAAGAGAUCAACCUGGUGCAAGUCAAUCAGUUGGAACAUCUUCUCAGGCAUAAGUAUUUGUAUAAUCAUUAUCUAAUAUACAUUCUGUUAAGUACAAGGACAAGGACUAAUCUCUUAAAACAUAGGCUGGAGCUUCUACUGGUAGAGGAAGAGGGAGAACAAGGGGUAGUGGUCCAAGUCAUUCACCUGGAAUAUUUUACCAGCAAGAGGUAUAUUUAUUUAUUUGUUACUAUUAAUUUUUUUUUUUAAGUAUGUGUACUAAUAUCUUAAUAAUCAGGCCACCACAAACAUUGCAAGUGCUACUAAAGAAAGAAGUAGAGAAAAAGACAGUGUUUCAGGUGGUUCAAGUGUUUCAAAUAUCUCAAGCAGUUGAGGAAGAGGAAUGACUCAAGAGAGCCAAAUCAGUUCUGCCAGUGGAAGUGGCAAAGGAAGGGGUAUGCCUCCUCAAAGGCAAAAUUAUGAGGACAACAGUGGAGGACAUACGAGACCUUUUAAAAGGUCAAGUAUGGUGGGGAUUGGAAUAUACCAAGCUGAAGAUGGAUUUACCACUCUUAAUGUAAGUACUUUGUAGAAUUUUUGUUUGUGCAGCCUGGAAUUUCUGAAGAUUGCCUUAUAAUUUCUGCAAUUUAUUUGUGCAGCCUGGAAUGGCAAGUAGAAAAGUCAUUAGAACUGGUGCAAAGGGCACAAAGAGGUCUAAAGUUGUGACUGGUGAUAUUGGCUAUACACCAAGACAAGGAUUCAAAUGGAAAGGGAAGUCGGCCAUUACCAAUAGCAAACUUGAAAAAAUGAGGACUGAAAAGGUUAUUCAAAUAAGGUCUGCAGCUGCUGUCAAAACUCAAGGCAAAAAUAUUUCAACUAGGAAGACUCAUGUGCCAUGGAAGUAGAUUUUACUGAUAUGAUGUGUAUAUUUUGGUGGAGAUUGUUGAUAUUGUCCCAAACAAUUACUUUUUGUAUGUUUUGUUGAUGGUGAUAGGCUUUUGUUCUUGUUUUGUAGCAAUCAAAUAAUGUUUUGGGCAGUUUGUUUUGUUAGGUACCUUUAGGUAUUAAGGUAUGUUUUGUUAGGUACCAAACAAAACCAGUUUUGUUGUUUAAAUUGAAAUAAGAGUAUGAAUGUGUUAAAUGAAGUCCUUAUUUUCUCUCAUUAUGGUUGCUUUGAUAGUUUAUUCACUGCACUUUACGUUUUGAAUGCUCACAAAUGUUGUCAGUAUCACAAUAUAUUGAUACAAAAUAGAUUGCAAAGGUAUUACUCAAUAUAUUGAUACAAAAUAGAUUGCAUCUUGUUAAGCAACUGCUAUUCCGACAAGAGAAAAGAUGAACACUUAGUGUUACACAACCAAUCAAAAUUUCAUCUUGUUAAGCAACUACUAUUCUGACAAGAGAAAAGAAGAACACUAUUUUGUAGAACAAGAGAAUGACUAUGCCAAUUUUAAUUGCACACAACUACAUUUAUCAUCCGUUCUCUUGAUAAUGCUAGUCCAAAAUAGAAAAAACACUACGACAGCUGCCAAUUACAACAUUUUCUCUUCUUCUCCUUCUUCACCAUCCAUUUUCCAUUACUUUCAUAAAAUACCAAUGCUUCUUCCAACUCAUUGAUUCUUUUCGUCAAUCUCGAAAUAACUGUCUUUGAUCGUAAAUCAAUCUUUUUUGGGUUCCUCUAUCUAAAGCGAAGUUGCAUUAUUUCUCCUAAAAGGAGCAUAAACAAAUCAAUUGAACAGAAACAAGAGGAAAAAUAAGAAAACAUGUAUAGAACAUACACGAUAGCGUGGACAAGACCAAAAUCUUCUAGCUGGGUUGUCCUCCGAUCGUGACGUUUGCAUUGACAGUAAGCCUCCAUGUUUGCAUUGCAAUUUUACACGGAAUAUGGGAUCGUUAUCGUCAUUACAAAUUCGAUUCAAGAUUGCAUUUGACAUUGUAAAACUAUUUUCGACAAAUACCUAGACACAAAAUUUAACAUGAUUUCAAAAGAAUUUAAAAAAUUAAGAUGCAAUUAAAGCUUUUAGGACUGAAUUUCUUUAGAAAUUACAACAUAAAUGGAAACAUCUUACCUUUUAAGGUUGAUUUUGUUGAGAAAAAAUUAGAAAAAGAGGCAAAACUUUUCUUCAAAAUAGCCGUUAAUGGUAACUGGAAGGAGGUUCGUGGUUUUAAAGAGGAGAAGAAGAAGAGAAUUCCAUUUUUUGGACAUUUAAUUGACACGUGGCAGAGUUUAAUUGGGUAAAUGAAUCACAUUUAAUUGUUCACGCGUCUGGCAUGCGUGACUACACCUAGAGAUAAAAACUAAGUCAAAAUGAUGUAUUUAUAAGGGAUUAAAUAAGAAUCGUGGGGUAAUAGGUGGUAUUGAAAAUUUAAGUGUCUUUUUGAAAAUCUCGGACCACAUCAGUGGUGUAAUUAUGUAUUUUAAUGUAUACUAUAAGAAGAUAUUGCUAAUAUCAAGGUUAAAAUAGAUAUUGUCUAGGUAAAAGGGGGGAGAAUGCUUAUUACUCAAAGUAGAGGGGGGAGUUUGAUUUUUAAAGUAAACUUGAGGGGGAAAAUGAUUUUCACCCUUUUCUUUUUGACGAUAUUGAAUAUAGUUUUAAAACAUACAAAAUUAAUAUAUAAAUAAAAAACUAUCAUUAUUUAAUAAAAAUAUUUAAAACUUUUGAACUAAACUACUCAAAUCUUUAAAGUAGUAAAUAACAAUUUUACAAUAACAUCCAAGAUAAAUGUAUUAAAAUACAUGAUUAACAUCUUUUUAACUUGAAUCAGUUCUUACUGUUAUAAAUAAUAAUAUUACUAUGCAAAAUACAAUACUAUAUUAAAAAGUAACAAUUAUGAAAAAACAAAAAAAGAUCAUACUAAUAUUUUAUUAUGUAUAUGUAUAUGUAUAUUUUUAAACUCUCAAAUUAAAAUCUGAUUUUAGAUCACUAAUUUUAUUAAAAUGCCUUGCCUAGUCGAAUAUACAAUGUGGUGCUUUAAUUUUGUAGAUGACUUUGAUAAAUUCUGCCGAAAAUAUUGUUCAAAAUGAAUUCAUAGGCGAUAUUUCCCUAAUGUUCACAAAGAUGUUAACUUGGCAUAUAUACAUGAUAGUCAUUCGGUCUUUGAAUAUAUAUAUAUAUAUAUAUAUUUGGUAAAUAGUCUUUGAAUAUUUGGCAUACAUACAUGUUAGUCAUUCAGUCUUUGAAUAUUAGGUGAAAUAGAAACAAAAUAGCUACCCAAAUUUGAAUUUACAAGAGAUAAAUAUGGCAAAAAGUAUGCAAAUAAAUAUUAAUUUCUAUUUGACAAAAAUAAAUUUAACAAAUUAUAAUUAGUUUUGAAGUCAAUAUGGCAAUGAAGGCCAGUUCUUAGUCUCAUGUUAUAAGUCAUCAAAACGUUAUAAAAAUCUAAACUACCGUACAGUUAAAACGUUGUAAAAUUCUAGAGUACUAUACAGUUAUAAGUAUUAACAAUUUUUUUUUUUUUUUUUGAGAAUUACUGACAAGAUUAUCUUUGGAGUUGAUUUGAGAUAUUUAUGUGGUCUAAGUUGAUACAUUUUAAUACUUCCUUCCUUCACUCUUAUUUAUCAACACUUUGACUUGAUACAUUCAAAUAAUUAUUAACAUGACUAUUUUAUCAUAAUAUUCCUAUUAAAUAUAUUUACAAUUGUGUUAUGAAUUAAUUUGGAUAUAAAGGGUAAAAUAGGAAAAUAAAAUUUAUUUUUUCUUAAUAUAUCAAAAAUGACAUGUAAAAAUGAAAAUCUAAUUAAGAAAUAAAGUGACGAGUAGUUCUCAAUGAAGGGAGUAAGUUAACUAGGACAACACCUUUAGAUUUUCAAGAAUGGUCUUGGAGGUUGUUAGUGUGAAACUUUCGACCUCACUUGUUUCAUGGAUAAAAUUUUCAGUUCAAUAUGUUUCAGACUUUUAACCUUUGAGGUAUUCUUAUGAAGUAAAUGAGAGUGAAAAUUUCAAUAUCACUCACCCUCUUAUAAGGUCACUUGUAAUUUCAGGGAUGACACCCAUCUCAAUCCUUAAACAAUCACAUUAGAUAUGAGUUAAUAACUUAAAUGGUCAACAACAACAAUAAAUCCAGUGUAUUCCCACAUAGUGAGGUCUGAGGAGGGUAAGAUGUACGCAGUCCAUACCUCUACCUCUAAAGAAGUAGAAAGGCUGUUUCCGAUAGACCCUCGACUCGAGACACAGAAAAUAACUUAAAUGGUCAUUCAACUUUAAAUUUUUAUCUCAGAAAGUCACUCAACUUUGGACUUGACUCAUAAAGUCACUCAACUUUAGAUGUUUUACUUAGAAAGUCACUCAAUCUAUUUUAUUAUUUUUUAAAUUAAAUUUUACUUAUGUGAAAUUUUUUUUAAUAACAAAAUUCUGAAAAAUACAAAAUAUUCAUUUAAUGACCCUUUUACCCUCUCCUUCAUUCCCCUAAAUUAUCUUUACCUUUCACAAAAAUAUUAAAAGUUUUGCAUAGCUCAAGAUUCUGCAGGAGAAAGGAUGAACUAAUCCCUUCGAUUUAUUAAAUAGAGUUACAUUUUACAUUCGAGAAAAUUGUUGUCAAUCCAACAUGUUAGUAAAAUAAAUAUGGUGCACUAAAUUAAGUUUGAGCUUUAAUCAGAUUAUAAAUACAUGAAACUGAUUAUAAUAGCAUAUGGAAGCAACUGAGUGGCACCAUUAUGAGCAAUAGAGAGGUAGAAGAAUGUUUUGUUUGUGCACAGACAAAAGAAAUGUUACAAGUUACUUGCAAAUACAUUAACAAUCAAAAACAUCCAUAGUGUGCCAUAAGACAUUUUAAAGGCCUGCACACAAGUUUUAACCAAAUAAGAUAUUUUAUACACAAUGUCAUAAGCACUUUCUAACUAAUGAGUUAAGGUCGUAUGACCUGCAAGUUUUAAUAAAAUAAGAUACUUUAUAUACAGUGUCAUAUUAGCAUUUUCUAAACCUUUUCAUCGACGCUUUACAAACAUAUUCCUUCAUGACAUUUUUUUGGAAUUCGGACAAAUUUUGCACCAAAUUUGUUUUACUAAUAUAUGUUGGAUUGGCAAUAGUUUUCUCGAAUGUAAAGUGCAACUCUCUUUAAUGAAUCGAAGGGCUUAGUUCAUUCUUUUUCCUCCAUAAUCUUGAGCUAUGUUUUAAUCAAAAUUUUUAAUUUUUUGUGAAAGAUAAAGAUAAUUUAGGUUAAUGAAGAAAAGGGUAAAAGGGUCCUUAAAUAAAUAUUUUGUAUUUUUCAAAAUUUUUGUUAUUAAAAAGAAUUUCACAUAAGCAAAAUUUAACUUAAAAAGUAAUAAAAUGGGCUAAGUGAUUUUUUGAGUAAAAGAUCUAAAGUUAAGUCACUUUCUGAGUAUAACAUCUAAAGUUGAGUGACUUUUUGAGUAAAAUUUAAAGUUGAGUGACUUUCUGAAUAAAAAUUCAAAGUUGAGUGACCAUUUAAUUUAUUAACUCCCUUAAAUAUUGACGUGUCCAAAUUGGAUGGCUUUUAUCUUUACUCAUUAUAGCUAAAGAAGACUCUAUAUUAUUAAACAUAUAAAAAUAUUUCAUUGUUUACCAAACAUUCUAAGGAUCCGUUGGCCUUAGAUUUUCCAAGUAAUUUUUGGAAAAAAACUUUAACAAAGUGUUUGGUCAUACAAUUGAUUAUUAUUUGACAAAUACUUUUGAGAAAUAAUUUAAAUUUUUAAAUAUUAGUAAAAUAUAACUUGAAAAAUCGAUUUCGGAGAAAAUCAGACCGCUAUAGUGAAAUGUUAUUAUAACGAGGUGACGUUAUAGAGAUGUCUGACUGUAUUAUGGCUUUUUAAGGUUUUGGAUUCAAGUCCCAAUCCUUUUUUGGUAGGUGACAUGUAUCUCAUUUCUUGAAUAUAAAGUAAAUAAUAAAAGAAUUAAUUCCACUUGAAGAAUUGAUAAAUAAAUUUUUGACUAGAAGUUUUGGCUCAUCUGCUUUUAGGCAAAGCUGCUCUUACUCAUUCCCCGUCGACCACUGAUGAGUUCUUGCAUAAUGAUCCAUCAAUUGAUGAAGUUGCUUUUUCCCUCUCUCGUUAAAUAAAUUUGUAGACUUAUGUUCGAAAGUAUACUCAUUUCCUAUAGGCAAUCUUCUGGUGAAGGAUGUGUUGGCAUUUCGGUCUUGCAAUCAACUGCACACUAACUCAAUUACAUGUAUGUUCGCAACAAAUUUUUGUAGUGUCGAAAAUUAAAUGCAAGCAAAAAUAAAAUAAUUUUAUUUAAACGAAUAUUGUGAGUACAAUUUCGUAACUCUCUUGAUUCUUCUCUCCUAAACUUAGAAAUGAUCUGAGGGCCUUCAGUAGCGUGUUUCUCGAAUCAUCGAAUGAUUUGAACUCCUGGAGAUGUAUUUCAAUCGCCGGAAAUGUGGGAAAGUGUUUUGUUGCUUUGGAAUAAUCUACGAAAAGAACUCCAUUGAUUGCUCACUUGAUAGUCAAUGUUGAUGUUGCCGAUGUUUGUCAAAGUUCUUUUUUUUUUUUUAAAUGUUAUGUUACCCCUGUUUAUAGUUGUAGGGAGUAGGCCUACUUGCUUGUGAUUGACCGAAAUAUGUCACUUUGAUACUUGACGACUUUUGAUUGGUUCUUUAAUUUGAAUGAGAUUUCCACAUCAUUUGUAUAUAUGACGUCAGCUCGAUGGUCUUAGAUUUGACUGAGAUGUCAUAUCACUUGACACGUGGCAUGAGUUUGCGCUUCAAGGUGGGAUGGACCUUGAUGAGGAAUAAAAUGAGCUUAUUAUAUUUUUAAGCCCAAAAUAAUUUUAGACUCAAUAAAAUAUGGAUCAAAUUCAAAUUUUAUAUGAAUUUGAUCCAAUAAAUUUUGUGAAAAUUAUUCCCUAUACAAUUAUUAGAUUAAAAAUUACAAAAUUUCAGCAACACUUUUAGAUAAUUGCAUUAAUAACUUUUUAAUUGCAAGUUAUAGAAACUUUUUAAAAUAUACAUUUUUUAUUUUAUUUACAAAAUUCAAUAUUUUAUUUUAUACAUUAAAAUUAGUUCCCUAUUUAUAGGAUAGUAUUCAGUUUUCUCCUUAAAUAGUGUAUUGAUAAUUAUGAUAAGAAUCUAUUAUGAUAUUCUUUUUUAAAAAAGCUUGCACCCUUUUCUAAAACAAUCAUAUUAAAAUAAGACUUUUAUUUUGACUUAAACACUUUUUCAUUCUCAAAGUACGUUUCUUCUCCAUUGACACACUAAGCUAUUUCUUGAAAAAAAUUUGGGGUUUAAUCUUUUUCAUUUUUAUUUAAUUGGAGUUUUUCAUUCUCCAUUGACAUACUCAAUCGAAACAAAGUUUUUUAUUCUUCUACGUCUUGUUGUGAUAGAUGUUCAUGAACAUACUUCAUUAAAAAAAAAAAAAACUAGCGAUUUCUUCUCCUUCAUUAGAAAUUCUCUUUCUUCUAAUUUUCCUUUUGUUCUUUAAAAAUGAUGUGAUAUAAGGUGUAUUAUCAAUUUUUUUUGUUAAAUACUCAUUGUAUAUAACAAUUAAAGAUAUGUCAACGGAUAUUAGAGAAGAAAUUGAACAAUUCGUUAUUCGUGUUAAUAACAACGUAAAUAAGAAUUUGAAUGUAGAUUGAAAUCGUUCAUAAGAAUAAUAUAGUGAAAAUUAUCUUGUACAUACUCAUUAAGACUAUUUUAUGUAUGAAUUCGGUAUAAAAUCAAUCUGAAAUAUCAAUAUUUCAUUCAAGAUUCAUAAAAUAGUUUCUUAUAUGUUAUAUUUAUGAAUGAAUAUAAUGAUUGCAGAAGUUAGUAUAGAAAUCGACUUUCACCAAAUGUUAUACGUUAUUAUUUAUUUUAGUGCAUGAAAUAAAUAUACAAAUUUAUAUUUUUUGAAUUAUUUCAUGUAUGAAACCUGUAUAAUAUCAACUAAAAAUUACACAAAUACAUAACUUAUGUUUUCAAUAUUACAAAAAAUUUUAACUUCCUAAACAUAUUACAAAAUCCCAACGCAUACACAGAAUGCUAUGUAUAUGUCGGCUAUGUUAUGUAUAUUAAUAGGGAGAGAGAGUAAAGUAAUUAAAAAGUGGGAGAGAGUGUAAUUACUUCCAAAAGGAUUGGUAUUUAUGUUAUUUAUACUAAUAUCAAUAUUACAUUCAAGGUUAAUAAAAUAGUGAGAAAAUGGUCAAAAGCUCCCCCAAUCUUUACCCCAAAUCCCAACUACACACUUAUAAUUUGCGGAGGUCCUAUGACCCCUGAACAAUUUUCAAGUGGAAUUAUUACCCCGCAAAACCUGACAACCAGUUAUUUUGGAUAAGGUGUGAUGCACGCGCCAACAACAUUUUGACACGUGUUUUUUUUAAAAUUAAUUUUUAUUUACUUUCUUUUCCAUUUUUAUCACUUUUUAUCAUUUUUCAUCUUUUUUUCACCAUUACCUUACAUCUCUUUUCCUUUUCAAACUUUAUUAUUCCUACUUCUAUGCAAAUAAUUUUUCGAUGAUCUUGAAGUGAAAAAUAAUGAACAAUACCGAAUUAAAAUUUUCAACGAUCUUGAAGUCGAAAAUAAUAGACAACAUCGAAUUAGAAAAUUUUCGACAACCUUGAAGUGGGAAACAAUGACCAUAUCAAUUAUUAAAUUUUAGACGAUCUUAAAUCCGAAAACAACGAACAAUAUCAAUUUCAAAAUUUUCAACGAACUUGAAGCCGGAAACAAUGAACAAUAUGGAAUAUAAAUUUUCGUUGACCUUAAAGUCGGAAACAAUAGAGAAUUUUGAAAUUUUCGACGACCUUGAAGUCGGAAAUAAUAGACAAUACCCAUUUUAAAAUUUAUGACGAUCUUGAAGUCGAAAAUAAUGGACAAUAUCAAUUUUGAAAUUUUCGAUGAUCUUGAAGUCGGGAAUAA
Molecule: long non-coding RNA, 179410 nt
Filed under: Capsicum annuum
Lineage: Eukaryota; Viridiplantae; Streptophyta; Magnoliopsida; Solanales; Solanaceae
Description: long non-coding RNA (CANN_LNC021999)
Source: RNAcentral